UUGAUUUACACUUUCCACUGUCUCUUGCUGUGUAGAGAAAUAGGAGACGGCUCAUGGGACUCGUGGACUGUGCCAUUUCUAGAGCGGGCAAGCUGUCGACUCUUGCCUGUUAUCCAUGAUGAUUUGUAUAUAAUGAAUCCGUGACAAUCUGUUAUGUUCCUUGCCUUUCAGACUGACAUUGCUUGCGAGAAGGUGUAGACAGUUUCUGGUGAGAUACAUCGUCUUCUGGUAUCCUGCAUCUGAAGUUCACUUUCAGUGGAACAAUUUUGAUAUCACAGGUGAAGAACAUGAGCGGACUUAGCGAUGGCUUCGACAUAGUCGGGCUUUCUCAAGUAAUGACGUUGAAUGUCGAUCUUCACGUUCUCCAGAUUCUGUGUAGUAGUCAUAGACAAGUGGGGAAUUUGGUAGAUCUACUAAAACAGUAAUUCAAUUGGACUUGAAAUUGAACAUAUGGAGAAGUUUGUGAUCCUUAAUUUGAUGCAAGAGAAAAUCCGGCAGCUGUCAAUUGAAUAAGUGAGCAAAUUGGGUCGACUGCAUCGAAGAGCCUGGACUUAAACUGGCUUAAACUAUAGGGACAGGACUAAAUUUUUCAUGAUCUAUAGUUUGAAUAGUUUACAUGUUACGAAAGAGAAGACGUUGAUCAUAACUGCACAUUUUAUAAACAACAAUUUUACUUAAAAUAGAAUUUACAAUUUUAAGUUGUUGGGGUAGUGAAAAAGUUCAAAAUAAUAUCCUCAUGGAAAACUUGAAGUAUAUCUAAAGUCUAUGCAAAAGCUUUUGAAAGCUUGAGAAAUGACACUCACAGUAGCUAUUAUUUACCCAAAAACAUGGGGUUUAGAUGCUGCAAUGGUCAGCUCUUUAUAAUUAUUCUGUGCCCUUCUAUGUUGUACUCCAGUAAUUCUUCGGUAACAUAACCAACAUACUAUAUUGAUGGAGUAUAUUGACAACACAGUUAGCUCAAUAAGUGGCAAAUGGAUAAAAGAUAAUGUUGUGUAUUCUUAUUGUCGUCUUUAUCCUGUUACCGAUUACCUAGGGUAUGCAUGGUAACGUUUGGGGACCAAUUUCUUUUCAAAAAUGGUUCUUUUCUAUUUUUAUUCCCUAAAACAAUUUCUGAGUAAAAUAAUGCGUUUGGUAACUAAAUAAAAUUUUUAUUCUUGAAAUAAAAAAAAAAAAAGGAAUAUGUUUGGUAUGAUACAUAAUUUUUUGUAUUUUUUGUUUUUUCUUCUUGCUCACCAGCUGCCAUCAUCGACUAGCCGCCGCCACUGGCCACCUGUUGAUCGCCGUUGACCAACGAUGGCCGGUGGGGGAGCAGUGGUGGGUGACUGCCUGCCAACGGUCGACGGCCGACUAGCAGCGACAAUUUGCGGCGAUCGGCAGGUGGCAAUUGGCGGUGGGUUGCAGUGGUGGGCGGUGGCAAGCGGCAAGCAAGAAGAAGAAAAGAAAGAAAGAAAAGAAAAAAUUGACUUUAUUUCUAGAAAUUGUUCUUGAAAACAAGAAGCUACUUUUUUCAACUUAUUAUUUUUGUUCCAAAUCUAUUCCCUGACUACUUUUCUCUUCUGGGAAAUAGAAAAAUUAAUUGACAUUACUAAAUGGAUUUAUUUUAUUUUUUUGUUCUAAGAAACAAAAAAUAAAUAAAUCGAAAAAAAUAAAAAAGUUACCAUAUAGGUCCCUAGUUUCUCAUGUUCAUAGUUAGAGUUGUCUAUCUACCGUCAUCGCAACUUACUUGCCUCUCUCACCAAGCACCAUGAUUGGUCAAGGUGUUGUUGAAUUUUGUGAUGGAGCAUCUUUAGUGAGAAAAAGUUCUAAAAAGAGUGAAUUACACAGCUUCGUGUCAUGCAUUCUUUCUUUUCAAUAUUGAGGUGAAAACAUAUAGAGAUUCAUUAUAAACAGUUCAUAGAUUUUAUUCCCCUUUUUCCUUUCACAAGUCAUAAUAUUCUUUAUUGUACUACCGACCAACUUUUGAGAUAAUGCACAGAAGUUCUCUUUGUUGUCUGUUGUUUCUUUACAGAUGUUGAUUCAUAAAACUUUUAGUCCACAAAGAAAACAUGAUUCCAUGUUGUAGAAUGACAAUUUGUUAAGCCAUGCCACCAUUGUGUAAAUUUCUGCAACUACUACUUUGAUCCUAGAAGUGAUGCUUGACUGCAGUAGUGGGCCUUUUAACAGCAAUCUCUUCCUAUAACAUUUUGUCGGUGCUAGUAAUGCUGUGGGCCUGGACUAAGAAUCUUGACUACGUUGGCAUAACUCAUCUGAAGCUACUUUUUUAAAGCAUAAUAUAGAGGUAAGAGUAUAUAGAAAGAAGAGGAACAAUAUCUGAACAAUAUCUUGACAAAUGUCUAAAGAGGAAUCAUUGAUUGGAAUGAUUUCCAUGGUGUAAAAGAUUAACUUCCUCAUAGGGGAAUUUCAAGUUUUAAGGAUGAGGCAAUUAACUGUUGAUCACAAGCCUUUUGAUGUUUACUUUAAAUUCGUGUAUUUCAAAGGGUGUGUAGUACAUUGCUGCGCUAAUUCCCCAUCUCCAACUAGCUUGCUAGAUAUUCUGGAGAAUUUUGGAUGGAACUUGGUGCUUAUCUCAUUUUUCCAUCUUUACUAGUCGGAUAUCUCAAUGAUUCAUAACAUGUAUUUUCCUGCACUGCAGACGUGAAAUAACAUACUAUAACAAAUUAAAUCAACUGCAGAGCUUGGUAAGUCUUUCUUGCUACAACCAUACCUGAUGUAAUUGAUAGAUAUGCUGACCUACCUUCUUGAUUGUGGUCCUUUUUGCUAUUAUUGGCAAAGGAAUAUUACUUAACCAGCAAAAAGAGCCACAUUAUUUUUCACUCUUUCAGCAAAAUUGAAAUUUACGUUUUGUUUCAUGAAAGGAAGUGCGGACGAUAAAAGACAAAGGGAGUUGUGAUAGGACGAUAUCAUAUCAUGUCACAUUUAGAAUUUUUUAUGGAAAGUGAAAAAUUAGUAGACCAUAGAAAAGAAGUGUCAGUCUAAGUAAAGACAGUAAAAAGGAAAAGUAAAGUAGGAUGAAAGAAAAGAAUAAAGUUAUCUAUGCUUUCCAUUUGUGUGUGGGUUUUUUUUUUUUUAAUUAAGUGGACAAUAGAGGAGUGAUCAAUAAAAAAUUAAAGGUUUUUAAAAAAAAAAAGUAAUUUAGCCCUAAAUUAAGCAUAAAAAAUAUUGCAGUUCCUUGGUAUUAAUUGUUCUUUUUUUUUUUUUUUUGAGGUUUAUGCCAUUAAAAAUUUGAAAUCUUUAUCCUCUUGGUACGUUUAUCCAAAUUAAUUUUUGUCUCAUAAAAAUGCAUGACACUUUUCUUUUAAACUAUAUAUAUAUAUAUAUUUUGGUAAGGUGUCUUUUAAACUAAUUUUUAUCUCUCAAAAAAUCCCAAAAUUGGUAACUUGACCGAAACUUACCCUCAACAUUAGAUUCUAAACUGUUAAAGGAUGUUAGAUUUGGGUUAGGUUAUCGGUUUGAGGUAAUUGUGUUUUGAGAAAUCAGUUUGAGAGAUGAAAAUAUAGUAUGGGAAAAAUAUGUUAUAAAAAAUCAAUUUGAAAUUUUUGAUGAUUGUAAUCCUAUUUUAAUUGCAUCUUGUAUGGUGAACCAAGACAUGCACAGAAUUGAAACAUUUUCUAAGCAUUAUAUACGGAUGAUUAACCAUGUUGAAUGUAAUACUGAGGAUUACGGAAAUCAUCAUCUUUACCGAGCUUCCUCCCCUACAAUCUUAUGGUAAACAAAUAGCAAGAAGAACCAACACAAUAAAUAGGUAAACAAACAAUAUAUAUGUAUAAGGGGUCUAAUUUGGUCUUGAUCUAUAUUCUAUAUAGCCCACAAGAGGAGUUUUGUUGGAUUCGCUAGACAGGUCAGCUUCAGCCCGGAUCAGUUCGCACGGCCCAUGUCCAAAUUCGUUGAUCCCGCGAGAGAAAAAGAAUAGAAAAAUUGCUCUGGAAGAGAAGCUCCGCUCGAGACGCUUGUGUAUUCUUCCCCCCGCCACCGUUGGACGUCGCCUUCUUCCUUUGGCCGUCGGACGGUGCUUGCCUCCUCCGGCAGUCGUUAAUCAUCAGUCUCAGGCAGACACUGAUCGGAGAGGGAACCAUUUUUGAGGUACGCAGGCACACCUGAGAGAAAACACACGGGCUAGGACGAUCGAGAAAAAGGAAAAGCUCGCACUCCCUCUGCACGUCUUUGGAAUUUCUUCUUCUUCGGUCAUCCUCAUCCACCGGUAAUCGCCAUCGGUUUACCAUCACUGGACAUCAACUAACGUGCGUACUAAAAGAGGACUUGAACUGGCGAGGUUUUUGGGCGUCCACAAGUCACUCUCUCGGUUAUUUCUUCUGAAUCCUUUCCUGCCUCUUCGUUGCCGAUUGUAUUUGAAGCAAUUUGCGUUUGUCUUAAACUUCAUUACCGGUGCUCAUCCUCACCAGCGACGUUUUCCAAAUCCUCCUUGUGCGAACUCGACCGGUAAUCACGACCGAGAACACCUCAUCGGCAAGGUAAUCUCUCUUCCCUACUAUGAAUAAAAGUAACCGAAAUGGCGUGUCCUAGAUUACGAUAGAAUCGGCUCAAAUUCGUAUUCAUAUUGACGAUUGCGUACUUGGACUGAUUUCGUUUGAACCUGAUCUCUAACCCGAUAAACUGAUUUUGUCUGAAUCUGAUCUCUAACCUGAAGUCAUCGCGCUUGCUUUCACUUCUCCACCGAAUGCACAUAACGUGUUUGAUAAAAUGACUCGGAAGUGUAUCAGUGAGUUUCUGCUAAAUCCGAAGACAUACUAGUUUAGUUUGCACAUUAUUGAUUGAUUCGUUGGUCAUUAAGCACGAUUUUGUAGAAUUUUACACAUUGACCAAGACUGACACACCUAUUCUUGUUCUAUUCCCAUGUAUGUUUGUCUCUGAGGUGAUGGGUGGUGGUGAAUGGCGAGUAAAUGGAUUUGAGUCAAUGGCCGGAGUGUCGAUCCAUUGAAGCAUUCGUGUCGGUUUGUUUCUCCAAUCUUAUGUUCUGUCCAUUUCCUUUACUAUUGCGAUUGUGGAGGAUUGAGUUGAUGGUGACGGAGGAUAGCCGUAGUCACUGAAUUGUACUGAUUUAGGUGAAUACCUGUUGAUAAUUUUACUGUCUGAGCUCUUGAACUUCGACAAGAAAUGGAUCUGGGAAUGGUGGACUCGGCGUCAAGGAUGAACAACGAUCGUAAAAAGAGAGGAGAAUAACAAAAAAAAGAAAAUAGGCCCUUUUCAAUGGAAAAUAAGUUUAAUGCGGACUUGGUGUGUAUUUGUCAUGGGGAUGGGUUUAGUGUAGUAAUGUUCAGGAAUGGAUUUAAGAUGCGAUUGGGCUGAAUCUGGUUCUAGCAAAUUUGUAUUGAGAAAAUGUAUUGAAAAUCCUAAAAUUUAUCACAAAAUGCAAUUGAGUUCUAAAACUUUUAAAAAGUGUAAUUAAGUCAUAAAACUUAUCAUAAAGUGCAAUUGAGUCCUAAAUUUUUUUAAAAAAGUGCAAUUAAAUCUAUCUUUUCCUGAACGUAUGAGGAGGGAUGGACCACUCUGAAAAAGAUAGUUUUAGAGGUAAUUAAUAUAUUAUAAAAGUAAAGUCAAGUUUUAAAAUUAUUGUUAAUUAGUGUGAGUGCCGGAUCAAACUUUUACAGCUUGAUAUGGUGAUACAUCUUUGGCCUCGUGUGCCUAAAUAUUUGCCGGUGUUAAUUGCCGGAUUGAUUUGAAAGUUCUGAGACUAUAGAGAAAGAUGACUUCACUACUUCUAUGAAGGUCUAUGAAGCUUUUGAAAUAAUCGCAAGCAUCACCCAUGACUCUUGCUCUUGAUAGAUGCAGAAAAUGUUACUUCCUGCGGUUUUUGCGCAUCUAUGCCACGAAAGAGAGAUGCAUAGAAGUCGAACACAAGUUCCAAUUCAAUGGCAAAGUCAACUAUAUGCUAGUAAACAUCACAUUCUUCAACAAACCUUCAGCGGAGUACAAACCAACAGUCGAUAAUGUGAUGAUAACAACAAUCGGUCCCAAUUGUCAUGUAGGUGCUUUAAAAUUAAGCAAAAAUUAGGAUAUGUCGCUAAUGUGAUGAUAACAUAAAACAAGCGAUUUCAACCAUCCUUGAAUUGAGAGUUUUUAACUUCUCAUUCUCUCACUAAUCAUCAUUUCAAGAAUGGAUAAUACUAUCUUUAGAAAAAAAUAUUUAUAUUGGUAAUGCAUUGUAUAACUACUAUAUAAUUAAGUAAUGAUUCUGAUUGCUUUGCUUAAGUAAUUUACUUCAAAAGUUCCUAAUUCUCGACACUCGGCCAAAGCUGAAUUAGUAAAAAGGGACCUUAGAGCAUCACCUAUAUUUUUUCACCGCACAUUCAUCCGCUCCUCCACAGUAUGAGAAGUUAAGAGAUCCUUCUUCAUCAUUGGCAUUAGGGCACCAUUUUCUCCACUCUCUUGAUAGAGGCUUGAUGAUCAUCGCGGAUACUUAGCCAAGCAGUGGAAGCACUGUAGCCAAGUGGACACGUUCAUAAGUUGAUGGACCCGAGUUGUAACAUCCUCGAUUUUAACCACUAUUUUGGCCUUGACUAGUAGGUCAAAGCCCGAUAUGUCAAGAGCGAGACUUGGCCAUGAGUUGGCCCGAAGCCCGGUCAUGAGUCAAUUGGCCAUUCAAGGAUUGGUAACCCAAGGUUGAGUUAUAGAGUAUUUGACCAUAAGAAUUGGUUGUGAGACGAUCACGUACCAUCAUGGAUUGACGGACGGUCAUGGUUUGAUUCCGCUCAAUCAUUAUGCUGGUCAUGGACGACCAUGAACUAAUCCCAUGAUACCAUGAGUUGAUACGAAUGGAUCGAUUCCACAUGAUUAUAUGACAAUCAAUAAUCGACUAUGGAUUGAAUAAACUCAAUGUGGUUCAAUUUCAAAUUCAUCAUGAGUUGUGGUGUAGAACCUUGGACUAGUCAUAGGACCGGCUAUAGAACUAGUCGAUUGGCCCAAGGAUUGAGCACAAUUUUGGUCAAGUAGAACUGACCCACAAACUGACUAGAGGACCAACCGACCGGGCCAGGACCUAGCUAGUAAACCCAACUGUGACCCAUUUUCUCAAUAAAGGGGAUUUUGAAUUCUGUUUGGCCAAUCAAGCUGAGUUGUGUCUAGCUUUGUUUGGGCAUGGCUUAGGCAUGAACCUCAGGCUAAAUAAGGUUGUCGAUCGUGAUCAAACUCAAUUAAUCCCUACCCAGUGACAAAUCUUUUAAAACUUAGAUAUUUUCCUAAGGUGCAUUCAAUGCCUUUGGCUUGUAGUUAAUUAAUGCACAUUGACUAAGGGUGGACACUUGGCAUGAAAGACUUUUGCAUUUGAAGACAAGUUUGAAACUUGGACUUUGAAUCAUUAAUGAGGAGGACACCUAAGCCUAAUUAGGAGAUCUUGGAGGCCAAGAAAUGGACUACACAACCAUUAGAAGAAGGAGGAAGCAAGUCAAGCCUUCUUGGACAAGAUAAGAGUGGAUUAUAUACAUUUGGCUUCUAGUUAUAUAAUGUCAAGAUGAAAUGUCCAAGCUAACCUAAGAUCUAGUUGGAAACUUGGAAGACAAGGAUGCCCAACAAUUAAUGCUUCUUGACCAAGUGGGCCAACUAAGAUUGCUACCUUUGACUUUUGAAAUUACUGGACCUCCACUAUUUUCCAAUUUUACACAGAUUUUUGUGGUCAAAUUUAAAGAAACUUCCUCAUGAAAGUUGUUCUAAAUAUCUUUAUCUAAAACAUACUUAAAUUUCAUGUUUUUUCUGAGGUGAAAUGAUAGGGACGAAGGCCCAAUCAUUCACCGUCUGGAACCUGUCCCGUGUAGUGAAACGGUGACCAGGUUGCCUUCUCAAAUUUUUAUAAAAUUUUCUCUUUCAAAUCUAACCAUGAUUCCUUCAUGAAAGUUUUAAAGGACAUCUAUUUCCACAACAUAUAAAAAUUUCAAAUAGUUUUGUGAAGAUUUAGAUUUCAGAAUGAGUCUCUCUCUGAUUGUUGAAUCUGCUUGACGAACAAAUAUUUAUGUUGUGUUCAAUGAUAUUUUGCUCUUUGCACAGCACGAAUUUGACUUGACUUCCUUCAUGAAAAAUGUUAUUUAAGGUCUUCUCCACAAUAUAUUAAAAUUUCAUAAUCUUUCAAUUCCGUUUGAUAAGGUAAAGACAUUAAUAUAGGAAAUUAUUCAAAACUGUUUUUCUCAGUCAGGAGGUGUGAGUCAUGCCCAAGCUUGGAUUCAAGUCCUUAAAUGCAAUGUUGAGGUGUCCCAAGCUAUCAAGCUAAAGCCGUAUUCUACCUUGAGACUUGGUGACCAAGUUACCUUGCAUUUAAUGCUUCUUGAUUUAGAGAGGAAGUCUUGACUUUUAAGGCUUCAAGAAUAAGUUAGAAUUGCCUAUAAAUAUGAGGCAUCCCUCCCUCAUUCCCACAACACACCACCUUCCUCCUUCACUCUCUCAACCUCACCCUCACCAUCGCCCUCUCUCUCUCUUUUUCGUGGCCGUGCCCCUCUUGUCCAUUUGCUCGCUCGCACGUUGCUCCGUCACCUAGGCCGUUCCUUGAAGUGUGGUAUGUAGAACUUACUAAUAUUUGGCUAGGACGUUGUGUUAUGCUAUUCUGAGCGUGUGACAAGUCCUUGACUAAAGUUGAUUGAUUGUUUGUUGCUUGAAGUUUGGCCGUAUUUGCUUGGAUUAGUUUAGACCUUGUUCCUUGAUUGAGUUCGAUCCUUCUUUGAUGAGCUUUAGCUUAAGUUGCUUGGAAGAAGCUCGAUUUGUGUGUUUAUUUGAUAUGUUUUGGUUUUUUCUUUGAUACAAACCUACUUUAAAAGUGUUUUAUGAAAGCUUGCUAUUUCUUCACAAAACUAUUUCAAAUCAUUUUCACAAGUGCAUGUUCUAUUUCAUGCCCCAAGCUCCGAAAAAAGGUUUUGUCGGCCUUGACGUACAUGGGAUCACGAUGGAUUAGUCCUCCCUUAGUCUUGGUGCGAUAUCGAGGUAUAUCAUUCUCGAGCCAACUUUGGUACUAGGUCGGUGAACAUAUCACGAUGGGCUAGUCCUCUCAUGGUCUUGGUGUGGUAUUGAGGUGUAUCAUUCUCGAGCCAAGUUUGGUACUAGGUCGGUGAACAUGUCACGAUGGGCAUGUCCUAUCAUGGUCUAAGUGCCAUAUCGAGGUAUAUUGUUCCCGAGCCAAGUUGGUUACUAGACCGGUGCUCAAACGUGUUGGAUCAAGUCGUGAUCCUUGAUUCGUGCUUAGCAUGCUUAACUUCUCGGUUUCGGUAAGUCAUUUCACACACUUAUGCAUGGCACGCCUUCAAGUCCUUGAACUAAAAGAAAAAAUAAGAAUUGGAUUAUGAUGCUUGAUGCAUGGACACACGAUAGACUAAUUUAUGCCGUCGACCGAUAGAUUCGGUGACAAUGCCCCCUCACCAACGAGAUGCCCCCACACCAACGGGAUACCUCGUUAGAAGGACAGGAUGUUGCGAUAAUUCUAGCCGUCACCCUUCGAUUAGGGGACGUUGCCCGAUUAAGUUCGGAUGCUCGGUGGAUUUUGGAGGAGUCAAUGGAUUUUGACUGUUAAUAAAUGAAUAUUGUGUGCAUGAGCUCCUCACAUUAUGAAAUAGAUUUUGGUUAUGCUUACAUAUUAUUGAGUGAGGCGUGAGUUCCUCAUACUAUGAAAUGGAUCUUGUUUAUGCUUGUACAAUAUUGAGUCAGGCGUGAGUUCCUCAUGUUGUGGGUGAAUAUUGGUUUAUGCUUGCAUACCAUUGAUUGAGUAUUUCUCAUGAUUCAUCCAAGACAAAGCUUUUAUUUUGCUAUUGAUCUAUCAUCGACUAAUGUUUUGGAUGAGUUGUAUGCUUGUUGAUAGGCGAGACAUCCUCCUACCUGGAAAUUAGUGGGUUUUACUUGCUGAGUUUAUGACUUACCCCAUUGUUUUUCAUAAUUUUAAGCAUUGAGGCCUCCCACUAGUGUUGGAGUUGUAGUCUUGCUAGAGGAGCUAAGGUUUACUCGGCCUGUAGAGUUAGAAAAUGUAGUGGUUAUAAAUAUAACUGCCCAUGACAAAGGGGCCUGUAAAUGUAACUAAGGUAAUUGUAUGUUUUUAAAUGGGUGUUUUCCUAGCUGCUUGUUGUUGUCCGGGUGUUAUAUAUAUGCUUCCGUAUGUGCUUAAUGAAAAAGAUAAAAAGAAACGGGAUGGCGACUCGCUUGAGAUGUCGAGAAAAUAACCCUUGCUGCUCAUGACCCUGAGGAUGGAGUUGGGGUCGUGACAUAAGUGUUAAGAAUUCACGCUUUGUUAUUUGUCACUGCUUCAAUGUUAGUCUUUCUUGGGGUCUCUGGGUUGUUUAGGUGAUGCUGGGGCAACCAUGCAUUAGCAUUGGUCCCAUUCAGGGCCUAUUGCCUUUCACCUACCAUCAUCGUGUCCAUGCUUGGCCUUAUCCAAAGCGCAACUUUCUGGAGUUCACAUAUCCCCAUGUCGGAGGCUUAUCUAGUGGUGGUUCUCGGAAAUGCAAAUUCCUACACUAUGCACUGCAUUGAGAACAUUGAACAGUAGAAGUCAUUUAAUGCCAAUUGCGCUACUAAUUGUUUCAUGAGAAGUUGGACGAUUUCUUCAUACGUGACCUAGUCAAUGUCAACAUUGUGCACAGUCUUUCUUUCCAUCAUUUUAUUGGUGAAAGUCAAUGAAAGAGCAUGAGCUUUGAUGUUAGCAAGUAAUUCUGUGAUGGAGGACGAAAUACAAGUUAAUAGUAGACUAUAGAAGCACCGAACACCAACUCAGCAAUUCAAGUGAGAUCUGACCCCCAUGAAUCAAUCAACUAAAAAGGAGGUUUCUCUCAUUCUGAACUUUCUUGGAUGACUACUCUCAAAAGCUCUCUAGGGUAUUCACAAGUUGUGUACAUAAUAGACAUCAACAUAGAAUUAUAAUAACUAGUAAGUGCAAAAUCAAGGCCACAUUAGGGUGGGCCCCGACCAAGAUAGGUAGAUUUUAUCAAUUUGAUUCUUUUCUUUUUUUUUUCUUUUUCUUUUUUCCUCUUCUCAAAAGCCAUUUUGCUAUGAAGACUAAAGUUAUGGCAGACAAGAGAGGUUAUUUAAACACUUAUUGUUUGGUUUAGAAAUUGUUUAAUUAGAAUCUUUUAUCCUUUCGCUGAAAGAGAGUUGGAGGUAGAAGCUCCCUUUUUGCAAACAUCAAAAUUGUCAGUGAUAAGUUAGAUAAAUGAGGCAUAAGGCGUAAUUAUCACUUUGAUGUAGGAUGCCAAUGUCACAGGUCGGCGGUUCCUUGGCUAUGAAAUAACUUGAGCAGCGCCUGGUGAGCGGAAUUCGCCAAACCAACCUUCCUUCUAUAGUUGUUCCAGUGAACAAUAUGGUGAAUAGCUCUUUUAUAUGAGAUCGUACCUCGCCCAGCUUUGCUCGGGCGUCUAGCCCAUCGAGUAAGAGAUCAGAUCUCUUUAAGCUUAAUAAUUGGUUUCGGCCUGCUAUGGCCUCAUUAGGAGAGUAGCAUCAGGUCCUGACUAGUAUGUGUAUGGGUGGUGAACCUCGCCUUUAGAGCUCCUAAGUAAUAUAAUUUUUCUAUAUUAAAACUCCUAACACCAAUUGUCCUGAUGCCACUUCCAUGAAUCAGUUGAGUUCAUCUUCUCUACAUCCUCAUUCUUUACUCGAUAAUCCCAAGCUUCACUUUCAAAGGUUCACGGGUGUGGAAGAAUCAUAGACUGUGACACCGGCAUAGCAUUUAACAUCAUAUUCCUUUUUAACAGUUGGACUUUCUUUUUCUCCGUGCUGGAUUGGGAAACAAGUGACAAGGUUUGUCCUCCAUGCAAAACGUGUUAUCUUUACCCAUUCUUCACAACUUUGGUCUUUUCUUAUUCUUUGUUAGGAUAAUUAUUUUAAUGAUAAAGCUACCUAGCUUUAUCUUUGUUAGGUCAACUUUUUUAACAAAGCUUUCUAACGUGCUAGACAAAGACCAGAUUUAUGUGACUCUGAAUGAAAGGCACUGGAUUGAUUAGAUUCCUUAAGGUCUCCUUAUAUACUAGCUACACCCUCUCCACUGUGUUAUCUCCAUCUAAAACAUGUUAGCUAGCCUUUUUUUCUACACUUGGUCAUGCUUUUUCAAUGUCAAGUCAAAUUUUCACAUUAAGCUUUUUGACAUACAGGACAAAGUUUUUAGGACAAUGAGAGGAUUUAUGUGGUUGUAACUAAAGGGCAAUAGAUUGAUUGGAUUUCCAAAUUAGGUCCACUUAUAUACUAGCAAUACCCUAUUUAAUAUGUUAUUGCAUUGGGAUAAAUGGUCUGUAAAUUUCAAUUCAAUGUGUAAGGUGAUAUUUCAAUUUGGGCUAAAUAUAUAAUGUCAUAUCUAAACUUUUAAUUUGUUCAAUAUAAUUCUUGAACUUUUGGCCAUUUAAACUUUUUGAACUACCAUGUCUUGGCUGGAAUAACUAUAUCAAAAAAUCGUUAAAAGGUUUAGGAAUAAAUUGAAUAAAUUGAAAAAUUUAGGAUUGAAUUGGCCGCCAUGUAAUAGGUUUAAGACAUCGAGUAAGCUAGCCCUAGGAUGCCCUGGUUGAGCCAGGAUGCCUUGGUUGAGCCCGGAUGCCUUGGUGAGCUAGCGCCAGAAUGCCUUGGUUGAGCCAGGAUGCCCUAGUUAAGUCUGAAUGCUGAACUUGAAGCUGGAUGCCUUGGUUAAGCCAAGAGGGCUGGUUGAGUCAGGAUGACGGUAAAUGAAUUUGCAUGAGUGCUAGUAUAUGCAUGAGCAUGAUAUAUUGAUGUGUUCAUUGAUAUACUGAAAGUAAGCAUGUAUUGAAGUAUGCGAUGACGGACAUCUGCAUAUAGUCGAGGAUAGCAAUAAGUUUGCUAUUGAUUUGCCAUCAACAUUACAUUACGAGUGUUGUACCUAUUGGAUUUUGAUGAUGAGAUAUUCUCCUAGUAGAGAAUUAGGGAUUUUACUUACUGAGUCCAUGACUCACCCCAUUAUUUUUCAAAACUAGAGGUAUGGAGGAGUUGCAGUCUCAAUAGAGGAGUUAAGAUUUACUCCAACUUUUUUGAGCAUAGAGCAUAUAAUGAUUAUAAAUAUAAUGGCCUAUGACAAAAGAGCUUGUAAGUAUAACUAAUGUAAUUGUGUGUUUGCAAGUGGUUGUUUUCUUGAUUGCUAGUUGUUAUCUGGGUGUUAUAGGUACGCUACUGCAUAUGCUUAAUGAAAAGAUAAAAAGAAAUGGGAUGGCGAUACGCCUGGGAUGUUGCAAAAAUAACCCUUGUUGCUCGAGACCUUGAAGAUGGAGUCAAGGUCAUGACAACUCCUCUAUUGCAGCAUUACAGUCUCGUCGAAGAUCAUGUCUCUGCUGAUUAGAAAAUUGGUGCACCAUAACUAGUAGCCUUUCACUCCAUGUGCAUAACCCAAAAAUAUGCACUUAUUCACUCUCGAUUCAAACUUACCAUCAUUCGUAUAAGAAUUCGUAGGACAUCUAAAUAUAUAUAAUCCAGAGUAAUUAACAGGUUUCUCUAAGCAUACAUCCUUAGGAGUCUUCAACUCGAUAGUAGAUGAUAGAAAUCGAUUAAUCAAGUAACACACCAUGUUUACUAUUUUGGCCCAAAAUUUCUUGCUAAGUCCUGCAUGUGAAAGCAUGCAUCAAACUCACUCAAGCAAAGUUCUAUUAUUCUGUUUUGCCAUGCCAUUCUACUGUGGUGUCCCGGGUACUGUGCCGUGUCUCAUAUUCCUUUCUUUCUCACAUAACUCAGUAAAAUCUUUACCAUAGAACUCUCUACCAUUAUCGGUUCUCACGCGCUUGAUUUGUUUAUCUGACUACUUCUCAAUCAAUGUCUUAAAUUUCUUGAACUGAUUGAACACUUCAUAUUUGUGCUUCAAAAAGUUUACCAAUACAUUCCUCGAAUAAUUGUCAAUAAAUAUCAACAUAUAUUGGGCACCUCCUUUUGAAGGAACCAAAAACGGGCCCAAGACAUCUGAAUGAAUAUAUUUCAACUGGUCGUUUAGUCAAAUGAAUAAACUUAACUCGAUGUUGUUUCUCAAAGAUAUAGUACUCACAUAAGUUCAGCUUCCCUGUCUUUUGGCCCUUCAACAAUCUCCUUUCACUCAGCAUCAUCAUACCCGCCUCACUCAUAUGCCAUAAACGCACAUGUCAUAACUAAGUCAAGUUAGAGCCUGACUCACUUGAUGAAACUGUAGCGGUUUUGAUCAUAGUCUCUCCCAGUAGAUAAUAGAGAGAAUUCACUUUCUUCCCAUUUAUCACUAUCAUGACACCUCAAAAGAAUUUCAAUACUCCACCUUCAGUGGUGUAACUACACUCGAUGUCAUCCAGUGUCCUCAAAGAAAUAAGAUUCUUCUUGAGCUCUAGUACAUGCCUCACGUCUGUCAAUGUGUGCACCACCCAUUGUGCAGCCAAAUCCGAAUUGUCCCUAUCCCCAUAGCCUUGCAGGCUACAUUAUUUUCCAAAAAAACGCUACCACCAUCUAUAGUUUGGUAAGUAGUAAACUAGUUCUUAUGAAGCGUUAUAUAUAAAAACACCUGGAAUCUAGCAUCUGUUCGUCUUCUGACGAAGUAGUAUUCAUACAUAAAAUAACUUAUGCAUCACUAGUGUUCCCCCUGGCAACGUUCGCCACAUUGCUUGUGACAUUCUGCCUAUUAUCUUUAUUCUUCUGCUUUGCACAAUAUUUCCUAAUGUGCCCCUCCUCAUGACACUCAAAGCAUUUCACACAUCCCUUAGAUUUUGUAUGGUGUGAUUUCGAUUUGCUUUUAUCUCUGUUGCUACUAAGCUCUCAAUAUUGUUCUCUACCGCCGAAUCGUCAAUGCUUGCACUACUCCUUGCACCAAACCGUCAUCUUAUAACUUUCUCUAUCACUCCUUAGAGAACAAUGAGGACUUUAUCUCUUCUGAGGUAAUAUUAGUCCACCCCUGCAACAGUGAAUUAGUAAAGUGCUCCCAUGACUCUAAUAAAGAAAUUAACAACAUCAUGUCUUGUUCUUCAUCAUCAAGUAUUCUACUGAUGUUCUUCAAACCCAUCAUGAGUUUAUUGAAUUUAUCUAAGUGGAUUUUGAUAAACGUAUUUUCAGUAUAUCUAAAUUGAAACUUUCUUUUUAACACAUACAAGUGAUUGUUGAAACCUUUCUUCACAUAAAGUGCCUAAAGUUUUGCCUAUAAUACUACAACAUCAUUCUCCUUCAUAACCUCUAUUAAAACCUUAUCCAGCAAGUUCAAUAGAAUUGUGCUCUUUGCUCUUUCCAUUAGCUCUACCAUCUUAGAGGUUUUCAUUAUAAUCGGCAACUCAUCUUCAAUAUCCAAUGCCUUGGUCGAAUCUUAUGUUGUCAAUAAUGCAUGUAUCUUGAUGCUCCAUAAUCCAAAGUUGUUCCUCUUGUUAGACUUCUCAAUUUGAAAUUUCCUAUCAGACAUAAUUGCAAUAACAGAAUUUUCAAAUAAUAAUUAGACAAGCAAAAGCUCCGGAUUACAAUCAAGAAAUCCGAUCCUAAGCUCUUAUACCAAUUGUUGGAACAUAAUAUGUAAAAAUGACAGGAUCUUGCAAUUACAUCAACGUAAAAUCACCAAAGAAAUGAAUGAGAAAUAAUAAAGACACCAAAGAUUUAUGUGGUUCAAUCCGAGCAUCACUACCUACUUUCACGGGGAGAGCCAGUAGCAAAUAAUCAACUAUAAUCGGAGAAUUAGAGUUUAUAAUCACUCACAUGCUUGAGUGUUUCACACACUUAGAUUAAAACCCAAAUCCAAAGUAUUUAUAAAUAAACAACUCACUUAAACAUAAACUCACGACACAAAAUCACAGCACGUUCAAGCUCAAAAUAAAACGCUCUAUGUAUGCUGAAACCGAGAAUGCCGAUGUUCAUCUCUGCCCUGCGUGCAUGCGGCUUCACGUUCAUCUUUAUUUUGCGAUGCUCUUUUGGAUGUGCAACUCCUCAAGUUUAUUUUGUGCGGUGCUUACUUGCAGAAAGGGAAGAAAAAACCUAGGUGUUUUAUGUGUGCCCAAAGUAAAGAAUUAGACCUUGGGCCCCACUACUACAACAAAACCAACGCCUACAAUGAUUCUUCUUUUGUAAAAGGGAGUUUCCUUCUUUUUAUCUCUCCCGGCAAAGACAUCUUUGCCCCUAAAAGAUAAAUAGAUAAAUAAAAUAUAGUGUGCCCCCUUUUGUCUUGUAAUGGCAAAUCACAUCCUCCUUGCUUCCUUUUGUACGUCCAAAAGAAAGUCCGACAAUAUAAAAAAAAAAAAAACUUCUCUAUCCGAUUUGUAAUCCACUUAGAAAUCUUUCUCAACAAAUUCAAUGUAAUAAAUCAAUAUUUAAAUUCAAAUUCGAGACAUUAAUUUAACAUUUAUCUUUAGUCGCAAGUAUCACUAUCUCCUCGGAGGAUGUUUCUUGUAGGGUAAGGUCUCACACACGUUUCUGGGAUGAUUUUAGAUUAAUUUGGCACUAAGAUCCACCAUUCUCUAGUGGUCUGCUGGAUGAGUUCUCAAGGGGGUGAAGUUUCCAUAUAUCAACCUAGUUUUAUUUUAUUUAUUUAUUUUUAUUUUUAUUUUUUGCCUCGUUUCACAGUGUGGUACCUUCUACGUUCUUGUGGACGAUUUGAUCGAGCUAGUAGGGGUCUACUCUGACUACAUCCAGGUUUGUCUCGGUCUUCCUUGUCAUUUCUGAUUCACAUUACCCUUUUGCUAUAACGAUACUCGAUGAUAAGUUUGCUCAAAGUCUUAUCCAGGCUACUUUUUCUGCACCAUCAACAACUAACUCUUUACCGUUGUCUGUCUUCUUUCAUACUUCACUAUUAAACCGCAUAUUCUUGUUUUAUUUGCAAACCUUCAUACAAUAACGGGUUCACUUGGCGCUCAUCGGUUAGAAGUCUGGAACGAAAAAAUGGUGUCUAACUUUGCUAAGAAGAUUUUGAUCGAAACUGUAAUUCAAGCUGCCCCAAUACACCAUAUCUAAGUUUAAGAUUCUUAUCUUGAUUUGAAAAUCUGUCGAGCAGAAAAUUGCCUCAUUCUGGCGGAAACAAAAUAUGUCCAGUUCAGGAAUCCAUUAGGAAGAAAUGGGAUGUAUUAAAAACUAGGAAAGAUAACAGGGGACUUGCUUUCAAAGACCUUGUCACUUUUAACAAGGCAAUGUUGGGUAAAUGGGCUUAGAGAUUGUUACAUUUUCCUUCAUCCCUGUGAAGUUCAAGUUAGAUUUUAGAGUAAAUGGUGCAUCUCAAUUUCAAAUUUUAACAAGAAUACCAAAUAUUGACUUUUGAGUUGACUUUUUAAGGGUGUAAGCGGUCUUUAACACAACAUGCUGAGCCAUCUUGCAAUCCCAAUAUAUGACAUUGCGCCAGCAAUCUUGCCACUGGCACAUCUUUCUUUUGCAGGUGUACAGGCGUGUCUCCACCGGCCCCCUCACUGCCGGCCACUACCAGCCGAUUACAGCCUUCCUUAGCCGGUGACGCAUUGGACUUAACGGCCACCACCGUGCGCUGCUAUAUUACCUUUUCAUUCCUGUCAUCGUAUCAAGCUAGAGUCCAGCAGUCUGGGCGAGCCUUUGCAAUCCUUGUUAUUGUUCAUGAGCGCUAACAAUUUUUUUGCAGUCGUGUGGCUAGCAAGCUUCUUGACGAGAUUCCAAGCAAUGCCACAGUACUGAGGAACCUCUUAACAUGAUUACCUCACCCGCCGUCGUUGGAAAUUUCCCUUGCCGCUGGUCCACCUCUUGGAAACAAAUACGUUAAAAUAGGCAAUGCUUUCGACCGAUUCUAAUUCCAAUAUUUUAUUUUCGGAUUUGAAUUAUUUGAUUCUAAUCGUGAUUUGGUAAAAUUCUUAGGCAUUACCCAAUUAGGAGAGUUUCCAUAUAAAAUCGCAAUAAUCAUUAGUUUGAGCUGCGGUCGGAUAAUUUUUUUGAUUUUUUUAAUCUUGGUGAAUAUUUUAAUGUUUGUUAAACACCUCUUGCAGAUCUUGUCGCCGUUGACGGUUCACGAGACGGAGCUCAUGGUGGAGUACGAAUAGCUCGAGAGAGGAGAUGAAGUUGGGGAGAAAGAGACAAAGCGACACAUGAACUCCAAGUGGCCCCCUUGUCGGCCUAGACAACAGACGAUGGAGAGGCCUAGAUCGCUCUAUUUGUGGGGGCGAUGGCGGUUCAGCCGUGGCGUGGUUGGCAACAGAUGAGCCGGUGGAGAGAGACAGAGAGGGAAGAGAAGGAGGUGGGUGUUAGGUUUUGGUUAGGCUGGGACGGUUUGCCGUGAAGUAUAAUGCAAAUGCAUUUGACAUACAGCAGUCUAAUUGAUACUUAGAAAUACGAACAUCACCCACAUUUUAAUUAUGUUUGCAUGUCCAAUAAAUUCAUACUUAUAACCAAGUGAAUACUUGGUUGGAGGAAGUUUUCUUUAGCAUGGGGAAAGAAACAAAAACCUCACAUAUACUAAACGGAAGCAACUCGAAAACAAAGACCUCACACAUACUAAACGGAAGCAACUCGAAAACAAAGACCUCACACAUACUAAACGGAAGCAACUCCUUGUCUCAUUUUAUCACCCUUGGGCGUUGUCCGGCACUCCUUCCUGCUUGGUCCGAUUAUUGUGUGAUGCUCCUCACUGUUCGGUUCCUUUCGUGCGGCAGAACUUCCCAUACGCUUGGAAUACGCACCGACAUAUCACUGGCAGCGCCCCUGCGAGCAGCACAUAGCGGAACCUCACCGACUCAUGUGGCGUCACGGCAAAGAUUGCCGACGCAUAUGUCACCAUCAUCGAGGCCGUGGCCACCCAUAUCUCAGGGUGGAGUGGGAACUUGUAAGUGAGAUAGACAAUGACAAGUAGAGAAGUGGAGAGCGCGAAAGUGUUGGAGAUCAAGAACACAUAAAAGGCAAUUUGACGAGAUGCGUAGAUUGCCAUGCCGGCCGAGUGGCUAUCUUCAUUGUCUUGCCAUACCCCGCCAGGAGGGUUCACGCCUGCCUGGAAUGUGAUAGUCGCAAUCAGAGUAGCGAUGAUCAGCAGGAUGUUCCGCACAUCACCCGGAAGGUCAUUGUCGGGGUCGUACUGGAAGUAUCGGAACCAGUUUUCUGCUAUGUUUGUUGGCGGGGGACUCCUUUUUCUUCGAUAAUUAUUGUCAUUGCCAUUCUCCAUUUCAGGUGCCAUUUUUUUCUCUCUGAGAGAGAGAGAGAGAGAGAGAGACUUAAGACUGAAGAUGCUGGACUGUGUUUCGGUCGUGAAGAUGCUGGACUGUGUUUCGGUCGUCUUAGUUAUUAUAGGAAUGUAGAAAGAGAGAAAGAGAGAGAGAGAGAGUGAGGAUGCUCGACUGUGUAUUGUUUUGGUCGUUUUAGUUAAUAUAGGAAUGUGAAGAAUCAUAAAAUAAUUGAAGGAUGUGUCUGAACUUUUUCUUGAUGAAUCCAACCGUUCCGCCCAAAUUUCUUCUGGGACAAAAUAUCUUUUAUCGAAAAAUAUUUCUUUAGCUUUUAAUAAGAGGAUACAUAUUUCAUGACAAUUCCAAAAGGAAAUGUCAUAGAUAUACAAUGAAAUUGAAAGCUUUAUUAAAAACAUAAUUACAUAGACACAAAUUGGAAUUUAAUCGAUUACAAAGCUUGGAGAAUACAAUAACUUCAAUAAGGAUAAAGGUAAACAAACAAUGUCAGAAUUUAAUCAUUGACAAUGCUUGAGACUACGAAGAUAAUACAUCAGAAUUUAAUUGAUGACACAAUACUCAUAAUAAAAUACAUGCCAGAAUUUAAGUAACAAUGCGAAUCUAGAAAUUACAACUAAACAAUAUGUCGGAAUUUAAUUGACAAUGUGAGUAUGGAAAUUUAAAGUACAUUGUAUGAAAAUAAAAAUAAAUGAAAGAUAGUAGUUUUGUUUGAUUUGUGCCGGGGCUCUCGUGUCUGGUUGGUGGUAUUUAUAAUGGUUUUUGCCAUAACUUCUCUUGAGAGGUAUCCCAGCGGUUGUACUCAUGUUUCUUCAUAACCAAAAGUUCUAUGCCCAUAUUAUCAUAAUCCCAUAAUCGCCUCAUUGGCAAUGUUGAAACUAACGUUUUGCACUAAUGUGAGAUGAAUCAAACCCAAAGCUUGCUAAUCUAACAAUUCCCACUUUUCUUGCUUCAUAGAAUCUAGUUUCUCUCCAAACAAAGCCUGAUGCAAUUUUUUUUUUUUGAUACAACACAUCCUCGAUUUGCAUUUUCCAAAAACCAAAGUCGUUGCCAUCGAAUCGAUCAAUCUUCACAUUCCGCUCAUCUAUAUUUGUUCCAAUUGAUUCGCCAAAACCAAUAUCUAAUACCAAUUUUUAGGAACGUAAAUAUAUGAAGAGAAAAAUAGAGAAGAAAAACAAACGAGAAUUUUUACGUGGAAAAAACUUCCCAAAAUUAGAAAGGGAAAACCACGGUAUGCACUAGGCAAUCUUUCUACUAUUAGUAUUAGAGUUACAAGUUCAAGAGUUACAAGCUUCAACAUUAUAAUUAUAAAAGAUAUUGUCCUUAUAUAAAACAAGUCUAGGGCAUACACAAUUACGAUAGAAAGUACAUGCAUGCCAUUAGCAGUAGUAAAAGCCCUAUUAUUUGCUUUAACAUGACAAGAUGAGUGACUUCAUGGGAAGUGUCUACCCCCAACAAACUUUUUCUGUGAUUAAACAUUAUUUUCCUCUAUCAGACUCCAUAGCUCUAUCUACUUUUGCUGUUGUUCAAAGUUUAAUACAUGUCCAAGAACCUUUUUUGUGAGUGUACCCACGAUCCAAAAUUUUAUGAGACAUUGACUACGCAUCCAUAAUAUAUAUUAUAGAUUAUUUAUUUUGACCAUUUUUUUUUAAUGUUUGAGUCUUGAGUAGUGGUAGUAUCUCUUUGAUAUAGAAAUCAAGUACGUUCCUAUUUUCAAUUAGAGACAAACCUAUGUCUCCCAAAGCAAAUAUUUUUUUUCAUUCCUAUUUUCUCAUAUUUGACCUUCAUAGAACAUUAGCCUCAAUUAUGUCUGCGAAUUGGCAAUUAGUGUCCUACCAGAAUCCCAUCGACAUUAUGUGAAAGUAGAUCUGAAUUCUUUGUUAACAGCAAAACUGCAUUGGCAAUGGGUUAUUUUUUCUUUUUUUUUUAACUCAACCCUUUUUUAUGUAUGUUGGCCUAGGCUUUGUUCCCACAUUGGUGCUAUGAAUAAUUUUUUAUUAGUUCAUUAGAAAGCGGACUUAUUUUUGUUGAUAGACUCUUUCCACUCUCUGACUUUGUAAGAAAUAGGAAACGGCUCAUGGGACUCAUGGACCAUGUCACUUCUAGAGCAGGUAAUUUCUCAUACGACUAUUGCUUGUUAAUUUUAACGAUUUGCAUCUGAUGUCCGCGACAAUCUGUUAUGUUCCUUGCCUUCCAAACUGCCGUUGCUUGUGCGAAGGUGUUGACAGUUGCUGGUGAGAUAUAUAGUCUUGUGGUACCUGAAGUGUAUCUAUAAGUCUACACAAAUGCUUUUGAAAGCUUAAAAAAUGAAAGUUAUAGUAGCCAUUAUUUACCUAAAAACAUGGGGUUUAGAUGCUGCAAUGGUCAGCUCUUUAUAAUUAUUCUGUGCCCUUCCAUGUUAUACUCCAGUAAUUCUUGGGUAAUAUAACCAGCAUACUAAAUUAAUAUAGUACAUCGACAAAACAUUUAGCUCAAUAAGUGGCGAAUGGAUAAAUGACAAUGCUGUGAUCCAUGUAUUCUUACCGUUGUCUUUGUCCUGUUGCCGUUUACCUAGUUUCUCAUGUUCAUGGUUAGAGUUAUCUGUCUACCAUCAUUGCAACUUACCUGCCUAUCUCAGCAAGCACCGUGAUUGGUCGAGGUGUUGUUGAAUUUCGUGAUGGAGGACCUCUAGUGAGAAAAAGUGCUGCAAUGAGUGAGUUACACAUUUCCGUGUCAUGCCUUCUUUCUUUGCGAUAUUGAGGUGAAAACAUGUGACGAAUCACUUUAUACCGUUCGGAGAUUUUGUUCCCCUUUUUCCUUCCACAAGUCUUAUAGUAUUCUUCUUUAUUAUAUUACCAACCAACUUUUGAGACACGCACAUAAAAUUCUCUUUCUUGUCUGUUCUUUCCCUAAACAUGUGGUUGAAGUAUAAUACUUUGAGUCUGCAGAGAAAAUGUGAUUCUGCUUUGCAGCAUCUGCAGAGAAAAUGUGAUUCCGCUUCGCUGCAAGACUCUUUGCCAAGCCAUGCUAUUGUGGUGUAAAUUUCUGCAACUUCUAGGAAAAUAAAAGUAAAAGAUAUCAUAAAUGCUAUAACUUUCGUAUGGUACUCUUUUUUUUUUAAUCAUUUAAAUGUUAUCACUUAUGUAUGGCACUCUUUUGAGUACCAUAAUUCUUUUCACGAUCACUUGAGUGUUAUAUAAAUUUUUAAUCAAUUGCUUGAUUAUUAUAAUUUUUUUUUUUUUAAACGUUCACUAUAAGCACUAAACUACAUCAAAUUUCUGGUAUUUGAGUGAACAUUUUUAAAAAAUUUUGACACUUAAGUGAUCAACUAAACAUAAUAUUUUUUUAGAAAUAAUGGCAAUUAAGUGAUAAGAAAAAAAAAGUUAUAGCACUUAAGUAAACGCCCUAUAAAAGUUAUUCUUUUUUUUUUUUUUUAGUAAAGGUAAGAAUAUAUUGAUAAGCUAAGGACAAAUGUACACAAACGGCACCAAAACUUACACUCUCAAUGCGAACAAAAGAGUGGAAGGGAGUCGUGCAAAAGCCUCAAGAAGCAAGGACAGAAAGAGCGCAAACAACAGACACAACACGACCACCAGAUUCAGCCACCAGACCUCCAUGGACGCCUGGGAAUCCGUGAGCCAAAACAUCCGCACCGGAGACGACCGAGCAAGAUCAAAUGAUAAAAACCCAAAGGGUUACGUGAAGAUAAUAGGGUCGAGAUUCCAACCCCUCUGAAGACGCCGAUUCCUUGGAUUGUCAAGGACAUCCUUGUAGGUAAUUGCUUUAUCUUUAACCAUCUUUAUCAAAUGGUUCUUCAAAGCGGGAAUAUCAAGAGAUUCCCCUCGGAAAAUCAUAGCAUUUCUUUUCUUCCAAAUUAGAUAGCAAAGAGCUCCAAAGGAAUAGCGAGAAAGACUGUGAGAGAAGUCCUUACCAGCAAGGAAUUUCAUAGCCCAAGCAAGGUUUUCUGCCCAAGUGCCGUUCCUCCACGGCAAAUUGCACCUAGUUGCCCAAAAGUAGAUAAUGGUAUUUGAAAUAUUGCAAUCAAAGUACAAAUGGUUGGUCGAGUCCGGCUGAGUAUUACAAAAAGUGCAAGCCGAGUAAUCAAUCAUUCCAUAUGAGAGGAGAAGUGACUGCGUUGGCAAGCGGUUUUUAGUAAUAAGCCACAAAAGGAAUUGAAACCAAGGGGCUACAUCCUUAUCCCACACAAAAGGAGUCCAAGGUGCUUUGGCUUUAGAAGCUCUGAUGACGUUCCAAGCAGAAGCUACGGAGAAGGCCCCCGAAGAAUCAUGACGCCACACAAAACGAUCGCUAUCAACCGAAAGAGGAGGAAGCGAGAAGCCACAAUUCUCUAACCGGACUUUACAGGAUCUACCAGCAUAAGAAUAUAAAGAAGCCACAGUCGCCUUUGCAGGAACGUCGAGGUCCAACAAAAAAGAUUGAGGAACUUGUAGAUGAAGAGGGCCACAAGGCAACCAGCUAUCGAACCACAAUGAAGUAGACCGGCCGUCACCGACCUCCCAACCGAAGGAUUGUCUACAACAGCCCCGAAGAUGAAGGAUCUUCUUCCAACUCCAGGCACAAACUGAAGGCUGAGGGGCAACCCAGAAGUUAUGUUUCUUUAAAAAGUUGGAGUGUAUCCAACGGCAUCACAGAGAUUCCUUAUUCGUAAGAGGAUCCAAAUAAAUUUCAGCAUUGAGGCUUUGUUACAGUCCUUGAUAGACUGAAUACCUAGGCCCCCUUCCUCCUUAGGCAAACAAACAUCCGCCCAUGAGACUUUUGCACCUCCCUUAUCCAAGGAGGUGCCUUUCCAAAGAAAUCUACGAAGAAUGCUUUCAAUCCCCAAAAUAACCGAAGAGGGCAAAGUGAAGACACUAGCCCAAAAAGACUGAAUAGCGUGAAGCACUGACCUUAUGAGCUGAAGUCUUCCAGCAAAAGAGAGGAACCUGUGGGACCAAGAGCGGGCUCGCGCGGUAAUGCGGUCAAUUAACUUAGUACAGUCAACCUUAGUCAACCUCUUUGAGAUGAUCGGCACUCCAAGAUAUCGAAUUGGAAGUUUACCUUCUUGAAAGCCAAAUGCUAGGAGGAUUCUGUUGCACAAAGCAGGAUCGCCUCCUGAAAGAAAGAUGUCGCUCUUAUUUUUGUUGGGGAGAAGACCACUCCAUGAAGAGAAAAUGUCGAGGCUUCUUUUAAGGAUCAUAGCUAAUUUCCAAUCUGCUUGGCAAAAAAGGAACACAUCGUCUGCAAAAAACAGAUGAGUGAGCUUGGGAGACUUACAUCUCCAAUAACAUUUGAACUCUUUAGCCGAAGACCUUUGAUUCAAAAUUCCCGAGAAGAUUUCCAUGAUCAAUGUAAAUAGAUAAGGUGACAUUGGGUCGCCCUGCCUAAGGCCUCUGCCUCCUGGGAAGAAGCCAUGAAGCUCCCCAUUAAUAGAGAUAGAGAAUCAAGGUGUGCGUACACAAGCCAUAAUCCGGCGAAUAAUCCACAGAGGAAACCGGAAGGCAGUAAAGGUAAGCUCUAGGAAAUCCUAGUCCACAGUGUCAUAGGCCUUGCAAAAAUCCACUUUGACUGCACAUCUUGGGAGGUAUGGGUCUAAGUGGAAGCCUGCAAACAGCUCUUGAGCCAAUAAGAUAUUAUCCCUUAUCCUUCUACCCUUCACAAACGCAUUCUGGGACGGACUAACAAUAUCCUGAAAUACAGGCGCAAUUCUAUUGGCCAAGAUCUAGGUGAUAAGUUUAUAGAUAGUGUUGCAGCAAGCAAUCGGUAUGAAGUCGUUUACUUCACAAGCAUUCGGCACCUUGGGAAUUAAAUUUAGGAUAGUCGCAUUAACUUCUUUAAGAAGACAACCUACUGAGAAGAAAUCUUUCACAGCCUCUGUAACUAAAGAGCCCACAAUAUCCCAGUUACUUUUAAAGAAUUCUGCUGUAAAAUCAUUUGGACCGGGGGCUUUUCCCUUCACAAGCGAGAACAAGGUCUUCUUAACUUCUAAAUCAGAGACAGGCGAAGCUAGGGAACAUACCUGGCUAUUGGAUAGCGGCUUUCGAAUGAGAGAAGUAAGCUCUUGAAGAUCAGGCUUAGCUAAGCCAACUCGAGGAGCAAAUAGAUCCGAAAAGAAAGAUAGAAAAACUUGGGGCACCAAAUCAGGAUCCGAGAUCACCGUACCUGCAGUGUCUUUGACAGAGAGGAUACGGUUAUUGAGAUGUCUACUUUAACACAGUUGUGGAAGAAUCUCGUGUUGUGAUCUCCUUCCUUCAGCCAUCUAAUUCUUGAUUUUUGCUUAUAGAACGAUUCCUUUUGACCACGAAGGUCUAUAAAAGCACAGCGCUGCCCUCUUUCAAGUUCAGCUAGUGGAAUAUUUUCAGGAUCCAACUAAAGGAGAUGCUGAGUAGAACGCAAGGCUUCCCUCGCUUCAAGAGUUCUUAGAGAAAUAUCCGAGAAAGCCUCCAGAUUAAGAUCCUUGAGGCGAGAUUUCAACAAUUUCAGCUUCGAGACUAAUUUAAACAUGGGAACUCCCCAAACUUGACUAUCCCACACCUGCAAAACCGUAGAAUGAAAAUCCGGGUGAUCAACCCAGAAAUCAAAGUACUUAAAUGGCUUCCUCCUUGGACGCGGAUCCACAACCCUGACAACCAUAGGAGUAUGGUCAGAAAUUCCAGGAUUGAGAAAAGACGCCUCCGAGUAUGAAAAGUCCAUUCUCCAUUUAGAGUUGACAAGAACUCUGUCAAUUUUUCGCAUCUUCCUAUUUGCACCCGCCGAAGUUGACCAGGUAAAUCGAAGGCCAGAGUACCUGAGAUCCUCAAGUUCUGUUUGGUCCAGACAAAGCUUGAAUUCAUCAAAACAGGGGAUCCAGGCAUUAGAGGUACCAACGCGAUCAGAAGGGUCCUUGAUUGCAUUGAAAUCUCCCGCUACUAUCCAGGCAUAGUCUUGAAAAAGAUCGUCACAAUGGAUAAAAUUAGACCAAAGAGGCCUCCUCCGCACAAAGGAAUGCUCUCCAUAAAUAGCAGAAACACAGCAGGUAAAAUUAGAAGAUAACCCCUUCACGCACCCAUGGAUGGCUUGGUCAUUUGAAGAGAUCAACUCAAAAUUGACGGUAGCUGGAUCCCAUCCAAUCCAGACUCUACCGCGAGGAGCAAAAUCAUAGUUCGCAAUCCAAUUCCAACCUCUCAAAAUAUUGGAAGAAAUGGAACCAAACAAAGGCACUGGGACUUUAGUUUCAAAACGCCCCAUAAGGCAAAGCUUAUUAGCAACAGCAAACUUCCUAAUCUCCGCCCUUCUGACAGGGUUCAUAAUACCUCUAACAUUCCAAAAGCCAAAAAACAUAGAAGCAAAAGGAUAGAAUUAUUUCCGCUUGGCGUUCCUACGCCUACCUCUAUUUGGUUUCGAGUCCUCCGCAGGCGAAGGUCCCGGCGAGUCAGGCAGCAAAAGGAGAAGCUGAUCUUGGCUUGAACCAACCCCAGUAGGUUUCGAAGGACCACUCAAAGGAGCGGGUCUAGGCGUGUGGCCACCGUCUUCAUUAGAUGAAUUGCUGGUAUCAUCUUCCUAGUCUCCAGACGGCAUUAUGGAAUCCGGUGCCAAGUCAGAAGCCUGAGUGUUUUUUUCAAGUAGUUUAGCAGGGACUUUAGGAGGUUUUUGGCCAGGCACAGCUUCCUUCAGGUUGCGAGACAGCCCCUCCUUCGAGUAUGGUAUCAGAGAAGCAUUCAGAUUCUACGGCUUAUGCUCCUUUUCUUUGUCUUUGACCUGAUUCCCAUGCUGAGUAAGGUCACUUUGGUGCGAUGGAAGAGGUUCCUCCAGAUCCACAACCAGCUGAACGAGAGGAAAGGAACCACCAGAGGAGCUCCUGUUCUGUCCUGCAUCAAUUGGAGAUUCCGGAAGAGGGACCAAAGGCAUACCCGAAGACAUUCCCCUUUAAUCCUCAUACGCCACCGAAGGUGGUCUGGUUUGCUGAGAGAUGCUCCCACUUGCGGCCUUGCUAAGAGGUUCAGACUCCUCUGAAGGACGACCAGCAUCAGCGCGUUUUGUUCCAGGUCUACCAGGCCUACUAGCCGUUUCACAAUUGUGGCCAAAAAUGCCACAUCCAGCACAGGCAGUGGGUCGCCACUCAAACUCCACUCCUAUUUCACACUUCGUACCAUUAUGGGUUGUCUCAAUCAUUUUACAAUCAGGUUGAUCAGCAGUAAUUUCGAUGCAGACCCUAGCAAAGGUAAGGCUGCUCACCUGCUCUGUUCUCUUAUCCAUAUAAAGGGGUUUGCCAAGCGCACUUGCAACCCUCCCGAUGAAGUGGGCGGACCAGCACGAAAAGGGAAUAUUCGAUAGUCUAACCCAAACAAGAACCGUACGGUGGGUCUCCCUUCUCAGCUCAAGACCAGGGGACCAUUGUUGCAGGACAAGUGGUAUUCUAGCAACCGUCAUCCGACCACUUUCAAGCACACUUCGGCGGAAUUCCCUAUCAGGAAUGUGAAACAUAAAAAGACCUUUGCCAUUUGACAUGAAUUCAACAACGUUCGGCCCCCACACUUUCUUCAUAGCCUCCUCAACUACCUUAAAAGGCAUUCGGCGACCAAUGAAGUAGCCCAUUAAACAUUCAAACAUCUUGGGAUCUGCAGCUUCCAGAUCUUGAUCAGUGAUCUCAAUCACAGGUCUAUUGUUAACCAUAUUCGGUGGGGUAUACACCAGAUCGUAGCCCUUGGCCACGGUUCUUGCCACUACAACCCACGAUUUCCCUGAUGGAUUCUUAGACGCAUCCCUGCCUUGAGGCUUAGCUGAGCGGGACCUUCCUUGCUAGACAGGUCGCGCCCCACCAUUUGGGCGAGGAACUCGCGCUUCGUUCGGACUAGACAUGGUGUCCGAACUCGAAUUUCCUCCCAUAAUAGUUAACAACGAAGGUUCCCUAGUCAGAAUGGGAGGCCCACCAUGGGAACUUGUCCCUUUCUCCUCAUUUCGAGACCUCAUCGACUCCGAUUCCAUCUCAACUAAUGAAUCACAGCAGCAAGCAGGCGGGCGGAACCCUAGCCAUAGAUAGCCAUGCGAAACGAGGAGAGGAGACGUACCAGGAGACGAUGCCGGGGGGUUGAAAGAGAGGCAAGAGGCGCCCCUUUCCCCUAAAAUAUUGGCCUAAACGAACGGGCAACACCCCUGGAAUCAGCAGCUCGAAUUGCAGAAGGAACAGUAUCCAGUCGCCCAAGAAGAGAGAAGCGUGAACAGUUAUAAAAGUUAUUCUUUUAUCCCUAACUUCUAGUAUAAUCCCAAAGGUGACGAUUGCAGUCGCGGUCCUUUUAACAGCAAGUCUCUUCCUAGAACAUUGUGCCUGUGCUAGUACUGCUGUGGGCCUAGACUAUGAACCUUGACUACGUUGGCAUAACCCAUUUGAAGCUUCUUCAAUGUGGCUUCAUUUUUUAAGCAAGAUAUCGAGGAAAGAGUAUCUAGAGAGAAGAGGAACAGUAUCUUGGCGAAUGAUUAAGUAGUAAUUAUUGACAGGAAUGAUUUCCAUGCUACAAAAGAUUAAAUUCCUCAUAGAGGAAUGUCGGGUUUUAAGGAUGAUGUAACAAAUCGUCGAUCACAACCCUUUUGAUGUUUGCUUUACAUUUGUGUAAACAAACAUUUGUGUAAACAAUCUCCAAAGGAUCUGUGGCACCUUGCUACGCUAAUUUCCAAUGUCCAACCAAUUUGCGAGAUAUUUUGGAGAGUUUUGGAUGGGACUUAGUAAUUAUGUCAUUUGUCCUUCUUUAAUAGUUAGAAAUCUAAAUGGUUCAUACUAAAUAUUUCUCUACACUUGAACAUCAAAUAACAUAAUGUCACAAAUUAAAUCAACUGUAGAGCUUGCUAAGUUCUUUCUUGUUAUAACCGUACCUAAUAUAAUUGAUAGAUCUAUUGACCUACCUUCUUGAUGUUUUGGUCCUUUUUGUUGUUAUCGGCAAAGGAAUAAAGUGUUCUACUACUUAACCGGCAAAAAGAGUUACUUUAUUUUAUACUCUUUCACUUGAAUUGAAAUUCACAAUUCGUUUGAUGAAAGAAGCACAAAUAGUAAAAGAGAAAGGGGUUGUCAUAGGACAGUAUCAUAUAAUGUCACAUUUAGAAAUUCUUAUGAAAAGUGAAAAAAUUAGUGGGCCCACAGAAAAGAAACCCAGUCUCUCAUGUCUUGAAUAAUGACACUUCAGUGCCAAGUAAAGACAUAAAGAAGGAAAAUAAAACAAUAAUGAAAGAAAAGAAUAAAGUUAUGUGUGCUUUCCAUUUGUGUAUUUUUUUUUUAAUAAAUGGACAAUAGGGGAGGUUUGUUUCCAUGCUUCUUUUACUUGCCAUAGACAGCAACUACCUAUCUGGAAAAUUUCAAACUAUCGCGUCAUUCAAAUAUUUAAGCAACAAAUCAUUCUCCUAAAUUCUUUGAUUCCUACUACUCAAUUCAUUAGGAAUCUAAAAUACUUCUCCAAAGUACUUUCGUUAGCUGUUUUAACUUACCGUACUUGUUUCUAUCUGGAAUUCGUGAUCUUCCGAUUCGUUAAUUUGGUUACUGCAGUAAAAUCAUUUUGAAUCAGUUGUUGGUUAAACGCCACAAAAAUGACAGAGAUUUUUUUUUUUUUGGAGGGGGUGUGGGGUUGGAGAGAGAAGCCCUAUUGUAUUGUUCAUGUUGCCAUGUUAGACGAAAAAAGUUCUGCAUUGGACUUCUUUUUUAUAAGAAACACCACGUUUUAAUAAAAAUUUCAUAUAAAAAACAUAGAAUAUGUUGGGAUUUACUACUAGAAGCACUUGAGUAAUCAUUUUUCCACCUUGAGUAAUUACUUGAAAAAUUUCGGCACAAAAAAGAUAUGAUAUUUAGUUUUAUUUUCCUACCAAUGCUCUUUGAAAUAGAUAUUGAUAAGGAUUGGUAAAGUAUUUAAGCUAGAUCAUGGUAAAAUGUCCUAAUGGUUUAGAAAGCAUGCGUUUUUAAUGGUUCCAUUCUUUUGAGAAUUAUUUUCUGCACUCAAACCAAUUCCAAAAAUAAGAAUUCGCUUGAGAAGUUGCACGCCCAUAGAUAAAUGAGAAAUUAGGGGAUUGGAAUAUUUUUAACAUUGAUACUGACUUGGACUUAACUGUUCUUUUUUUUUUUUUGGGUCUAUGUCAUUAAAAAAUCGAAACCUGUAUUCACAUAAUAAAUUUAUCCAAACUAGUUUUCGUAUCACAUAAAAACCUUCAACACAUUUUACCCAAACUAAUUUUUGUCUUAUGAAAAAUCCCAAAAUUGAUAAUCUGACCAAAGAUUACCCUGACCGUUUGAUCCUAAACUAUUAAUGGAUGAUAUAUUUGACUUAGGAUUCCGCCUUGGGGCAAAUAUGUUAUGAGGAACUAGAUCAAGAUUGUUUGCAAGAUGAAAAUAGAGUUUAGGAUAAAUAUAUUAUGAGGUAUUGAUUUGAGAUUUUGAUGGUAAUAAACCUAUUUUUGUUGCAUCUUGUAUGGCCAACAAGAUAGAACAUAGAAGUAUUUGAAACAUGUUCUACGCCUUAUAUAUGAAAUUUAACCAUGUUGAAUUUAAGGCAGAGGAUUACGAAAUCGAGAUUGCCGAGCUUCCUCCUCUACAAUCUUAUGGUGCAGGAGUUGUAAACCCAUGACAUGGUCCGCAAUUACAUUGUGCAGUGAUUUAUGAUUGUCAUUUGAUCAUGGAGCACCCAAGUUUUUAAAGUCGGUGAUCUAAUGAAAAUUGCAUUUACACGAGAAAAAUGGAUGUAACAUAACGGAUGAAAAAGCAUAUAAUGAUAUGGUGUCGUCAUUGUGGUGUAAUAUUGCCGUACCAUGCUUUUGCGACUUACUCAAUGCUACCAUUUGCAUCCUUUUUAACCUUUGAUCCAUUGGGAAAAAUAAUAUGAAUGAAUUAACUGAUGCAUUUCCUGCAAUCCAAGCUUUACAUCGAGGAUAGGAUUAGAUUGAAGAACUUGAGUGAAGCUAGGAAAGUCAAAUUCAUCGUCUCUGUGUCGACAUCUCAUUUGAGUCAAUAGUUUAAGUAUUUAUUCUUGUAAAAGUACCCAAAAAAAUAAAAAAUAAAAAAUAAAAAAAACAAGGGAAUAGCAAAAAGAACUAAAACGAUAAAUAGGCAACCAAAUAAUAGUCAAAUCAACAAAUAAAAAAGGGAUCUAAUAUGGUCUUGGUCUUGGUUUAUUUCCUAUAGCCCCGAUCAGCUGGCACGGCCCAUGUCCAAAUUCGCUGAUCACAAGAGAAAAAAGAAUAGAAGCCCUGGAAGAGAAGCUCCGUUCGAGAAGCUUCCGCAUUCUUCCCCCACCACCGUUGGAGAUCGCCCACCUCCUCCGGCUGUCGGACGGUGCUCGCCUCCUCCAGCCGUCGUCGAUCCUCUGUCUCGGGAAGACACUGAUCGGAGAGAAAACCAAUUUUUGAGGCACGCACGCCCGCCUGAGAGAAAAACACCCGGGCAAGGACGAUUGAGCAAAGGGGGAAAAGCUUGCACCCCCGUCAGCACGCGUCUUUGGAGUUUCUUUUUCUUCGGUCAUCCUCAUCCACCGGUGAUCAUCACGGUUUACCAUCGCCGGCCAUCAACUCACGUACGGACUGUAAGAGAACUAGAACAGAAGGCAACGGUUGAAAUCACUCUAGAGGUUUUGGAAGCGUCCAGAAGGCACUCUCUUUCAGUGAUUUCUUCUGAAUCCUUUCCUGCCUCUUCGUUGUCAACCGUGUUUUUGGCCGUGAAGACUUGAAGCAAUUCGCGUUUUUCUGAAAACUUCAUUACCGGUGCUCAUCCUCAGCAGCGACGUUUUCUGGAUCCUCCUCGACUAGAUAACCCAAAUGACGUUUAAGGCCCAGACCUCUAAGGUAUAAGUUUGACCCACAUGCGAACCGGGCCCAUCCUGUGUCCCCCUCAGCGAGGGCUGGACGAGGCUGCCCCUCGCCAAAUCCGACUAGGGGCCUUGCCAACGACCAGUGAGGGAAAAGAGAAAAAAAAAUACAAAAUUCGAAAAUAAAUUUAAAAAUUUUAAUAAUAUCCACAUCAGUGCCAGUCGUAUCACGUAGGACUAUUGAUGUUCACACCAGUAAUUUCCAACUAAAAUUAAUCUAAUUGACUCAAUUGGUAUAAAAGUGAAAAUGUUUAAUUUUAAAUUGAUCCAUUUAUAUGUUUAAGACUAAAUUAAUAUCAAUGUUAUGAAUUUUUUUGGUACUUUUCUCGUUAACAGUUUAUAUCAAUGAAUGGUUAGGCUGCUUGAGGGCCACUGCUCCUCUCUUUGCAUUAGCAAGUGAUGCAUAUAUUCCACACACAAACAUGAAAGACAAAGUGAAAUAAUUGUUUUCAGCAUGAGUGGGUGAUUGAAUUUUGAUAGGCUGAUAUAGUGAUGCAUUUUUGGGCUCGUGUACCUAAUUAUUUGAUGAGGUUAUUCGCUGGAUUGACUUUGAAAGUUUUGAGAUUACACAGAAAAAUGAUACUUGCACUUCCAUGAAGGCUUAUCAAGCUUUUGAAAUAAUAGGAUAGGAAGGAUCUUCCACCACUCGUGACUCUUGCUCUUAACAGAUGCUGAAAAUGUUAUGGCACUUUCUAUGCCGAGAAAGAGAGAUGCAUAGAAGCAAGAAGGCCAAGUCCCAAUUCAACGGCAACUUCAACUAUACGCUACCAGACAACUAAACAUCACAUUCUUUCACAAAACUCCAGGGGCGUACAAACCUUCAUCUUGAGCAUGGCUAUCUAGCAGGUGAUCAAUCCAACGAUUGGCGUUGGCAGUUUUUAAAUUGGACAGAUGACAUAAAAGUGCUCGAAAUCGACGGCUAAGAAAGCAAAAAAGAAAAUUUCCUGUGCCCAAGGUACGGGAAUGUAGAACGGGCCCGUAUCUUUAGCUUGCGUAGCGACCAAGGAAUGGUCCCCGUAAUGAAAAAAGCAACUUGCAUCGGAAGCCCAACCAUAAGCCUUUGGAUGUAUCUCUGGGAGACCUACGUGGCACCGACGAAUGAGCCCCGUGGUCCGGGUAAUCAUAAAAUAAUAAAAGAGUGAAGAGAAGCUUCCUCGCAACAGAAAAAAGGGACGUUUCGCGGGUACUGCCGGUGGGUCUAUGCAAUACACUAUAUAUCCCGAAAACAUAGGAUAGCAUCAUCCCGAUCGUUGCGACUUGAAUGAAACAUCCCACAGUCUGUAUCGGCUCUUGACGCUGCCUGAACAUAGUUCCUUCACAAUGCAAGAAUAUUGCCAUGAUGGAGAAGAAGAACGCCCAAGUGUUACAAUAUACAAAGGCUUUGAAACUUGCCCUCUCACCGAGAAUCGCCAUUCCUCGAUCUGGUCCAUCGUUGUUAUAACCUCCGGGCACUGUGAAGGCCGCAGUGAAGGUUACUGUGGCUAUGAGCCCUGCCACUAGUAGUUGCAUAUCCAUAAUGCCUCUUUUUGACAAACCAAAAUUAUCUCGGUUGGCAAUAUUACUUCCUGUGUUUAUAGACACAGAUGGUUGACCCUGAACGAAUUGCUUAUCUAACCUCUUCUUACCAUGUUCAGUAAACCAAACUUGAAAACUCGGGAUUCCAUAAGAUCCUUUCAACAUUUGACGAGCCAUUUUAGCAGAAAUGCUCGCCUAAAAAUGUACAGAAUGAAUGAAUUAGUGAGUGAAAGUUUCCCGAUGAAAUACUUCCAGACUCUCACUUUACACACUCAAAAUCCAUCUAUAACAAACAGAAUUUCCAACGAGUCCAAAAACGUUAUGAGGAAUUCAUUCAAAUUAUCUCUUUUAGAUCAAAUUAAAUGGUAUAUAACACCUGUAAAUUGAGUUUCAUGGAGUAAACAAUUACAGUUUCGAGUAUGCUAUUUCAGUCAUGAUUUAUUCUCCAUUUUUCUUUUCGUUUUCCUUUCCUUUUCUUUCUUUUUCUGCUUUACGUUAUCAUCUAAUUUUAAAGGAUUCCAACCUUGAAUGUUUUGCAUUGUUUUUUACAUAACCAAGACAGACAAUUGCUUGAGAACUAAUUGAAGGCCAGUUUGUUGAACGGAUUUGAAACUUAUUGAAAUAUUUUGUUCUGCUGAUGAUAUAAUAUGAUCAAACAUAAUAUUUACAAACGUAUAUGUGCUUAUCAACCAAACAAUCGAAUUAACUAACAUUGAAAUUACUUUGCAAACUGAUUGGUCUUAAACUAUACAUUGUUAUUUGGAUAUUUUGUCACUGAAUGAUUAUAUUGAAGCAAAAUAUACAAACUUAAAAUUGUUUUUUGUUAUAUGCAUUUAACUGUUGGCUAUUAGUAUGAUAUUUGGUUUUUUCAUGUAAUCGGAUUGGAAAAAGGGCUUUAAUAUGUGGAAAUGAGUUAGAUGGUUUAAAAAUAUAAGCAUUUGUUGGAUAUAUAAAGACUUCUACUUUUAAAUACGACCUUUAGCUACUGGUAAGAUAAUUAUCGCGUCAAAUAAAAUAUUAUAUGACAAUGCAAAUUCCUGACUAUUUUAUAGAUUACAAAUAAAAUUUUGAAUACGACUUUUUAGCUACAAAUUUUUGUGAUUUUUGCAAUACCCACAUAUAUGGCUUAGAAGAAGAAGAAGAAGAAGAAGAUAUGAUCAUACACAUUUAUUUAAUAAUAAACAAAAACAUUAUGUACCAACUCAUAUAUUGAAAGAACCAUAAAGACUUCAAAUAAUGAUUUUACGUUUAUUGGCUAUUAUAUCAAAUAAUAUUUUAAUCACUAAACUAUGUGAAUUGAUGUUGAUAUUUUGUUGUAGGAAAAUGAUAGAGGAAGCGUUUGUUUUUUUUGUCCAGAUAGUAAUAGUUAAUUUACUAACUAAUAUUAAGUGAAGUGGGAAGGAACGAAGUUUUGAGAAAUGUGGCUCAACCACAAUGUUCAAUUCUGCCUAAUUUUCUUAUUUAUUUAUUAUAAGAUAUGAAGUGUGAAAUCACUUCAUUCCGAGCCCCUUGAGCCCUUAUUUCAUAUGCGUGUCUCACUCAAUAAAGAAAUCUAUGCUACUAUUUGCUACGGAAAUUGAAAAUAUAGUCAAUAUGCUUAAACGUUUGAAUAAGCAAAAGAAAAAGGUUGACGCAAAGACUUCAAUUGGGUAGUUUGUUUGCACCUGAAAGAGCAUUACUUGGGCCAUAGUUUCUAAACGAUACUGAAGAAAUUACUCUACGAGUGAACAAAUCUGGCUCUACAGUGUUCAAGCAAACAUACCUCUUUAUGGGCAGAACAAAUGUCAAGAGCAGUGAAAUAUCCUUAUUUUUGGUCAAAUGGUCCACCCUCUUGUCUUCUCCAAGUAUGAAUAUGAUGCCGUAUUCUUCAUGAAGUGCAGCCAAAUGCAAAGCCGUGUUUCUUCGUUGCCUUGUUCGUUGAUAAGAUUCUCUAGGUUUGGCAUCCCUAGUAUGUACUCGACUACAUUGUUUUGUCCACCGAUAAUAGCUGCAUGAAGAGCCGAUUGCCCUUUGGUGUUUAUCAUGUCACAAGCAUCAGGACAGGAUCUAACAAGCUCAUCAAUGACAUUGAUACAGCCAUAAAAUGCUGCAAGGUGAAGAGCUAAUUCCCCUGCUUUGUCUAAUUCAUAUGCCACAGAAGUAUCGUGUUGCAAGAGUAGUCGAACUGCUUCGACUUUGCCCAAGUAAGCAACGUAAUGAAGAGGCGUCCAUCCCAAAUCAUCUUUUUCUUUGAUCGCUUCUGGUCUCUUCUCCAUGAUUUUCUCCCAACCUUUGCAAAUAAAAUGGGAAAAUUUCAUUAUUUGGUCUGUUUAUAGCAUCUUGACAUACAUAUUAAAGUUGCCCUUCAUCCCAUUAAGUUUUCUCCAUUUUGUCUGUACUAGGAAGGACUAUGUCACGGUAACUGUGAAGUUUUUAUAGCGAUCUUGUGUAAACGUGUAGAACCUAAUUGCCUUCAAUUUAGCAUAAUGCAGAAAUUUAUAAAGUUUAUAAAUUGAUAAGUGAAAUAGUUAGAAAUUCGCGGAGUUAUUUGAGAAGAAGCUUCUCAUAUUUUCGGCAACGCAUCUAGGCUAGAAUAAAAGACCAAGCCUUUUUACUCUGGUGCCAAUAAUUUUAUUGAAAAUAUUGUGCCCAACUCAAUUUUAUAAGAGAAUUUAAAUAUUGAAAGAGGACUAGCACCUUCGACAUUUUCAAAAGUAAAAUCAUUUCAUCCCUUUCCUUUCAAGUCCUCAUAAUUUGCCCUCGAGGGUUAAGAAAUUGAGCAUGUAUACCCUGAUCUUGUGGAAAUGUAUUGCAAUGUGCUCAGUCACCAUUUGUAAACUUAAAAUAGAAAGAAAAAAAAAGCGGUAUAAUUCAGAAAAAUGUAAGAGAACUAGAUCUAGAAAAACAUGUAGAAAGAAAUUAGCGGGUGAGAUAGACUAUUAACAAUACUAUUAUCAAAAUAGCGAUUUUUCUGCAUGAAUGUAUAAUUUUAAAUUGAUACUAUUUUUUUGGUCCACACUCUUAAGAGAAGACGAAUCGGUUUAAACUUAUUUUUAAUAGUCAAUGAAUAAAACAAUAAAAAGAAUGCAAUGAGAUAACAACUCCAAUCUUUUCACAACAUAAACCUCGCAUAUAACAUAAUCAAGAGGCAUGUCUUUGGGAAAAAAGUGUAUGACCUUUCACCAAAACCAAUGGAAAAUAAAUAAAUAAGUUUUGAAUUUACUAUUAUAUUUAUUGAAAGCUAGGAUAGAUGGCGGCUCUCACUGCUGACACCAUCACUCUCAGCUAAGAGAAGCCCUUGCACAAGAGAGAACUCCCGUUAAUUUUUCCUUUAACUAGGCUUCGUAUCUUAUGAUACUUACUGGUCAGUGAGAGAAAAAUUCCGACGUGUAGAGCUGUCAAACCCUUAGGGCCCUUAUGAGAGGAUGACGACAAGAAAGCACUCAAUCAACUCAAUGGUACGAGAAAGUCCUCGAUAUGCCGCAAGAUAAAGUGCAGACUCAUCAGCGGCAUUAGUAAUAUCACAUAGUUGAGGAUCUUCUCCAAUUAGCAACUCCACCGCCAAAUCAUGACCUCCUCUUAUUGCAUAGUGUAGGGCGGUAUCCUUAUAUAAAUUCUGCUUCCGAAAUAGCUCUUUGCAUGCGUCAACUUGUCCAUUCUCAGCGACCCAAUGAAGUGAUUUUGACAAAUCAGUGAACAUUCGAAUCGCUCCACAGCUUCCCACUUUAGCGGCAACGCGUAAGGGAGUGUCUCCUUUAUAGUUACCCUGCCAAAGAAGUGAUGGUCCCAAUGGACAUUGAAGAAGAUGUUCAAUGAAAUUUACCUAUUUGUAUUGAGCCGCAAGAUGAAGAAUGUUGUUCUCCUUUGGUGUUGUUUGAUGGAAAAGGUCCUCUCCAUUUUCCAAAAUUAUUGUGAUCAAGGAACCAAAGUCUCCUGAUUUUGCAGCCUCAUACACUUUAGGAUGCAUUCUCGCUCUUUGUUUGUUGUUUACAGGACACUAAAAGUAGUUGCACAGGAACUUAUCAAUAUAAGCAAUUAGUUCAAGCGAAAAGAACUUCUUUGAGCUUUACAAGAGGAAUCAAUGGAAGGGAGAAUGUUGGGGAGGAAAUAUUUUCAUGCUUCUCAAGUGUAAUUGAAAGGAGACUUAUAUGUAUAUCUAUGAAACGUGAAUAUGCCAGGCGUGUUCCUGUGAAGUUUUUAUUCUCUCGAGAGCAACUCUAUAAUAACGAUAUAGGGCGAUCAAGACAAGUACGGGAAAAAAAAAACAUAAUAAUAAUAACCGACGACUAGGUCUCCCCGACAGCUUCCUUUCCCUUUUUGACUUUGGGACAAUGUGCUCUUCCCUGGAUGGGUGAUAACCUUCUUUGUUAAUAUUCAAAUGAAUCUUCGAGGAUGGUGUCAUCGAAAUAGGAAAAUCCCAAUGAAUUCAUAUUUAAAGGCCGGGAUUAUCCAAUUACUCAACUUGAUCAACUAUUGUCAUCCAAAUAAAAAUAGUUUAUGUACAAUGUCACUCCCUCCACACUUCCCAGGAUAAAGAUUGGUCAAAAGUGAACCUAUGAGUUCAAGUGCGAGGAAUAUAUCUAAUCUUAUCAAGAUGACUUGACUAAAGAAGCGAUGUUGGAUAGGAAAUAUCCUUCAAUUUUUCAAUACAACUUUUUUUAGCUUUCAACUAGACUAAAGGAAAGAUAUUGGGAAAGACAUUUUGUGACAUCCCGAUUUUUCUCAAGUUUAUUUUCAGUCAAUUGAGUUGGGCAAUUCAUCCGUGCAUAUAACUCGUUUCUCAGAGUUGGCCACUCACGAGAGAACUAGUUUAUUGAGCGAAGUAAUUAAGGAAUUGUACCGCGUCAGACUUGGGGACUGUCACCCACGGGUCGGAUGCAAGAAAAUUUCCCCAAAAGCUACUCAGUGGACUAGGCGCGCUAAAAUCGCACCAGAGUGAAAUUAACCGUGAAAUUGAAAUUGAAUUCUGAAAUUUGAAAGUCAAAGGGUGUUGCAAAUCUUAUUAGGAACAUUGGAUUAAUUCAUGGACUUUAAUUUAGACUCAAUUAGAAGAGAAUUGAUGGAAAUUGAAAUAAUUAAAUUUGCAAGAAGUUGGACCCCGGCGGAAAAUGAAUUGGACCUAUUGGAAGAUGUUGUGAAGAUUUGAGUUAGUGGAGAGUGACAUCAGCAGGUGAUGUCAUGGUGGAGGCCAAAAUUAAGGAGAGCUUGACAAGUGUCACAAGCCAAUUGGCUCACCAAAAGUGGGGGUGUCCCAUCCACUUCAUCUUCAACCUCUAGCACCUUGGGAAGGGGAAUUCGAAAUUGGGAGAGGGAGAGAAAGGAUCCGGCGAACUUGCAGCUGGUCCGUCCGCCCUUCGUCGCGUCUCCGUCGCCGCCGUCUCGCCUGCCAUCGCACGCCGUCGCCGUUCGCCGCUCGUUCGCGUGUGAGGCCCCGGGUGCGAGCUCGUCGCGUCUCCGUCGCCGCCGUCUCCUCGCUUGAGCUGCUGGUCGCCGUCCGCCAAAGCUCCCGCCACUGCCGUCCGUCCACUCAAAGCCUCCGCCGGUUGCUGCUCAAGCUGUCGCCGGUUCUCCUCCACCGUUCUCCGCUCGUUCGCCGCCGUUCCGCCGCCCCUUCAAGCCGGUUAGUUGCUGGAAAGAAAACCAGCAAGAUCUAGCAUCCUCGGAGCUCCUUUUGGUCCCCUAUAAGUGCUCAUUUGGUCUUGAUCCAUGUAGGUUUUUCGUCGGCGUCGUCGCGCUCUUCGCCGGAGACCUGUCGGAAAGUGAUUCUGGUGAGUUUACCUCACUAAUCCGCGAUUAGUGAGUUAAUGAUGCCUUAAGUAUGUUUAGUUCAAGUUGAUUGAGAUUAGGUGGAUAGAUUGGCUUAAUUAGACAUGGAUUAUAUUAAGGUGAUUAAUUAAGGUAAAAGGGUGUUUAGUUUAAUGGUUAAGUAUGUUUAUUUUUAAAAUAAACCUUGAUGUGACUUAAAAGAGUUUAUUUAUGAUUUAAAUAAAUGCUUCGAAAUUGUUGGAUUAUUUAAUAAUAUAUCUUAUUCCGAAAUUCAUUAAAAUAUUGUUUUAUAAAAAAAAAACUCGAAAAAUUUAUUUUGACCCUAAUUGCUCAGAAUUUCGUGCCGAUCGCUGCUGUGCAUGUAGAAUUUGAAAUUGAUGAUUGGUUGUGGCGAAUUGAGUGUGAUUGCGAUUUAUGAGGAUUCUUUAGAAAACCCUAAGUGUGGGAAUUGAUGGGAGAUUAGCCGUGAUUAAUCACCUAUUAGAGGUCGUGCCUAGUGAGGCCGUGAUUAACCACCGAUUGGAGGUCAUGCCUAGUGAGGCUGGGAUGGACCACCUAUGAGAGGCCUAAUAAGGCCACGAUGAACCACCUAAGAGGGGUCGUGCCUAAUGGGGCCGUGAUUGACCACCUAUUAGAGGUCGUGCCUAAUGAGGCCGUGAUGGACCACCUACGAGAGGUCAUGCCCAGUGAGGCCGGGAUGGACCACCCAUGAGAGGUCGUGCCCAGUGAGGCCGUGAUGGACCACCUAAUUAAAGGUCGUGCCGAGUGGGGCCGUGAUUGCCACUGGUUAUUAAGCCUUCCUAUAGGGUCGAGAUUGGAAGUAGUAAGUGAUUCACUAGAAUGACAUGUAAUCGACCGAGUCGAUUGAUAGCUGAGACGACCCCAUGAUUGAGCUGUGAUGAUGAUGUGAUUGUAUCUUCGUUGUUGAGUUAUUAGAAUUACACGUGGUUGAAUUAUAUAAACUGUGCUAACUUGCAGAUGAGGGCUAAGACGAGGUAAGUCUUCUUGAUGUUGCGGCUAAGCUGCUUUGGGGCGUAUUUACUUUCUAAUAUGGGUUUAGGAGGGGUGAACUUGCUGAGACAAAGUCUCAUCCCGGUUUGGGGAAAAAUAUUACAGGACCGUAGAUGGUGGGACCCCCAGAGAAGAAUGGCCUCCCAGUGCAGAUCAUCGAGCAUGUGCGCAGCGCCCCUGAUCCUGGGAGCCAUUGGGUCUAUGAGCUGAUCAGGGCUACCGUGUGGAUCCAGGAGACUAAAGAUGUUAGGGUGCCCCAUAGGUAUAGGGCUUGGUUCCGUUUUGGGGCCAAUGGUUUUAGGAUUGGUCCGCUUGACAGUUUUGACAUCCCCCUGGCUGUGAUGGAUGCUCUUCUAGGAGAGGGUGUGGCUGACCUUCCCGAUGGUAGGGUGGACAACCCACCAUCUCCGGACCCUACGCCGUCAGACGUGGAGGAUGUGGGAUCGUCGAACAAGUCCAAUUAGUAGUUACAGGACCAUUCUUCUUUUCGGUGGGCUGAUCCUUGUUGUGUAGGCUAACCCUCUUUUGAUGCACAUAGACUCUGACCCAUUUUUUGUGCAUAGGCCCUGGAUCCAGUUGAUGUAUGUAAGCCCUGAUUUGUUGAUGAUAUAUGAAAGUAUGUUGUUUGAUUUUGAGUUGAUGUUCCUGCUGUCCUAUCCCGUAUGCUUUUGUAAGGGGUUUCUUAGUACGUUCCGCUUGCACAUUAAAAAAGUAAAAUCAAGGUCGGCGACACUACCUGGGAAUGUCGCAUUUGCAUGACCAUGGCGGGUAGUUCACGUGUCUCGGGGUUCGGGGCGUGACACAUUUCUCAUAACUUUUCUAAGGAGCCAACUAAAGACAGGAUAUGGACAAAAAAUUUCUUUGAACUUUCUAAAAGAAUUGGAUUAAAAAGAAGAUGUUCGGGAGCAAAUUCAUUUGAAUUUUUUUAAGGGAAUUGAAAAGGAGAUUGUCAUGUUCGGGAGCAAAUUCUUCCUUGCGGCCUAACUAGCAGCUUAGCUUGCUGUUGUCAGUCUGGUUUGCAUUCUAUUCAAAGCAUUUUUCUUCCUCGCCACCUUCAAGGGCAAGGGAUUAAAUGAAAAAGAAGAUCGCCUAGUGCCCGAGGGGAUAAGGUUGGCCCUUCUAUGAGUAAGACAUACCAGUUAUAUAUAUAAAGUACGACCCUCCUGUAGAAAAAAGGGAAUGAUCAAUCAAUGGUUUAGAUAAAAUAUGAAUUUCUGAGGUGGAAGCAUAGUUUCCGCAAAACCAAGUCGGUCUGUUUCUCUAAAUUUGCCGUUCUGCCUCUCGCUAAUAUAAUAAGAAAGUGGGCAAAUCUUGUUAAACAUAGGAUGGACAAGUAAAAAAAAAAAAAAACCAAAACAAUCAACAGCCCUCCUGCAGAUUCCUAAUUUAUUUCAACUUUUAUUGCACCUGGUCUUCCACUUAUGAGGGCUUCUUAUUUUAUUUUAACUUUUUGACUUUUGUCCCAUCUGCUCUUCCACUUUUGAGUUGUCUUAACUUUUCUUUUUGGACUUUUGAGGCACCUAUUCUUCCAUUUUUCAUCAAAAGCAAAAUCAUUACGCUUCCACGAUAUUUCCUAAAGCGGGGUAACUUUAGACUUCUAUGCCUUCCCAGGGAGUACGUAGCAGUGAGAAUUAUCGUCGAAAGUUCUUCAGCCAAGUGAACAUUCUCUAAAACCUAUAGUGAAUAUAAAAAAUUAAACAAAGGUGAGUCACAUCAGGGACAGAUAUGAUGAAAACACAUAAUAAGGAGUAAAAAAUCGCAGCCCAUUAUUGAAUAUAGUUACUAUUAUAUUUACAAAGUACUAGCGUAGAAGGGGGCAUUGCUGCUACCACUAGCAGUCUCGCCCAAGGGAAGUCUCGCGCUAGGGAGAGAACUUCGGUUACUUGGGUUAUCAUUUGUUUAAAGUGGGUUUAGAAUCUUGUGAUACUUACUUGAUAGUGAGAAGGUCACUGCAGCAUGCAGAGCUGUCAGUCCUUUAGGGCCCUUAUGAGAGGAUGGCCAUGAGGAAGCACAUAAAAUCGGCUCAAUGAUAUCCCAAAAUCUUUGAUGUAUUGUGAGAUAAAGUGGGGACUCAUCAGCAACAUUAAUAAUAUCACAUAGGUGAGGAUCUUCUUCAAUAAGCAAUUCCACGACCCCCUUGCAACGUCUUCUUAUUGCAAAGUGCAAUAAGGUAUCUUCAUCUGAAUUCGGUAUCCUAAGUAGCUCUUUUUAUGCAUCAGGUUGAUGUAUUGCUUUCACUCGAUCGAUAAAAACUCGAACCAUUUCAUGGCUUCCCACUUGGGUAGCAACAUGUAAGGGAGUGUCUCCUUUGUUGUUACCUUGCCAAAGAAGGGAUGAUCUCAAUAGAUCUUGAAGAAAAUCUCGGAUGAAAUUUACCUGCCCGAAUUGAGCUGCAACAUGAAGAACGUUGUUUCCAUUUGGCGUUCUUUGGUGGAAAAGGUCCUCUCCAUUUUCCAAAAUUAUUGUCAUAAAGGAAUGAAAUUCUCCUGACUUUACAGCCUCAUACACUUUAGGAUGUAUACCUAAUCUCUCUUUCAUUCUCAAGACACGCGGUAGCUGCAAGUGAACUUAUCAAUAUAAGCAAUGAGUUCAAGUGGGAGGAAUUUCUUUGAGUUUUUCAAGAGGAUUUGUCAUGCCCCGAUCCUCAUGGCACGCGCACAUCCCUUAUCUUUGGUCAGUUUAAAAUUUGCAAUAACCCAGGAUUAUGUAUCGCCGACCCUUUCAUUUAUAUAUGCACAUGCGGAAGCAGUCAUAAAAUCCCCAGACAAUAAAGCAAUGAGAUAUACAAGUAGGACUAGGAAAUUGAACCUGAAAACCAACACCCUUAUGCUCAUAUACAAGCCAUACUAAAUCGAUUGGUUUCUACUCAAAUUGAUUUUAUAACAAUCGUCAUCAGAAUCCUACUCCGGAUCAUCCUCGGGGUUCUCCUCCACGUACUCCUCUUCGGGUUCCUCAACAAGGAUCUCCUCAUCAGAUUCAUGCUCUUUAGGCUCCUCAUCCAGGUCCUGAAAUGGUUAUUCAAUAACCAUUGAGACAACGUCUCCGCAAGUUCUACCUCCUAAGACCCGAUUAGUAAACUAAUACACCUUAGGGCUGCCUAUGCACAACAUGAGUCAGAGGACUUACCUUGGCCUCAGAUUCCACCUGCAUAUUAGUACAGAUUAAAUAGGCACCCAAGCAAUCCCAUCACAGAUCGAAGCAUCGAUCAAAUCGACCUAGUCGAUUUCACGUCAACAAGACCACUCACGGUCAUUUCCACUAUUCCAACCAAUUUACAACAUCAAUUCAAGGCAAUGAUCAAUCGACCUAGUCGAUUACGUCUCAAUCAACCAUUCACCGAUCAUUUCAUUCAAUCAAUCAAUCCACAACAUCAAAUCAAGACAACGAUCAAUUGACCUAGUCGAUUACAUAUCAACAAGACCACUUUCGAUCAUUUCAACUAUUCCAAUUCAAUUCCCAAUAAUGAAUCACGGUCCUUAGGACACAACUUAAUUAUAGGUGGUAAUCACGGCCCCACCAAGCAAUUUUCUUAGAUUUAGUGGCAUCACGGCCCCACUCGGCAACUUUUAAUAUGUAGUGGCAUCGCGGCCCCACUCAGCAAUGUUAUAUGUAGUGGCAUCACGGCCCCACUCGUCAACUUUUAAUAUGUAGUGGCAUCACGGCCCCACUCGGCAAUGUUAUAUGUAGUGGCAUCACGGCCCCACUUGGCAACUUUCAAUAUGUAGCGGCAUUAUCAACUGAUGCUCGGUUAUUCUUCAAUUAAUAACCAAAGAUGAUUCAAUUUAGGAAUAAAUCCUAAAAUCAUUGAUAAAUCAAUUUAGCACAAAAUCAUGCUCAAUUAAAUAAACAGACUGUACAACGACAAUCAGCACGAAAUUUCGAUCGCUGGCCAUCCUAGUUGAAUUUUCGGAAAAUAAAUAAUUAAAUAAUUAAUUUCGAAAAUUAAAUAAAUACAUACAAUAAAUUCAAUUUAGAAUAAUAUAAAGCUCAAUUAAAUAAACAGACUGCACCACGAUCAUCAGCAUAAAAUUUGGGUCACUGGCCAUCUCAUCCUUAAUUUCCGAAAAUAAAUAAUUAAUUAAUUAAUUUCAAGGAUUAAAUAAUUAAUAUUAAAAACUCAAUUUAACUCAAAAUAAAGCCCAAUUAAAUAAAUGGACUUCACCACAGUUAUCGGCAUAAUUUUCUGGUUCCGGAUCAUCUUAGUUGAAUUUUCGGAAAAUAAAUAAUUAUUUAUUUUAAUUUCGAAAAUUAAUAUUUAAAUACUAAAAAAUCUCAAUUAGGCUCGAAUCGCCUAAUUAACACCCAAUAAGGGACGGGAAAAAUCCCAAGAAUCAUCCAAAAAUACUACAAGCAAUUCUCUAUCUAAUUACACUAAUUAUUUCACUAAUAUGCAAUGAAAUUAACUAAUAAUUGCUAAUCCAUUCAAAUCUAACAACUUAAUUACACUUAAUUAACACUAAUCAACCUUUAAGUGUAAUUAGUAAGCUAAGAAGGCAUUAGUGAGUAAAACUCACUCAAAACGACGGGCUCGACGCGAGGAUCGACUUUCCUCAAAGCGGGCCGAGCAUCCAGGCUUGAGAAGGCGGCCAAAAAGGGCUAAAACCCACUGUCAUACCCAUUUUCUACAACCCUCUGAUCACUGUUGGUCACGGCAGAUUCGGGGCUGGUUGAGGCGGCCAAGGGCGGUUGAGGGCGAGGCAAAGCUCUGGCGAGGUCGACGGUGGCCGGAGGUGUUUGGGUGGCGGCCGUAGGUGGCCGAAUGGGACCGACCAGAGGUGAAACAGAGGCUGGACAGAGGCGGUAGCUCGGCUGGGUGAGGCGAACGGCAUUCGAGCGGGCGAGCGCGAAGCGGACGGGGCGGCGGUGCGGCAGCUUCGGUGCGACGGCGUCCAAGCAGCUGGUCGCGGCUCCUUCCGGCAACGCUAGACUUGCUUCUACUUCUGCUAUUUGGUUCUGUUCGAACCAGAGGGAGGAGAGGGGCGAAGCUAUGCACGGGCAGCAGGACGGCGGACGGCGGCGACUCCGGCUCCAGUUGCUUGCUGCAUCGGCGCCAAGAGAAAUCACUGCUUCGGCUUGCUAGUUUGCUAAUCUUAAGCUUCCAUGGAGUUUUGAAGAAAAAGAAGGAGAUGGGGGAGGAGUUCAGUCGACGAAGGAGAGAGAGGAGAAAGAGAAAUUCAAUUUUUCCUCUUCCUCUCACACACUCUCUCUCUUAGGCCAUCACGCAUGGGCCACCAUGACAUCAUGUGAUGUCACCUUCCACCUACCAUUUCUUGACAAAUUUGCCCCUUCUAGAAGCAUUUGGGUAGGCCAAAAUAUGUGGGUAGAGGUGGCAUACGAAUUUUGCUAAGGUUUGUUUCCAAAUUAAAUCUUAAUCCUACUUGAAUCAAAUCAAAUUGAACCCUAUUAAUUUAUUCAACACCUCAUUAUUCCAAUUGGUAUUUUUCCUUACCAAUGUAGCCCACUUGCAUCCCAAUUUCACAAUCCUUGGCUUCAAUUGAACAAAAACGGCUCUAUUUAUCCAAUCGAAAUUAGAACCCGAAAAUCUGGAUGUCACAGGAUUGGUGAAAAGGGAAAAUGUUGGAGAGGAAAUUGAAUUGAGCUUCCUAGGAGUACUAAAAUGGAGACAUUUAUAUGCAUAUGGUGGUUCUUCAAUUGUUUCGAUGAAAUCGAAAUAAAUUUAGCAGGUUUAGAGAAUAGUUUCCAAAAAGUCUAAUUGGUAUGCGUUUUGGACUUCCUGCUUUCCACUUUUUAUCAAAAUCAAAACAUCCUUCUAGAAGAAUCGGAUAUGAUUUAACUUGUUUAUUAAAGUAAUAAUAUCCGUUCACUUUGAGCUGUAAUUUUUUUUUUUUUUUUAUGAAUUGAAUCGGAUCUGAUUUAACUUAUUUAUUAAAGAAAUGAUUUUCGUGGACCCACUUUUAUCCGUAGUUUUCUUCUUCUUUUUUUAUUUUAUUUGUUCAUCGAAAAGUCCUUUGCUCUUUUUAGUCUUCACGGUCCAAGUUCGUCGUGAGCAUGCAUUCUCAUCAUGGUGCACAAGAUGGACCCUACCCAAGCUUGGUCCCACUCGAAGAUUUACAUAUGUAAUUAUUAUGGAGCACGAACUUAGGUAAAAUUCAACCAAUAAAAAACUUAGGUAAAAAUUAGUUGACGACCAAUUUGAGCUCAUCCAAUAAUCACCUCUACUUCUAUAAUCCAUUGGCAAAAGUUGGAGCUCAUAAUGAUAUGUUUUCUAUUGUAAUGUUUGCACAAUAUUCUAUAACAAAUAAAAAUCUAUCAAAAAUUUAUGAUCGUUCAAUGACUAUCUAUCAUUUUUAAUAUGUGGAAGAGAGACACGACAAAAACUUAAAUUUAAAUAAAUAAAAAAGAGACAGCAAGGCCGAAGUUGUUCUACUUUUUUAACAAGGGCAGUGAACCUUGUCGAGGUCUCAGUGAGGGCCAACAACCCUUGCAGGUCUGUCCAUGGGCAAGGGCUCACAGGCCCUCAUCUACGUCACACACAGUGGUCUUCAUUGUGAAAUAAUAUGUAGAACUAAAUUCUUAAGACUAUUUUCUCAUAUUUGACCUUCAUAGAACAUUAGCCUCAAUUAUGUCUGCGAAUUGGCAAUUAGUGUCCUACCAGAAUCCCAUCGACAUUGUGUAUGUAGAUCUGAAUUCUUUGUUAACAGCAAAACUGCAUUGGCAGUGGGUUAUUUUUUCUUUUUUUAACUCAACCCUUUUUUUAUGUAUGUUGGCCUGGGCUUUUCUCCCACAUCGGUGCCAUGAAUAAUUUUUUAUUAGUUCAUUAGAAAGUGGACUUAUUUUUGUUGAUGGACUCUUUACACCGUCUCUGACUUUGAAGAGAAAUAGGAAACGGCUCAUGGGACUCAUGGACUAUGUCACUUCUAGAGCAGGUAAUUUCUCAUAAGACUAUUGCUUGUUAUUUUUAAUGAUUUGCAUCUGAUGUCCGUGACGAUCUGUUAUGUUCCUUGCCUUCCAAACUGCCGUUGCUUGUGCGAAGGUGUUGACAGUUGCUGGUCAGAUAUAUAGUCUUGUGGUACCUGAAGUGUAUCUAUAAGUCUACACAAAUGCUUUUGAAAGCUUAAAAAAUGAAAGUUAUAGUAGCCAUUAUUUACCUAAAAACGUGGGGUUUAGAUGCUGCAAUGGUCAGCUCUUUAUAAUUGUUCUGUGCCCUUCCAUGUUAUACUCCAGUAAUUCUUGGGUAACAUAACCAGCAUACUAAAUUAAUGUAGCACAUCGACAAAACAUUUAGCUCAAUAAGUGGCGAAUGGAUAAAUGACAAUGCUGUAAUCCAUGUAUUCUUACUGUUGUCUUUGUCCUGUUGCCGUUUACCUAGUUUCUCAUGUUCAUGGUUAGAGUUAUCUGUCUACCAUCAUUGCAACUUACUUGCCUGUCUCAGCAAGCACCGUGAUGAGUCGAGGUGUUGUUGAAUUUCGUGAUGGAGGACCUCUAGUGAGAAAAAGUGCUGCAAUGAGCGAGUUACACAUUUCCGUGUCGUGCCUUCUUUCUUUUUGAUAUUGAGGUGAAAACAUGUGACGAAUCACUUUAUACCAUUCGGAGAUUUUAUUCCCCUUUUUCCUUUCACAAGUUUUAUAGUAUUCUUCUUUAUUAUAUUACCGACCAACUUUUGAGACACACACGUAAAAUUCGCUUUCUUGUUUGUUCUUUCCCUAAACAUUUGGUUGAAGUAUAAUACUUUGAGUCUGCAGAGAAAAUGUGAUUCCGCUUUGCAGCAUGACACUUUGCCAAGCCAUGCUACUAUGAAGUAAAUUUCUGCAACUUCUAGGGAAAAAAAAAAAAGAUAUCAUAAGUAAUAUAACCUUUGUACGGCACUCUUUUUUCUUUUUUUAUCAUUUAAAUGUUAUCACUUAUGUAUGGCACUCUUUUGAGUACUAUAAUUAUUUUCACAAUUACUUUAGUGUUAUAUAACUUUUUAAUCAAUUACUUGAUUGUUAUAAUUUUUUUAAAAACGUUCACUAGAAGUGCUAAACUACAUCAAAUUUAUGGUAUUUGAGUGAACAUUUUUAAAAAAAUUGACACUUAAGUGAUCAACUAAACAUAAUAUUUUUUUAGAAAUAAUGGCAAUUAAGUGAUAAGAAAAAAAAGUUAUAGUACUUAAGCAAACAUCCUAUAAAAGUUAUUCUUUUAUCCCUAACUUCUAGUAUAAUCCCAGAGGUGACGAUUGCAGUCGUGGUCCUUUUAACAGCAAGUCUCUUCCUAGAACAUUGUGCCUGUGCUAGUACUGUUGUGGGCCUAGACUAUGAACCUUGACUACGUUGGCAUAACCCAUCUGAAGCUUCUUCAAUGUGGCUUCAUUUUUUAAGCAAGAUAUCGAGGAAAGAGUAUCUAGAGAGAAGAGGAACAGUAUCUUGGCGAAUGAUUAAGAACUUAGUAGUUAUGUCAUUUUUCCAUCUUUAAUAGUUAGAAAUCUCAAUGGUUCAUACUAAAUAUUUCUCUACACUAUGAACAUCAAAUAACAUAAUGUCACAAAUUAAAUCAACUGCAAAACUUGCUAAGUUCUUUCUUGCUACAACGGUAUCUAAUAUAAUUGAUAGAUUUGUUGACCUACCUUCUUGAUGUUUCGGUCCAGCAAAGGAAUAAAGUAUUCUACUACUUAACCGGCAAAGAGAGUUAUGUUACUUUAUACUCUUUCACUUGAAUUGAAAUUCACAAUUCGUUUGUGAAAGAAGCACAAAUAAUAAAAGAGAAAGGGGUUGUGAUAGGACGGUAUCAUAUAAUGUCACAUUUAGAAAUUCUUAUGAAAAGUGAAAAAUUAGUGGGCCCACAGGAAAAAAAAACCCAGUCUCUUCUGUCUUGAAUAAUGACACUUCAAUUCCAAGUAAAGGCAUAAAGAAGGAGAAGAAAACAAUAAUGAAAGAAAAGAAUAAAGUUAUGUGUGCUUUCCAUUUGUGCAUUUUUUUUUUCAAUAAAUGGAUAAUAGGGGAGGUUUGUUUCCAUGAUUCUUUUACUUGCCAGAGACACCAACUACAUAUCUGGAAAAUUUCAAACUAUUGUGUCAUUCAAAUACUCAAGCAACACAUCAUUCUCCCAAUUUUUUUUAUUCUUAUCACUCAAUUCAUUAGGAAUCUUAAAUUACUUCUCCAAUGUACUUUAGUUAACUGUUUUAACUGACCGUGCUUGUUUCUUUGUUCAUGGAAUAGGUGAAGAACUUCAAAUCAUUAGCAGAUAUUCAAGCUGAAAACCUUUUAAAUCUUGAUGACAUAUGAGUUUAAAGUUUUAGAGCACCUUAGCAAUAGUACCUUGGAAUACAGUUUUCAGUGUCUUCAGCCAUCAAUGCCUGCAACUGCAAAGUGACAAUAUUAUAUUAUAUAAACUCCGAUAUGGCUUGCCAAUAAAAUUAAGUUAGCAAUUAAAUAUCUAAAAGACGUUCAUUUAGAGAUUGAUUGCCCUAAAUUAAGGAAUUGGGGCAAAAUUCAAUGUGUUCUUAAAAAACCCUAGCCCUUAUUCGUCGAAUUGGGGCAAAAUCAUCUUAUCAAAUCUCCUUAUCAAAUCUUGCUCUAAGAAGAGCAAAGUUGGCAAACGUUCAAAACUUGUCCACGAUACGAUUUCACUACAAGGCCUUACUUUCAAUCCUCCACGCAUGGCCUCAUCUUCACUGCAAGUCCUCUUCCUUCUCCAAGCAGAAGAACCGAUCCCUUCUUCACCCAUUCUCCAAUUUCGUCGUCCUGAGCUGUAGCGAAGUAGAAUCGAAGCAUCAGACAAACAAGAAUUGAGAAAGAGGGCUCUGUUCUCUAUCGAGAAAACAGAGCUCUAUUUCGUCAUUGCGUUUGCUCUGUUGUCUCCUCACCGUAUGAGUGCACAAACGCAAGAACAUUGAGAUUAUUUCUUAGUGUUAUUAUUUUUCGUUUGCCCUUUUGCUCGUCACUUAUGCAAACACUAAAAUGUCCAAUAGGUAAUUAUUCUUCUCUUUCAAAACAAGACCGAACCAACCUCCCAAUUUCUUUUACUUCUUCAGCUCCACCUCUGUUUUUACGUAGAACCAAACUCUUCUUCCAGUUUUCUGUCCUGAAUUCGUGAUCUUCCGCUUCGUUUAUUUGGCUACUGCAGUAAAAUCAUUUUGAAUCGGUUGUUGGUUAAACGCCACAAAGAUGACGGAGAAAGUUUUUUUUUUUUUUUGGAGGGGGGUGGGGUUGGAGAGAGAAGCCCUGUUGUACUGUUCACGUUGCCAUGUUAGACGAAAAAAGUUCUGCAUUGGACUUCUUUUUUAUAAGAAAAGCCACGUAUUAAUAAAAAUUUCAUAUAAAAAACAUAGAAUAUGUUUGAAUUUACAACUAGAAGCACUUGAGUAAUGUUUUUCCACCGAUAUAACACUUGAGAAAUUACUCACAAAAUUUCGGCACUAAAAAGAUAUGACAUUUAGUGUUAUUUUCCUACCAAUGCUCUUUGAAAUAGAGAUUGGUAAGGAUUGGUAAAGUAUUUAAGCUAGAUCAUGGUAGACUGUCCUAAUGGUUUAGAAAGCAUGCAUUUUGAAUGGUUCCAUUCUUUUGAGAAUUAUUUUCUGCACUCAAACUAUUUCCAAAAUUAAGAAUUCGCUUGAGAAGUUGCACGCGCAUAGAUAAAUGAGAAUCUAGGGGAUUGGAAUAUUUUUAACAUUGACUUCGGCUUAACUGUUCUAUUUUUUAUUUUGGGUCUAUGUCAUUAAAAAUCCGAAACCUGUAUUUAGGGUUCCGGCUUGGGCCAAAUAUGUUAUGAGGAACUAGUUUUCGUAUCACAUAAAAACCUUCAACACAUUUUACCCCAAACUAAUUUUUGUCUUAUGAAAAAUCCCAAAAGUGAUAACCUAACCAAAGAUUACCCUCAACGUUUGAUCCUAAACUAUUACACUGGAUGAUAUAUUUGAGUUAGGUUUCUGGCUUGGGGCAAAUAUGUUACGGGGAACUAGUUCAAGAUUGUUUGCAAGAUGAAAAUAGAGUUUAGGAUAAAUAUAUUAUAAGGUAUCAAUUUGAGAUUUUGAUGGUAAUAAACCUAUUUUUGUUGCAUCUUGUAUUGCAUAUUGUAUGGCCAACAAGAUAGAACAUAGAAGUAUUUGAAACAUGUUCUAAGCCUUAUAUAUGAAAUUUAACCAUGUUGAAUUUAAGGCUGAGGAUUACGAAAUUGAGUUUGCCAAGCUUCCUCCUCUACAAUCUUAUGGUGCAGGAGGUGUAAAUCCAUGACAUGGUCCGCGAUUACAUUGUGCAGUUAUUUAUGAUUGUCAUUUGAUCAUGGAGCACCCAAGUUUGUAAAGUUGGUGAUCUAAUGAAAAUUGUAUUUACACGAGAAAAAUGGAUGUAACAUAACUUAUGAAAGAGGACAUAAUGAUAUGGUGUCGUCAUUGUGGUGUAAUAUUGUUGUACAAUGCUUUUGCGACUUACUCGAUGCUACCAUUUGCAUCCUUUUUAAUCUUUGAUCCAUUGGGAAAAAUAAUAUGAAUGAAUCUAAUAAAUUCAUUUCUUGCAAAACAAAAGCAAACUCCUCUCAACGCUCGGAGCUCUCUCUCUACCGAAGGUGUAGCAAUGGCAACCCUCCCUCUCACAAACCCUAAUCAUCCACCAUAACCUUGAUUCCCACCACUGUCUCAUCCAUUUCCACGAUCCCAUACCCACAAAAAAACCUAAUCACCCAUCACAACCUUGUUUCACAUUACUGUUUCAUCCAAAACCGAGAACCCAGGGCCACUGUCCUCGUCACCAGCAGGGAUUUCGCUGUUGUUCCAAGAUCCACUCACCGAAGAAGGGAAAACUGACGGCACGUAUGGAUCAGGUGUGACUCCCCUUCGAAUCCUCCAUCCCGCGGCCAAUCCCUAGUAGUAAUGGAAGGGGAAGGAGAGGCUGUGGACCGUCUUGCCCAUCUCUGCAAUAAAUUAGGUAAGAUGAUGUAUGAGAAUGAUAUGGCUAUUCUUGAUGAAGAUUUAUCGGCUGAGAAACUUCAAGAAUGCCGAUUCUCUCUAGUUGGGCAACUCUACAAUAACCCUAUUGUCAACUUUCAAGCACUUACAACAGCUAUGAAAAAGGCGUGGAAAAAUGAAAGUGUAGAGGUAAAACCCUUAGAAAAUGGGAAAAUUAGCUUUGCUUUCAAGAAUGAAGGGGAAAAAAACCGAGCAUUAGAGGGAGGUCCUUGGUCGUUUUCAAAUCAUUUAUUAAUAUUAAGAGCAUGGGAACCGGACACUCCUCUACACUAUUAUGAAUUUAAAACAUGUGCAUUUUGGGUCAGAAUUUAUGGGCUCCCACUGGAAUGGAAUUCUGAAAGCAUGAUAAAGAAGAUUGCAAGUUCAAUGGGGAAAGUUCUGGAGGUGAAAACGGAUGCUAGAGGCCUUGCUUUUCAGAAAAUAAGGAAAGCAAAAGUGGAGUUAGAUGUGGAGGCUGAAUUGCGCGUAGGACAACUGAUGCGACAAGGGAAUAAAAAAGUGUGGCUGGACUUCAACUAUGAGAGACUACCAUUUUUCUGCUUCUCUUGUGGCAAGAUAGGCCAUUAUGCAACUAAUUGUAAAGACAUACCUUAUGAGGAGGAGAAAUUCACAACUGAAUUAGGAGGCUGCUUUGGAGGCUGGUUGAAAGCAGAAACCUCUGACCAUAGCUCAUUCUGGAAAGUAUUCUAUGAUGAAGCUUCACCAACACAAAAUGAAGAAGAGGUUGUUCCUGAAACCCCUGUACAACCGGGGCAAACCGAGAUUAGGGAAGCAAACCAACACCUUCCACUUAUUAACAGCCAAAAUCUGCAGCAGGGAAGUAUGGACCAGAUGCUAAUGGAUCAUUACUCUCACACCACAAAUGAGAUAAUGAUGCAAAAUUUAGGGAAAAGAACGCUUCUACUCACUGGUCCGGAGCACAACAACAAUCUUAACAUCCAGACAUCUACUUCAAUCAGCCUCAAAAAGAAAACCAAAAUGCAACCAAAAACCCCCUCUUUCAAGAAACAAAGGAAAACCCAUGUGCAAGCAACACUAACCCCAGCACAGGGUUGGUUAGAUGAAACUCAGCUCCUUGAAACACCCAUACAGAUGACUAAAGAAGUUGAAGCAUGGGCUGUGGUGGCUAGCCCUAAUAAGCCACCAAAUGACCCAUGAAUAUACUGAGCUGGAACUGUCAAGGGUUGGGCACACCUUUGACAUUCGAGAGUUGAGAGCCUUAACGGCUCAAUAUAGGCCCUGUUUGGUUUUUAUUAUGGAAACAAAAAAUAAGGCUGAGUUUGUGCAAAGAAUCAAAAGAAGACUCCAAUUUCAGAGGUGUGUAGUAGUGGAUCCUGUGGGUACGGCGGGAGGAUUGGCCCUUAUGUGGGAUGAUAGGAUUUCAGUAGAUAUUGACACAAUGACUGAAGACUUUGUGAAUUUAAAGUGUGAAGAAGGGAUUUCAGGUAAAACAAUGCGUAUCACCUUUGUUCAUGCUCCAUAUACCUACUCCAGAAGGCUGCAACUUUGGGAGAACUUAUAACAAAUCAGCUCCUCAAAUACUUUGCCAUGGGUUUGCUUGGGGGAUAUUAAUGAAGUGCGGUUCCAUUGGGAAAAAGUAGGGAAGAGGCUGGCUGAAAAUUUCAGAAUGAGUGCUUUUCGGGAUUGCUUGGAUGCAUGCUCUUUCAUGGACAUAGAUAGUAAGGGAUGUGCUUUUACCUGGGCUAAUAACAGAGAUGGGGAAGAAUAUGUGAAAGAAAGACUAGAUAGGGUGUUGUGCACGAUUGAAUGGAGAUUAAUGUACCCUGAAGCUGAGGCUUUUGCCCUACCUACAGUAGGGUCAGAUCAUAGCCCUCUUAUAUUGUCUCUUCAAACAACUCAAGUUAGAAGAAAACGAAACUUUAAAUUUGAGGCGUUUUAGCUUUCGAAUGCUGACUGUAGGGAAGUGGUGUUGGAAUCAUGGCGUAUGCUUAAUCAAAAUCAAACAAAUCUUGCUGGAAAACUUUCUGCUGUUAAGAACGCUCUAUCCAAAUGGAGUAAAGAGACAUUUGUGCAUGGAAAAAAGAGAAUUCAAGUGCUGAAGAAGGAGCUUGAGUGUCUAACAAAUCAUAUUUCAGGUUCUUUCAACAAGGCACAAUUUCAAAAGAUCUAGAAUUGAGUGGCUGAGAUGGGGAGAUCGGAAUACCAAAUACUUUCAUGCAACAACUAUCCAAAGAAGAUAGAGAAACAGGAUUUCUAUGCUACAAACUGAAGAAAAUACAUGGUUGGUUGAGCCAAAUCAGUUAAAAGAACAUACCGUGCAGUUUUUCAGGAAGUUAUACCAGUCAUAUGGUCCCUGGAACUUCGCCCCAGUGGUAGAGUAAAUAUUUGCAGCAGUGACAGAAGAUAUGAAUAGAAGUUUAAUUGCUGAAGUUACUAUAGAAGAAGUUACUAAAGCAGCAUUUGAAUUGGGCGCAACUAAAGCUCCAGGACCAGAUGGUCUUAGUGGUUUGUUUUAUCAGCAUCAUUGGAAAGACAUCAAAGGGGACAUCUUCAAGGAGGUCAAGAACUUUAUGACCAUUGGUUCCCUCUCAACAGCACUCAACAAAACACAUAUCUCCCUCAUUCCAAAGAUUCCAAACCCAGAAAGACUGGACCAAUAUUGUCCCAUCAGUUUAUGCAAUUUCGCAUACAAAAUUAUCUCAAAAGUGCUAGUAAACGGACUCAAACCCAUAAUAUCAAAAAUUAUAGCACCAGAACAAAGCGCAUUUGUGGGCGGGAGACAAAUCCAGGAUAACAUUUUUAUUGUUCAGGAAGUACUUCAUCAGAUUCGAAUCAGGAGCAGGAAAAAGAAAUUCCAGGCUAUUCUUAAACUAGAUAUGAAGAAGGCCUAUGAUCGUGUGGAAUGGGAUUUUUUAUGGGUGGGAUGGAUAAUGAAGUGUGUUACUACGGUCACAUUUAGUGUUCAAUUUAAUGGAGAACCCCUGCAAUUCUUCCAACCCUCAAGAGGACUCAAGCAAGGGGAUCCUUUAUCUCCUUAUCUAUUUAUUAUUGUGGCUAAUGUAUUAUCUUUAUUGAUGAAGCAAGUUGUGGAAGAUGGGAGUGUUAAAGGAAUUAGACUAAACCGAAGUUGUCCUACCUUAUCUCACCUAUUAUUUGCCGAUGAUUCCAUUUUCUUCUUAAAUGGCACUAUUUUAGAAUGUCAAAUCUUGCCAUGAUCCUCAAUCAAUAUUGUUUCGCAGUUGGACAGGAGAUUAAUUUAAAUAAGUCGGGGAUCUUUUUCAGCAAGGGAUGCCCUCAAACAUUAAAAGAUAAUAUGGCAAGAGUAUUGAGAGUCCCUAUUAUUGAAAAAACAGGGAAAUAUUUGGGUAUCCCUUCUAAUUGGGGAGCAUCCAAAAAACAGAUGUUUGCAUGGGUACUUGGGAGAAUUAGUGCCAAACUAGAAAGCUGGAAGGAAAAAUUACUAUCCAUGGCUGGAAAAGAAGUCCUGCUGAAAACGGUAGUACAAGCUCUACCACAGUUUGCAAUGUCGGUGUUUAAAAUCCCGGUCUCUAUAUGUAAGGCUAUUGAACAUAAAAUUGCAGCCUUCUGGUGGAAGAGUAAUGAAAAGAAGGAAGGUAUUCACUGGAGGAAAUGGGAGCUAUUGAAAACUAGAAAAGACAGAGGUGGAAUGGGGUUUAGAGACCUUCUCUCAUUUAAUAAGGCAAUGUUAGGGAAGCAGGUUUGGAGGUUGGGACAGCAGCCCUCUUCUCUUUGGAGUUCACUGUUUAAAGGGCUACAUUAUCCUCAUACAGAUUUUUGGCAUGCAGCAAAGGGUCUUCGACCUUCAUGGGGAUGGAGAAGCUUGAUUUUAGGAAGGGAUUCAAUUGCACUGCAAGUAAUGUGGCAGGUUGGAGAUGGCUCUAGGAUAAAAAUACGGGAAGAUAAAUGGUUGCAACGAGGAAUCAUUGAGGGACCAGUAAACGCAACUGAACCAUCCUUGGUUUCAGAACUCAUCGAUAAAGAACAAGGAAUAUGGAAAGAAACGACAAUAGCAGCACACUUUGAGGACAGCCUAGUUGAAGAAAUCCUAACCAUUCCAAUCAAGCCUCAAACGGAAACAGAUAAAAUGGUAUGGAUUGGAACUUUGGCAGGCAAGUAUACAGUCAAAAGUGGGUAUAAUCACAUCAAGGAGGACACAGAACAAUGUCAGACAAAUCAUGCCACAACGUCAUUUCAGACUCCCCCCGCACUCUGGACAAACAUUUGGAAGCUACACACUCCUUCUAAGGUUAAAAACUUUAUGUGGUGCUUAUGUCAAAAUGCUUUACCGACGAAGGACAAUUUGUUUAGAAGGAACAUAUUACCUGAUCCAAUAUGUCCUCUAUGCAAUCAUGAAAGAGAAAUGGUGGAACAUCUCUUCUUAUUAUGUCCGUGGACAAGACAGGUAUGGAGCGAUCCUGUGAUGAACAUCAAAAUCUCAAGGCAGGGCUUGACAAGAGUGGAAGAUUGGUUUUGCAGACUCAAAGAAAAGGCCACUUACCCUCCAAACUUGCAAUUGGUAGCUGUUGUGUUGUGGUCUAUAUGGAAAGCGCGAAAUCAAGCUAUUUUUCGGGGUAGAGAACCCGAGGGAUCGGCCAUCAUAGAAUCUGCACAAGCAACAUUGAACAGCUAUCAAAAAUGGAAUCCACAGAUGAGUGGCCAUCAAGUAGGAGCAGGUAAUGAAUCUCAAAAUAGAGCAGAUCCAAUAGAGCAAAAUGAGCAGAUUUGGGAGCUAAAACAGAGGCAUGGAGAGUCGGGUCGAGAGCAACGGGCUAUAAAUAAUGAGCGGGGACUCAGAGUAGCGGCUGAGUAGGCAAGUAGAGAAGAUGACUUGAGAACAGACCUGCGAUUUCAACUCAACGGUGCAUGGAGUGGGCGAACUAAACAGCCUCAUGCAGAGGAGGCACCUAGAUGCUAUAGUAGAAACGGAUCUGGUGCAGGGCCCUCUUCGCUAAGAACCUCAACCGCGCAAUACAAUGAGGGAGAUGAGGACAAAACAGAGAGAUCUGCAGACAGGACAUCAAGUGCAGAGCUGCGUCCUUCAAACCGAGGGAAAGGCACCACCGACGAAGACAAAUCGGAGAACCACCUAGUUGAGCCGCGCCUUCGAAUGAGAGGUGAGCGAGGACAGGAGCUCCACGAGAGGGACGCCGAAAAAGGAAGAAGUGCUGAAACCAUAUCCCAGAACACUUGCUGCGAUGUUGAUUGGAAGACCCAUGAAAAUCCCAGAUCUGAAACCCACGAACUCCAAACACCUCAGCCAUGGAUUCCACCACACAAAGGAGUCUUGAAGAUCAAUCUGGAUGGAACGUACGAAUCUGGGAGGUUGGGGAACUCCAUUGCUUGUGUGUGCAGAGAUUCGGGAGGCAGGCUACUUGAAGGAAUCGCUAAAGGGAUCAGAGCUUCCUCUCCACUUAUGGCCGAAACCCUAGCUUUAUGGGAAGCCAUUGACUUUUUUUACCCUAAAAGACACAAAUCCAUUAUCUUUGAGUCAGACAGUUCAACACUUGUCCAAGCCAUGAAUAGUUUGGAUCAGUUCAGUUGGGAAAUUCAACAUAUUAUCAGCAAAUGCAAGGAAAAGCUACGGGCCUUCACACAUUUCCAUAUAGCCCAUUGCUAUAGAGAGGCUAACAUGGUUGCAGAUUAGGUUGCUAAAGCCCAAAAAAAAAAUCACCUACCUUGGAAUUGGGUCUCAUCCACUCCCCAAACUUUAUUAGACUUAUUAUGUAAUGACGCCCUUUUACCGGGCCUCUCUUAUUUACGUCCUUAAUGAAAUUGACGCAUUUCAGACCCAAAAAAAAAAAAAAAAAUUCAUUUCCUGCAAACCAAGCUUUACAUUGAGGAAAGGAUUAGAUUGAAGAACUUGGGUGAAGCUAGGAAAGUCAAAUUCAUCGCCUCUGUGUUGACACCUCAUUUGAGUCGAUAGUUUUAAGUAUUUAUUCUUGUAAAAGUAACCUCCCCCCCCCCCCCCCCAACCAUAAAAAAAGCAAGGGAAUAGCAAAAAGAACUAAAACAAUUAAUAGGCAAACAAAUAAUAAUCAAAUCAUUAAAUAAAAAAGGGAUCUAAUAUGGUCUUGGUCUAUUUUCUAUAGCCCCGAUCAGCUGGCAUGGCCCAGGUCCAAAUUCACGUUGAUCGCAAGAGAAAAAAGAAUGGGAGAAAAAUUGCCCUGGAAGAGAAGCUCCCCGUUCGAGAAGCUUCCGGAUUCUUCCCCCCACCUCCGUUGGACGUCGCCUACCUCCUCCGGCCGUCGGACGGUGCUCACCUCCUCCAGCCGUCGUCGAUCCUCAGUAUCGGGAAGACACUGAUCGAAGAGAAAACCAAUUUUGAGGCACGCACGCUCACCUGAGAGAAAAACACCCGGGCAAGGACGAUCGAGCAAAGGGGGAAAAGCUUGCACCCCCUCAGCACGCUUCUUUAGAGUUUCUUUUUCUUCGGUCAUCCUCAUCCGCCGGUGAUCAUCACGGUUUACCAUCGCCUGGCCUGCCAUCAACUCACGUACGUACUGUAAGAGAACUAGAACAGAAGGCAACGGUUGAAAUCACUCUGGAGGUUUUUGGAAGCGUCCAGAAGACACUCUCUUUCAGUGAUUUCUUCUGAAUCCUUUCCUGCCUCUUCGUUGUCGAUCGUGUUUUUGGCCGUGAAGACUUGAAGCUGUUUUUCUGAAAACUUCAUUACUGUUGCUCAUCCUCACCAGCGACAUUUUCCGGAUCCUCCUCAACUAAAAAUCCCAAAUGACUUUUGGGGCCUAGAUCCCCAAAGUACAAGUUUGACCCAUAUGCGAACCGGAUUCAUAGGCCCAGCCCACACCCCUUUGGCGAGGGCUGGAUGAGGCCGCCCCUCAUCAAAUUAGACUAGGAGCCCUUACCAGCGGCUAGCGAAGGAAAGAGAAAGAAAAGAAGCAAAAGAGAAGGAAAAGAAAAAGAAAAUAUUUAAAAAAAAAAAUUCAAAAAGUAUUUAAAAUUUUAAAAAAUAUUCACAUCAACGCCAAUUUUGUAACAUUAGAUGGUCGACGUUUAUGCCAGCAAUUUUUUUUUUUAUUUAUUAAAAUUGACUAGAUUGACUCAAUUAAUACCAAAGUGAAAAAAUUUAGGAUUAAAUUGGUCAAUUGAUAUGUUUAAGACUCAAUUGACAUCAAUGCUAUAAUAUUUUUUUUUUUUUGGUACUUGUCUCGUUCACAGUUUGUAUUGAUCAAUGGUUAGGCUGUUCAAGGGCCGCUGCUCCUCUCAUUGCAUUAUAUUCCACACACAAACACGAAAGACAGUGAAAUAAUUGUUUUCAGCAUAAGUGGAUGACUGAAUUUUUAUAGGUUGAUAUGGUGAUACAUCAUUGGCGUCAUGUGCCUAAUUAUUUGAUGAUGUUGCUUACUCACUGGAUUGACAUUCAAAGUUCUAAGUUUACCUAGAAAGACGACAUUCUCAUUUCUAUGAAUGCCUUACGAAGCUUUUGAAAUAAUCGGACAGGAAGGAUCUCACAUCACCCAUGACUCUUGCUCUUAAUAGAUGCUGAAAAUGUUACGGCGCUUUCUGUGGUUUUGCGGAACUAUGCCAAGAAAGAGAGAUGCAUAAAAGUUAGAAGACAAAGUCCCAAUUCAGCGGCAACUUCAAGUAAAAAACUAAACAUCACAUUCUUUGACAAAACUCCAGGGGCGUGCAAACCUUCAUCUUGAGUAUGGCAAUGGAGCAGGUGAUCAAUCCAACAAUGGACGUUGACAGGUUUUACAUCGUACAGAUGACAUGAAAGUGCUCGAAUCUAUGGCUGACAAAGCAAGAAAGAAAAUUUCCCUGUGCACAAGGUCACGGGACCGUAAAACCGGCCCAACUCAUUAGCUUGUCUAGCGACCAAUCGAUGAGCCUCCAAAGGAAAUCAGCCCAUUGCAACGCACACUUAACCAAAAGCCUCUGGAAGUACCUCUUGGGAGAGCUACGUAGCGCCCACGAAUGAGCCUCGUGGUCGGGGAGUUCAUAGGCGAAGAAAAAAGCCAAGAACCAUCCACACCACAUAUGAAAAAUCAUUCCUUCCCCGAUAGUCUCGGUGGGUUUGACCGAUAUAGUAGCCGCCCCGAGAGGAUAGGCUAGCGUGAUCCCGCAUGACGCAACAUAAAUUAAACAUCCCACGGACGAGAUGCGUCUCAGCUCUUGACGAUGGCUGUGCGUAGAACCUAGACAAAUAAAGAGUAUUGCCAUCAUGGAUAAAGUGAACGCCACACCGUUACAUAGCAUAAAGCCUUUGAAAGAUCCCCUGCCAGCAUGAAUCGCAACUCCAUCAUUGUUAUAACCUCCGGGCACUGUGAGAAGGCCGUGUUGGAAAUUUCCUAUAAUAUGGGCUUACAUUAAUUAAUUGAUUUUCUAUUUUAAAUAAUCGGGUUAAUGGAUAUUUCAAUAUUUGUUAAACCCUAAAGUGAUCUGAUUGAAUUGGGUAUUGGCAUUCAUUGUUAACGGGCCUAGUUGAGCAGCAAAGUGUAAGCAAUUGUGUUUGACUGAAGCCUGUAAUGGAAAGGGCCCAGUUGACAAGCUAUUGAUUAGGGUUUGCUAGGUCCCCUCUCUAGCCUAUAAAAGGUAGGUUAUACCUAUCAGUUGCUUUAAUCCCAUUGAAAGUUGCUAUAUCAAAAUAAGUCAUAGAGAGGAAGAUCUGGUAUUGCAAUAGAUCCCUGAUUAUCAGAGUGAUCUAGUUUUCUUAAAGUAAAGCAAUGGCUCAAACAGGUACGCUUUAAUUCCGUUGUAUUUAUUGAUCUUGGUGUUUUACAAUCAUGUAUGAAUCCGUUUGUUCUUAAUUGAUUAAAUAAUAUUCUACAUGUGGUAUCAGAGCAGAUCGUAUAUGAUUGUAGAACCCAAAUUUUCUUUUUAUGGAAAAAUUUGAAACCCUCCUUUUUGAGCCGAAUAUGGGCAUUAUUUUUUCGUAUAGAUUUUUUGCUUGAUUAAUCCUAUAACCAUAGGGCUUUUGUUCUACAUGUUGAGAUCUUUCCAACCAUAUAUAAUUUGCAUAAUUUCAUUGAGAAUUGAGAGAGAAUUUUAGAUUUGAAAUUCUAGGGUUUAUACGUGAAAAAGUUCUAGAAUUUGCAAAUUACUUGCAAUUGAUUGAUGUAUGAUGUAAACCGUUGCAUGGGUAUUGUUAUAUAUUUGUUUUAGUAUCUUUUGUUGUAUUGAAUUGAGUUUUUAGGGUUUAAAUUUAGGAAAUUCGAAAUUCGGACAUGGGAGCUUUAGAUCCGAAACUUUGAGGCUUGUAUGUGGUAGAUUCACUUGGUUUUUCUUCAUUUAAUUCAUUGUAGUUAAUUAUAUUGAUGUUUUAUGCAAGUACCAUGGAGAAAUUUCACCAAAAACCAUGUUAAUUUGUGCCUUUGGAGCUUCGGGUUGAAACCGGGUCAUGCGACCCGGUUUUCUGCAAAUUCAUGACCCGGCUGGAGGUUGAAGAAGACCUCUAGCCGAGCUGGGCCAUCGAAUUGGGCUCACGUCCAUUAUAAAAAAAAAAAAAAAAGGUUCUCGGCGUAAGCCCAGAACCAUAAACAAAUUAAAAGGUUCUGGGCUCACGCCCAUGAACCAAAGUAAAGAGGUUCUGGGCGUGAACCCAGAACCAAAAAAUAAAUGGGACCAUAAACAAAUUAAAAGGUUCUGGGCUCACGCCCAUGAACCAAAGUAAAGAGGUUCUGGGCGUGAACCCAGAACCAAAAAAUAAAUGGGUUUGGCCCAUUUUUUGUUUUAAUUCGUGGCCCACCCGCAUGGUUUGUGUGCGGGCCAGGCGCACGUAUGACACGUGGGUCUGGCCCGCGGUCUGAUAAGGGCUGCUUGCGGGUCCUGGGCCCACGGGAGUCCGAAAUAUUUAAAUAAUAUUAUAAUAAUAUUAUAAUAAAAAUUUUAAAAAUUUUAAAAAAUUUUAAAAAAUUAAAAAAAAAGUGGCAAAAAAUUGUUGUUUGAAAAUGUGCAAUAUGAUCUUUGGAAACACAUGUUGUGAAGUGUUUCAUAUUGUUUGAUGAAUUUUGGGCAUAAAUUUUGGAGUUCCCUAUUGAUAAAAGAUUAAUAUACACAAUUACUCACCCAAAGGGAGUUAUUGUGUAUAUUAAUUUGGAAAAAUAACAUGAAAUUUAUACACAUAUUUAAAAGAUGGGGAUGUAUAAUUGAAAAAUAUUUCUCUGCCCAAAGGGUAAAUGUUUUGAAAAUUAUAUGUAAUUCCCCUCUAUGUUGAUAUUAUGGAGAUGUAUGAUUUAAAGGAUUUGUCUGUCCAAAGGGGAUGGAUCCUUAACAAUUAUAUGUAAUUCUCCUGUUGUUGCUUUAUAAAUUUUAUGCUGGGAAAAAUAAUUGUGCAUUAUACACUCUGCCCAAAUGGGAGUUUAUGAUGUACUAAUUAUUUUUGUUGAGUGCCAUAAUUGAUCUUAUUGCAUCAUGUGUGUCAAACAGUUACCUUUCCUGUAAAUAACAACAAUGCCACGGUUGAAAUAUUAACUGGAUCGAACUUCAAGAGAUGGAAGCAAGAUAUAGAGUUUGCUUUGGGCAUCAUUGAUAUGGACUUGGCUCUACGUGAGGAUGAACCUACCAGGCCCAAUGAUCAAAGUACUGCAGAUCAAAAGGCCCAUUAUGCUCGAUGGGAAAAAUCUAAUCGACUGAGCCUCAUUGCUAUGAAGAGGUCUAUUGCUGAGCAUUUGAUUAGUGGUUUGCCUGAAGAUACGAAUGCCAGACAAUUCCUUGAAGCAGUGGGAGAAAGAUAUAGAGUCUCAAAUAAGGCUGAAGCUGGGAACUUGCUGAGUGAGUUAACGAACAUGAGGUAUGAUGCUGCUAUGGGUGAGAGAAUUUAUACUGAAGAUGGUCCACAUUCAGUCCAAACUUAAGGCCCAUGAAAUUGUUCUUUCUGAAAAUUAUAUUGUGCAUCAAGCCUUAAAUGUUUUGCCAGCUGAAUUUAGCCAGAUUAAGACUGCUUAUAAUGCUCAAAAUGAGACAUGGAGUGUUAAUGCCUUGAUUACUAAGUGUGUGACUGAGGAAGAGAAAUUAAAGAAGGAAAAGUAUGAGUCUGCCCACUUAACUACCAAUGCCAAGUUGAGUUCAUAUAGAGGCAAAUGGAAGCCUAAGGGGUCAAAUGCUCAUGGCCCAAAGAAAUGGCAAGACUUUAGGAAAAAUGAGAACUAUGUGAGGAAUGGAGAUAAGGAUUUUAAAUGUUUUCACUGCAAGAAGCAGGGUCACAAGAGAGCCAAUUGCUACAAAUUUCGAGCUUGGCUAAAAACAAGAAAAGAAAGUCACCAAGGUGAGUUGUUGGUUUGUUUUGAAUCAAAUUUGGUUGAUGUUCCUUUGGAUUCUUGGUGGCUUGAUUCUGGUGCUACUGUUCAUGUGACUACUACCUUACAGGGUCUCACAAAUCUAAGGAGUCCAAGUCUAAGGGAGUCAAAGCUUAAAGUUGGAAACAAUACUGGAGUUGAUGUGGAGCGUAUAGGGACAGUUGUUUUGAAUUUAGAUUCUGGUUUUCAGCUUGUCUUAAACAAUGUCUUUUAUGUUCCUAAUUUUAGGAGAAACUUAGUAUCUCUUUCUUCACUUGACAAAGCUAGAUAUUGUUUUCAUUUUGCGAAUAAAAGAGUGGAUUUGAGUUAUGAUUCCAGAAUUAUUGGGAAUUGUGUUUUGUUUGAUGGAUUAUAUCGAUUAUCCUUAUCUCCCGAUAGACCAUAUUGCUCUUUCAAUGUCGAGAAUGUUGUUGCUAAGAGAUCUUUGAUUAAAGAUAGAUCUUCAUUGCUAUGGCAUAAGCGAUUGGGGCAUAUCUCAAAAGAACGGGUAAAACGACUUAUCAUGGCUGAUAUUCUCCCUCCUCUUGACUCAGAUGAUAUUGAGACUUGUAUUGAUUGUGUAAGGGGAAAAUUAACUAAAACAAAGAAGAAAGGUGCUACUUGUAGUCAAAGUCUAUUGGAGAUAAUUCAUACUGAUAUUAGUGGGCCAUAUUCAACCACCUUGUGUGGAAAUAAAUACUUCAUCACGUUCAUUGACGAUUUCUCCCGUUAUUGUUAUAUUUAUCUAAUUAAGGAGAAGACUGAUGCUCUUGACAUAUUUAAAGUGUUUCGUAUUGAAGUUGAGAAACAAUUAGGAAAAAUUAUCAAAAUUGUCAGAUCUAAUCGUGGUGGUGAGUAUUAUGGGCGAUAUACUGAGGUUGGACAACAAAAGGGACCGUUUGCAAAAUAUUUGCAGGACUGUGGUAUUGUUGCUCAAUAUACAAUGCCUGGGAGUCUUGAGCAAAAUGUGUAGCUGAACGGCGAAAUCGCACACUCAUGGAGAUGAAACGAAGUAUGAUGGGCAGUUCUAAUUUGCCUGAAUACUUAUGGGGUGAUGCGAUUAAAACGGCAACUUAUAUAUUGAAUCCUGUACCUAGUAAAUCGGUGCCGAAAACACCUUUUGAAUUGUGGAUGGGAGGAAACCUAGCUUGAAUCAUUUUCGAGUUUGGGGUUGUCCUGCAGAGGUGAAAAUUUAUGAUCCUUCUCAGAAGAAGACCGAGUCCAGGACUACUAGAUGUUAUUUUAUUGGAUAUCCUGAUCAUUCUAAAGGGUAUAGAUUUUAUUGUUCUGCUCGAGGCACUAGAAUCGUUGAAUCUCAAACUACCAAAUUCCUGGAAUUAGAUGUUGCUGAAAAGAAUUCUUCUCAAUCUUUUGAAAUGGAAGAACCAAAUAAAACGGUCUCUAUUCCAUUGCCUAUAUUACAUGAUGAUUCUAUGCGAGAUCCUUGUCGCGACCUCUUUUUUUUGGCGCUCACAAUUAGGUGCGAGCGCCUAAGGAGGCUAAUGGCUCAGCUGAAAUUAAUUAUGCCCGAACUCUCCCAAGUCCACAAAUUCAUGACUUUAAUAGUUUGAGUUUUUAACCUAUGGAGUGGGUCGAUUAGAAACCCAAGUGAAGUAUCGGGAGAAAUACUUGCUCCUGAGCAACUAGAGAAAUUAGGAUCAGAGACUUGAUUACACUAGUUAAUCACUAAUGCCCUUUCGGUACCUAAUCUUGUUUAAACCCUAAGGCUUUUUUGGAUGUUAGAGAGAUUUUCCAUGCAUUUUUGGGAGGAAAAACAUUUUUUUGAGUCAUUUUCUAAUUUUUUGACGCAAAAGGGAUUUUUUGGGAUUUUUUUUUGGAAAAACACAAGUCUUUUUGGCUUUUCUGAAUUUUUUUUGGCUUUUUCAUGAAUUUUUGGCUUUUUUUUGGAUUUUUGGCAUAUUUUUUAUUUUUUUUGGAAAAUAAAAUAUUUUUUUAAUAUUUUUCAAAAUAUUUUUGGAAAAUAAAUUAUUUUUGAUUUUUCUCGAUUUUUUAGAAAAUAAAACAUUUUUCGACAUUUUUUUAAAUAUUUUUCGAUUUUCUGGAAAUUAAAAAAAAAUUUAAUAUUUUUUUGAAAAUAAAACACUUUUUGAUUUUUUUAAAUAAAAUAUUUAUUUGAAUUAUUUUAUAUUAAAAUAACAAAAUAAAACCGACCCGGGUCGGAUCCACGGGUCGGGUCCAACCUGGGUUGGCGACCCAAACGCGGACAAGCCCGCAUUGCGGGCCCGACUCGGAUUUUUCAUCUUUUUUUUUUAAAUUUUAUUAAAACGAUGCUGUGGUCGGGCGUUUGGGGAUGCUCGGCCCGGCCCGACGACCCAGAUCCAUUGACCCGCUCCGCGACCCGGCUCCCUGCGAACCCUACCCGACCCGGAUCCGAAUCGCGACCCGACUCCUGCCGCCCCCCGAAUCUCGCGAAACCUACCCGGUUCCGAGACCCGGAUCCGACUCGGCGACCUGGAAAAUCGCAAACCCUAGGGUUUGCGAAUCCGUGGCGCCGAGGGGGGGACCAAGGUGCUUAGCGGCGGCGGCGACUACAGCGGCGACGACGAAGGCAACAACGGCGAUGGCAACGCUAACGGCGGCGCUCUUUUUUUUUACCUUCUCUCGAACGAGGACGGCGACGGUAACAAUGCCAGAUCGAAGGCAGCAGCGGCGGAGGCGCUCGGCAGCACGGCGGGGUUUUGCACAGCAGCGGCGUCGGGGGGUGUGACGGGGACGGCACGGCUCAAUGAUGGUGACGGAACCCUGCUCUUCGAAGUUCACUCAGAUUUGGACGACGUCGGGGAAAGCGGCGGCGGCGAGGUGUGAGGACGUCGGCACGGCAAGAUCUGGGGCAGUAGCAGCGUCGGGGCGGGGAACAGCAACGACAGAGCAGUGGUUGCAGGUGGUGGAGAGCUUCCGGCUUCCUAAAUCUGGCCCUCCCUCCUCCGGCUGACCUCGUUCAACCCUUAUUUCACAAAUCCAGGUGCUCGGAUCUACCUUCCUUGGGCUCAAUCUUCUCUCACUCAGGCCAGAUCCGAGCCUCCACCAGCCGGAUCUGACCUUCUCGAAGUCGCUUGCGGUCGGCCUUCCCCGAAGUCUCUCGGUGGAAGGUGGGCUGAGUUUGCAACUCGAGUUCUCUCCCGCGCUUGCCCUUCAAUCCUUCCCGAUGUCUCUCAGUGAAGGAUCUCCGAGCUCGCCCGUGCCGUUCUUCGAUGAAGGUGGUGCCCUUUUAUAGGCGAGGGAAUCCAAUCGACGGAGCUUCGACCGCCGGUCCCCUUCGUGCGCCGAGCGGUUCUCCUCGGCUGAACCGGCGUCCCAUCCGAGCUCAUCCAGCGAAGCAUGCUCGGCAUUGAUGGCGCUCGUGAUCUUAUCUCUCCGGCUGACGUCGGCCUACUCCCCUCGGCCGUAGGCCGUCCUUUGCGCUCGUCAUCGUCUUCUGCGCGUGAACUACAGNNNNNNNNNNNNNNNNNNNNNNNNNNNNNNNNNNNNNNNNNNNNNNNNNNNNNNNNNNNNNNNNNNNNNNNNNNNNNNNNNNNNNNNNNNNNNNNNNNNNNNNNNNNNNNNNNNNNNNNNNNNNNNNNNNNNNNNNNNNNNNNNNNNNNNNNNNNNNNNNNNNNNNNNNNNNNNNNNNNNNNNNNNNNNNNNNNNNNNNNNNNNNNNNNNNNNNNNNNNNNNNNNNNNNNNNNNNNNNNNNNNNNNNNNNNNNNNNNNNNNNNNNNNNNNNNNNNNNNNNNNNNNNNNNNNNNNNNNNNNNNNNNNNNNNNNNNNNNNNNNNNNNNNNNNNNNNNNNNNNNNNNNNNNNNNNNNNNNNNNNNNNNNNNNNNNNNNNNNNNNNNNNNNNNNNNNNNNNNNNNNNNNNNNNNNNNNNNNNNNNNNNNNNNNNNNNNNNNNNNNNNNNNNNNNNNNNNNNNNNNNNNNNNNNNNNNNNNNNNNNNNNNNNNNNNNNNNNNNNNNNNNNNNNNNNNNNNNNNNNNNNNNNNNNNNNNNNNNNNNNNNNNNNNNNNNNNNNNNNNNNNNNNNNNNNNNNNNNNNNNNNNNNNNNNNNNNNNNNNNNNNNNNNNNNNNNNNNNNNNNNNNNNNNNNNNNNNNNNNNNNNNNNNNNNNNNNNNNNNNNNNNNNNNNNNNNNNNNNNNNNNNNNNNNNNNNNNNNNNNNNNNNNNNNNNNNNNNNNNNNNNNNNNNNNNNNNNNNNNNNNNNNNNNNNNNNNNNNNNNNNNNNNNNNNNNNNNNNNNNNNNNNNNNNNNNNNNNNNNNNNNNNNNNNNNNNNNNNNNNNNNNNNNNNNNNNNNNNNNNNNNNNNNNNNNNNNNNNNNNNNNNNNNNNNNNNNNNNNNNNNNNNNNNNNNNNNNNNNNNNNNNNNNNNNNNNNNNNNNNNNNNNNNNNNNNNNNNNNNNNNNNNNNNNNNNNNNNNNNNNNNNNNNNNNNNNNNNNNNNNNNNNNNNNNNNNNNNNNNNNNNNNNNNNNNNNNNNNNNNNNNNNNNNNNNNNNNNNNNNNNNNNNNNNNNNNNNNNNNNNNNNNNNNNNNNNNNNNNNNNNNNNNNNNNNNNNNNNNNNNNNNNNNNNNNNNNNNNNNNNNNNNNNNNNNNNNNNNNNNNNNNNNNNNNNNNNNNNNNNNNNNNNNNNNNNNNNNNNNNNNNNNNNNNNNNNNNNNNNNNNNNNNNNNNNNNNNNNNNNNNNNNNNNNNNNNNNNNNNNNNNNNNNNNNNNNNNNNNNNNNNNNNNNNNNNNNNNNNNNNNNNNNNNNNNNNNNNNNNNNNNNNNNNNNNNNNNNNNNNNNNNNNNNNNNNNNNNNNNNNNNNNNNNNNNNNNNNNNNNNNNNNNNNNNNNNNNNNNNNNNNNNNNNNNNNNNNNNNNNNNNNNNNNNNNNNNNNNNNNNNNNNNNNNNNNNNNNNNNNNNNNNNNNNNNNNNNNNNNNNNNNNNNNNNNNNNNNNNNNNNNNNNNNNNNNNNNNNNNNNNNNNNNNNNNNNNNNNNNNNNNNNNNNNNNNNNNNNNNNNNNNNNNNNNNNNNNNNNNNNNNNNNNNNNNNNNNNNNNNNNNNNNNNNNNNNNNNNNNNNNNNNNNNNNNNNNNNNNNNNNNNNNNNNNNNNNNNNNNNNNNNNNNNNNNNNNNNNNNNNNNNNNNNNNNNNNNNNNNNNNNNNNNNNNNNNNNNNNNNNNNNNNNNNNNNNNNNNNNNNNNNNNNNNNNNNNNNNNNNNNNNNNNNNNNNNNNNNNNNNNNNNNNNNNNNNNNNNNNNNNNNNNNNNNNNNNNNNNNNNNNNNNNNNNNNNNNNNNNNNNNNNNNNNNNNNNNNNNNNNNNNNNNNNNNNNNNNNNNNNNNNNNNNNNNNNNNNNNNNNNNNNNNNNNNNNNNNNNNNNNNNNNNNNNNNNNNNNNNNNNNNNNNNNNNNNNNNNNNNNNNNNNNNNNNNNNNNNNNNNNNNNNNNNNNNNNNNNNNNNNNNNNNNNNNNNNNNNNNNNNNNNNNNNNNNNNNNNNNNNNNNCACUUAAAAGGGUUGGAACACCUGGAUAGCCACAGGUGUACAAAGUACUGGGAUACUUGGAUGAACACAAGUAUUUAAUGAUACAACCUGGGACCACUCAGUUGGUCCAAGUGUAAGAAAGCAUACCUAGGUAGGCGCAAGCACACAAAGCAGUGGAAUGCUUGAACAGCAGCUAUUAUUUGGGGACAACUCACGCAAGUUGAGUGUCAUGAAAAGGAAGUACCUAGACAAGGGUGGGUACUUGAUGAUAUGGGGAUACCUAGAUAGCAGUAGGUAUUCCAAGAGAUACUUGGUCAGUCACAAGUAUCAAUACUCUGGGGACAACUCGUACAGGUCGAGUGUCAGAAAAAGGGAGUAUCCAAAUGGUGACCGGUACUCAAAGACAAUAGGGAUACCUAGACAGCAGUAGAUAUUCAAGGAUAAAGGGAUACUUGGUCAGUCACAAGUAUCAAUACUCUGAGGACAACUCGAAUAGGUCGAGUGUUAAGAAAAAGGAGUAUCCGGAGGGUAGCCGAUACUCAAAGACAAUGGGAUGCUAAGACAGUUGCAAGCAUCGAAACUCAAGAGACAAUUCGAAUAGGUCGAGUGUCAAGAAGAGAGUACCCGGACAGUGAUAGGUACUUUAAGACAAAUGGGGAUAGAGAUAUGCUUACUUGGCAAUAUCUCUGAUCUCUAAGAGUAUGUCUGCUAUUUGCAUAGUAUGCACACAUGAUUGUAUAUGUUGUAAAUUCAUGAGUUCAAAUGAGAUUCAUGCAGGAUAAUUUUGUUAAUUUUGCAUCAUAUGAUUUCCACUGGGGAAGAUUUUGAAAGACAACCCUCAUUUAGAAUGUAGAUGUCUUGAGCAUGCCAGAUGAGGGACUUUAAGUCUGGAAAGACUUUCCGCUCACUCUCAUGGAAAAGGCUAUCCUGACCAUUGAUGUAGGAUUCAUAAGGACCACACUAUCUCACUGUCAUCAUGUCAGUAGGGGUCUGAGUAUUCUCGCAAGUGGUACAACUUUACCAAUGUGAGAGGUCUUUGUCGAAAUUGUGAUGAAGACUUGGUCAACGGCUCAUCAAAUGGGACCGUCAAGGUUAAGGCUUAUGAACAAAGUGCCACACGAUCAUCUCCGAGUUUGCAAGUCAAGAAUCCUGCGAAAAGAGAUAGAGUAAUCUUGCUUGUACUUCUUCGAGCGAUGCUUAUGAACAUAUGAAAUCCUACAUUAAUUGAAGUGCCCUUAGUCUGAAGAGACUUUUACAAUGGGAUAUAAUGUAGGCUUGAUUCAUGUGUGAAAAGGUAGAGCUGGUGAUUGCCUUGACAUUUGUCACCAGUCUUUCUUCUCAUUGUCAAAUGGAGGUUCUAUGGACCACAACAGCAACUUUUUCUUGGCUGUAUUUUUGACUGGGGGGCAUUGGCCUUGCUUUUACCGUGCACACUGCUUUUUCCAUGUCCUUAUUUUUAUUCCAGUUCUUCAUUUAUGGGCAUUUACCUUGCUUUUACUAGGUACAUUGAUUUUUUAUGCCCAUGUUUUUUCAUUCUUGUCGUUGGAGGAACUGGCCUAGGCAAGUUCAAUCGAAGCAUCGUUAUUAGACUCUUGAGUCUUCAUCUUCAGUAGGUGCUUUGGGCUAUGCUGCUUAAAUGGUAGUAACUUCUGUUUUGUCUCAAUGUGAGGGUAAAAUUACAAACUCACUUAGGUUGUACAAUGAAUACAAGUGCAUAGAGAAAGAAAUGCUCUUCGUCAAGAAAUGCUCUUCGUCAUUCUAGGGCACUUAAAUUAAUGUGAGUGUUCAUAUGCAAUAAAGACAUCCAAAGAUUGAUGCAAGUGCGAGCAAGAAAAUUUUUAUCUCUCUUCUCACCUUGUGAUGCUGCUUCGCUUCUAAUCUGCCCCGGUGUAGGGGUUGUUCUUGAUGGGUGUAUGAGAGAAGCUUCACCAAUGUAUGGGGCUCAAUGGGGUGAGUGAUGGAAUGCCUCUCACUAUUUUGGUUAUCAUACCAUUCGCAAGAGAACUCUUUACCUUGCAGCCAUGGAAUCUUCUGCACUCAUCUCACAAGUGUAUAGAUGGGGGACUGUGUAUAGGAUAUGGCUUGCCUUUCAUCAUUCUGACACGCCUCAUCCAACAUGCUCAAUUAAUCUUGUAUUCCUCACUUAGCUGUCUAUUUUAAUAAUCCUUAGUGGAAUCAGUGACUUAGACAGGCAAAAUCAUUAUGCAGAAUUCAUCUGGAAAUGACAUGCAACAUUUCAAAUAUGAUGGAGUUUGAACUCUUCAAAACAAGUGAAUGGUUUUGACUCAAAAAAGACCCAAUUGACAACUUUAGGGGCUAACAUAAUGGUAUUUCCAAAUACAUUAGAUUUUGAACAUCAAAAGGGUUAUUCGCAAAUGGGUGUCGAUAGUUGUCCUUAUUGGUUAGGGAUAUGACACAUGAAGGAUCAGCCAGGGUUGGGAAUCUGAUCGAGCCUCUUUGCUUUUGCCCCUGCAGAAGAGAAGAUGUACAAGUAGAUCAAUUAGUCUGGCCAAAAUUAAAUGUGGGUUGAGGCUUGAAGAUUUUCUGUCAUUUGCUUUGGUGAUUACUGAAGACGCCAUUUCAUUUAGGAGAGUUUGUCAUGCCUCUCAUUGAUUAUUAUCCUUGUCAAGUGAUCCUGCAACAAGACAUGCUUCUCGUUGAUUUGUUAUCCUUGCUUUUGACAGUCAGGUGAUCCUGCAACAAACAAGAGGGAAUGUGUUAGUCAUGAACUCUUUCAAGAGUCGAAUAACUGGAAUCGAUACAACUUUACCCUUCAUUGGCUUGUAGAUGAUUGGGUGAACCUGAAGUGAGAAGGGGGACACGAAGUCCUAUGUCCCUUGUUUCAUUAGGUCAAUUAUUCUCUGAAUUAGCUCCUGGAUAUCAUGUCUUUUUACACGAAGCUAGGUAAAUUUGAUGUAGGUCAUUUCCAUGUACUAGCUUGGCCAAUAUUGAUUUGCCUAACCAUCAAAUUUGGCUCUUGAAUCCUAGCGCUUCCUGCCAAUAGGGGAAAUAUGUCAAAAGUGAAUUCAAAGAGGGGGGAGUAUUGGAAACGAUACCAAAUUAUUCUUCCCCAAAGUUUGUAUUUUGCUAACUCCUGAUGAUGUUUGAAUGUCGAUGACAGCCUUUUCGUCUUGGCAUAGUUUGACAUUUCUUUCGAUUGGCCUUCCUCACUUGUGACCAUGUAUGCAUGAUUGUUGGUCGUUGAUUCAUCUUCGACGCUUUCCUUAUGUGGAAUUUCUCCUCCUGUCUUUAACUAUAGCAUCAUGGGGCAAAAGUCAUGUACCUCAAGCUUCUAUGGAAUCUGAGAUCAAAAGUCUCAAGCUUUCUAAUGGCAAUUACUCCUCAGAAGAAUACACGUCUGGAGUGAAGUUUCUAGAUUCCAACAUCAUUUUCCAGGGUGUGGGGCUAUAGGUCGCUUUGACUGUCUAGAUUUUCUCCCUGUUGACAGUAAUCACUUUAAAGGAAGAGAAGCAAAUCCUUCUUUGUGCUUCUUGGCUCGUUGAAGCUGGAAGUCCUGUCAAUGAACUUGGGACAUCCUGCCUUGAGCUAUCAUGCUAUGCAUGCUUCAAGUUUGAUAAUAUGCCUGUGCCUAUUACAUCCCAUCCUUCGUUUCCUGUAGAUGGAAGAGAGAGGAUGUCAUUUUCGACAUUAUGUUCAGGGAAUAGGACUUACCAUUUUGAAACGUGAUGAUCCUUUAUGUUUGCCCCUACUUUCUUGGGAGGGUGUCAUUGAAUUCGAUGAGUUCACAUAAUGUGCUUGCUUCAAAUGCCCCCUGUCACACUAAGUCAAAGGGGACGGGAAUGAUUUUCUGAGACAUGAAGUGAGUGAGUCAAAAAGACAAACAUGAUUAAAUUUAUCAUCUUUUUUUGAAAUAUUUUGGUGAUGAAGUGUUUUUUGUUUUCAAAAUAUGUAUUCGGGGGAGAAAAAGCAUGGUUGGAUAGCACCAUCAGGCUGGUUUGGAGUACCGCCUCAUGCUCUUAAAACAAAAUAUUAUAACUACACAAUAGAGUACUUGGAAUGGAAUAUACAACCGUAGCACACUAGAUAAGAUAAGAAACAUGAAAUUAUAAAAACAAGUAAAACCCAUGAAAACUCCUAUGUAAAGGAGUGCUUUGAUAGUGUUGGUUCUAAAAUCAAGCGCCUUUGAGUUCCUCGCCUCCAGUAGACUCGAAGUAUUCACAUGAGAGGACCACUUCAUUGAAGCUAUGGAAAUGCAACCCAUACAACCAACAACGAUACUUGCGAGGUAAAGCCCGUAUGAAUAGCUUUAUCAGCUUUAUCAUCUCUUCUUCAACCAACUGAGGGUAAGUUUGCAUCAUAAAAGCCUCCCACCUUCUUGCAUAUGCUCGGAAAUCCUCCAUUGGUCUUUUUCUGAAGUGAACUAAGUUCUGACAAGGCACUUCAGUUCCAAUCUGGCGUUGAUACUGAAGCAGGAAUGCAGAAGACAGCUCAUUCCAAUCUCUCAUGAGGUAGAUAUCUACUGUGAUGAACCAUUGUAAUACAGAUCUCGUAAGACUCUCUUGGAAGGCCUGAGUUGUGAAUGACAUCGGGCCAUAGUACCGACUCAUUUCAGCAUGGAGGUACUGCAAGUGGACCACGGGGCAAGUCGUGCCGUUAUACUUGCGAAGAUUAGGUAUCCACAUCUCUCCAUGGGUCAUGAUCCUAUGAGUGCAAGACGAGUUUGAUGUAUCCUGGUUAGGCCACUGGUUUUUCCAUUGCAUAUCUGUUGUAGUGGUGAAUUUUUCUGUUUCAGGGAAGUUGGAUUCUAUCCAGAUUACCCCAUUGCUUUCUUCUUGGUCAAAAUUUCCAAAUGAGGAUAAAAUAUUGAAGCUAUCCUCAUGGUCAGAGGACAAGCUUAGUACUUCGUUAGGAUCAUAGCGGAUAAAGACGUAUGCUUCCUCUUCUGACGGGCCUUCAUCCCUGGAUGAGAGUAGGAAACAGUUAUAUGAUGAAUCGUCAGUUCAUUGUUAAAAUAACGCUGGAAGUCCUUGGGGUCGUAUUCUAUAGCCUUCAAAGCUGUAUUCUUGGGAAUGCUUGAAGCCUUGGUGCGGUGGCUCGUCAGCAGGUGCUGUAUUGAUUUGCUUAGGCUUUCUUUUCUUGACCUUUAGUCCAGACCUUUUGAGUAAGGCCCUUCAUUUUGCCAGCUCGAUUCUAUCAAGGGAAGUGAGAGACAUUAGAGUUUUACUGUCUGAUUCGCUUUCCAGGUUGAUAAGGGUCGGUAUUUUUUUUGACCCUAGCUCUUGGAGUAAGCUUGGGGAGUCGUCCAGUUGUGCCCCGGUCUUGAACAUGCUCUGUGUCUUUGAUCUCGUACAAAGGCUCCUUGCCUUUCCUAGUGGGAAAUUUUCCAAUAACAGGGUGUUGUUCAGCUGCCCAUUUAUCAUGCAAGGCUUUAUUGACAUGUUCUUCUCCUAACUCAGCAACUAACGGUUCCUCGUGCUUUGCGAUCAUCAGCUCUUCAUAAGGCAAGGCUAUGUCAGGGCUGAUGUUAAUAUCAUAUUCUUGGUGAAAAACAUGAAUUAGUUGCCUCUAGGUUUUAAGGAGACUAAUCUUCCUGACAACGUACCAUCGCAAGGUAGGGGCGGUCAAGCUCGAUUGGUUCGAUUGAAUCAUCCUUCAGAUUAGGUAGGCCUGCAAGUAGGUCUCUGGGUGGGAGGUAUCAACGUUCCUUUCACAUUCAGGUGCUUUGAGCUCUUCAGGAAUCUCAAUGCCGGCGUAAAUGGACAGGUCCAUGGGAUUCUGCUCCUGCAGCUAGCUUAACUUUUUCAUGAUCUUUUCAAACUGUCUAUGGUACUGGCUAUUUACUGGCAAAUUUGUAGGUGUCAUGACGGUGUUUGAGGCAACUAUAAAGUUGGGCUCAGCUUGAGUGAAUUUCAUUUGUCUUGAGAGUUGUUGAAGGACAAUGGACAUCUGUCCUACGCUGUCUUCAAUGUUAAUAAGGCGAUUUUGUACAUCAUUCUGAUCAGGCCCUAUUACUUGAGGCCAUUCGCAGGUGAUUGGUGGCCGGCGAUUCAUAAUUACCUGUUUAUUGAGAAAACAAUAAAUGAGCAUGGAAGUAAACAAAGAUUGACCCAUGGCAAUGGUCUAACUGCUUUUUUUAUUUAUCAAAAGAGGANNNNNNNNNNNNNNNNNNNNNNNNNNNNNNNNNNNNNNNNNNNNNNNNNNNNNNNNNNNNNNNNNNNNNNNNNNNNNNNNNNNNNNNNNNNNNNNNNNNNAAAUGAUAGAAUGAAAUACUAGAUAUUAACCAAAACUAAACAUUGGGACGGAAACUUUCACACUAUUAAUAUUAAGGGGCACAUGAUUGCCAAUUUAUAUGCGACAGGGAGCCUUGUUCUUGCGAGAACGCAUGCUUCCUUGAACUGGCUCUGAGGUGUGCAUCCAGUCCAUUCCCAAAUCCCUAUCCAUGAGCUCUGCUUGCUCGUGCUGGCUGCUCUCGCUGAUUGAGUGAGGGACUGAUGGCUUCCAUUUUUUCGGGAUGCGAUGGUUGUGGAUGUAGGACAUGGAGGCGUGGUGGGCUUUUUCUUCUCCCUCAAGCCCUUUAGGUAUCACAAUCCUUUUGCGAUGGUAGCUGCCCCAGGUUUCCUCAGCGGUAGCAAUUUCGAAUGCAUAGUCACGGCUUGUGUUGAAAAGAACUGGAGGGAUCAUCAUCUUGAAAGGCGAUGGGAUCUCCUAAAGGGAUCCAUAUUGUCAUGCUACUUGAUACGGGUAAUAGGGAAUGGCGCCGGUGAGGCCGAGUAACGGAAUUGGGCGGGUGAGUAUGUAAGCAAAGCGGGCCCUCUUUUCAUGGAACCAACCAGCACACCAUUGGAAUGCCUCAGGAGCUGGGUCUCUUAGGAAGCUUACCCAAUUUAAACAGCUUUGAUUGGGAAUAUACGGUCCUAAAACCAUAAAUUUUUGUAAUGGAUUUUCAAAAGCAUUUGUUUCAGACGAUCGCAUGAAGUCUCGAAAUUCACUUAAGUGAGAAAAGAACUAGACUUGUAAAAUUUCAGGAGAGGCUCGCAUGAUUUUCUCCGAGUCGUCUUUAAAACGAUUAAAGGACAAGAAUGUUUUAGUUAAAAUCAUGUUGACAUAAUUCCCCCCUCUUAAGAUCUAAUUAACUAUCCAUGCCAUCUUGGGAGUUAUGGCAUUUCUUUGAUGGGGGAACAUGAUGAGCCCGAAAAAGGCCAGGAGGAAAAUCUCAAUUUUCUGGGUCAUAGGCUGAUUUUGGAAACAGGCAUUCAUAAAUUCUAGUGGGCAAGUAUUAUGAUUGUCUUCAAGAAUUUGCCUCAUGACAUGGAUUUCAGUUCCUAAAAGUCAUGCUAACCCACGCCAUGGGAGGGCGCCUGUCGAUGGCCUGACAAGCUUUUACUCGAGAGGCAUUCCAGUGAUGAUGUUGUAUUCUUCCAGGGUUGGGGUUAGCUCAAACCUACCGAAUAUAAAAGUAAUUGUCUUCGGGCACCGAAAAUGUGCCAUGGCUUGUAAAACUUCAGGACAAACAGUGAUUUGAAUCAACGAUAGGAGAUGACCGACUUUGGCCUUCACGCACUCUUAGGCAAACUGAUCUAAUUGACCCCACUAUCUGAAGAGCUUCGCCUUGGGAGUAGGAAUGAACUGGAUAUCAUCUUUCCCCAUCGCAUAUAAACUAGGCUUUGAAAGGCUUAUCCUAAAUUGCCAUGGGCCAAAUAAAAAGACUGAGUAACAGUAAAGAAAUUACUUUUGCUUUUUAAAGAAAAAUGGCAAGCACAAAGACAUGCGCGUGAGACGUUCAGCUUGAUUUCUAACUGAGAAGUAUUGUUGAAAUUAAAAAGAUAUCCGCCCGUCGCAGUCUCGCGUUAGCAGCAUACCCUCCUAACCUCAGUUAAGAAAUUCGGGGAAAAGAAAGGCAACCUCUACAUCGCAGUCUCGCGUUCGAGGUUGUAUCAUUCUUAACACCAUCCUAAAAAUCAUAUGGCGGCCCAGGUCUGGCGGCCGGGUUGUGUGUGCCAUGUGUAGUGCUAAAACAUUUAAGGAUGCACAGCAGUUUAUAUUCACAAAACAUUUUAUUUUAACAUAAUAAAAAAACUCUAAGCUAUUACCCUGCACAAAAGAAAAAAAAAAGUCAAUAAAUGGUUUAAACAAGAUAAAAUGGCCUAAGUCCUCAAAUGUCCCCAGCGCAGUCGCCAAGCUGUUGCGACCUCUUUUUUUCGGCGCCCGCAAUCGGGUGUGAGCGCCUAAGGAGGCUAAUGGCCUGGCUAAAAUUAAUUAUAACCGAACUCUCCCAAGUCCACCAAUUCAUGACUUUAAUAGUUUGAGUUUUUAACCUAUAAAUCAAUUUUUAAAAUGGAGUUGCCACUAAUCGAUUUGGAGUGGGUCAAUUAGAAACCCAAGCGAAGUAUCGGGAGAAAUACUUGCUCCUGCGCAACCAGAGAAAUUAGGAUCGGGGACUUGAUUACACUACUUAAUCACUAAUGCCCUUCCGGUACCUAAUCUUGUUUAAACCCGAAGGUUUUUUGGAUGUUUGAGAGAUUUUCCAUGCAUUUUUGGGAGGAAAAACAUUUUUUUUUUAGUCAUUUUCUAAUUUUUGGACGCAAAAGGGAUUUUUUGGGAUUUUUUUUGGAAAAACACAAGUCUUUUUGGCUUUUCUGAAUUUUUUUUGGCUUUUUCAUGAAUUUUUGGCUUUUUUUGAUUUUUGGCUUUUUUUGAUUUUUGGCAUAUUUUUUAUUUUUUUUGGAAACUAAAAUAUUCUUUAAUAUUUUUCAAAAUAUUUUUGGAAAAUAAAUUAUUUUUUAUUUUUCUCAAUUUUUAGAAAAUAAAACAUUUUUCGACAUUUUUUAAAUAUUUUUUGAUUUUUUGGAAAUUAAAACAUUUUUUAAUAUUUUUUUUGAAAAUAAAACACUUUUUGAUUUUUUUAAAUAAAAUAUUUAUUUGAAUUAUUUUAUAUUAAAAUAACAAAAUAAAACCGACCCGGGUCGGUGACCCAAAUGCAGACGCAGGCUCGACUCGAAUUUUUCAUCUUUUUUUUUUUAAUUUUAUUAAAACGAUGCCGUGGCUGCGCAUUUGGGGACGCCCGGCUCGGCUCGACGACCCGGAUCCAUUGACCCACUCCGCGACCCGGCUCCCUACGAACCCUACCCGACCCGAAUCUGCAUUGCGACCCGACUCCCGCCGCCCCCCGAAUCUCGCAAAACCCUACCCGGUUCCGAGACCCGGAUCUGACUCGACGACUCGGAAAAUCGCAAACCCUAGGGUUUGCGAAUCCGCGGCGCCGAGGGGGGGACCAAGGUGCUUGGCGGCGACGGCGACUACGGCGGCGACGACAAAGGCGACAACGGUGACGGCAACACUAACGGUGGCGCUCUUUUUUUUAACCUUCUCUCGAACGGGGACAGCGACGGCAACAAUGCCAGAUCGAAGGCAGCAGUGGUGGAGGCGCUCGGCGGCACGGUGGGGUUUUGCAUAGCUGCGGCGUCGGGGGGUGUGACGGGGACGGCACGGCUCAAUGAUGGCGACGGAACUCUGCUCUCUGAAGUUCACUCAGAUUUGGACGACGUCAGGGAAAGCGACGGCAGCGAGGCGUGAGGACGGCGGCACGGCAAGAUUUGGGGCAGUAGCGGCGUUGGGGCGGGGAACAGCAACAACAGAGCAACGGUCGCAGGUGGCGGAGAGCUUCCGGCUUCCCAGAUCUGGCCCUCCCUCCUCCGGCUGACCUCGUUCAGCCCUUAUUUCACAGAUCCAAGUGCUCGCAUCUACCUUCCUCGGGCUCGAUCUUCUCUCACUCAGGCCAAAUCCUAGCCUCCACUGGCCGGAUCUGACCUUCUCGAAGUCGCUUGCGGCCGGCCUUCCCCGAAGUCUCUCGGUGGAAGGUGGGCUGAGCUCACGACUCGAGUUCUCUCCCGCGCUCGCCCUUCAAUCCUUCCCGAUGUCUCUUAGUGAAGGAUCUCUGAGCUCGCCCGUGCCAUUCUUCGACGAAGGUGGUACCCUUUUAUAAGCGAGGGAAUCCGGUCGACGGAGCUUCGACCGCCGAUCCCCUUCGUGCGCCGAGCGGUUCUCCUUGAUUGAACCGGCGUCCCAUCCGAGCUCAUCCAGUGAAGCAUGCUCGGCAUUGAUGGCACUUGCGAUCUUAUCUUCUCCGGCCGACGUCAGCCUACUCCCCUCGGCCGUAGGCGGUCCUUUACGCGCGUCGUCGUCUUCUGCGCGUGAACUACAGAGGCGAAGAAAGAAGGAGCGAGGAAGAAGAAGAGGGAAGAAGAAGAAGGAAGAAGGAGAAAAGGGGGGUGGGGCCAAGUCGCACGAGCCCACGUGAAGAAAAAAAGGGGGGCUGCUACUUUUUUUCGCUUUUUGCUUUUGUUGUUUUUAUUUGUUUUUAUUUGUUGUUUUUGUUAUUUGUUUUGUUUAUUAUACGAAAAAGGAAAAUAAAUGUAAAAAAAACCUAAUUAAAAAAACGAAAUUUAGGUGUCAACAAUCCUAACAGUGAGGAAAUUCAGCAAGUAAUAAAUACUGAAAAUAUGGCGAUAGAUCAUCCCAUAACAAAUGAAAUUCCCCAGAUGAAUGAUGUAGCUCCAGAAAUGCCUGUGCGAAGAUCACAGCGACAAAGAAGACCAACGCUUUUAAAUGAUUAUUAUGUCUAUCUUGGAGAAGCUGAUUUUGACAUUGGAAGUAUAGUUGACCCGACGACCUUCAAAGAAGCUCUUAAUAGUGAUCAGGCAGAUAAAUGGUUAGGAGCGAUGAAUGACGAGAUGAUGUCCAUGUCAACUAAUCAAGUAUGGAAACUUGUUGAUUUACCUGAUGGGCAUAAACCAAUCGGCUGCAAAUGGGUAUUCAAAACCAAGAAAGACAAUAAGGGUAACAUCGAGAGAUUCAAAGCAAGGUUAGUCGCAAAAGGGUACACACAGAGAGAGUAUUGAUUAUAAUGAAGUCUUUUCCCCAGUAUCUACUAUAGACUCUUUUCGGAUAAUCAUGGCUUUGGUGGCUCAUUUUGAUUUAGAGCUUCACCAAAUGGAUGUCAAGACAGCUUUUCUAAGUAGAGAUCUGAAUGAAGAAGUAUAUAUGCAGCAACCUGAAGGGUUCAAAGAAGCCGGAAAUGAGCAUAUGGUGUGCAAACUUCAAAGAUCCAUCUAUGGUCUCAAACAAGCAUCACGUCAGUGGUACUUAAAAUUUCACAAAGUUGUGAGAUCAUUUGGCUUUGAAGAAAAUAAGUUUGAUCAAUGCAUCUACAUGAAAGUAAGUGGGAGUAAAUAUAUUUUCUUAGUACUUUAUGUAGAUGACAUUUUACUUGCUAGCAGUGAUGUUGAUCUAUUGAAUGACACCAAAAAUUUUAUAUCUACAAAGUUUGAUAUGAAAGAUCUUGGGGAAGCCUCUUUUGUUCUAGGCAUUGAGAUUCAUCGUGACAGAUCUAAGAAAGUUCUGGGGUUAUCUCAGAAAGGUUAUAUAUAUCGUGUUUUGAAAAGAUUCGAUAUGCAAACCUGUAAGUCAGGUGAAGCUCCUGUUGUGAAAGGAGAUAAAUUGAGCAUAGAUCAAUGCCCCAAGAAUGAUGUUGAAAAGGAAGUCAUGAAAAAUGUUCCAUAUGCUAGUGCAGUUGGCAGUCUUAUGUAUGCACAAGUAUGUACCAGACCUGAUAUUGCUUUUGCUGUGAAUACUCUUGGAAGAUAUCUGUAGAAUCCAGGUCAAGAACAUUGGGUUGCAGUUAAGAAGGUGAUGAGAUAUCUACAACGGACAAAGGAUUUCAUGCUCGUUUAUAGCAAAGUUGAGGACCUAAAAGUGAUUGGAUAUUCAGAUGCUGAUUUUGCUAGUUGUUCAGAUGAUAGAAAAUCAACUUCUGGAUAUAUUUUUAUGAUGGCUGGAGGUGCUAUUUCUUGGAAGAGCACAAAGCAAACAUUGAUUACGAACUCUACAAUGUAUGCUGAGUUUGUAGCAUGCUACGACGCGUCGGUUCAAGCAGUUUGGCUCAGAAAUUUGAUCUCAGAAUUGCGUGUUGUGGACUUUAUUGCUAGACCUAUGGUGAUCUACCGUGACAACACUGCAGCUGUGUUUUAUUCCAAGUAUGACAAGAUUAGUAAUGCGUCUAAACACAUGGAGAUCAAAUAUUAUACUAUUAAGGACUUAGUAAAAAAUGGAGACGUUGUAAUUGAAAAUAUCAUAACUGAGUCCAUGUUGGCUGAUCCUCUAACAAAAGGCUUACGACCCAUUUUGUUUAAAGAACGUGUAAAGAAUAUGGGUGUUUUAGAAUCUUUUGAUUUCUUUUGUUAGUGGGAGUUAUAUAUUUUGUAUUUCUGGAUAUUAUAGUUAUAUGCAGACUGAUAAUACUUUUAUAAUGUCUAUUAAAGCAUUUAUUUUCAAUGAUUGUUGUUAUUGAUUCUAUUGUUAUCCUUUCUCCUGUUGAUUGAAAAAUGGAAAUAUAAAACAAUAUCUUUAAACAAAUUUUAGUUUAAAGAUGACUAGAUGUCACUGAUUAUGAGAUCUCAUAUUGGAUUGUGACAUAAUUGUACAAUUUCUUGUUGUUUAGAAAUCGCACUGAGGCAAUUUCAUGUUGUUUAGAAAUUGCGAUAAUGUAAUUUCAUGUCGUUGAGAAAUUGCAUUGAGGACCGAUAAAAAAUAGUGUAUAUCUUGAUCACAUGUUGGCACUAUUUCUUACUACACUACUAGGCCCAUGAUCCAUGAAAAUAUAAUACUUAUUAUAUGUGAUUAUGGAAGGUCUUGUGUUGUGGUAUUUUCUUAACACAUUGAUCUCCAUAGUCCUAUAUUGAGGUUAUAUAGGAUUGGAUUGGUAUUGAGAUGCGAUUAUUGGAAUAUUAUUUUAAAAGUUGUGGCCACAUAAAACAAAAUUUUAGUUAUUAACCCGAUAGUGUCGUUUUCAAUAUAAAAUCUUUUUCAAAAUAAAAUAAGUUAAUUAAUGUAGCCCAAGUGAGAGAAUGUUGGAAAUUUCCUAUAAUAUGGGCUUACAUUAAUUAAUUGAUUCUCUAUUUUAAAUAAUCGGUUUAAUGGAUAUUCCAAUAUUUGUUAAACCCUAAAAUGAUCUGAUUGAAUUGGGUAUUGGCGUCUAUUGUUAACGGGCCUAGUUGAGCAGCAAAGUGUAAGCAAUUGUGUUUAACUGAAGCCUGUAAUGGGAAGGGCCCAGUUGACACUCUAUUGAUUAGGGUUUGCUAGAUCCCCUCUCUAGCCUAUAAAAUGGUAGGUUAUACCAAUCAGUUGCUUUAAUCCUAUUGAAAGCUGCUAUAUCGAAAUAGGUCAUAGAGAGGAAAAUCUGGUAUUCCAAUAGAUCCCUGAUUAUCAAAGUGAUCUAGUUUUCUUAAAGUAAAGCAAUGGCUCAAACAGGUACGCUUUAAUUCUGCUGUAUUUAUUGAUCUUGGUGUUUUACAAUCAUGUAUGGAUCUGUUUGUUCUUAAUUGAUUAAAUAAUAUUCUACAGGCCUGUGAAGCUUAAUGUAGCUAUGAGUCCUCCCACCAGUAGUUGAACAUCCAUAAUUCUUUUUUUCGACAAAUUAAAGUUUUCUCGGUUGGCAAUAUUACUUCCUAUGGUUAUAGAGACAGAUGGUUGCCCCUCAACAAAUUGUUUGUCUAACCUCUUCUUACCAUAUUCAAUAAACCAGCCUUGAAAGCCCGGGAUUCCAUGAGAUCCUUCCAAUGGGGACCAAGCAUUGCAACGGUUGUCCCUCUAAAAAAGCACAUAAUAGAAUGUAUCAAUUAACAAGUGAAAGUUUUCCGAUAAAAUACUUCAAGACCCUCACACCCUCAAAAUCCAUUUAUAACACAUAGAACUUCUGGCAAGUGCUAAGAGGUCAUGGAGAAUUCAUUCAAGUAACAUCUUUUAGAUAAAGGUAAAUGGUAAAUAACACCCGUAAAUAGAGUUUCCUAGAGUAAACAAUUACAGUUAUGGGUAUGCUAUCCCAAUCCUAAUGUAUUAUCCAUUUCCUUCCUUUUAUUUUCUUUCUUUUUCCCCAUUUUGGCAUCGCCUAAUUUUAGAGAAUCCCAACAAAAAAUGUUUUGCAAUGUUUUCGAAUUAACUAAGAUUUAGACAAUUACUUUUGAACUAGUUGAAGACCCUCGUGUUGCCCAGAUUUGAACCUUAUACUUACUGAAAAAUUUUGUUUUGAUACAAUAAUAUGAUAAUAAAACAUAAUAUUUUACAAAAGUAUAUGUAUUUAUUUAUCAACUAGAUUACAAAAUUAACUAAUUUGAAACAUCGUAAAGUAAUAAACAAAAGCAUUGUAUAUCGACGCACAUAUUGGAACAACCAUAAUGACUCCUAUAAUGAGUUUAGAUUUAUUGACUAUUAUAUCCAAUAACAUCCAAGACAUUGAUAUUGAUCGACCAAAAAAAAGAUAUUGAUAUUUUGUUGUAGGAAAGAUUAAUGAUAGAGACAGCCCUCUUGUUUUUGUCCAAUUAGUAAUGGUUAGUUUGAAGCAGCUACAAAAAGAAGUCAAUAGAAUAAAUAAUUCUCAUAAUAGAUAGUGCUUUCAAUUUUUUUUUUAGUAGAUAUAUUAUUUAAUGAAAAUUGGGAAGUCAAUAGAAUUAUGAUGAAUUGAAUAUAUUCAUUGGAUAAUUUCAUCUCCCCCAAUACCACAUCAGAAUGCUUCCUUCUUUCACUAAAUCUAGAUCGGUAUCCUCCAUUUUUUUUUGUCAGUCCUACUCUAUUCCUACUCUACACUCACUCUCAGACUUUUGCCCUGCCUCUUGCAGGGCGUGGGAGUCGAAACCCACUCCUAAAACUUACGCGUCCCCACCCCAUCCCCCCGAGAAGGUAGGGAUUUGAACCCAUCACCUCAUCCUUCCAUGUUGGAAGGGUGGCCACUGGGGUGAAUCCCAGUGGUUCGGUAUCCUCCAUUUGAAACAGUUAUAAUGCAAUCAAUGGAAAGAAUUCUUCUUAGGAAUUAGAUUGAAAAAAAUUUAAGAAAGUCGAGACAAUUUUAGGAUUUCUUAUUCUCCGAAGGACCACUUGAGAAAAGACAAUUUGAAGGACAAAACAAAAUUUUGAUGGAAUAAUCUUGACUUUAAUUCCAUUAAUGGAUUGAUUUUUCGAUCAAAAGUAAUAUGUGAGUGAAAUCUUCCUUUUUUUUCCCUCUUUCUCUAUCCCUAUUCCUAUCCCGUAGGUACACCCUUUGAAUUAAUAGAAAACAUUUUCUUCUAUGUCUGUAUGAAUCGAUAUUUAUAGGGUAGAUAUGUUCCAAGUGCACUAGUUCAAGGGCUUUUAAGGUGUAUUGGAAAGCUUAAGGUGGCUUAUUUAAGAGAGCAUGGUUUAGGAUUUUCCGUAGAUAUUUCUAAAUAUUAUCUAACUAGCUUGACUUUUUGUUUAAGGUAGCUUAUUGUUCAAGGUCUUGAUCUAUUUUCUAUAGCCAAGAAAAGGAGUUUUGUUCGAUUCGCCAAACAUGUAAGCUUCAGCCCGAAUCUGUUCGCACAGCCCAUGUCCAAUUUCAGUGAUCACAAGAGAAAAAGGAUAGAAAAAUUGCUUUGGAAGGAAGCUCCGUUCCAUAAGCUUCUGGAUUCUUCCCCCACCACCAUUAGACGUCGCUUACCUUCUCCAACCGUCGAACGGAACUCAUCCCUUCUAGCGGUCGUCGAUCAUCAUGUAACAGUUUUUCUAAUGUGGACUACAUUAAGCAAGAUUGUGAUUUACCAUUUUUACGAAAUUAAUUUAAUAAGGUAAGAUAGUAAGUUUUUUAAUAGUCGAAUAUGGCCUGGCUUAUGUGAGUCAAAUUGAGCUCAGCCAGUGAUGAGAGGAUCCACCAAAACUCUAUAAAUAGCCUAAGGUCCCUCCACUAAACCUCACUUUUGUCAUUAUAAAAUGUAUACACCUGCUACCUCACAUAAGGAAUGUUUGUGAGGGAUAGUCUCACUGAGCCAAGGUAUCAAGAGAGAGUAUCAAGAGUGAUAGAGGAGAAGGUCUUCAGCAUUGAAGAUUCGAAUUGCUACCGUUGCACUCCAAGAAUCAUGAAUUCCAAAUCAGGCAUGCAAAUCUUCAUCUUCUCCUCCAAUACUUUUGAGUUUCUAACAAUGUCGAUCUUGGAAACCAUAUCGACGGCCAACACAUCAAUCUCAAGAAGACACUGAUCGGAGAGAAAACCAUUUUUGAGGCACGCGUGCGCACCUGAUAGAAAACAGACGGGCAAGGACAAUUGAAAAAGAGGGAAAACUUGCAAUCCCUUAGCGCGCUUCUUUUGAAUUUCUUGUUCUUUGUCAUCCUCAUCUGCCGGUAAUCGCCAUCGGUUUACCAUCACCGGGCACCGACUAACGUAUGUACUGGAAAGAGAACUAGAACAGAAGGCACCGGUUGAAAUCAUUCGUCUUUUGAGAUAUCAGAAGUUACUCUGUCAGAGAUUUCUUUUGAAUCCUUUCAUGCCUCUUCGUCUUCAAUUGUGUUUGAAGCCAUUCGCAUUUGUCUGAAACUUCACUAUCGGUGUUCAUUCACCCAAGCACGUUUUCCAGGUCUUCCUCGUGCAAAAUCGACCAGUAAUUGUGACCAAGAAUUCCUCGUCAACAAGGCUAUCUCUCUUCCCUACUAUACUCUGCUUUCGAUGAAUAAAAGUAACCGAAAUGGCAUGUUCUAGAUUAGGAUAGAAUCGGCUUAACUGCAUAUUCAUACUGAUGAUUGCAUCCUUGGACUAAUUUUGUUUGAACCUGAUCUCUAAUCUGAAGUUAUUGCGCUUUGUUUUGCUUCUCUGCCGAAUACGCAUAACGUGUGCAUCAGUGAGUUUCUGCUAAAUCCGAAGACAAACCAGUUUAGUGUGCAUAUUAUUGAUGUGUAUUGGUGGAUCGAUAAGCAUGAUCUAGUAGAAUACAACGCAUUGNNNNNNNNNNNNNNNNNNNNNNNNNNNNNNNNNNNNNNNNNNNNNNNNNNNNNNNNNNNNNNNNNNNNNNNNNNNNNNNNNNNNNNNNNNNNNNNNNNNNAUUCCCGUGUAUGUUUGGUCUCCCGAGGUGAUGGAUGGGGGGUCAAUGGCGAGUAAAUGGAUUCGAGUUAAGGACUGGAGUGUCGAUCCAUUGAAGCAUUCGUUUGGUUUGUUUCUCCAUUCUUAUGUUCUGUCCGUUUCCUUUACUGUUGCGAUUGCGGAGGAUCGAGUUGAUGGUGACAGAGGACGGCUGUAGGCAGGGAGUCCCUAAAUGAUACUGUUUCACGGAUGUUCUUGAUUUUAUGACAUGUGUGGUAACGUGUCAAACAGUGCCAAAUUCUGAUUUUUUGUUCACAGAAUUAGUUUGGGACGUGAAUCGCAUUUGGUAAAAUUUUUGUUCCCGAGAACAAUUUUGGACAAGAUUUGAGAAUAAAAAAAAUUUUGAUUCUCUGUCCGAGAAUCAGAAAAAGAAUCAAAAUGGUGAAACCCUCACUCUUCCCUUUCGUCAUCCCGGUUGCCGUUCACCACCGCCUGCCACCGUCUGCCACCUUCGGCCGCCGCCGUCCGCUAUUGGUCGCAGAUCCGGUGAGGUCGCCAGAGGCUCGCCAGGCUAGGGCGAGGUCUGGCAAGCUCNNNNNNNNNNNNNNNNNNNNNNNNNNNNNNNNNNNNNNNNNNNNNNNNNNNNNNNNNNNNNNNNNNNNNNNNNNNNNNNNNNNNNNNNNNNNNNNNNNNNGGUGAGGCUGGGCGAGCCUCGCCUAGGAGUGUCGCCGGCCCUCGUUUGGCCGGUCGCCAGUCCAGUGACCAGCCACAUGAAGAAGAAGAAUAGGAAAAAAGGGAAAAAAAAAAGAAAAAAAGUAAAAAUUUUAUUUAAAAAUAAAAAGAAACUAAUUUGGAACAUAAUCAAUUAGCACGGAAUCAAACACAAUUCUAUUCCAGAAUAAAAAAUUUUGGACAGUUACCAAACGCGCUUUUUUACUCAGAAUUAGUUCCUAGGAACAAAAUAAAAAAUAAUCAUUUCUAGUCAGAAUCAGCUCCCAAGAAUAGAAUUGUUACCAAAUGUGCUCUUUGUGUCUCGGGUCUUGAACUUGACAAGAAACGAUUGGGCUGAAUCUGGUUCAAGUGAAUUCGGAUUUGAUGAGUUCUUUUAGGGAAUUUGGGCCCAAUUCAAUUUUUUAGGUGAAGAAUCUAGAUAGAUAUAUAGCCCAAAGGACUUUUACGGCCCCGACCUCAAAAGUAUAAGUUUGACCCAUACAAGAACCGGGCCCAAGGGCCCAGCCAGCGUCUCCUUAUAUCCAAAAUAAAAAAUAAUAAUAUUAAUUUAAAAAUAAAAAUUUGAAAAAAUAGAAAAAUAUAGAAAAAAAAAUGGUUAGAAAUAGGGGCCUUGACUAGGCCGUUAAUUUCCAGUGCUAGAUUUGGCUUAGUUUCAUUUAGUUAGCAUAUAUAUAGUUUAAAGAAUUUAAUAACUUUGAUAUAGUUUAGUUUUCGCAUAUUGAUCUUUUGGACAAGGAAUUGGAUUCAACUCUUAUUUAGCUUAUGGGGAUUGCUGUAUGAGGGACUUAAUGAUGAUCCUUUGCUUGAUACUUUAUUGAGUUUACUUCUUUUUACUUUACUUUAUCAUAUCGAUUGUGAUUGUUUAUUUGCUCUUGAUUUUGCACUUAUGGAUGGAUAUCGUUUAGUGGCAUAGGGCACUAAAAUGGUUAAAAGAUUGCAUGAACAUCUUAGGUACCAAACGAAUCUAGCUAAGGUAUUGAAAAAGCAUUAGGUAGACAAUUAGUGUAAUGAAAUCACCAAUUUUAGAAUAUCUAGUUGCGUAGAAAGUGAGAUAUUUUUCCAUAUCUCAUUUGGGCUAGUGGCAGCUCCUUCUUUUAGGUUAAAUUGCACCAAAACAUUGAAAAUUCUAGUGUCGCGUGAGAUAAGGGUUAGGGAGAACUCGAGCUAUUAGGGAACCACUGGUCCACUGUUGGCAUUAUGUCUAAAUCCGUCUUUCUCUAAACGUGUCGGGAGGGUCACAACACUCUGCAAGCCAUCUUUACAUCUCUCUCUCACAUGCAAGAACAUAUAGUACCGUACUUGGUGGAUGAUGCAACUUUAGCAAAUGCAUGGCAACAGAGACGGUUUCUAGUAGUUGGACCCCUAGGCUUCAAGGUUUGUAUUGAAGAAUGGUUAGGUUGUUCGAGGAUUAGCCGCUACUCCUCUUUGUGCAUUGGCGAGGGAUGCAUGUGUUCUGCGUACGAACACGAAAGAAAAAGCGAGAUGAUUGUUUUUGGCAUCAUUAUAUGAUUAAGUUUUCAUAGGUUGAUAUGGUAAUACAUUCUUAGCUUUGUGUACCUAAUUAUUUGAUGUUGUUACUUACUGGAUUGACUUGUAAGUUCUAAGGUUACACAGAAAUAUGACAUUCCCAUUUCUCUGAAAACUCAUGCAACUUUUGAAAUAAUUGAAAGGGAAGGAUCUUGCGUCAGCCAUGACUUUUGCUCUCGACAGAUGCUGAGAAUAUUAUGAUAUUUCCUGCAGCUUUGCACAACCAUGCCAUUAAAAAGCAGUGCAUAGAAGUCAAAGCCAAGUCCCAAUUUAACGGCAACUUAAAAAUAUAUGGUAGUAAAUAUCACAUUUUUCGGCAAGCCUUCAGCUGUAUACUAACCUUUAUCCGAGCCGACUUGUAAAACUUAAAGAACAAAUUUGGCGUUGGUAAAUGCAUUACAAUAGUGCUAUAUUACUAACUUUUAACUGCGCUCACUUGUAAAAAUUAAAUGGUUUGGUAACUUAAUUCAUUUGACAUUUAUGUCUUCAUUACCAUGUCAGGAACUUAUUAACCUAUUACUCGAUCUGCUCAUAAAUUUAAAAGUUGUUAACUUCCUUACGAUGUCGAUAAUAUAUUAAUCUCUAUCUUGUCCACCUGUAAAAUUUAAAAGAAGUUUGUAACUUACAUAUCAACUUGGUGUUAGUAAAUUCAUUACAAUAUACUGGAAAUUUGCUAACCAAUAACUUGAUUUGGCCAAUCUACCACCGUUGAAGAAUGUUCAAGAAAUUCAUAGAAAUUAUAGUAAUUGUAAUCGACAGUAAAGACAAAUAAAACUCAAUAUAUGCCAUGGAAAUCAUUUUUUUUUAAUUGAAAUUCUGCAAAAUCCGAUACCCUUGCAACCAAACAUCUAUCAACAAACAUUAGACAAUACCAAUAUGGUAGUUAAACCGCAAUCGCUCAGCAGCUGCUAACCCUCUUGGCUUUCAUUUGGUCAACUGAGAAGCCGUCGAGUUGUAUAUCCUUCACAUACACGAAAAGCCUCAACUUGUUGGCCUUUGCUGCUCUCCAGACAUCUUUGAUAGGGUUUAAAUCAGACGGCUGACAUAAAAGUGCUCGAACUGACAUGGCCAGAAGAAAAUCUCCUGGGCACAAAGACAUGGGACUGUAGAACCGGUUCAAUUUAUUAGCAGCUUCCCUAGAGUAUUUUAUAUUUAAACAAUAAGUUUCGGACAUAUCUUCCCGGAUAGUGAGGUGGCCGAUUUAAAAUUACUAUAGGGUCAAGUGAAUUACAGAUAAUGUACAUAAUCACGAUACAUCCGCCAAUGAUAAAAGGAGAGAUUCCAAGCUCGAUGGUUCCGGUCAAUACCACAUACGUACCACAAGCAAAAGCUAGCACCAUUGCCCAUAUCGCAAUGAAAAUGCAAAGUCCCACGGGGUAGGUGUAUCUCACCUCGUAGCGAGGGCCCGGGACCCAAGGAUCAAAUUGUAUGAAUAAUGCCACGACUGAGAAACUGAACGCUGUAAUGUUUAAUAGCACAAAGGCUUGGAAAGCUUCCCUGUCAGCAAGAAUCGCCAUCCCUCGGUUGGGUCCAUCGUUGUUAUAUCCUCCGGGCAUGGUGAAGGUUGCAGCAAAGGUCACCGUGGCUAUGAGCGUUGCCAUUAAUUGUUGAAGGUUGAUCAAGUUUUUCGUUGAUGAAUCAGAAUUUUCUCGGUUGGCGAUAUUACUUCCGGUGAUUAUAGAUGCACCUGGUUGACCCUCAACAAAUUGCUUGUCCAACAUCUUCUUUAUUUUUUCAAUAACCCCACCUUGGAAAUCCGACAUUCCGCAAGAUUCUUUUAAUAGAUAAUUAACUUUGGCAGCACUGCAGCCGACCUAAAAAAUUUACAACAUGUAUUAAUUAAAGGGUGAACUCUUCCGGCGAAAUACCUUUACGCACUCAAAUUUCAUUUAUAAACAACAGAACUCCCGGCGAGUCAUAAAAUAUUAUGAGGCAGAGGGUAGGUUAUCUCUUUUAUCUCAAGAAUUGUUUGAAUGGGGGCAGAAAAAAAAAAAACAGAAGGAUUAUAGCUAAUUAUUGUUAAAAUAUUCCGAUAUUUUCAUGUGAAUGUGACAGAAUAGUUGUUUCACAGUCAGAAGGUGCAGAUAAACUUUUUAAAUUGAGAUCCUCUAAAGCUACAUCUAAUCUAACAUUUAAAGUCACCGCUGUAUGGUUGACACCCUAGCACAUAGGGGUCAUUAGACGGCACAUAUUUAUUCUCCAUUUUUCUUUUGUUCUUUUUUUCCUCCCUCUAGCUUAACUUUGGAGGGUCCCAACCCUAAUGUUUUGCAUUGUUUUCAAGAUAAAUAAGAUGACAACUAUUUGUGAACUCUUUGAUGACCCGAUUCUCGCACGCAUUUGAAAUUUCAUGCUCAAUGAAAGUUUUUUAUUUGAUGAGAUAAUAUGAUUAUAAAAUCCAUAUUUACCAACUUCAUACAUUAUAUUGUACACAAAUAAUAUACAUUUAUCAACCAAACAACAUAAUUAAUUACUAUUGAAUAUUACUUUAUUGAAUUCUUUGUUAUUGAGGUCCACUCUUCCCACAUGGAAAGAGAGAGGUGGGGAGUUUGAUUCCCCACCUUCUCAUAUGGAUAAAAGGUAAGAAGAUUCAGUUUUAAGUGUGGGGUUUGACUCUCACACUUUAUAAAGAAAUAGGACAAAAGUCUGAAAAUAAUUCAAGAGUUAAACUAAGAUAGGCAAAUAUAUAUAUAUAUAUAUAUAAUAAAAAAAAAUCAGACAUAUAUUUGUUUUAAACUAUUUAUUUUUAUAGUGUGCAAUUCAUUGUUGGCUAUUAAUUCAAUAUUUGGCUUUUUUUAUGCAAUUAGGUAUUAAAUAGGGCUUUUACAUGUGCGAAUGAGUUAGAUGAUUUUAGACUAUAAGUAUAAAUUAAAUUAUGAGGGCUUCAAUUUUAAAUUUUACAGUAAUAACUACUGGCAAGAUAAUUAUCUUGUAAGACAUGAUUUCUAUAUGAUGAUGCAAAUUCAUCACCAUGUUAUAAAUCAAAACUAAAAAAUUGAAGACAACUUCUUUAGCUACUGCUUUUUGUUAAUCUUGCAAUACUCAUUAAUACAGUUUAACCAAUUUUUUUCAAUAGUGUAAAAUAGUUAUGCUUUACUUUGUCACUAAAUCGUUUGUGUGCUCAUAUCCAAUUUAUAGAUUAAAUGGUUGUUUGAAAGAAAGAAAUUAUAUCCCUCCACAUUUAGUUUAUAAUAAGUGGAUAUAUGAAAGAACCAUAAAUACUUUAAAUCACGAAUAUAUAUUUAUUGGCUAUUGGACCAAAUUACAUUCAAGUUGUAAGCUAUGGGAAUUGAUGUCGAUAUUUUUCUGUAGGAACAUUAAUGAUAGAUUAGGUGGACAAAAAAGCCUUUUAAUUUUUGCCUAAUUGAUGUAAUAAUUAGUCUAUCGAUUAAUGUCAAGUGAAGCGGGAGGGAAUGAUUGUAAGUGGCUUAACCAUAAAAUUCAAUGCUGCCCAAAUUUCUUAUUUAUGGUUCGAUAUGACAUCACUUCACUCCAAGUCCCUUUUCAAAUGCGUCACGCUUACUAGAGCUAUCUAUGCUACUAUCUGCUCAAACAAUCGACUAAACAAAACAAAGUUGACACACUAAAACUCCAAUUGGGCUGUUUGUUUGCACCGACUAUCACUUGAGCCACCGUUUCUUAACAAUACUGAAGAAAUUACUCUACAAGUGAACAAAUCGAGCUCUAUAGGGUUCAAGCAAGAAAGCAUACCUCAUUAUGAACCAAAAAAAUGUCAAGGGCAGUCAUAUGAUCAUUGUUUGUGAUGAAACGGUCUACCCUCUUGUCUCGUGCAAGUAUAUCUAUGAUGGUGUAGUCCUUAUGAAGUGCUGCCAAAUGCAGAGCCGUGUUUCCGUCAGUAUCUUGUUCCUUGAUAAGAUACUCCAAGUUCGGUCUCCGGAGUAUGUCCUUGACUACAUCCGCUUCUCCACCCAUCACAGCUGCGUGAAGAGCUGUUUACCCUUUGAUGUUUAUGAUGUCCCAAGCACUAGGACAAAAUUUAACAAUCUCAUCAAUGACAAGAGAGUAGCCUAAAAACGCUGCAAUGUGAAGAGCUGAUUGUCCCUCUUUGUCUAAGUCAUAUGCCACGGAAAUAUCGUGCUGUAGUAGUUGUUGAACCGCUUUGAAUUUGCCCUUGGAAGCAACAUAAUGAAUAGGAGUCCAACCCAUUUCAUCUCUUUCUCUGAUCAAUUCCGGUCUGCUAUUCAGGAUUUUCUGCCAGCCUUUGCAAAUACAAUAUGAAUAUGUCAUGAUUCAGGCUGUUUUUAGCAUCUUGACAAAGCUAUUAGAAUUGCAUUGUCUCCCAUGAAGUUUUCCCCUUUUUCUCCUUACUAGGAACGAAUAUGUCAUGGUUAUUACGAAGUUUCUCUAGUUAUCUCGUGUUAACGCACGUAGAAUCUGACCACCUUCAAUCUAGUAUAAUACAGAAAUCUGUAAAGGUUUUCUUUUUGAUAAGUGAAAUUGUUAAUAGUUGGUAAAGUUGAUCGACAAGAAGCUUUUCCUUUUUUCAGGAGGGAAUCUGCUCCGUCAGGGCUAGGAUAAAAGACCAGUGUUUUUUUCUCUGAUGCCAAUCAUAUUGCAGACCAAUCGUGCCCAACUUAAUUUCAUAGAAAUUUCAAUAUCGAAUUAGGACUUAGCGCCUUGUGCAUUUUCAAUGAUCGUUGCACUCCCAUUUUUUCAAGUCAUCAUGAUUUGCCUUCAAGAAUUAAAAAAAUUUGCAUGCAUACCUUGAUCUUUCGGAAAUAUAAAGGGUUAACAUCACAAAAAAUCCAAACUAAUUCACAUAUAACAAAUUCACUGUAAAUUAAUUUUUUGACUAUAAAAAAUUCCAAAUUGAUAUACUUGUCACAAAUUUAUUCCAAAUUAAAUUUUUUACCACAAAAAACCCACAUUCUGAUAUAUCUGUAACCAUUUUAUCCCCCGUUAGUUUCUACUAAAUUGAUUUGAUAUCAUAAAAGAAUAUCCAAAGUGGUACACCUAUCCACUAUCACAUGUCAUACAACUAAUUAAUUUGUAAUAGAUGUACUAGUUUGGAGUAAAAAAAUUAGUUUUGGAUAGAUUUUUCACAAAUGUAUUAAUUUUGAGUUUUUUGUAGUAUUAACCUAUAUUAUAUAUAUAUAUAUAUAUAUAUAUAUAUAUAUAUAUAUUGCAUGCCAUGCCAUUUAUUGUAAACUGAAAGACAAUUAAUCAUAAGCACAAAAUGUCGAAACAAAGAAGGACACAAGAAAAGAUAAUUAAAAAAAAGAAGAAGGUAAAACAACCGAACUGGAGAAGAGAGGAGAGGGAAGAGGCAGUGGUGCUAUGGUAGUGAUGGUGGCUGCUGCCGCUGCCACCGAAGGAGUCAAGUAAGAGUACAAGAUCUAGAAAAACACUUAGAAAGAAUUAAGUGCGUGUACAAGUACUUUCUUAAAAUAAAAUGAUUUUCCUGAAUCGAUACGUAAUCCAGAAUGUAGUUGAAUCCUUUGAAAAACUCCUCUCUUUUUUCCUUAGUCCGUAUGCUAAGAGAAGACAAACCAGUUUGAACUUAAUUAAUAGUCAAUGAAUAUCCGACCACAAAAAACAGUUAAUGAAUAAAACAAUAAAGUCAAAUGCAACAAGAAUAACAAGUUAAAAUUUUAUUCAAAUUAUAACCCCCAUAUAUAAUUGCUCAAGAACCAUGUCCUGGGGAAAAUGUAUGGCCUUUCACCACAAUAAAAGUAGCAAUCAAGAAAUAAAUAAAUAGCGUUGGCGGCCAUCACUGCUAACAUCAUCACGUCUCACCUAAAUGAAGCCUUGCACGAGAGAGAGAACUUUAGUUAAAAUUUGUUUCGGUGAAAAAAACCCGUGAUACUUACCAGCCAGUGGGCGAUGGAUGGCAACAUACAAAGCUGUCAAUCCCUUAGGGCCCUUAUGAGAGGAUGGCAACACGGAAGCAUGUAAAAUCAGCUCCAUGAUAUACAAAUGCCCUCUAUCUGUUGCAAGAUAAAGCGGGGACUCAUCAGCAGCAUUAGUAACACCACCCAACUGAGGAUCCUCUUCAAUCAGCAACUUCACCACUGAUUCAUGGCCUCCUCUUACUGCAUAGUGCAGUGCAGUAUCCUUAUGCAAAUUUGGCUUUCUAAGUAGUUCUCUACAUGCAUCAACUUGUCCGUUUUCAACAAUGCUAUGCAGUUUCACCAUUUUAAUAAGGACUCGAACAGAUUUCAAGCUUCCCAUGGUGGCAGCAAUAUGUAGUGGAGUAUCUUCUUUGAAGUUACCCUGCCAAAGAAGAGGCGGUCCUGAUGGACGUUGAAGAAGAUUUUCGAUGAAAUUUACUUGCUCGUACUGAGCUGCAACGUGAAGAAUGUUGUUCCCAUUUGGCGUUGUUUGGUGAAAAAGAUCCUCUCCGUUUUCUGAAAUUGCUGUGAUCAGGGACUGAAACUCAGGAGAUAGAAAGUCUCCUGACUUUGCAGCCCUAUACACAUCAGGAUGCAUACUUAGGCUCUCUUUCAUUCUCGGGAUAAGCGGUAGUUGCAAGUGAACUUAUCAAUAAAAGAAAUGAGUUCAAAUAUAAUGAACUUCUUUGAGCUUUCUAAGAGUCUUGAGCUUUCUAAGAGGAUUGAUGUAAAUGGAGGAUGUUGGAAAGGGAAAUUUAGUUGAGCUUCCCAGGAGUAGUAGAAAGGAGAUAUUUGUGGUUCUUCAAUUGUUCCUAUGAAAUUGAAAUAAAUUGAUCAGGUUUAGAGAAUAGUUUCCAGAAAGUCUAAUUAGUAUGCGUUUUGGACUUCAUAUUUUACACAUAAGCAAAUAAUAAGGAAGUGGGGCAACUCUUGUUUAAAGGAAGGAGGACGAGUACAAAUCAAAAAUAAUAAUGAUAAAUAAAUUAUAUAAGCAUGAAAUUGAAUUAGCGGGCUGCUUUCCACUUUUCAUCAAAAUCAGGACCAUCGAAACAUGCAUGAUUCAAACAUUCUUACUGAAGAAUCGAAUCUGAUUGAUUAUUAAAGCAAAGACAUUCGUGGGCCCACGUUUAGCUGUAGAUUUCCUUUUGCUCCUUUCCUAUUUUUUAACGACAAGUCCUUAACUCUUUUCAGUCUUUAUGGUCUUAGUCCGUCGUGAAUCGUGCGUUCUCAUCGUGCUCCACGUGAUGGAAGAUUUACAUACGUAAACUUUCCCCACUCGAAGAUUUAUAUACGUAAAUUUUUAUGGGGAUCGAACUUAGGUAAAAAUUAGUUGACGCUCAAUUUGAGGAUCACCUCUACUGCUAUGAUCUAUUGGCAAAAGUCAAAGCUCAUAAUCAUAUGUUAUAUAUUGUAAUGUUUUCAUAAUAUACAAUAACGAAUAAAAAUCUAAAAAAAUUCAUGAUAGAUCAAGGACUAUCUAUUAUUUUUACUAUGUGGAAGAGAGAUGUAAAAGGUUAAUUUUUUUUAUAAAAAAAGAGAAGGCAACACCGAAGCUGUUCUGCUUUGUCAGCAAGGGCCAGUGAUCCUUGUUGGUGUGUUGAUGAGGGCCAUCGACCCUUGUUGGAGUGUCCAUGAACGAGGGUUUACAGGAUCUCGUUUUUGCCAAUUCAGUCCUAAACCUUUUAACUUUGCCAAUUUAGUCCUAAACAUUUUCACUUCUUGUCAAUUCAAUCUAUUCGACCAAUUUUGGCCAGAAAAUUCUGACGUGGACGCCAGCGAUGCCAUGUAGGACAGCCGGCGCUGAUGUUGACAAUUUUUAAUAAUAUUUUUUUAUUUUUUAUAUUUUUUUAUAUUUUUCCCUUUUUUUCUUUCUUUUCUUUUUGGCCUUUUUCGGUGGCCAGCCACUAACCACAACUAGCCAGCUAGCCUCACCCACCACUGGCCAGACCCAACCACGCGAGGAGGAGCCCCAGCGAGGGGAGCCCUCACCUAUGUGCGGCCCAGCGAGGGGAGCCCUCGCCCAAGCGCGGCCCGGCAAGGGUCGGCUGGGCGAGACCGACCCUCACCCAGGCUAGGGCGGCCCCACCGGGCGACGGCGAUGCCGGGCAAGGCCGCCCUAGCCUGGGUGAGGGCUGGCCUCACUAGAUCUGGCGAGGGGAGCCCUUGCCAGGCCUAGCCCUCGCCCAAGCGAGUGUCAGCCUCGCCUAGUCCAGAUCUAGCACGAGCUCUGGCUGACGGCCCCUCAAUCAAUGUCGUCAAGCUAAACCUGGUAAGCCCUUGCUUGUGUUAGGUUUUCGCCCUGUUUAGCGCACGUCAGGCUGGAGCCUGCGGCUGUUCGAGUCACGUGAGCUCCGGUCCCGCUGGUUCCCCGUCAAGUUGUUAUGUGUUCUCAUUCGCUUUUCGAAAGUUCUGGUGUGGACUUGGGUCACAAUCAAGCCGAAAUCCUUCCCAUAGCGUAUACCAAGUGUUCGAUGUAAUGCCACAGUGAGAUUUAGUUUUCUUUCGUUGUCUUGGCCAUAAUCGAGUUGUACGGGUUUUGUCCGGGUGAACCAAGUUUUUUCUUCACAUGAUGGUUAGCGUUCCAAGUGUCUGGUGCCGGUCGAACCGAACGACCGACGUCAGACGGUGGCUCCGGUGCCUCAAAGGUCGGUGAAGGGAUCGUCGUAGUGGUGGCACUGGUUUAAGCAGGGGAGCUACAGGGGAGCUACAGGAGAGCAUUUGGUGAGGAGAGGGGGCUGGUCGAGGAAGAAGACAAGCGUGGAGAACAACAGAAAAAGAAAAAAAAUAAUAUAAAAGGAAAAAAAAAAGGCCAAGAAAAAAGCCAAAAAAAAAAGAAAAGACAAAAGGAAAAAAAAUCAAUAAAAUAAUAAAAUAUUAUUAAAAAUUGUCCACAUCAAAGCCGUCGGUCCUAGGUGGCACUGCCAACGUCCACGUCUGCAUUUUCCAGCCAAAGUUGAUCGGAUGGAUUGAAUCGGUAAAAAGUGAAAAUGUUUAGGACUGAAUUGGCAAAAGUGCAAUAGGUUUAUGACUUUUUGGACAAUUUUCCCAUAAAGAAUGAGUUCAAGUGGGAAGAAUUUAUUUCAUAAUAUAACUUUAAAAAAGCCAUAUUGCUCUAAUUCUUGGAAGUUUCCGUUCUCCCACACCCAAAUUAAAAGGUCUCCCUGCAACUUCUUUUUUCUUUUUUCUAAACUUCUAAGGCAUCUUGUCUUCCACUUUUCCCUAAGAAGCAAAACCAUUUCACAUCCAUCAUACUUCUUGGAACGUGGUAACUUUAGACUUCUACGCCUUCCCCAUGUGAGGUAGGUAGCAACGAGAACCAUCUACCAUAGUUCUUUAGCCAAGUAAAUGUCUCAAGAACCUUCAAGGAUGGAGUCAUCGGAUCGUCAUCAAGGCUGAAUCAACUGCUUAUGAAGUUACCAAUAACUAUCACAACCACUGUUGUCGUUACCAUGCACCAGCCCUACCCCCAUUUCUAACAUCCCAUUAUCAUUCCAAAUCUAACAACAUGCCACCGUUGUCACUAGAUUUAACAUUGACAACUGAAUUAUGAUUUUUUCUAGUCGUUACACUAAAAAUUAGGGCUUGGAUUCAAUCCCUAAACAAAUAAUUUCAACAUAGCAUAGUUUGCAUAAUGGGGAGUGCGUACCAUGGAACAUUACGCAUGCGACUUUUUCUUAUUCAGUGGUGCAACUUAAAAUUGAAGUAAUUUUGUGAAAUCAGUGAAGACUCGAACCACUCGCAACUUAAAAGGUAAGCACAGGUCUUCCUGCAGCUUCUUUUUUCUUUUUUCUAAAUUUCUAAGGCAUCUUGUCUUCCACUUUUCCCUAAGAAGCAAAACCAUUUCACAUCCAGGAUACUUUAGACUUCUACGCCUUCCCCAUGUGAGGUAUGUAGCAACGACAAACACCUUCCAUAGUUCUUCAGCUAAGUAAAUGUGCUAAGGAACCUUCAAGGAUGGACUCAUCGGAUCGUCUCAUCAAGGCUGAAUCAACUGCUUAUGAAGUUACCAAUUACUAUCACAACCACUGUUGUCGUUACCAUGCACCAGCCCUAACCCCAUUUCUAACAUCCCAUUAUCAUUCCAAAUCUAACAACAUGCCACCGUUGUCACUAAAUUUAACAUUGACAACUAAAUUAUGAUUUUUUCUAGUCGUUUAUUACACUAAAAAUUAGGGCUUGGGUUCAAUCCCUAAACAAAUAAUAUCAACAUAGCAUAGUUUGCAUAAUGGGGAGUGCGUACCAUGGAACAUUACGCAUGCGACUUUUUCUUAUUGAGUGGUGCAACAUAAAAUUGAAGUAAUUUUGUGAAAUCAGUGAAGACUCGAACCCCUUCGCAACUUAAAAGGAAAGCACAGGUCUCCCUGCAACUUCUUUUUUCUUUUUUCUAAAUUUCUAAGGCAUCUUGUCUUCCACUUUUCCAUAAGAAGACAAAGCAUUUCACAUCCAAGAUACUUCUUGGAACAUGGUAACUUUAGACUUCUACGCCUUCCCCAUGUGAGGUAUGUAGCUAGGUGAACAACCCUCGAUAGUUCUUCAGCCAAGUAAAUGUCUAAGGAACCCUUCAAGGAUAGAGUCAUUGGAUUGUCUCAUCAAGGCUGAAUCAACUGCUUAUGAAGUUACCUAUUACUAUCACAACCACUGUUGCCGUUACCAUGCACCAGCCCUACCCCCAUUUCUAACAUCCCAUUAUCAUUCCAAAUCUAACAGCAUGCCACCGUUGUCACUAGAUUUAACAUUGACAACUAAAUUAUGAUUUUUUUUCUAGUCGUUCAUUACACUAAAAAUUAGGGCUUGGGUUCAAUCCCUAAACAAAUAAUAUCAACAUAGCAUAGUUUGCAUAAUGGGGAGUGCGUACCAUGAAACAUUACGCAUGCGACUUUUUCUUAUUGAGUGGUGCAACUUAAAAUUGAAGUAAUUUUGUGAAAUCAUUGAAGACUCGAACCACUCGCAACUUAAAAGGUAAGCACAGGUCUUCCUGCAGCUUCUUUUUUCUUUUUUCUAAAUUUCUAAGGCAUCUUGCCUUCCACUUUUCCCUAAGAAGCAAAACCAUGUCACAUCCAUCAUACUUCAUGGAACGUGGUAACUUUAGACUUCUACGCCUUCCCCAUGUGAGGUAGGUAGCAACGACAAACACCUUCCAUAGUUCUUCAGCUAAGUAAAUGUCUAAGGAACCUUCAAGGAUGGACUCAUCGGAUCGUCUCAUCAAGGCUGACAGCCGAGAUCGGCCCACCGAUACCAAUUACUAUCACAACCACUAUUGCCAUUAUCAUCCACCAGCCCUACCCCCAUUUCUAACAUCCCAUUAUCAUUCCAAAUCUAACAACAUGCCACCGUUGUCACUAAAUUUAACAUUGACAACUAAAUUAUGAUUUUUUCUAGUCCUUUGUUACACUAAAAAUUAGGGAUUGGGUUCAAUCCCUAAAAAAAUAAUAUCAACAUAGCAUAGUUUGCAUAAUGGGGAGUGCGUACCAUGGAACAUUACGCGUGCGACUUUUUCUUAUUGAGUGGUGCAACUUAAAAUUGAAGUAAUUUUGUGAAAUCAGUGAAGACUCAAACCACUUCGCAACUCAAAAGGAAAGCACAGGUCUCCCUACAGCUUCUUUUUUUCUUUUUUCUAAAUUUCUAAGGCAUCUUUUCUUCCACUUCUCCAUAAGAAGCAAAACCAUUUCACAUUCGGGAUACUUCUUGGAACGUGGUAACUUUAGACUUCUACGCCUUCCCCAUGUGAGGUAUGUAGCUAGGUGAACAACCCUCGAUAGUUCUUCAGCCAAGUAAAUGUCUAAGGAACCUUCAAGGAUAGAGUCAUUGGAUUGUCUCAUCAACGCUGAAUCAAGUGCUUAUGAAGUUACCAAUUACUAUCACAACCACUGUUGCCGUUACCAUGCACCAGCCCUACCCCCAUUUCUAACAUCCCAUUAUCAUUCCAAAUCUAACAACAUGCCACCUUGUCACUAAAUUUAACAUUGACAACUAAAUUAUGAUUUUUUCUAGUCGUUUAUUACACUAAAAAUUAGGGCUUGGGUUCAAUCCCUAAACAAAUAAUAUCAACAUAGCAUAGUUUGCAUAAUGGGGAGUGCGUACCAUGGAACAUUACGCAUGCGACUUUUUCUUAUUGAGUGGUGCAACAUAAAAUUGAAGUAAUUUUGUGAAAUCAGUGAAGACUCGAACCCCUUCGCAACUUAAAAGGAAAGCACAGGUCUCCCUGCAACUUCUUUUUUCUUUUUUCUAAAUUUCUAAGGCAUCUGGUCUUCCACUUUUCCAUAAGAAGACAAAGCAUUUCACAUCCAAGAUACUUCUUGGAACAUGGUAACUUUAGACUUCUACGCCUUCCCCAUGUGAGGUAUGUAGCUAGGUGAACAACCCUCGAUAGUUCUUCAGCCAAGUAAAUGUCUAAGGAACCUUCAAGGAUAGAGUCAUUGGAUUGUCUCAUCAACGCUGAAUCAACUGCUUAUGAAGUUACCAAUUACUAUCACAACCACUAUUGGUCGUUAUCAUGCACCAGCCCUACCCCCAUUUCUAACAUGCCAUUAUCAUUCCAAAUCUAACAACAUGCCACCAUUGUCACUAAAUUAACAUUGACAGCUAAAUUAUGAUUUUUCCUAGUCGUUUAUUACACUAAAACAUUAGGGAAACAAAUAAUAUCAACAUAGCAUAGUUUGCAUAAUGGGGAGUGCGUACCAUGGAACAUUACACGUGCAACUUUUUCUUAUUGAGUGGUGCAACUUAAAAUUGAAGUAAUUUUGUGAAAUCAGUGAAGACUCGAACCACUUCGCAACUCAAAAGGAAAGCACAGGUCUCCCUGCACCUUCUUUUUUCUUUUUUCUAAAUUUCUAAGGUAUCUUGUCUUCCAGUUUUCCCUAAGAAGCAAAACCAUGCCACAUCCAUGAUACUUCUUGGAACUUGGUAACUUUAGACUUCUACGCCGUCCCCAUGUGCGGUAGGUAGCAACGAGAACCAUCUUCCAUAGUUCUUCAGCCAAGUAAAUGUCUAAGGAACCUUCAAGGAUGGACUCAUCGGAUCGUCUCAUUAAGGUUGAAUCAACUGCUUAUGAAGUUACCAAUUACUAUCACAACCACUGUUGUCGUUACCAUGCACCAGCCCUACCCCCAUUUCUAACAUCCCAUUAUCAUUCCAAAUCUAACAACAUGCCACCGUUGUCACUAAAUUUAACAUUGACAACUAAAUUAUGAUUUUUUCUAGUCCUUUGUUAUACUAAAAAUUAGGGAUUGCGUUCAAUCCCUAAACAAAUAAUAUCAACAUAGCAUAGUUUGCAUAAUGGGGAGUGCGUACCAUGGAACAUUACGCGUGCGACUUUUUCUUAUUGAGUGGUGCAACUUAAAAUUGAAGUAAUUUUGUGAAAUCAGUGAAGACUCGAACCACUUCGCAACUUAAAAGGAAAGCACAGGUCUCGCUGCAACUUCUUUUUGUCUUUUUUUCUAAAAUUCUAAGGCAUCUUGUCUUCCACUUUUCCCUCAGAAGCAAAACCAUGUCACAUCCAGGAUACUUCCUGUAAUGUGGUCACUUUAGACUUCUACACCUCCCCAUGUGAGGUCGGUUAGCAAUGAGUACCACCCUCGAGGGUUCUUAAGCCAAGUGAAUGUCUAAGGAGCCUUCAAGGACGGAGUCAUCAUAUCGUCUCAUCAAGGCUGAAUCAACUGCUUAUGAAGUUACCAAUUACUAUCACAACCACUAUUGCCAUUACCAUGCACCAGCCCUACCCCCAUUUCUAACAUCCCACUAUCAUUACAAAUCUAACAACAUGCCACUGUUGUCACUAAAUUUAACAUUAACACCUAAAUUAUGAUUUUUUUUCUAGUCAUUUAUUACACUAAAAAUUAGGGAUUGGGUUCAAUCUCUAAACAAAUAAUAUCAACAUAGUAUAGUUUGCAUAACAGGGAGUGCGUACCAUGGAAUAUUAUGCAUGCAACUUUUUCUUGUUGUGUGGUGCCCCUUAAAAUAGACGAAUCUUGGCUGAAAGUUCUGAGUUAAUUGCCAAUCCAUGACUGUGGGGGCCCACUUAUGGAUUGUGGAGACUGAGAGAUGAUGAAGCCGUGAUUAUGGGGGCACACUCGAAAGGCUGAGGAGAAUUCGGUGGCUUCUUUUCCGUGAAUGACGGCCUCACAAAUUUAAGGAACGUGUCAUAGGAGACAUGACAAUUUUUUGGGAGCGUGAUUACCUCGGUCCUUGGUGAAAAGUCAAAGGAUUUGGGACAGGGGAACAUAUUGUGACUUAUCUUCUCCAAACGGAGCGUACUGAAGGCAAAAGCAAACUAACAAGGCAAAGUGUUGUAGAGGCCCGUUUACUUAACGAAGGAAAAGAGAAGAAUUCUUUCCAACUAGUGAAUGGCAAAAUCUCAGCAAUAAAGGCACAAAAUUCCAAAAAAUAAGGAGAUAUCGCCAAUAUUCAACGUUCACUAUGCCCUCUUGUUGUCACCAUUACGCCUCGAUGGUCACUGCCCCUGCUGCCCCCGACAUCACCGCUCCACCCAAUCAAGCCAAGUCCUCAUCAUUCCCUUUGGUGCCAUCAAUGUGGCCACCAACGCAGCGACGAGUCCAAACCAUACGCUAGACAUUAGGUUUCCAGCCAAACUAAAGAGACCUGCCAGUCCGGCGAACUCCUACAGCCGUUGUUCGCCACCAACAUUGAUUAACCAGCACCGGCGAGCAUCAAUUCUGCCCUGCAAUCGCGCCGUGAAGCCGCAACUAGGAAACAGACGCGGACGAGCAGGCGAACCAAAGUGCGCUCGCUGACGGUUUGCAACCUGAGCAACGGCCAACAAACUUUCUCCGUCGCAUCAAUUUAGCUGGCUUCCAGGCCCCACUCACAGCAAUCACUAGCCUUGCCGAUGCACGCCAGUAUCCCUGUUGUUGUCGUGUCCAGCCUGUUAGAAAAAUAUUAUAUAACAUGAAAAAUAAGGAUUGUUAGGAAUCUAUUAAAAAUAAUGAGAAAAUAAGAUUAAUUAUCUAAGGCCUGUAAACAUUGUCCUUAAGGACAAUAUCCUUAUAAUUUAUUUUCAUCAUAUCAAUUGUGAUUAUUUACUUACCCUUAAUUAUACCCAUGAAUGGACAUUGUUUAGUGGUAUAGGAUACUAAAAUAAUUAAAAUAUCAAAUGAAUCUUAGGUAAUAAACCAAUCAAGUUAGGGUAUCGAGAGGAGACUAGUUGGAUAAUUAGUGUAAUUAAGUUCCCGAUCUUAAAAUCUCCGGUUGCGUAAAAGGUGAAAUAUUUCCCCUAUCUUACUUGGCUCCUAACCUGCCUUAAUAAGCUAACAUUAGCUCCUUUAUGUAGCGUAAGUCAUACUAUAAUAUUGAAAAUUCUAAUGUCACACUAGUUAAGGGUUUGGGAGGACCCGAACUAUUUGAGAACUAUCGGUCCACUUUUGGCAUUAUCUCUAAACUCAUUUUUCCCCAAAAGUGUUGGGAGGUUGCGACAAGGAGAUUUCUCUUGCUGACAUGGAAAAGUACAUAGUCCCCUAAUUUACAACUCCCAACACAGAUAAUGCAGCUUUAAUGAAGAACAUGGCGAUGGGAAUGGCUUCUUGUAGUUGGACCCCAACGGUUCACGGUUUGUAUUGAUGAAUGGUUAGGUUGUUCGAGGAUUGGCCACUGCUCCUCUCUAUGCAUUAGCGAGUGAUGCAUAUAUUCCACAAGCAAAUAUAAAAGAAGAAGCGAAAUGAUUGUUUUUUGCAUGAGUGGGUGAUUGAAUUUUUAUAGGUUGAUAUGGAGAUACUUUUUUGGCGCUGCCAACCUAAUUAUUUAAUGAUGUUACUCACUCGAUUGACUUUGAACGCUUCGAGAUUACAUAGAAAGAUGACAUUCCCCACUUUUAUGAUGGCUAACGAAGCUGUUGACACUGACAGGUUUUAAAUUUUACAAAUGACAUAAAAGUGCUCGAAAUCGACGACUGGCUGACAAAUCAAAGAGAAAAUUUCCUGUGAGCAAAGGUCACUGGUUUGCAGAACCGGCCCAACCGAAAAUGACAGUAAAAAACUUUCGGAUUUAUCCUCCUCUGGGAGAGCUACCUAGCAGCCACGAAUGAGCCUCGGGGUCGGUGAACUCAUAAAUGAAGCACAAAGUGGACAGAAAUCCAUACGCAAUAUAAGGAGCGACUCUUUCCGCGGUACUCCCGGUGGGCCUGAUUAAUACAGUGAACAUCCCGAAAAUAUAGGCGAGCCCCAUCGCGGCUAUCGCAACUUCAAUGCAACCUCCCACAGUCAGGAUGUAUUUCGGCUCUUGAUGAAAGCUGAACGCACAACUUUGACAAUGUAAGAUUAUUGCCAGGACAGAGAGAAGGAAAGCAAUACUAUUGCAUAGGACAAAGGCUUGGAAAUCUGCCCUGCCAGCAAGAAUCGCCAUUCCCCGGUUGGGUCCAUCGUUGUUAUAACCUCCAGGCAUUGCGACGGCCGCAGUGAAGCUCACUGUGGCUAUGAGUGCUGCCACUAGUAGUUGAACGUCCACGAUGCUUUUUUUUUUGAUAAAUCGAAAUUAUCUCGGUUGGCAAUGUUAUUUCCUAUGAUUGUAGACAAAGAUGGUUGACCCUGAACAAAUUGCUUUUCUAACCUCUUCUUGCCAUGUUCAAUGAACCAGGCUUGAAAGCCCGAUAUUCCAUGAGAUCCUUCCAAUAGGUAAGAAACAUUUCUAGCACUGAAGUCGAUCUAAUGAUGUACAAGAUGUGUCAAUUAAUGAGUGAAAGUUUUCUAGCCAAAUACUUCAAGAUCCUCACUUUACAAACUCAAAAUCUAUUUAUAACAAUCGGAACUUGCAACGAGUGGUGAAACGUCAAGAAAAAUUCAUUGGAAAAAUUGUUCUGAAAGUCAAAAAUCUAUUGAACUUUUGUCAAUUCAGUCAUAAACCUUUUAAUUUUGUCAAUUGAGUCAUGAUUUUUUUCACAUUUUGCAAAUUGAAUCCAUUCAGCCAAAUUUUGUUGGAAGUCACUGACAUAGACGUCAAUCAUCCUAUGUGACAUGACCAGCACUAAUAUGAACAUUUUAAUAUUUUAUUUUUAUUUUUUUCUUUUUCCCUUCUCUAUUCAAUCGCUAGUCUCAAUGACCUCUAGUAAAGCUCCCCACCCUGCCCUCCAACCUAGCCACUAGUGAGGCCAAGCCUUGUCGUCAUUGGAAGAGGUCAAGCCUUGCCAAGGGUAAGCAAGACUUGCCAAUGGUGGGCAAGGUCGACCUCACCCACCCCUAGUGAGGCUCACCCUCGCCAGUGGCUAGUAGGGGUAAGCUUUGCUUGAGGCUAACAAGGUCAACCUUACCAACCCUUGCCUCUAACUAGUUGUUGAGGCUUGGUGACUAGAUAAAGGAGGAAGAAAGGGAAAAAAAUAAAAUAAAAAGAAAAAGGAAAAAGAAAAAAAUAAUAAUAAUUUGAAAUAUAUUAAAAUAUCAAUUACAAAUUAUCCAUGUUACCAUCGGCCGUGCCAUGUAGGUUGACUGAUGUCUAUCUUAGCAACUUUCGAUUAAAAUUGACUAGAUGGACUCAAUUAGUAAAAAGUAAAAAAGUUUAAGACUCAUUUAGUAAAAUUAAAAAGAUUUAUAACUGACUUGCCAAAUAUAUGAUAGGUUUAGGACUCUUUGGAUAAUUUUCUCGAAAUCAUUCAAAUCAUAGCUGAUAAACUAAAUGGUAGAUAACACUCGUUAAUAGAGUUUCCGAUAGCAAACAAUACAGUUACAAGUAUGCUAUCCCAGUCUUGAUUUAUUUUCUAACUUUCUUUUCUUUUUUUCUUUUUAUGCUAUCCCCUAGUAACAAAGAUUUAGACAAUCACUUUUGAAGUAGUUGAAGGCCCUUGUGUUGCCCAAAUUUGAGCUUUAUACUUAUUGAAAAUUUUUGUUCUGAUGAUACAAUAUGGUCAUACAACAUAUGAUUAACAAACGAAUAUGCAUUUAUCAACCAAACAACAAAUUUAAUUAAUACUCAAAUUACUUUACUACGUGAUUUGUUUUAAACUAUACCUUGUUAUUUGAAGACUUUGUCAAUGAAUAAUCUUAAUAAAGCAAAAUAUUCAAACUUAAAUUGUUUUUUAACUAUGUGCAUUCAACUUUUGGCUAUUAAUCUGAUAUUUGGUUUUUUGUUUCAUGCAAUCUGUACCUGGAGCUUUUAUUUGGGAUAAUGAGUUAAAUGUUUUAAAAAUAUAAGCAUUAAUUGGAGCUAUAAAGACUUCUGUUUUAAAUACAACUUUUUAGCUACUGGCAAGAUAAUUAUUUUGUCGUAUGAAAUAUUUAUAGGACAAUGCAAAUUCCUGACUAUGUUAUAGUUUAAAAAUAAAAAUUUGAAUACAACAUUUUAGCUACGAAUUUUGUUAUUUUUGCAAUACUCAUAAAUAUGGCUUAAUCAAAUUUUUAAUUAGUCAAAGAAUAUUUGACAUUUACUUUUCACAAAAUCGUUUCUAUCCAUACAUCUACUUUGUAGAUAAGUUAGCAAUUUUGAGAAAAAAAAAAGAGAGAGAGAGAGAUAUGACCAAACACUUUUAGUUAAUAACAAAUAUAUAUACCAACUCACAUCUUGAAAGAACCAUAAAGACUUCUAUAACGAGUUUAGAUUUAUUGACUAUUAUAUCAAAUCACAUAAAAACUACUAAGCUACGUGAAUUGAUGUUGAUUUUGUUGUAGGAACAAUAAUGUUAGAGAGAGCCUUUUUAUUUUUACAACUAAUAAUAGUUAGUUUGCUAAUUAAUAUAAAGUCAGGGAGGCGAGGAAGGUUUGAUAAUGGCUCAUACUCUCCCCCCAUUUUCUGGGGUGAAGUACACUAGAAGUGCCUUAACUUGUGUACGACACAUACUUUAGUGCCACAACUUUUUUGUAGGCUCACUUAAGUGCCACCUUUAAAAAAAAAAAUGAUUACUUAAGUACUAACUCAAAUCUGAGUGGCCGGAAAUCUAACAUGAUCAUAUUUUAUUAAUUUCUCAAUCCUAUGUGGCUUGCCGCAUGCCCAAUCAUUAUGUAAUCUCUAAAUGAUGCCAUUUAAUAAGUUAAAAAAGUGAUCACUUCAGUACUAAUCAUUAUAAAAAAAAAAUCAUUUCAGUGUCAAUCGUUAUUAAAAAGUGAUCACUUUAAUGUCAAAAAAAUCCUAAAUAGAGUUGUAUAAUAAGUUAAGAAGUGAUCACUUCAGUGCCAAUUUUAAUGAAAAAGUGAUCACUUUAGUCAAAAAAUUCCACCUCAAAUAAAAUUUCUAAUUAUAAAUUUUUUUCAUUGGAAGCACUUAGGUGAUCAUUUUUCUUCAAUCUUGACACUUAAAUGAGCCGGCAAAUAAGUUAUGACACUAAAGUAAACGCAGUAUACAAGUUAAGACACUUCUAGUGUAUUUUUUCCCAAUUUUCUUAUUAUUUGUUGUAAUAUAUGAAGGGUAAAAUCACUUUAUUCCGAACCCUUUUUUAAGUGUGUCACGCUUAAUAAAGAAAUCCAUGGUACUAUUUGCUGCAAAAAUUGAAAAUAUCGUCAAUAGGCUUAAACAAUCAAAUAAGCAUGACAAAGUUGACGCAAAAAGACUUCAAUCGGGUCGUAUGCAUGCACCUGAAAUGAGUAUUUCACUGGGGCCAUAGUUUCUAAAAGAUAAAAGAAGAAAUUACUCUGCCAGUGAACAAAUUGGGCUCUGCAGUAUUCAAACAAGCAUACCUCCUCAUGAGCAGAAAAAAUGUCAAGGGCGGUUAAAUGAUCUUUAUUUUUAGCCAAACGGUCCACCCUCUUGUCUCGUGCAAGUAUGUCUAUAAUGUCAUUUUCUUUAUGAAGUGCGGCCAAAUGCAGAGCCGUGUUCCCAUUAGUGUCUUGUUCGUUGAUAAGAUCCUCCCGAUUUGGCAUCCCUAGUAUGUACUUGACUACACUCACUUGUCCACCCAUAACAGCUACAUGUAGAGCCGUUUGUCCUUUGUUGUUUAUAAUGUCACAAGCAUCAGGACAGGAUGUAAUGAGCCCGUCAAUGGCAUUGAUGUGGCCUCGAAAUGCUGCAAUGUGAAGAGCCGAUUGUCCCUCUGUCUAAAUCAUAUAUUGCAAAAUUAUCGUGUUGCAGGAGUAGUUGAACUGCUUCGACUUUGCCAAAAUAAGCGACAUAAUGAAGAGGUCUCCACCCCGUAUCAUCUCCUUCUCUGAUCGCUUCUGGGCCUCUUCUCCAUGAUUUUCUCCCAAACUUUGCAUAUAAAAUAGGAAAAUGUCAUGAUUUAGUCCGUUUAUAGCAUCUUGACAUACAUAUUAAAGUUGCACUCCAUCCCUGCAAGUUUUUCCCAUUUUGUCUGUACUAGAAAGGACUAUGUCAUGGUAAUUCCGAGGAUUUUCUAGCGAUCUUGUGUAAUAUGCAUGCAACCUAACAGCCUUCAAUCUAGGACAAUGUAGAAAUUUGUUAAAUUUAUCAAUUGAUAAGUGAAAUUGUGAGAAAUUCGUGAAGUUGUUUGAGAAGAAGCUUCUCAUACUUUAAGCAAGGCAUCUGCACUCCCAAGGCUAGAAAAAAAAGAACAAGACUCUUUACUUUGAUGCCAAUCAUUAUACGGAUUAUAUAAGAGAAUAUAAAUAUUGAAUGAGGACUAGCACCUUCUACAGUUUCAAAAGUAAAAUCAUUGUAUCCCUUUCCUUUCAAGUCGUCAUUUUUGGCCCCCGAGGGUUAAGAAACUUAGUAUGCCCUGAUCUUUUGUAAUAUAGUGCCAGAUGCCCUGUCAUCACUUGCAAACUGAAAAAAGUGGUAUAAUUUAGGGAAAAAAUAAGAGAGAAACAAUUAUCAAAAUAACGAUUUUUCUAAAUGAACGUACAAUCUAAAAUGGAUACUAUUUUUCUGUCCGCGUUUUAACAGAAGACCAAUCGGUUGAAACUUAUUUUAUAGUCGAUAAAUAAAACAAUAAAGAGAAUACAAUGAGAAUAACAACUCAAAUCUUUCCAAAAACAUAACCCCACCCCCCCCCCCCCCCCCCCCCCGCGUAUAUAACUAAUCAAGAGUUGUGUUCAAUCUUUCACAAAUAUAAACGUAAUAAUAUACAAAUUAGUUUUGAAUUUACUAUUAUAUUUAUUGAAAGCUAGGAUAGACGGCAACCCUCUUGCUAGCACCAGCACUCUCAUCUAAGAGAAGCAUUGCACAAGAGAGAUAACUUUCGUUGAAAAAAAAUUCAUUGGGCUUAGUAUCUUGCGAUACUUACCAGUUAGUGAGAGAGAGAUUCCAGCAUGCAAAGCUGUCAAACCCUUGGGGCCCUUGUGAGAGGAUGACAAUGAAAAAUGGCCUAAAAUCAGCUCGGUGGUACAAGAAAGUCCUCGAUCUGCUGCAAUAUAAAGUGGGGACUCAUUGGCGGCAUUAGUAAAACUGCAGAGUUAAGAAUCUUCUUUAAUCAUCAACUUCACCACCCAAUGAUGGCCUCCUCUUACGGCAUGGUGCAGUGCAGUAUCCUUAUUCAAAUUCUGCUUUCGAAGUAGCUCUUUGCACGCAUUAACUCGUCCGUUAUUAACAACCCAAUGAAGUGAUUUUGCCAAAUCAAUGAAGGCUCGAACCGCUCUAUAGCUUCCCACUUUAGCAGCUAGGUGUAGGGGAGUGUCCCCUUUGUAGUUACCCUGCCAAAGAAGGGACGGUCCUAAUGGACAAUGAAGAAGACCUUCAAUGAAAUUUACCUGCUUGUAUUGAGCCGCAACAUGAAGAAUGUUGUUCUCCUUUGGUGUUGUUUGGUGGAAAAUGUCCUCUUCAUUUCCUGAUAUUAUUGUCUCAAAGGAAUCAGAGUCUCCCGACUUUGCAGCCUCAUACACUUUAGGAUGCAUUCUCACCGUUUCUCUACCUUUCCCCAGACAAAGAGUAGUUGCGAGUGAACUUGCAUAUAUAAGCAAUGAAUUCAAGCCGUAGGAAGUUCUUUCAGAAAAUAGUUUUCGAAAAGCCAAAUUGCUCUAUUUCUUUGAAGUUUCCGUUCUUCCACACGCAAAUUGGAAGGAAAAAGUCAAGCACGACAAAAAAUUCAACGGCCAGUCUCCCUGCAGCUUACAAAUUUUUUUUUUUUUUUGACUUUUGAACUAUCUUGUCUACCGCUCGUCAUCAAAAGCCAAACCAUUGCACAUCCUCGAUGCUUCCUAGAACAUCAUAACUUUAGACUUCCAUGCCUCCCCCGGGGAGUACACGGCAAUGCGAACCAUCUUCAAUAGUUCUGGCGAAUCAACCCUAAACGGCUUAUGAUGUUAUUAGUUGCUAUCACCCUUGCUGCUACUAAGCACCAGCCGCUACCCCCAUUUCUAACAUCCUACCAUCAUCUCACAUCUAGCAAUAACUUGAGACCGUUGUCACUAAAUUUAACGUGGCCAUAAAUAGUCUCUACCUCAUUUACCUACGGUUUGAUACCUAAAUAUUGAUUUUUCCCAAUCAUUUAUUGCAUGAAAAUUAGGGAUUGGGUUCAAUCCCUAAAAAAAAAAAAAUCAAAAGUACAAAGUUUGCAUAAUGGCCCGCGCUCCAUGAAGUAUCACCCAUGGAGCCAUUUAAAAAUGACAUUUUGGCCAAAAGUUCACGGUUAAUUGUCAAUCCAUAUCGCAAUUCGAAACUGAAAUUUCGUACUAAAUUUUGCAGAGGAAACGGAGAGAUGACCGAGCCAUGAUUGUGGGGGCAUGCUCAAAAGAAGGACUAUUGGGUGAAUUCUUUUCCAUAAAUGAUAGACUCACAUAUUUAACAAAGGAAUCAUUGGACACAAAUAUUUUUCUUGAGAAUAUUGGCUAAAUUUGUAGGCAUAUAAUUACCUCAAUCCUUGGCGAAAGUCAAGGAUUUGGGCAUUAUUGCGUCGAUCUUCUUCAGACGAUCGAGCGUACAUGAGAAGGCUUCAGUAUUGACUAAGGCAAAAGCAAAUUAACAAGGCAGUUCUGUACUGUGUAGGGGUCCGAAGAAAGGCAACUGUGUACCGUGGAGGGGCCAUUUAAUCAAUGAAGGAAAGGAAAGGCAAGUAAAGAGGAAAAUUCUUUCCAACUUUUCAAAGACAACAUCUCAGCAAUUAAGGCACAAAAUUCCAAAACAUGAGAAGAUAUUGCCAAUAUUGGACGUUCACUAUGGCCAGUUGUUACUGCGUUAAGCCUUCAUGGUCAUUGCCCCUGCCCCCACGGCAUCACCGCUCCUCCCAACCAAGCCAAGUCGGCAUCAUUCCCUUCGGUGCCAUCGACACCGCCACUGACGCAGCGAAGAGUCCGACCCACGCCAAACAUAGAUUUCCAGCAGAACCGUAGAGACCCGCCAGUCCAGCCAACUCCUGCAGCUGCUGUUCGCCACCAACAUCAGUUAACCAGCACCUCCGGCGAGCAUCAAUUCUUCCCUGCAGCCGCGCCACGAAGCUGCAACUGGGAAGCAGACGCGGACGAGCCAGCGAACCAAAGCGCCCUCGCUGACGGUCUGCAACCUGAGCAACGGCGAACAAACUUUCUCCGUCCCAUCCGUUUAGCUGGAGCUUCCAGGCCCCACUCAUAGCAAUCACUAGCCUUGCCUACGCGUCCCAGUAUCCCUUUUGUUGUCGUGUCCAGCCCGUUGGAAAAAUAUUAUAUGAAAUGAAAAAUAAGGAUAGUUGGAAAUCUAUUAAAGAUAUGAGAAAAUAAGAUCAUUUUCUGGAUCCUGCAAGUACUGUCAUACUCUGAAUACAAAAUUCGGUGCUAUAGGUUCUAAUCGCUAUCCUCCUAAGAAACAACAAACCUUCUUUUUUAUUAUGUAUAGAAUGAUAGAAGAAAUAAGAAUAAUGUUAUACAACCCAGCAAUGAAGAAAAGAUUUGAGAAAAAAAUGAUAUUCUCUUCAUAAUUCGGCAUAUAUUCAAAAAUGUCUUUUGUAGUUAUUUUAUAUUCAAAAUGAAACCAUUAUAAAGCCGUUGUAAAAUGAUAGAGGGUAUAUGAAAAAAUAAACUAAUCGUUACAAAGUCGUUAAAAAGCUGACCGUUAAAAAGGUACUUAUAUAACCAUUAAUAUAAUCAUGAUUUUCACUUCAGUCAUAACUUCUAUAAAAGUCAUUACUUUAAAAUAUUUCAAAAAGUGUUGCAAUGGCCUUUUUGCACGACAUCACCCUAUAGUCCACGCAGCUUCCAGGUUUUCCCAGUGGGCAAUCAGCAAGCUUUGAGCACACCCAAGUGACCUGGCUCUUCCCCAGACCAGUUCAAGCAAACCCCAUCGAGCUCUUGAUGCGUUAAUUGAGUCCAGUAGCCUCAGUCGAGCUUCCUCCGCGCCUAUAAUUUUCCUGCAGUGUCCAAAGCUAUUCCCGGUGAACCAGCGAAUUUCAGCAAGCCCUGACCUUCAGCCUUGCCUUCUUCGACUUGCUGAGCUCCCUGCGGUCAACUCCAGGUGUCUCCACCAAUCUCCGGCGAUUCCUGCUCAGCCCCGCUGCAUCCCCAGCUACAUUUGGACUUGUUGGCUUUGCUUGGAACCUCUUCCUUGAGUCAACCUAGCUUUUUGGACGUCCCUGCAGGAGCUUCACGAGCGUUGAUUACCUUUGUCGACGCUACUACUAUCACUUAGUUGCCAUUUUGAUUCUACGUAAGCUAAGUCUUUGAUGUGGUGGCUCAAUUUUUAGUAUAUAAUGUUAAGUUCGUGACAUUUAGUAAAGCCUUAGGAUAUCUAAUUCCGCUUUAAAUAUUUUCCUGCAUUAGUCAAGGAAUAUUAGGGCGCCGGACCAUUGGGCCUAGAGGUCAGGUACUUAGUAUCGCCCCUUCAUUAUUCGUGACUAUAACAUAUCUUUUUAUGCGUGAUUGGUUGGAAAAAUUUUACAUGCAUCACAAUAAUGUCUUUGAUUUUUAAUGGUAAACUUUGGUAAAACAUAUACUUUGAUGCUUGACAAUCAUCAUGUAUAAAUUGCAUAUCAUAAUCUCUUAUACAUAUUUAGAGCUUAGGGUGCACUCAUAAUUUCAUAUUUGGGGCAAUGCACUUAAUCUUAAAAUGAACAUAAAUUUAGGAUAACGCCUAGUUUUCAUUAUAACAAAAUGUCAUUAUUAUAUGUAGAUUGCAUGUAAGUUUCGAGUUAAUCAGUCCCAUAGCAUGCGUAUCAUAGAAUACAAGGCUUUUAGAAUUAAUCAUAUGGAUAACGUUAACUAUUAAUGGCAUUACUGCAUCAUCCAUUGCAUAUAAUUCCAUAAUCACUAAAUGUUCGUUAGGUCUCGGAUUUUUAAUAUAAGAAUUGCACUCCAUAUGGUCCUCAUAUAGAAUAGAUUCAUGAUCUCCAUAGACCACUCAUUUUUGAUAAUUAACUAAGAAUAGGGCGUACAUUAUUUAAAAUGUUCCAUAUUGCAUAUAUAAUAGAAAUUGCAUGCUCAUUUAAUUUAUAGACUUUAGGGUCAUCUGUCUUGUUGUUAAUUUAUAAAAGAAAAAAGAAUAAAAAAAGUCAAAUUAGAGAGUCUCACGUAGAUUGCAUUAAUUAGGCUAACUUUUUCUAAAAUUCAUAUCGCCCACUAUUCAGUAGAUCAUUUAGGAUUAAUCUGACUAAUGUCCCACAUAGAUAAUUUUCGGAAUUAAUUCCAUCAUUUGUCAUUUAAAACUAAUCAUGCAUAUCACGUAGCUGCAUCAUUCUUGCAUGUCAUUUAGUUAUUUUAUUAGGUCCUUGGCAUAUCGGUAAAUUUCUUUUAACAUAGAACUCUAGGGUUUAUUUGUGUUUUUCUUAAAUCAUUGUGUUGGUUAAAUAAUAAAAAAAAUUUAAAAAAAUUAGAAUAUAUUGCAUAUUAGUUAGUCAUUAACUCAUGCUAAUCAUAGACACCAUUCAUGCAUUAUGUAUGCAUAUAUUCCUAGCUAAUGGUUUGUAGAAACCACGUGGUGAUGGAUAGUUAUAUGCUUUGCUUUGGCUUGGUGAAUCCAGGUUCUUUAAAAUUUUUACAAUCUAUUUACUACUUUGAUUAUUGAGUGUUACUUUCUUGAUUGCACGCUCACGAAAUCACCAUCACCCAUACUAGCACAUUUGAUAAAAUCAACUAAGAUUGCUUGCAAAAAUAUUUUCAAAAUAAUAAGAAAAGGUACCAAAACGGCGUUGAAUUAAUCUAGUGUAAUUAACUCCUUGAAUCCAUUUGAAUAUCUGAUUCGAAGAAGUAAAAUAUACUCUCACAUUUUACUUGUGUGUCUAAUCGACCCAUGGAGAUUAGCGGUGGCUCCAAAAGGUAAGGUAAAUUACAUAUCUAAUUAAAUACCAAGUUAAGAUUGGUGGGGCUUCUUGGAAAGAGCCCAUGCUAAACACAAACAAUUGCCUCAUGAGGAAACCUUCAUUCCCAGUAAUAAUCCAUUAGCCUUCCCCUAGUGGUUCACUAUUGGGAAGGUCGCAAAACCUACUACCACUUAGCAACUUCACUUUGUUGACACCUAAAUUUUGCCUUGGUAUUUUAAAUUAGGACUUAGUUUUUAUUUGCAUCUAUAUUUAUUUUCUCUUUUCACCUUUUUUGGAUAAAAAUAAUGAUAAUAAUAAUAAAUAAAAAAAAACAACAGCCCAGCCCCUUCCUCUUUUCUUCUUUACCCUCGUGCGGGCCCCCAGGGCCCGGCCCGGCCCUUUUCUCCCCCCAGGCCUGGCCCCCUUCUCCUGUUUGUCUUCUUCCUCACAUUGUCUUCUUCCCCGUUCGGAUGAGCAACACACGCUAGAGGCCGAACGCGCGUGAUGCCGAAAUGGAGGAGGAGACGGCGACGUACCACAUAGCAGGCGGAGGGGAUGCGUCUUCAAUGCGAGGUGGCCUAGCUAAAGCCACCUCGACAGAUGGAACGCCAAUUUGGCCGACGAAGGCCGUUUGGUGUGUGAAGGACGAACGACCGAACCUUCGUCAAUCAGCCUUCCCCUCGCCUAUAAAUAGGGCGUUGGGGAAGGCUAAACCACGGCAAAGAGAGGGAUCACCGACAGCAAGCUUCGAGAACCUUCCCCGAGAGAGAUUCGGGGGAGGCCCGAGGGCUAGCCUCUGGAGAUCUCAGAUUUGACCGGAGAGGGUCAGAUUCUGGGGAUAGACGUCGAGCAAGAGUAGCCAAGGCCAGCCGGAGGAGAGACACCAAGUAGGAGCAAUCGAGGUCAGUCGGAGACAGAGAUCCGAGAGAGGCCAACCAAUCCGAAGGAGGGCGAGAUCCAAGCAAAUCGCACCCCUCCGCCAGACCUCUGCCGUGUCGACGCCUUCCCCGAUCCCUGCCGUGCCCUGCGUUGCCGCCGUGUCAGGUAAGAAUGCUGCAGCUGCCCCUUUUCUUCUUCUUUACAUCUUGUUCGGCCUCACUGCGUCCAAGGUUUCCCGGUGCCGCCGUCACCGUAGCUUAGAAGACGCCGAAGCUUGCACCACCCCCUGUUUGUAUCGCUCCAACCACCAAGCCCCCCACCAUCUGCUGUUAUGGCCUCACCGUCGCACUUGCUAGCGUAAGCUACGGCUGCCCCUGUUAGGGUUCGAAGGUGAGGAGUAAAGAUCCCACGACUGGCUUCGUUGACUGGUUUUCCUAAUUUACCAAAAAACCAAAAAUGAUUAAUAUUUUCAAAAAGAGAUCAAAAUUCCAAAAAUGCUUUUUAUGUUCAAAAAAUAGAAAAAGACCCAAAAAAAUGUUUUUCCUUUGCAAAUGUAUGGAAUACCCCUCAAAAUUCUAAAAAGCCUUCGGAUUUAAACAAAUUAGGUACUUGAAGGGCAUUAAUGAUUAACUAGUGUAAUCAAGUUCCUAAUUUGGUUUCUCUGGUUGCGUAGGAGCGAAUAUUCCUCCCAAUAUUUACCAAUAUAUAUAUAUAUAUUCCUCUCAAUAUUUCGCUUAGAUUUCUAAUCGACCCACCCCAAAUUAAUUAAUGGCGACUCCUUAACUUAUAGGUAAAAAAAUAUCAAACCAUUAAGUCGUGAAUUGGUGGGCUUAGGAGAGCCCGAAUUAAGUCUGAUAGACCUAGUCAAACCAUUAGCCUCCGCAAGCGCUUGCCUUGAUCGAGUGCCGAAAAAAGAGGUCGUGACACACUUCGAUCUCUACUAUAACCCUAUUUUUAUUGUUGAAUAUUAAAGUAGAAAAAUUGUGGAAUCAUGACUAGCUGCAUGGAAAAAUUAAAAUGUUAAAGUAUAAUGUCUCAUAGUAUUAUAAUGCAUGUGUGAAUUGUGCUAAAAAUAUUUACAUUGGAGAAUUGAUUUGUUAUUGAAUAGUUAAUAAUCUUAGUUGACCUAUAACUUAUUAACUUAAGUUUUUUUAGUGAAUAUAGGUAUAACUGAAUAUAUUCAUGAGUUCAGACUUUGAUUCUCUCUUAGCGAUCUUUCCAAAUGAAGGUAUCAAUUUUGACUAAAGAUUGAUCCAACUAAAUAUAUUGAUAAACUUAGACUUAUGCUCGUCAUUGCUAAUCUCCCCUAGAUAAAGGCAUCAUAUGGUGAUUUUAGUGCAAAGAGAGUUUACAUCCAAUUGAGGCAUUUUCUUCUUGGAGACAUGAGUUUUUCAAGCUAUGAGAUAAAUCUCGGUGAUUUCUUUUAUCAAUAUUGAGUAAUUACAUGAAACUAAAUAUUGUAUGUUUGAGUGUAAUCUAGAGUUGGAAAAUACUCAAGCAUAGGAGUAAUUAUAACUCUAUAAUUAUGUAAUUGAUUAAUGGAUUAUUUGCUAUUAACUCUCUCUUGGAGUAGAAUUAGACACUUGGAUUGGAUCAUGUGAAUUUCUCAUUUACUUUUUUGUUUCUCAUUCAUUCCACCGGUAAUUUCAUUCUCUCGUAUUAAUUUAAUUGCAAGAUCCAUUAUCUUUAGCAUAAUUUUACAAUAGAUAGCUUAACAUUUUCAUUGUAUACACCAUAUAAAGAUCUCUUAAUUACUUGUUGAAUAACAUUUCUAGUAAAGUAAGAAUAUAGAUUUAUUCGUAGAUUUAAACCACUCGACUAAGUGAUAUUUUCUUCUUGGUUGUGGAAUAUGAAAUGCUUCGAACUCCGGAGGUAUUUUUUAGCACACUAAAAUAAGGUUAAUCGGAUGAGACCAAAGAAAGCUCUUUUUCGCCCAAAAAAACUUUCUUAGUAGAAAUAUAUCAUUCAAAGUGGAUUUUUUUUUUUUUAAACCUUGGGGUACGGAUGUGAGAUCUAGUUAUUCGGAGGCUCAUAAAAUAUCUCGUAGUCGGUGAGAUUUGAAUAUUUAGUUUCUGAUCUGGAAAUCUCUGUUGCCAUAGCUUUAUGCUGCUAUUGACAAUAUCUCCUCUAGUUGAUCAAUUAUGAGACAAGAAAUAGUUGAAAAAAAAACGCUUUCUCCCCACCAUAUUAUAUCUCUUUAUGUGUGCCAAUUGAUUUCAUUGAUCAAUUUAUUAGAGACUUGAUCAAGAUACCAACUCGAAUAUAUAAUGAACAAUUGGCCUAAAAUUUCUUGUAGUUAUGCGGUAAUCAUCAAAAUCUUUAGGUAUUUGAUUAAUCCCCACUAGAUGAAGGUAGUCGUCACAAACAGACAAUUUAGAUUUUAAUAAACAUUCAACACUACAUGAAAAUUAACACGAAUCAUAAAAUCCGUUACGUGAUAACCUUCAUAGGAUGCUUAAUGCACCUGAAAAUUAAAGACCAUAUGUCUGCUUUUUGACCAAGCAAACAAAGCCAAAACAAAACUUUAGUUGGACAAAUGGACCCUCUAUAAAGAAUAGAUAGACUUGCUUUGAGGUGCAAAAAGAAAGUCAAGCCCUGCCAUGUUCUUUAUUUUUAAAGUUGUCAUAUUUUCUAAGGAUAAGUGUUUUGUAAGUCCUAAAAUUUAUCAUAAAAGUGUAAUUGAGUUCUAAAAUUUUCAAAAAGUGCAAUCGAGUCCUCAAACUUAUUAGUAUUUUCCAUUUGCCAAAUUGGACGAAGUUAAUGAAAUGACUAAAUUGCACCAGUUCAAUAAGUUUUAGGACUAAAUUAGACUUUUUAAAAGUUUAGGACUCAAUCGCUUUUUCAUGACAAGUUUAUAACUUGGUCACACUUUUUGAAAAUUUUUACACUUUCAUGAUAAAUUUUAGAACUUUCAGUACACUUAUCCCAAUAUUUUGAUAUGAAGCAACGUUGCGUGGUAGACAAUUAAGGGUACUUUGUAAUCAGUUUUAAUUUUUCAUAUGCAACUAUUAAUGGACAUGAAGAUAUUAAACUUCAUUUAAAUAGUAUAUGCUUUGUCAAGACACUACUCCAGUUACCACUCCCCCGCUUGUUAAAUUUCGUGGAUAGACAUAUGUAAUGUGUUGACCCAAUAGGUCAUGACUUUUAAUUUAGAUAUGUAGGGUGCUAGAUAUGCCUCUGAUCUCACAUUGCCAUAUAUGAGUUGUAGUUGGUAGAUAAAUCUCACAAAUUCUCAAAUUAAUAUGGUAGGCUCUUCCGCCGUGUUGGCAUGAGUGAGCUAGAGCCAAAGCUAGAACUUUAUGUGUUGGCACGGCGAGCUUGUGUGUCAUUUCCUACAGUGGUAUAGGCAAGUUAGUCAAGAUAGAGAUGUUAGCGAUUGUUUUUAAUUUCACAAUCCCAUGCAUGUAAGACGUGUUGUAUUGGUUAGGAGUAUGCAAUAGGAAUAGUCUAAAUUGGGAACCACCCAGACCAGACUGGAUUGGCUGGUUAUGAGCAAUUCCCAGAGAGGGCGGUCCAGUUCCAAUUCUAAGGUGGGAAUUAGACCGACGGGACUGAUUGAUAUAAAAAAAAAUCGAGAAAAAUCAUUUUGCCCAUUUUAGGUUUUGCUUUCCCCUCCUUCCUUUUUGCUUACUGCUUUCCCCUCCCUUUUGAUUAACACAAGCUGAUAAAAACCCACUGAAAAAACCGAAGCUUUAAGCUUGAUUCUUGAAGACAGAAACGGUCGUUGUGGUCGCAGUCCUCCUGAGGCUGGGCGAAGGACCAUCGUGCAAUCAAAAGACACGCCGAACUACACCAGUUUAGGCGUGCGGUACAUGGACGUGGGAGAAGGAAGGAGGAGAAAUCAUAAGUAAAGGGAGCAAAAGGGAGGACCUGGAGGUGCGCGUCGUAGUCGGAAGGAUUGUUGUAGAGCUGGGACUCUAGGGCUUCAAUCUGGAGCUUGUCCUGAGCCUCGGAGUCGAAGUCGGAGUUGGAAUCGGAAUCGGAAUCGGAAUCAGAGGCAGAAGGGGAAGAAUCGGCAAGGACACCCACGGGCUCGUCUGGAGGUGAAGGCAUGGCUGAAUCUCGACCUUCGUCGGCCAUCUCCUUCUGGUCUGCUUCUCCGACCAUCUCCAUCUCCGUCUUUCUUUCUCUUUCUUCUGGAUUGACGAUGGCGGACGCUUUUUGGAUCAGAGAAAACCCCGCUAGUCAGUAGUCACUGCUCUGUUGGCGAAAAACUGAGAAACGUUGCGACGGGAUCUAUAAAAAGCAAGUUUAUUGGCAUCACACCAACUCCUUUGCAAUUAUGCUGCGGUUUAUGAAGUGACAACAAGGCCAUGCAGCCACUGAACAAAAUUCUUUCUGGAUAAUCUACAGAAAAAGACAGAGCUAUCAACAAAACAGUGCACUCCCGUCAGCCUAUCGACAAGACGGGGUCACUAAAAAAGGACCGAUCCAACUGAAACAACCACUUAUCUCCUCAUCCUUCACUGCAAUAAUUAGAACAUCCUCAAGCCGCGAGCACCAACUCAUCCAACACGGCAACAAACAAACAACAAAUUAUCAAUUCCACCGGACCAAAUCGGACCAAUCAGUCGGUCCAAUUACCAUUUUCAGGACUGGUCGGUCUGAUUUCCUGAUCCUAGAAUCUGGGAAUUGGUCCUCCUAGUCCGAUUCCCGGUUCCACCUCGGAACCAGAUUGGCCUGGGAACCAAUCAGUCCGAGUACAGUUAUAUGACUCUAGCUCAAUGAAGUUAGAAUGAUGCAUUUUAAUGCCGUGUGGAGGUAGAUGAGUCGCAGUUAGAAUGGGCAAUAUCAUGUUCCCGGUAAGGUCGCAAUAUUUGUUGUUUUGGCUAGAAAAUAAAGCAUACAUACAUACUGGAAGACAUCCUUGCAGACACCGCCAAUAAACCCAUUUGCAACUUUGUCCUCUCUCACUUCAUUUUACUAAUCAAAAGAAAUUCUUGCAAACACUAACGUGUUGAAAUUAAUCAAUUUGUAACUUUUCUCUUUAUAUAAUCUAGGGCUACCAAAGUGAGAAAACUCGGUUAUCUGAAGAUUCAUAAAAUAAUCUACAAGUCUUAUAUAUUGAUUAAACUUAUACUUUAGCUUUGCAAAUAGCUAGUACUAAAAAUAACUUGCACACAGUUACAAUAUAGGAGGUUAUAGAUACGAAAGUGGGAUUACAUCCUUUGGAAAGUUAAUUUUUUGACCGAAGUUUUUGAAAUAGCUAGUACGAGUACCUAGAGGGGGGUGAAUAGGUAUACAAAAAUUUCUCGAACUUGGGCAAGCAGCACCCCCACUUCGCGCUAGAUUCGUCCUUGUUAUUGAAUAAAAUACUAAAAUAAUAUGAGUUUGCGAAUUACUCAGUAAAUCAAGAGAAAUUUUUUCAAUAAAUUUUAAACAUGACAUUCCCGUCUAUUUAAGUUGACCACUACUCAGGCCAAAAGAAAAAAAAAAAAAAUUGAUCACUACGUGUUAGUAUUAUUAAAUUUUAUUAUGUUUUUUUUUCAAAAAAUAAUAUAUCACAGUAAUUAAUCUGGGUGAACGAAACAGAAUCAUAGUAUCAAAGAAUCACAAUAAUCUCUCCAUAAAUUAACCUCAAAAAGAUAAAAAGAAAGUAAAACCAGCAACUUUUUGGAAUCUUCUUAGUCACUAGAAGCCAAUGUUAUUGUGUAUAUUUUACUGGUUAAUGAUAAGUAACUGGCAUAUAGCAUUAGGUCUUAAUUUUCUUUUAAUUGAAAGGUAACGUUUCAUUCAUUUCCACAAAAAGACAAUGCAUCCAACUGCAAACCAAAAUAAACCCCAAAUAGUUUCAAAGCAAAACAAAUUCCAAAUAAUAAGAUGAAUCAUCAAAACAAAGUUAAGAGCCACACGUUCAAAGAACAAAUAUGUGAUUUUUUCAAAUCAAAAUCGUCGAUCGAUCACUGAAUCCAUCUUCAAUAAUGAGCACACACCGAGAACUCCAUAAAUUGCUAUGGCUUUGUCUUUCGGUGGUGUGCAUCUAGGUUCGACGUCCUGAGCACAUAUCUGAUUGAAAGAAGCCUUCAUAGAACUGCUACAAUGUGACAUCCCGAUUUUCCAAUUCUAUUUUCAAUAAAUUGAGACGGGCAUUUCGUUGGCACGCAUAUAGUUCUUUUCCUUGGGUCGGCCACUCAUGUAAAAACUAGUCUAUCGGGUGAAGUCGUUAAGAAAUUCUAAUGCAUCACACUCGAGAAUUUGGUCAGGAAGCAACCUUUCAACCGAGCUAAUCUGAAAGGGUCAUUACGACACAAAUGAAAGUCGAUUAGAGACCGGAGAUAGGUCAACUCGACAGAGGCGUGUGAUCGAGUGUGGGUGAUUCCACCGGAUCGCAUAAUCUUUGUCGAUCGACACUGGACCGACUUUUCUAUCGAUUGGGUACCCUGUGUUCGUAUUUGAAACCUUGAGAUUACCCCGACGACCGAAAGUCGCCAAUGUUUCAAAGAUGUACAUUGUGGCUUGACAUGAUCAACCACAGGUCAAAUGCAUAAAAAUCUCUAAGGGCUACCCGGUAGGUUAGGCCGCGCUAGUAUCGUGCCAAAGUGAAAUUAACCGUGGAAUUGAGAUCGAAUUCAGAAAUUGGAAGUCGGGGUGUGUCACAAAUCAUUUCAAGAUCAUUGAAUCAUCUUCGGGAAGAUUUUUUUCAUGCAAGCCGAGCUUUUCAGCAAAAUAAUCAAGAAAUAGCUAAUUUGGCUCGAGAAAUUAGUAGGCCACUUUUGGUCGCGCUUUUGGGACUCAAGUUGAUUUUAUAGACAAGUGAAGAUGUGAAUUGAAGUGUGGUGGCAUUGAAUUUAUUUUAUGGACCUCAACUUGAUUCAAUUGGAAGAGAAUUGAUGAGAAUUGAAGAAAUGGGACGUACAAGAAUUGGACCUCGGCGGAAAAAUAAAAUGGACCCAUUAGAGUAUGGUUGUGGGAGAUAGUGGAGUGUGAUGUCAUGCAUGAGGUUAUGGUGGGGCCAAAGAGAGAGAAAGAGAGAGAGAGAAAGAGAAAAAGAAAGAGAAAGAGAAAGAGAGAGAAACCGGUUUUCUCCCUUUCUCCUCCGUCGAGACCUCCCCUCCAUCUUCUUCUUGUUGCUUGAAGAAACGCAGCAAGCUGAAGAGGCUGAAGACCAGCGAACCAGAGCAGCUCCGCCCGUCGCCGAUCGCCGCCGCUGCACGCCGUCGUAGUCCCGCGCCUCACCACGCGCAACCGGCUCCCUCUCCCUCUUCAGCCGUAGUCGAAGCCCUCUCUUCUCCAUCUCCAGUUGCUGCUCGUGUCCCAGCAGAUCUGGGAAGACGCCGAAGCAGCCAGGAGUCUAGUCAGACCGCCAUCGCGCCCCGCUUGCCGCCGUCCGCCUCUCGCGACACCCUGCCAUCCUCGCGCAACAAGCCUGCUCGUCCCUGCUGUUCCGCGAGUUCAGCAGUCAUUCCAGAUCUGGGGAAGCUCAGCCGGAGCCGCCCAGCUCACCUCUGGCCACCGUGAAGCCCCGCCUAGGUCCAGUUCAGCUCCUCUGCCCAUUCCCGACCCCAACCAUCCCCGGAUCUGCUCAUUUUCGGCCCCAACCAACAGUGAACAGAGAGUUGGAAAAUGGGUAUGCAGUGGACGUUUGGCUCGUUUUGGCCGCCUUCCCGAGCUCGGAUGCUCGGCCCGCUUUGAGGAAAGUUGUUCUCCUCGGCGUCCCCGUCGUUUUGGUCCGCUCAGCUCAAUAAUCCGGUGAGUUUAACUCACUAAACCUCGCUUAGAGGGUUAAUGAUGCUUUAGGUGUGUUUAGUUUAUGUUAAGUGUUUUUAGGUGGUUAGUUUAAUUUAUUUAAGUGUAGAUUAUAUUAAUGUGCUUGAUUAACUUAAAUUGUGUUUAAUUUAAAGUUAAGUGGGUGUUUAUAUUAAUAUAAACAUUGAUGUGACAUAAAUGAAUUUACUUUUGAUUUAUUUAAAUGUCUCGAAAUUAUUAUAUAAUUUAAUAAUAUAUUUUAUUCGAAAGUAAUAAAAUAUUAUUAUUUAAUUAUUUUCGGAAUAAAUUAAAUUAUUUGUUAAAUUCCGAAAAUUUUGUCGAGACCUUAAAUUCUCAGAAUUUCGUGCCGGUCGUUGCUGUGUAGUCGGAUUUUGAAAUUGAUGAUUGGAUAUUAUAAAUUGAGUGUGGAGUUCGAAAACUAUGGAUAUUAUUAUUUAAUUAAUUUUCGGAAUAAAUUUAAUUAUCUAUUAAAUUCCGAAAAUUUUCAUUGGGACCUUAUUUGCUCAGAAUUUCGUGCCGAUCGUUGCUGUGCUAGUAGAAUCUCAAAUUGAUGAUUGGUUGUGAUGAAUUGAGUGUGAUUGCGAUUUAUAGGGAUUCUUUAUGAAAUCCUAAGUGUAGAAAUUGAUGGGAGAUUGGCUGUGAUUGACCACCUAUUAGAGGUCGUGCCCGAUGAGGCCGUGAAAUACCACCUAGGAAAGGUCGUGCCCGAUGAGGCCAUGAAAAACCACCUACGAGAGGUCGUGUCCGAUGAGGCCGUGAAAUACCACCUAUGAGAGGUCGUGCCCAGUGAGGCCGUGAUAAACCACCUAUGAGAGGUCGUGCCCAGUGAGGCCGUGAUAAACCACCUAUUAGAGGUCGUGCCUGAUGAGGCCGUGAAUUGCCACCUGUUAAAGGUCACGCCUGAAAUAGCUAGUACGAGUACCUAGAGGGGGGUGAAUAGGUAUACAAAAGUUUCUCGAAGCUUGCACGAUAUCAAUUAGAGUAUUUGCAACAGUUAAAAAUUCAAUCGCAAGACUGAGUAAGGGAAAGAGAGAAUUGAACACUCGGUUUAUAGUGGUUCGGCUUGAUUCAAGCCUACGUCCACUCUUCUGCACUGACAGCCGAUUGGCUGGAUUCCACUAUGAUCAAAGAGUUGUUACAGUGUUGAUCUUCCUUGAUUUCUAGGUGUAGAUGAUCUACCGCACUCACUCAAGGCGUCACCAAGUAUAAACACUCUCUGUAUACAAUUUCGCUCAGUCUCAACUAACAAUCAAGGAUCUUCAGACUCUGGAAUUUUUCUAUCGAUCACACACUUAAAACAACUAGAACGUCUUCCUUUUAUACUCCUUCAUGCCAUCAUAGCCGUUGGCACUUACCAAAGGAAUUCCUCCAAUCUACCCGUUGGACGGAAUCAAUCAAGAAGAUCAUCCGAGCUAUUUAAGGAAUCUGAUGAUAGCCCAUCAAUCCUGUUCGCCCAUACAAUCAGGAUCUCGGUUUCCAAGAAUAGAAUAAUCCAAAAUUAUUUCGUCGACCAUCGGAUCUUCAAUCGAUCUUAGAUAAGAAUUAAAGAAUCCGAAAUGAUUAUCCAACCAAAGAAUCUAUUCCAGAGGAUAGGAUCGAAUCCUCAACCAUAAACCUCGGCUUUGGAUUUCCUUCAACACUGGAUUAGAAAAGACUGUCAGUGAGAUAAAGUCUUGAGUCCUGAGUCUUAAGACUUGAGACUUGNNNNNNNNNNNNNNNNNNNNNNNNNNNNNNNNNNNNNNNNNNNNNNNNNNNNNNNNNNNNNNNNNNNNNNNNNNNNNNNNNNNNNNNNNNNNNNNNNNNNUUGAGUCUUGAGUCAGUGAGAAUAGACUUAAGUCUUGAGUCCUGAGUCUUAAGUCUUGAGUCUUGAGACUUAAGAGAACAAAGUCUUCAGACUUUAAACUGACGGUCUCCGAACAUGCAGACUUUAGACUGAAAGAAACGUUUUGUCAGCUUCAAAAUAUUCUGGAAAGAUUUCUCCAACAAUCUCCCCAUUUUUGAUGGUGACAAAACUUUCUUGAAGAUUUGAACAACUUUGACCUGCAAAACAUUUCUCAAGCAAUAUGGCUAACUCAUAAAGAUUAAUAAAACAACCAGACUCUGCAUCCACAGAAAAUUGGUUAGUCUUUCAUGAGAAACACCAUAUAACAACACUUGAAUAAAUGCAACCAGUCAAGUUCAUAAUCCACAGCCAAUUCAGUCAAAUUCACACCCAAGUUCAAGUUCUCAAAUUCACACCCAAGUUCAAGUUCUCAAGUCAUACUCAAAACUAAACAUAACCACAAAGGUCAAAGUUUAAAAAAUGAAUGAAAGUUCAAAUUGGUUCUCCCCCUUUUUGUCAGCAUUGAAAAGGGUGAGAAAGGAGUCAUGUCUGCUUGGGAAUGCGCACGAUCUGGAAAUCCCCAAUGGACUGGACUACUCCUUCGAGCUUCUUCAGGUCUUCUCGCAGAUGAGCUACCUCUUCUCUCUUGGCAUUUGCUUAAAGUUGCAGAGCGAGGUCUUUGAAUUUAUCUUCCAGAGAGACUGAAGAUGCUUGUCCAGCAUGCUUCAAAGCUUGGAUUUCACAAUCCAGAACAUAUAUCUGGUUACGCAUUUCCAGAAGAAUAUUCAUGAUACUACGAAAAUCUGCAUAAUCAUCCAUCUGUGUACUGGCAUUAACUUUCUCAGAUGGUGUGUAUGCAGACGAUGGCGCUUCUGUAUGGUCUGGCAGAUUUGGAAUCGAUGUAUCACCUUCUUCAUGCAAUUGAGAGACCUGAACUUCUUCUGGUCUUCUGGAGAUUGUCUUAGAUCUUCAGCAGCAUGANNNNNNNNNNNNNNNNNNNNNNNNNNNNNNNNNNNNNNNNNNNNNNNNNNNNNNNNNNNNNNNNNNNNNNNNNNNNNNNNNNNNNNNNNNNNNNNNNNNNNNNNNNNNNNNNNNNNNNNNNNNNNNNNNNNNNNNNNNNNNNNNNNNNNNNNNNNNNNNNNNNNNNNNNNNNNNNNNNNNNNNNNNNNNNNNNNNNNNNNNNNNNNNNNNNNNNNNNNNCUUGUCGAGGGAGACUCUAAGAUGGGAUCUUCAUCAUCUUCAUCCUCAUCUUCUUCCUCCAGGAUAAAAGUUCUUUUCCUCUUUUUCGAUGAAGCACCAAUGGCCUCCUUUCCUUUCCUUUUUGAAACAGACUGGACUGGAGAUUUCACUUUGAAUUUCUCCAUUGCCUUAGAGAGUUCUUGCAGACACAUCUUCAUUAACAUUUUCAACCCUACCACCAUCUUAUCACACGAUCGAACACAAAAAGUAUGUGGCAGUUCAAUAUUCAGAUGUCUGAAGAUCUUGGUCACCAGACCAGGAUAAGGCAAUUUUCCUUUGUCUUUUGACACUGCUCUGUACAUAUGGAAAAGAAUAGUGUGCGGGAGAGAAAACUUCCGUCCUGAGUUGAUCGCAUACAUCAACUUUGCUUCAGAAAGAGACACAGAAGUCUUUGACGUAGACUUCGGUCUGAGACAAUUGAUCACAAUCUUGUGAAGCACAAUGUUGAUGGCAUUCAUCCUCGAAUAGAUAAUUUUCUUAUCUACAUCCCUAUCUUUGACAAGAUCCAGAGUGGCUCGAGCAGGUGAGACUUUGAUUGGGAGAUAGCGUCCCCGUUCAACUCCAAUUAUGUCCGCCAACAUACUCACAUCUACCACAUAGACUUGGUCUCGAACACUGAAUGAAAUUCUAUUCGCAUCCAAAAAGCUAAGAUUUGAAUAGAAAUAAGCGGUCAGUUGAUCAUACCCGUCUGUAGAGUCAGAGCAGAAAGUCUCAAGUUGAAGCAAAUUCAACUUCUCUCUUAACUUCAAGUUGAUGGAAUCCAGGAAGUCAAAAUCGACACUGCUAGGAUUGAUUAUCCCUCUUUUCAACAGCCUGAAAUACACUUUUUCCUGAUCCUUGGAUUUAAACAAAUCCAUCCGAUUUCCUUUCACCUUUGCUGCCACACCCAUUCUAGGUUUAAAUUCAAGGAACAUUUUGUCAUCAUCGUUCCCGUCAAUCAGAUUUUGUCCUGGCAUACGAGGAUCACUUGGAAUGUUCGCAAGAGCCUGCUCUGCUCUUCCUUUCGAAGCAAUUCCCAACUCUUCCAUUUUCCGCAAAAAAAGAUACUCAUUUCCAUAAUUUUUGUCCUUUAGAAAGUCAUCUAUAUAUUUUAAUGAAGAACCGGUGCUUUUCAACGCACGAUAAAGCUUAUAGAUAACAGAAGGUCUUUGGACUCUUACUGGGUCAGCUUCCUCGAUUAUCUCUUCUUCCAGAUUUUGACUUGCACUUUGUGGGGCAGGAGAUGCUGAAUGACGUGGAGGAGAGCGAAUCGGACUUUGUCGCUAACUUGGUAAGUCUUCUUCCUCAGUGAGAUCGAAGUGAGUCGGUCCCUUCUCCAUUCUUUGUGGUCCCCUGUUUGCGAUUCUUGAUGAUUUCCUCGAAGACGACAUCUUUCUUUGUCUAUUGGAGGAUUCCUUCACUUGCUUUUCCCAAAAAAAAAAAAUGACCACUUUCUCAACAAUGAACAAAGAGUAGAAACAGUAUCGAGAGGAGAGUGCUUUUUAGGGUUUUGAAAAUUGGGGGUAGAAUAACCAUAUAUAUAUACCUCGGAUUUGAAAAGGGAAGUUUAAACGGUACAAGGAAAGUGUACGAACAAUUUUUUUAAAAUCAAUAACUGCCAAAAUUAACUUUCUUUAAAAAAGACAAGUUUUCAAAUUUCACACGAAUUAUAUCUGAAUAAUAGAAAGUACCUUUUAGAUAAAAUAAACGAGAAUUCGUACCUUUUAGAUAAAAUAGCUACUUACAGUCUUUAGCCAUGAAUGCUUGAGUCUCAGGAUUUAGAGUCUAAGAGAUCAGAGUCUUAGAGUUGGUGAGUCUCUAGAUUUUAACUUCUCAAGCUUCAAAAUGUUGAGUCUCGAGCGGAUAAAGUCAAACUGAUUCUUCUCCAAAGGCUUUGUGAAUAUGUCCGCUAGUUGACUUUUUGAAUCAACAAAGUGAUGACGAAUCUCAAUAUGCUUUGCUCUUGAAUGAAGGAUUGGAUUUUUGGUGAGAUUGAUAGCGCUGGUGUUGUCACAUCUGAUUUCUGUGCAUGAGUCUUCAAUGCCAAAGUCUUGUAGCUGUUGUUUUAUCCAUAGAAUUUGCGAACAGCAGCUUCCAAGAGCUACAUACUUUGCUUCUGUUGUUGAGAGAGCUACAGUGCUUUGCUUCCUUGAAAACCAAGACACUGUCCUGUUUCCAAGCAGUUGACAAGUUCCAGAAGUGCUCUUUCUAUCGACUCUGCAACCGGCCAGAUCUGCAUCUGAGUAUCCUAGAAGAUUAAAGUCUCCCCUCUUUGGAUACCAAAGACCGAUGCUUGAAGAUGAAGCAACGUAUUUGAUAAUACGUUUCACGGCAAUGAGAUGUGAUUCUCUAGGAUCUGAUUGAAACCUAGCACAGAUACAAACACUAAACAAAAUAUCAGGUCUAGAAGCAGUAAGAUAAAGAAGUGAACCGAUCAUGCUCCUGUACAGCUUUUGAUCUACUUUCUUCCCUUCUUCAUCCUUGUCUAUCUUCUGAGAACAUGACAUUGGUAUGUCGGUCUUUUUGCACUUUUCCAAUCCAAACCUUUUGACAAGAUCAUUCGCAUAUUUUUCUUGAUGGAUGAAAGUUCCUUCCUUCGUUUGUUUUACUUGGAGUCCAAGAAAGAAUGUUAACUCUCCCAUCAUACUCAUUUCAAAUUCAUCCUGCAUAGACUUAGAAAAUUUCUUGCAAAGACUUUCAUUAGAGGAUCCAAAAAUAAUGUCAUCAACAUAUAUUUGAACAAGUAAAAAGUUUUUGUUUUCCUUUUUGAUAAACAAAGUAGUAUCUACUUUACCUUUGACAAAACCAUUCUGUAAUAAAAACUUACUUAGUCUGUCGUACCAAGCUCGAGGUGCUUGCUUUAGACCAUACAGAGCCUUUUUCAGUCUGAAGACUGAGUCUGGCUUCUUUGGGUCUUCAAAUCCAGGCGGUUGUUCCACAUAAACUUCCUCAUGGAUAAAUCCAUUUAGGAAAGCACUUUUGACGUCCAUUUGGAAUAAUCUGAAAUUUUUGUAACAAGCAAACGCAAGUAAUAGACGAAUAGCUUCUAACCUUGCAACUGGUGCGUAAGUCUCGUCAUAGUCUAUUCCUUCUUCUUGCGUAUAUCCUUUGGCCACGAGUCUUGCUUUGUUUCGUACGACUUUUCCUUUUUCGUUCAUCUUGUUCCUGAAUACCCAUUUGGUUCCAAUAACGGAUUUACCUUUUGGUUUAGAUGUCAAUUCCCAGACAUCAUUGAUGUUGAACUGUCUGAGCUCUUCUUGCAUAGCUUCGAUCCAGCUUUCAUCAGAUAAAGCUUCUUCUAUGCUUUUUGGUUCAAUUUCAGAGAUGAGAGCCACAGCACUAGAUUCUUCAUGCCUUUUUGAUCUGGUGCGGAUUCCUUCAUUAAGUUCACCAAUAAUAAGAUCUUUGGGAUGCCUGGAUUUGUGCUUCCAGUUACCAGGUUGAUGAUCUCUUUCUUUAUUUGAUUCUCCAUGAGCGUCUUGAUGAUGGACUUCCAGAAUCUGAGAUGCUUCUUGAGAUGUAGACAUUUGAAGAUCUAGAGCGGAUUCAGUCUCCUCGUACUGAGUCUGGCUGGAUUCAUCUUGCACUGAGUCUUGGAAUUUGACAUUCAUUGAUUCUUCCACAGACUGGCUUUUUUUUUGUUGUAGACUCUGUAGGCUUUGCUUGAUGUAGAAUAUCCAAGGAAGAUGCCUUCAUCUGAUCUUUCUUCAAACUUACCAACUCGAUCAUUUGCAUUUUUCAAAAUAAAGCAUUUGCAACCGAACACAUGAAAGUAUGAAACAAUAGGCUUCUUACCUUUGAACAAUUCAUAGGGGGUUUUAUCAAGAAUAGGUCUUAGAAAGACUCUGUUUAUAAUAUAGCAAGCAGUUGAAACAGCUUCAGCCCAAAAUCGUGAAGAAAUUUUACUUUCAAUUAAAAGUGUUCUAGCCAUUUCUUGAAGAGAUCUAUUCUUUCUUUCCACAACUCCAUUUUGCUCUGGAGUAUACGGAGAGGAAAACAUGUGAUUAACACCAGAUUUAUCACAGAAUCUCGUAAAAUCUUGAUUUUCAAAUUCACUUCCAUGAUCUGUUCUUAUACUCGAAAUAGCACAUCCUUUUUCAUUUUGAACCUUUUUAGCAAACUUUUCAAAGUACGAAAAGGUUUCUGAUUUAUUUGCAAGAAAAUAUACCCAGGUAAAACGAGAAUAAUCAUCUACAAUUACUAGACAAUAUUUCUUACCUCCAAUGCUCUGGGUUCUUGUUGGUCCGAAGAGAUCCAUAUGAAGCAAUUGCAGUACAUGAUUAGUAGAUACAUGAUUUAUUUGCUUAAAUGAAUUUCUUACUUGCUUUCCCAGAAUGCAUGGAGUGCAUAAGUCAGACUUUUGGUAUGGCAAUUUAGGUAGACCUCGAACAAGCUGCUUUGAAGAGAUUUUGGCUAAUUGCUUCUUGUUGAUAUGGCCAAGUUUUCUGUGCCAUAGAACUGCUUCAUCUUGAAUUGAGAUUAAGCAUUGUUCUUCAUUUGGCUUUACAUCAAGGAGGUAGAUGUUUCCAUGCCUUCGACCCAUAAAAGACUGAGUCGAAUCUUUGCUAAUUCCAGAACAUAUGCCUUCUUGAAAGAAGAUCUUGUAACCAGUAUCACACAAUUGGCUAAUGCUGAGUAGAUUGUAGUUGAGUCCUUCCACUAGAGAAACAUUGCUUAUUGUGAGAUUUCCAAUUUUCACAGUUCCGAAUCCCACAAUACUUCCUUUGCUAUUUCCUCCGAAUGAAACUUUUCCACCAUUUACUUUAAUAAGCUUUAUGAAACAAUUUGAGUCUCCUGUCAUGUGUCUUGAGCAUCCGCUGUCAAGAUACCACUUUACCUUCUUUUUGACAGAGACCUGCAUUCAAAAGAGAGUCUCAAGCUUUCUUUGGUACCCAAAUUUUCUUGGGUCCUUUGGUGUUAGUAGGAUGAGCAUUAUUAGGCCAUACUCUCUUAACAGGCUUCCAAACCAUAGGACACUCUUUUUCAAAAUGAUCCUGACUGUUACACUUAGAACACCUUAAAGCAUUUCGACCUACAGGCUUUACAAAAACUCUUUUGAAAAGAUUUUUAUAAGCCUCUCUCGAUGGUCUUUUCUUAAUUCUUUCUUUUACUUUCGGAAAAUCAAUCAAAGGGAUUAUUUCAGCUGUCAUACCUAGACCCGACCUAUUGAAGUAAGGUCUUUGGAUUGAAAGGACUUUUUCAAGUUUUUCGGAUCCUAUUGAAAAUUUCUUUGAAAUAUUUGAUAAAUCAGUUUUUAAGAAAGCAUUUUCUUUUGAAAGAUUUUCUUCACUCUCUUUAAGAGUAGAAACAUUCAAGUCUAAAUUUUUUACCUUUUCUUCUAAAAUGUUUUCCUUUUGUUUUAAAACUAUGUUUUCCUUUUUAAGUUCGGAAAUCUUUUUAAGAGAAGUCUUAAGACUAAAACAUAACUCAUCAAUAUAUUUAGAGACUUUGACAGGAAUUUUAUAAUCACUUACUUCAAAUUCACUGUCCGAGUCUAAUCCAGAGUCUGAGUCUGAUUGCGCCAUUAGACACAGGUUGGCAUAUUCCUCAUCACUCUCUUCACACUCUGUAUCGCUCCAGGUUUCGGCUUUAAGAGCUUUUCGAGAUUUCUCAGCUUUUCCUCUUUUCUUUUUCAGAAGAGGACAGUUGGGUCUGAUGUGUCCCUUCUUUUUACAUUCGAAGCAAACUACAUCUUUGUUUGGUUCCUCAACAUCAACAGACUUGGUCUGUUGUCUCUGAAAACUUUGUUUCUUUGGGAUGAACCUUCUGCCUUUUCUAUUCAGUUUUCUGAAUCUUCUUAUCAUGAGGGCGAGCUCCUCAUCAUCCAUAUCAUCUUCAGAAUCUGCAUCAUCAGAAUCAUCAUUUGAUUUUAGUGCAAUAGAUUUCUUACCUCUUGGAUCUUCGUCUUCAUUAAUUCGUUCCACUUCGUAAGACUGAAGAGUUCCAAUCAGUUCAUCUACAGAUAAUGGCAUGAUUCUUUGCGUCUCUCUUAUUGAAGUCUUUAUAUGAUUCCAAUCCUUGGAGAGUCCACGUAGAAGCUUGUUCACCUUCAUGGGAUCAGAAAUUUUUUGUCCUUGGUUCUCAAGACCAUUGACAAUAUCUGUAAAACGACUAAACAUGUCAGUUAUAGAUUCUCCUUGUUUCAUUUUGAAGGAUUCAUAUUGACCAAGAAGAAUGUUAAUUCUGGUCUCCUUCACUCGAUCUGUCCCUUCAUAAGUGAUAUGUAACCUGUCCCAGACUUCUUUUGCUGUAACACAAGAAGAUAUUCUGUUAUAUUCAAUUGGUGACAAAGCACAAUAUAAAGAAUAAAUUGCUUUAGCAUCGAGUGCUUGUCUCUUGUUUAUUUCUUCUUGAGACAUUCCGCUGGCUUCAACAGUUUCUUUCCCUCUUUCAGAGAUUGAUGCAGCAGUAGGAGUGAUUCCUCUUUCCACAACGUCCCAUUCCAGAGGAUCCUUUGAUCGUAGGAAAGCUUUCAUCUUGUUCUUCCAGAUGUUGUAAUCCUUUCCAUCGAAGUAGGGAGGUCUGGUAUUGCUUUGCCCCUCCAUCAGCCCCGGUGCUAGCAUACUAGCCAUGGAUCUUUUACUCUGAAGUAAAACACUUCAAACAAAGUAAGAACACGAGCUCUGAUACCAAUUGAAAUAGCUAGUACGAGUACCUAGAGGGGGGUGAAUAGGUAUACAAAAAUUUCUCGAAGUUUGCACGAUAUCAAUUAGAGUAAUUGCAAUAGUUAAAAAUUCAAUCGCAAGACUGAGUAAGGGAAAGAGAGAAUUGAACACUCGGUUUAUAGUGGUUCGGCUUGAUUCAAGCCUACGUCCACUCUUCUGCACUGACAGCCGAUUGGCUGGAUUCCACUAUGAUCAAAGAGUUGUUACAGUGUUGAUCUUCCUUGAUUUCUAGGUGUAGAUGAUCUACCGCACUCACUCAAGGCGUCACCAAGUAUAAACACUCUCUGUAUACAAUUUUGCUCAGUCUCAACUAACAAUCAAGGAUCUUCAGACUCUGGAAUUUUUCUAUCGAUCACACACUUAAAACAACUAGAACGUCUUCCUUUUAUACUCCUUCAUGCCAUCAUAGCCGUUGGCACUUACCAAAGGAAUUCCUCCAAUCUACCCGUUGGACGGAAUCAAUCAAGAAGAUCAUCCGAGCUAUUUAAGGAAUCUGAUGAUAGCUCAUCAAUCCUGUUCGCCCAUACAAUCAGGAUCUCGGUUUCCAAGAAUAGAAUAAUCCAAGAUUAUUUCGUCGACCAUCGGAUCUUCAAUCGAUCUUAGAUAAGAAUUAAAGAAUCCGAAAUGAUUAUCCAACCAAAGAAUCUAUUCCAGAGGAUAGGAUCGAAUCCUCAACCAUAAACCUCGGCUUUGGAUUUCCUUCAACACUGGAUUAGAAAGACUGUCAGUGAGAAUAAAGUCUUGAGUCCUGAGUCUUAAGACUUGAGACUUGAGACUUAAGUCUUGAGUCUUGAGUCUUGAGUCUUGAGACUUAAGUCUUGAGUCUUGAGUCUUGGGUCUCGAGAGAACAAAGUCUUCAGACUUUAAACUGACGGUCUCCAAACAUGCAGACUUUAGACUGAAAGAAACGUUUUGUCAGCUUCAAAAUAUUCUGGAAAGAUUUCUCCAACAGCGCCGAGUGGGGCCGUGAUGCCACUGAUUUAAAUUUGCCGAGUAAGGCCGUAGUUGAGAGCAAUGAUUGAUUUGCUAGAAUGACAUGUAAUCGGCCGAGUCGAUUGAUCGCUGAGACGAUCCAAGUGGUUGAAUUGUUUGAUAAUGCGAUUGUGCCAUGGUUGUUUGGUUAUCAUAAUUGCACGUGGUUGGUUUAUAUAAAUUGUGCUAUCCUGCAGAUAAAGGCUGAAGCGAGGUAAGUCCUCUGUGUGAUGUGGCUAGGCCACCCGGGGCGUAUUUUCUUUCUAAUAGGGGUUUAGGGCGUUGAACUUGCUGAGACAUCGUCUCAUCCCGGUUGUGGGAUUAAAAUUUCAGGUCAUCGGUGGACGGAGUGGCCAGAUAGCUUUGGUUGGCCUUGAGGAGUUGCAGAGGUGAAGUCAUAAGGGUUGGAGAGCGUGUCCUGCUAGUUGGUUGUAGGAUAGUUCCCAUGUUGUCGAGCUGGUCUAUUUUGUAGAAAGUCAAGUGUUGUAUUUAAACCCUUUGUGUUUGUAAAUGGGUGUUUGGUAUUGUGAUUGAUUGCCUGCUUUUCUAUCCCAAGUUAAAUGUUGUCAGGAGAUUUGUUUCACUUUCGCAUGCGUAAAGAUAAUGAAUGGGUCGGCGACAUUUCCUGGGAUGUCGCAUUUUUGAUCGACCGUGGUGGGAUGUGCGCGCGCUCGGGGUUCGGGGCGUGACAUACAAUGUCUUGCAACUCUAGACUUGUACACCAAGUAAAUCCGAGAGAAACGAAAUCUUGAAAAAAUAAAUGCAAAAAUCCUCAGAUCUAAACUAAAUUGGAAUAUAAACCUCCCCAAAUUGGGAGAGAGAAGCUUUUAGAUUUAGAUUAGAUUAGAAGAGAAAAGCCCCUCAAAUGAGAAGGAAACAAGAAAAAAAAAAAACCAAAUCAAUCAAAGAAAAAGGGAGCGAAGAGAGAUCUAGCUCAAGCCCUUCCCUCCAUAGAGGUUGAAGAAGAAAGUUGCAUGGAGAUGACUGGGAGAGGAGAAGAGGAGGCCGGCAGCUAGGGCUUGAUACAAUCUCAUAUUAGGCCUUAAUUAAAUGGUGAUAUAAGUAUGUGGUGACCUAUAGGAUAAGCAAUUACUUUUAAUUUGAGUGGUUCAAACUUUAGAAUUUAUUGUCCCAUCUUUACAGUUGGUGUACUCAUUCAAUUAGGCUUGCCGCUGGGUUGAACAGAAUAUUUGAUAAUAAAACUUGCACCUUUCGGAGUAAUUUUUUUGUUAGUUUUUUUUUCUCAUUUUUAUUAAUUGGAAAAUGAUAAGAAAAAUCAGAAAAUAUCAAUUCACUAGGGAAACUACUUCCCAUGUGGCAUUUUCAGUUUCGGAUUUAUAGGAAAAAAGAGUGGUUCGUAGGAGGAAUUGUCAUGGAAGUUUGCAAUCAAUUAACCUGUCCCAUGCUACCGUCAUCAAAAUCUUUUGGAGCCAAUUCACAUUGUUAUUACUAAAUAUUUUUCUGCCAUUCAGCAAAAGAGAUCGUUCAUGUAUCGCGGAGGAAUUUCUUUUUGGGCUUUCGAAGAGGAAUGGCCAAAAUAGUUGAGUGGGAAUAGGGGCACUGCAGAGCAGUUUCUUCGGGAUUUCCUAGUACAUGAAGAAAUUUCCUUGAGUUUUCCAAGAGAACCGGAAAGGAGGUUAUGACACAGACUACUGUACGAACGGUCCCCCCUUGGACGGUUGGUGAUGCUUUCCUGAUUCUUCGCAGCGAUGAACCGGUGCGGUCUCUCCCUACCUCCGGUUUGAGUGCGCGCCUUUCUGGAUUCAACUGCAUUGUCAAUGCAGCAUGAGAUUUCGGUGUAACUUCUCAAUAUUUAUGGAGCCACUAUCCUUGUUGAUUUCGAUGGGGAUGUUUGCAUGGUGGAUUAAGAGCACAUUGAAUUUUCUCCGAGCAAAAGCUAUGAUCAAAGUGAACGCCAAAAUUAACCACAAUAUAUAUAUAUAUAUAUAUAUAUAUAUAUAUCAUAAAUUUGUUGUACGAAUAUCAAUUCAACCUUAGCAAGAAAAAAAAUUUGCCUAAUCAAAAAAAAAAUUCAAUUCAAUAUUAAAGCUUUCAAUUUGAUUAAUCUAGCUUUAAUGUAGUCAUUCCGGCCAAAGGUGAUGUGGAUGAUAGCCAUCCUACGUAACAUAAUCAGCACUAUUGUAGAUAAUUUUUACAACUUUUUUAAUGAUUUUUACGGAUUUUAUUUUUUCUUUCUUGUUUUAUUUUCCCUUUUACUUCUUUUAUUUUCUUUCUCCAUUUUAUCAAACUCUAACCCGGUAACCCUCGCCAGCCACUAGGUGAGGAGUGUGAAGCCCUUGGUUGCCCAUGCCACGUAGGAAAGCGGUAUCCAUGUCAAUAGUUGCCGACCAAAUUGACGGAAUAGAUAUACUAAUAAAUUGCCAAAAGUUUAGAACAUAAUUAGUCAAAUUAAAAUAUUUAAAACUGAAUUGACCGUGUACAAUAGGUUUAUGAUAAUUAUCCCCAAUUAUAACUAUUGGGGGUUCCAAGAAAUCUUUUUGAUCCUUAUUUUUUUGUGGAUGGAAAUGUGAUUGGUAUAAGCAAUCAAAAUGAUAUAGAAUAUAUCCACAUAUCUAUUCCCACGUAUGUGGAUAUAUUCAAACGUAUUUAGGCAAUUAGGAACAGCUCCUUCUGGAUCUCGCACCAGAUACCCAAGUAACUCAUGCACACGGGGCAUGAAUCAUGAUUACUAUUUUGCAGUGAGAGCUGGUGUUUUGCCUGAUCACUUCUCUCCAUUUAUCUCUCGAUCUACAUGCUUCUUUGGCAGACCUUUCAGCAAAGAAAUCAACAUACAUGAUCAAGGAAGGGAUUCUCAUCACAAAGCUAAUGUAUUAAUCAUGAGGCAUACCUUGUGCAUCAGCUUGAAAGCAUCAUGCAUGAUCGUCCUUACAAAUUCAACAUGCUACUUUCACACAUCAAUUAGCCUCUGCUAAAGAAAAAGGAAAAGCAAAAAGCUUUGGGCCCAUUUUCAUCUCCAUGGGUCUUCGAACUACACCUGAGCCUUUCCAGGGACAAGGGGAAAAAAAACCAGGAUUUUAAUUUUAAGGGUUCUUGGUGAGUUGGGCUUUAGUGAUCGUCGUUGGCACAUCUUUUUUUAGGGUCAAAUUCAUCGUUGUCACUUCAAUUGGCAAACUGUCUCCGCAGUCUCUCUUUCGCUUUUGAUAAAUGGCUCGUGCCCUUACCCUUUCAAACCUUUCCGUGGUCUUCUAUAAGGUGGUCUCCCAUAUGAUCUGUUUUUAUCCAGUGGCCGAGGCUCUUUUUUCUUCUUCUUCUUCUUCUUCUUUGAUUUUUUUUUUUUUUUAUGAUCAAAAAACUGCCGGAGAUCACCCUCUGGGGAUCACACAACCCUCCAGUGCUCGGUAGCACCAAUGGAGUCUCGCUGUAAGCCGUUAUUUAGACGUAAAUCCUCGAGAGGUUGGCUCAGUAAAUCACCCCUAUGACCCCCACUUAAGUCACAAGUAUCUAGAGAUUCGAACUUGUUCCCUCAGCGAUGAGGUAGUAAAGCCCAACCAUCAUGGCUACCUACAAAUGAGUCCCUUACAGCUUCUUUUAUAUAUAUGCAGUCGUUUAAUGUCCUCAGAGGCAUAUCCAUAUCUUUUUGUCUGCAGAUGACUUGCUAUUUUGUUUAUAGCCUACUAGUAGGGCCAUUAACAUUGUCUAAAGCAACAUUACUAUGGCCUCGCAAUGAAGUUACCAAUUUCAUAAUAGAUGAGCUGUUUUUCAACAAUUCACAACGAUCCAAUGUCUAUGAUGGUGUUGAAUUACUGGAGCCAACAGGAGAAUAAAAUUAAGGAUAGGAGGUUGGUCGCCUCUAGAAUCACAUUCAAAUAUGUAAAAGAAGAAGGAAGAAGAAAAAAGAGUCUGAUGAAGUCAGUGUGGAGCCCAGUGUGCACACAUGGCAACUAAUGAAUGGACUACUGUAAAUCCUAUAUGAUAAUACUCGAGCACUCAAUAUUUUCUCAAUCGGAGAGUAGAGACUGUCCUCCCACAAUGGAUAAUUAUGGAAAAGUUCCGAGUAAGUUUGCAACAAAUUUUCAUAAAUGGAACACUUGAAUUUCCUAAUGACCACAGUCACGAUCAUGACCAAUGGAAAAUGGAGAACUUUGGAUGGAACUCGGUAGUUCUGUCAAUUUUCCUUCUUUGCUUGUUGAUAUCUCAAUGAUUUGUAGCCAAUAUUUUCCGACAUUGCAAACAUGAAACAACGUGACGUCACAAAUUAAAUCAGCUGCAGAGCUUGCUAAGUUCUUCUUGCUACAACUAUACCGAAUAUAAUUUAUCAAUUUGCUAACCAACCUUCUCGACAUCGUGGUCCUUUUCGCUGUUAUUGGCAAAGGAAAAGGGUAUCCUAUUGCUUAACCCGCAAAGAGAGCCACGUAAAUUCAUACUAUUUCGCUUGGAUUGAAAUUUGCGAUUCGAUGGAUGAAAGGAAAACCAUAAGGUAAAAGAGAAACGGGGUUGUGAUAGCACAGCAUCAUCCCAUGUCUCAUUUAGAAUUUCUGACGUAAAGUGAAAAAUUAGUGGACUUGUGGAAAAGAAACUCAGUCUCUUACAUUUUGAAUAAUCCUCCGAUCCAUGUAAAUGGGGGAAGAAGGAAAAGAAAAAAAAGAAAAGAACAAAGUUAUGUGUGCUCCGCUUGUCGUCUUCUUCUCCUCCUCCUUUUUUUUUACUUUUUUUUUUUUUGUGGAUUGAAUAGAGGAGGUUUGCCAUGGUUCAGUUUCUUUGCUUUGACAUCAACUACCUAUUUGAUAUUUUUCAUAUUGCUGUGUUAUUCAAAUACCAAGCUGCGAGCCAUUCUCCUAAAUUUUUUUGUCCUUAUCACUCAAUUCAUAAGGAAGCAAAUUGCUCUUCCAGAUUGCUUUUGUUAAUGGUUCUAACAGAGGAGGCUUGUUUCUCUGUUCGUGGAAUAGGUGAAGAACUUCAUAACUAUGGCAGGUAUCCACGCUGAAUUGCAUCUAUACCGUUUUGUGGAGUAAGUACUGCAUUCCUUUCCCGUUUGAUCCAUUCCUUUCACCAAUGAUUAGCAGAGAGAAGGAAGCUUGUUAUGUUUGUGAUCUCAUCAGAGAGAAAGUUAAAUAUCCUUUCACAAAAUGCUCUUGGUAAGUUGAUAUAUUUGAUGAAGAGAUAAUCUGUUUAGCUAUUCUAGAGUAGCCCUCUCUGGUAGAAUCGUACAUGACAAAGGCAAGAAGAAAUUGUCUUCUCAAGUCUUUCCCCUAUUUAUUUCCAAAUAUCACAAAUUGCAUUUGUAGCGUGGUUUUAGAUUGAUUUGGCAUUAGGAUGCACCAUUCUCUAGUGGUCUCUUGGUUGAGGUCAGAGGGGGAUUAGAGUUUGCUUAUAUCAUUGCAGUUUGAUUUUUUUGUCAUCUUUUGCAGUCUGGUAUCUUCUGCGUUCUUGUGGACUAUUUGAUCGGGCUACAAGGGGUCUCCUCUGACUAUGUGCAGAUUUUGCUCGGUCUUCGUAGUUAUUUUCUAAUUUACAUUACCAUUUUGCUAUAUCCAGGCGCCUUUUUCUGCAGCAUCAACAACUAGCUUCUCAACAUGUCCACAUGUAGAAAUACUGCACCAAACUAUUGGAGUCUCUUCGUUAAUACUUCACUAUGUAACUGCGGCUUCUUCUUUUGUUCGGGAACCUUCACACCAUCACAGGAGCACUUGGCACCCGCUGGUUAUGUGAAGAUUCUGACUGUGAGCACGAUUCUGUGUUAAGAGAGCAUAUAUUUAGUGAUAUUGCUAGUACGAGUACCUAGAGGGGGGGUGAAUAGGUUUAUAAAAAUUUUCUUGAAGAUUGCACAAUACUUAGACAGAUGAAGGAUUUGCAAUAAUAAAAAAUCAAUCGUAAAACUGAGUAAAGGAAAGAGAGAAUUAAACACGCGGUUUAUAGUGGUUCGGCUUGAUUCAAGCCUACGUCCACUCUUCUGCACUGACAGCCGAUUGGCUGGAUUCCACUAUGAACAAAGAGAUGUUACAGUGUUGAUCUUCCUUGAUUUCUAGAUGUAGAUGAUCUACUACACUCGCUCAAGGUGUCACCAAGUAUAAACACUCUCUGUGUAUACAAUUUGCUCGAACUGUAUCGACUAACAAUCAAGGUUCUUCAGACUCUGGAAUUUUUCUAUCAAUCACACACUUAAAACAACUAGAACGUCUUCUUUUUAUACUCCUUUAUGCCAUCAUAGCCGUUGGCACUUACCAAAGGAAUUCCUCCAAUCUACCCGUUGGACGGAAUCAAUUAAGAAGAUCAUCCGAGCUAUUUAAGGAAUCUGAUGAUAGCCCAUCAAUCCUGUUCGCCCAUACAAUCAGGAUCUUGGUUUCCAAGAAUAGAACAUUCCAAGAAUGUUUCAUCGAUCAUCGGAUCUUCAAUUGAUCUUAGAUAAGAAUCAAAGAAUCUGAAAUGAUUAUCCAACCAAGGGAUCUUUUCCAGAAGAUAGGAUCGAAUCCUCAACCAUAUACUUCGGCUUUGGAUUUCCUUCGUCACUGGAUUAGAAAGACUGUCAGUGAGAAUAGUCUUGAGUCUUGAGUCUUGAGUCUUGAGUCUUGAGAUUACAAAGUCUUGAGACUUUAAACUGUCGAUAUCCAGACUAGACUAAUAGAAAUGUUUUGUAAGCUUCAAAAUAUUUUGGAAAGAUUUCUCCAACAAUCUCCCCCUUUUUGAUGGUGACAAAACUUUCUUGUAGAUUUGAACAACUUUGACCUGCAAAAACAUUUCUCAAGCAAUAUGACUAACUCAUAAAGAUUAAUAAAACAACCAGACUCUGCAUCCACAGCAAAUUGGUUAGUCUUUCAUGAGUAAUACCAUGUAACAAUACUUGAUAUAAAUGCAACCAGUCAAGCAUCAAAAUCCACAGCCAAUUCAGUCAAAUUUAAAUUCACACCCAAGUUCAAGUUCUCAAGUCAUACUCAAAAAUAAACAUAACCACAAAAGUCAAAGUUUGUUUUAAAAUUUGUUGGUUCAAAUUGGUUCUCCCCCUUUUUGUCAUCAUUAAAAAGGGUGAGAAAUGAGUCAUGUCUGCUUGGGAAUGCGCACGAUCUGGAAAUCUCCCAUUGACUGGACUACGCCUUCUAGCCUCUUCAAGUCCUCCCUUAGAUGAGCUACCUCCUCUCCUUUGGCAUUGGCUUGAAGUUGCAGAGCGAGGUCUUUCAUCUUGUCCUCCAGGGUGACUGAAGAUGCUUGUCCAGCAUUCUUCAUGGCUUGAAUUUCACAAUCCAGAGCAUAUAUCUGGCCACGCAUUUCCAGAAGAAUAUCCAUGAUGCGACGAAAAUCUGCAGAAUUGUCCGUCUAUGUACUGGCAUGAGCUUUCUCAGAUGGAGUAAAUGUAGACGAUGGCACUUCUGUAUAGUCUUGCAGAUUUGGUGUCAACGUAUCACCUUCUUCAGGCAAUUGAGAAGCCUGAAAUUCUUCUGGGUCUGCUGGAGAUUGUCUUGGACCUUCAUUAUCGGCAGCAUGAGGUGUGGACCUUUCUUGCUCGCCAACUCCUCCUGUCUCUAGGACAUCCAAAGGGGAAGAGUGAUGAUCAUGCUCUUGAUUUCCCUUCUCUCUAGAUUCAGCAGCAGACUUUUCUUUCUCUUCUUCAGCUUCUUUCUCCUUCUUUCUCUGCUCUUCUUCUUCUUUGUUCUUGGUUUGCUCUUCUUCUUCUCUCUGUUUCUUCUGAAGUUCUGUCGGCUGAGACACAGAACGUCUGGUUCUUGUCAGUGCAUGGAUAGUAGGAUCUUCAUCCUCUUCAUCUUCAUCCUCCAGGAUGAGAGGUCUUUUCUUCUUUUUUUGAUGGGGCACCAAUGGCCUCCUUUCCUUUUCUCUUUGAAGCAGACUGAACUGGAGAUUUCACUCUGAAUUUCUCCAUUGCCUUGGAAAGUUCUUGCAGGCGCAUCUUCGUUAACAUCUUCAAACCUACCACCAUCUUAUCACACGGUUGAACACAAAGUGUUUGUGGCGGUUCAAUAUUCAUGUGUCUGAAGAUCUUGGUCACCAGACCAGGAUAAGGCAAUUAUCCUUUGUCUUUCAACAUUGCUCUGUACAUAUGGAAGAGAAUAGUGUGCGGGAGAGAGAACUUUCGUCCUGAGUUGAUUGCGUACAUCAACUUUGCUUCAAAAAGAGACACGGAAGUCUUUGACGUAGACUUCGGUCUGAGACAGUUGAUUACAAUCUUAUGAAGCACAAUGUUGAUGGCAUUCAUCCUGGAAUAGGUAACUUUCCUCUCUGCGUCCCUAUCUUUGACAAGUUCCAGAGUAGUACGAGUAGGUGAGACUUUGAUUGGUAGAUAACGUCCUCGUUCAACUCCAACUAUGUCCGCCAACAUAUUCACAUCUACCACGUAGACUUGGUCUCGUACACUGAAUGAAAUUCUAUUCACAUCCAGAAAGCUAAGAUUUGAAUAGAAAUAAGCGGUCAGAUGAGCAUACCCGUCCUUAGAGUCAGAGCAAAAAUUCUCAAGUUGAAACAAAUUCAACUUUUCUCUUAAGUUCAUGUUGAUGGCGUCCAGGAAGUCAAAAUCGACACUUCUAGGGUUUAUCACCCCUCUUUUCAACAGCCUGAAAUACACAUUUUCCUGAUCCUUGGAUUUGAACAAAUCCAUCCGAUUUCCUUUCACCUUUGCUGCCACUCCCAUUUUCGGUUGAAAUUCAAGGAACAUUCUGUCAUCAUCGUUCCCUUCAAUUAAAUUUUGUCCUGGCAUACGAGGAUCACUUGGAAUGUUCGCAAGUGCGUCCUCUGCUUUUCCUUUCGGGGCAACUCCCAAUUCCUCCAUUUUUCUCAGAAAAAGAUACUCAUUCCCAUAAUUUUUGUCCUUAAGAAAGUCAUCUAUAUAUUUCAAUGGAGUACCGGUGCUUUUCAACGCACGAUAAAGUUUAUAGAUACAGGAGGGUUUUUGGACUCUUACUGGGUCAGCAUCCUCGAUUAUCUCUUCUUCCAGAUGAUGACUUGCACCUUGUGGGGCAGGAGGCGUUGAAUGACGUGGAUGAGAGCGAAUCAGACCUUGUCGCUGACUUGUUAAGUCUUCUUCCUCAGUGAGAUCGAAGUGAGUCGGUCCCUUCUCCAUUCUUUGUGGUCCCCUGCUUGCGAUUCUUGAUGAUUUCCUCGAAGAAGACAUCUUUCUUUGUCGAUUAGAAGAUUCCUUCACUUGCUUUCCCAAGAAAAAUGACCACUUUCUCGACGACGAACAAGCAGUAGAAACAGUAUCGGGAGGAGAGUGCCUUUUAGGGUUUUGAAGAUUGGGAAAAGAAAAACUGUAUAUAUAUAACUCAGUUUUGAAAAGGGAAGUUCAAUCGGUGCAAGGAAAGUGAACGAACACUUCUUUUCAAAAUCAAUAACUGCCAAAAUUAUUCCUUUUUAAAAAGACAAGUCUUCAAAUUUCACGCGGAUUAUAGAAUAACUGAACGAAAGAUCGUACCUUUUCGAGUUUGGAUAAAAUAACUAAACGAAAAUUCGUACAUUUUAGAUAAAAUACAACUUACAGUCUAUAGCCACGAAUGUCUGAGUCUGAGGAUUUAAAGUCUAAAAGAUUAGAGUCUUAGAGUUGGUGAGUCUCUAGACUUUAACUUCUUCAAGCUUCAAAAUGUUGAGUCUUGAACGGAUAAAGUCGAAUUGAUUUUUCUCCAAAGGCUUUGUGAAUAUAUCCGCUAGUUGAUUCUUUGAAUCAACAAAUUGAAUCGAGAUUUCUCCAUUUUGAAUAUGAUCUCUAAUGAAGUGAUGUCGAAUCUCAAUAUGCUUUGCUCUUGAAUGAAGGAUUGGAUUUUUGGUGAGAUUGAUCGCAUUGGUGUUGUCACAUCUGAUUUCUGUGCAUGAGUCUUCAAUCCCAAAGUCUUGUAGCUAUUGUUUUAUCCAUAGAAUUUGCGAACAGCAGCUUCCAAGAGCUACAUACUAUGCUUCUGUCGUUGAGAGAGCUACAGUGCUUUGCUUCCUCGAAAACCAAGACACUGUCCUGUUUCCAAGCAGUUGACAAGUUCCAGAAGUGCUUUUUCUAUCGACUAUGUAACCGGCCAGAUCUGCAUCUGAGUAUCCUAGAAGAUUAAAGUCUCCCUUCUUGGGAUACCAGAGACCGAUGCUUGAAGAUGAGGCAACGUAUUUGAUAACACGUUUUGCAGCACUGAGAUGGGAUUCUCUAGGAUCUGAUUGAAACCUAGCACAAAUGCAAACACUCAACAAAAUAUCAGGUCUAGAAGCAGUAAGAUAAAGAAGUGAACCGAUCAUGCUCCUGUACAGCUUUUGAUCUAGUUUCUUCCCUUCUUCAUCCUUGUCUAUCUUCUGAGAACAUGACAUUGGUAUGUCGGUCUUUUUGCACUUUUCCAAUCCAAACCUUUUGACAAGAUCAUUCGCAUAUUUUUCUUGAUGAAUAAAAGUUCCUUCCUUCAUUUGUUUCACUUGGAGUCCAAGAAAGAAUGUUAACUCUCCCAUCAUACUCAUUUCAAACUCAUCCUGCAUAGACUUAGAAAAUUUCUUGCAUAGACUUUCAUUAGGUGAUCCAAAAAUAAUAUCGUCCACAUAUAUUUGAACAAGUAAAAAGCUUUUGUUUUCCUUUUUGAUAAACAAAGUAGUAUCUACUUUACCUUUGACAAAACCAUUCUGUAAUAAAAACUUACUUAGUCUGUCGUACCAAGCUCGAGGUGCUUGCUUUAAACCAUACAAUGCCUUUUUCAGUCUGAAGACUGAGUCUGGCUUCUUUGGGUCUUCAAACCCAGGUGGUUGUUCCACAUAAACUUCCUCAUGGAUGAAUCCAUUUAGGAAUGCACUUUUGACGUCCAUUUGGAAUAACCUGAAAUUUUUAUAACAAGCAAACGCAAGUAAUAGACGAAUAGCUUCUAACCUUGCUACUGGAGCGUAAGUCUCAUCAUAGUCUAUUCCUUCUUCUUGCGUAUAUCCUUUGGCCACGAGUCUUGCUUUGUUUCGUACGACUUUUCCUUCUUCAUUCAUCUUGUUCCUAAAUACCCAUUUGGUUCCAAUAACAGUUUUACCUUUUGGUUUAGAUGUCAAUUCCCAGACAUCAUUGAUGUUGAACUGUCUGAGUUCUUCUUGCAUAGCUUCGAUCCAACUUUCAUCAGAUAAAGCUUCUUCUAUGCUUUUUGGUUCAAUUUCAGAAAUGAGAGCCACGGCACUAGAUUCUUCACGCCUUUUUGAUCUGGUGCGGAUUCCUUCAUUGAUUUCGUCAAUAAUGAGAUCUUUGGGAUGACUGGAUUUAUGCUUCCAGUUACUGCUUGAUCUGCCUGGUUGAUGAUCUCUUUCUUUAUUUGAAUCUUCAUGAGUUUCUUGAUGUUGGACUUCCAAAGACUGAGAUGCUUCUUGAGUUGUAAGCGUUGGAAGGUCUGGAGUGGGUUCAGACUCUUCAUACUGAGUCUGGCUGGAUUCAUCUUGCAUUGAAUCUUGGAAUUUGACAUUCAUUGAUUCCUCCACCGACUGGCUUUUCUUAUUAUAGACUCUGUAGGCUUUGCUUGAUGUAGAAUAUCCAAGGAAGAUGCCUUCAUCUGAUCUUUCUUCAAACUUACCAACUCGAUCAUUUGCAUUUUUCAAAAUAAAGCAUUUGCAACCAAACACAUGAAAGUAUGAAAUAAUAGGCUUCUUACCUUUGAACAAUUCAUAGGGGGUUUUUUCUAAAAUAGGUCUUAAAAAGACUCUAUUUAUAAUAUAGCAUGCUGUUGAAACAGCUUCAGCCCAAAAUCGCGAAGAAAUUUUGCUUUCAAUUAAAAGUGUUCUAGCCAUUUCUUGAAGAGAUCUAUUCUUUCUUUCCACAACUCCAUUUUGCUCUGGAGUAUAUGGAGAGGAAAACAUAUGAUUAAAACCAGAUUUAUCACAAAAUUUCGUAAAAUCUUGAUUUUCAAAUUCACUUCCAUGAUCUGUUCUUAUGCUUGAGAUUGCACAUCCUUUUUCAUUUUGAACCUUUUUGGCAAAUUUUUCAAAAUGCGAAAAGGUUUCUGACUUACUUGCAAGGAAAUAUACCCAAGUAAAGCGGGAGUAAUCAUCCACAAUUACCACCGCAAUAUUUCUUACCUCCAAUGCUCUGGGUUCUAGUCGGUCCGAAGAGAUCCAUAUGAAACAACUGUAGUACAUGAUUAGUAGAGACAUGAUUUAUUGGCUUAAAUGAAUUUCUUACCUGCUUUCCCAGAAUGCAUGGAGUGCAUGAAUCAGACUUUUGGUAUGGCAAUUUAGGUAGACCUCAAACAAGCUUCUUUGAUGGGAUUUUGGCUAAUUGCUUCAUGUUGACAUGGCCAAGCUUUCUGUGCCAUAAGACCGCUUCAUCUUGAAUUGAGAUUAGGCAUUGUGCUUCAUUUGGUUUUACAUCAAGGAGGUAGAUAUUUCCAUGCCUUCGACCCAUGAAAGACUGAGUUGAGUCUUUGCUAAUUCCAGAACAUAUGCCUUCUUGAAAGGAGAUCUUGAAACCAGUAUCACACAAUUGGCUAAUGCUUAGCAGAUUGUAGUUGAGUCCUUCCACUAGAGAGACAUUGCUUAUUGUGAGAUUUCCAAUUUUCACAAUUCCAAAUCCCACAAUGCUUCCUUUGUUGUUUCCUCCAAAUGAAACUUUUCCACUAUUCACUUGAACAAGCUUUAUGAAGCAAUUGGAGUCUCCUGUCAUGUGUCUUGAACAUCCGCUGUCAAGAUACCAUUUAACUUUCUUUUUGACAGAGACCUCAAAUUCACUGUCUGAGUCUGAUCCAGAGUCUGAGUCUGAUUGUGCCAUCAGACACAGGUUGGCAUAUUCCUCGUCACUUUCUUUACACUCUGUGUCGCUUCAAGUUUCGGCUUUGAGAGCUUUUCGAGACUUUUCAGCUUUUCCUCUCUUUUUCUUCAGAAGAUGACAAUUGCGUCUGAUGUGUCCCUUUUUCUUACAUUCGAAGCAAACUACAACUUUGUUUGGUUCCUCAUUAUCAACAAACUUGGUUUGCUGUUUCUGAAAACUUUGUUUCUCUGAGUUGAACCUUCUUCCUUUUCUAUUCAGCUUUCUGAACCUUCUAAUCAUAAGAGCAAGCUCUUCAUCGUCCAGAUCUUCUUCAGAAUCUGUAUCAUCAGAAUCAUCAUUAGAUUUUAAUGCAAUGGAUUUCUUGCCUCUUGGAUCUUCGUCUUCAUUAAUUCGUUCCACUUCGUAAGACUGAAGAGUUCCAAUCAGCUCGUCUACAGAUAAUGGCAUAAUUCUUUGCGUCUCUCUUAUUGAAGUCUUUAUAUGAUUCCAAUCCUUGGAGAGUCCACGCAGUAGCUUGUUCACCUUCAUAGGAUCAGAAAUUUUCUGUCCUUGAUUCUCAAGGCCAUUGACAAUAUCUGUAAAACGGCUAAACAUGUCAGUUAUAGAUUCUCCUGGUUUCAUUUUGAAGGAUUCAUAUUGACCAAGGAGAAUGUUAAUUCUGGUCUCCUUCACUCGGUCUGUCCCUUCAUAAGUGAUAUGUAAUCUGUCCCAGACUUCUUUUGCUGUAUCACAAGAAGAUAUUCUGUUAUAUUCAGUUGGUGAUAAAGCACAAUAUAAAGAGUAAAUUGCUUUUGCAUCGAGUGCUUGUCUCUUGUUUAUCUCUUCUUGAGACAUUCCGCUGGUAUCAACAGUUUCUUUCCCUCUUUCGAAUACUGAUGCAACAGUAGGAGUAAUUCCUCUUUCCACCACAUCCCAUUCUAGAGGAUCCUUUGACCGUAGAAAAGCUUUCAUCUUGUUUUUCCAGAUGUUGUAAUCAUUUCCAUCAAAGUAGGGUGGUCUAGUAUUGCUUUGCCCUUCCACCAGCCCUGGUGCUAGCAUACUAGCCAUGGAUCUUUUACUCUGAAGUAAAACACUUCAAAUAAAGUAAGAACACGAGCUCUGAUACCAAUUGAUAUUGCUAGUACGAGUACCUAGAGGGGGUGAAUAGGUUUAUAAAAAUUUUCUUGAAGAUUGCACAAUACUUAGACAGAUGAAGGAUUUGCAAUAAUAAAAAAUCAAUCAUAAAACUGAGUAAAGGAAAGAGAGAAUUUAACACGCGGUUUAUAGUGGUUCGGCUUGAUUCAAGCCUACGUCCACUCUUCUGCACUGACAGCCGAUUGGCUGGAUUCCACUAUGAACAAAGAGAUGUUACAGUGUUGAUCUUCCUUGAUUUCUAGAUGUAGAUGAUCUACUACACUCGCUCAAGGUGUCACCAAGUAUAAACACUCUCUGUGUAUACAAUUUGCUCAAACUGUAUCGACUAACAAUCAAGGUUCUUCAGACUCUGGAAUUUUUCUAUCAAUCACACACUUAAAACAACUAGAACGUCUUCCUUUUAUACUCCUUUAUGCCAUCAUAACCGUUGGCACUUACCAAAGGAAUUCCUUCAAUCUACCCGUUGGACGGAAUCAAUUAAGAAGAUCAUCCGAGCUAUUUAAGGAAUCUGAUGAUAGCCCAUCAAUNNNNNNNNNNNNNNNNNNNNNNNNNNNNNNNNNNNNNNNNNNNNNNNNNNNNNNNNNNNNNNNNNNNNNNNNNNNNNNNNNNNNNNNNNNNNNNNNNNNNGGAUUGAUGGGCUAUCAUCAGAUUCCUUAAAUAGCUCGGAUGAUCUUCUUGAUUGAUUCCGUCCAACGGGUAGAUUGGAGGAAUUCCUUUGGUAAGUGUCAUCGGCUAUGAUGGCAUGAAGGAGUAUAAAAGGAAGACAUUCUAGUUGUUUUAAGUGUGUGAUCGAUAGAAAAAUUCCAGAGUCUGAAGAUCCUUGAUUGUUAGUUGAGACUGAGCGAAAUUGUAUACAGAGAGUGUUUAUACUUGGUGACGCCUUGAGUGAGUGUGGUAGAUCAUCUACACCUAGAAAUCAAGGAAGAUCAACACUGUAACAACUCUUUGAUCAUAGUGGAAUCCAGCCAAUCGGCUGUCAGUGCAGAAGAGUGGACGUAGGCUUGAAUCAAGCCGAACCACUAUAAUCCGAGUGUUCAAUUCUCUCUUUCCCUUACUCAGUCUUGCGAUUGAAUUUUUAACUGUUGCAAAUACUCUAACUGAUAUCGUGCAAGCUUCGAGAAAUUUUUGUAUACCUAUUCACCCCCCUCUAGGUACUCGUACUAGCUAUUUCACUGGUAUCUUCUGCGUUCUUGUGGACUAUUUGAUCGGGCUACAAGGGGUCUCCUCUGACUAUGUGCAGAUUUUGCUCGGUCUUCGUAGUUAUUUUCUAAUUUACAUUACCAUUUUGCUAUAUCCAGGCGCCUUUUUCUGCAACAUCAACAACUAGCUUCUCUACAUGUCCACAUGUAGAAAUACUGCACCAAACUAUUGGAGUCUCUUCGUUAAUACUUCACUAUGUAACUGCGGCUUCUUCUUUUGUUCAGGAACCUUCACACCAUCACAGGAGCACUUGGCACCCGCUGGUUAUGUGAAGAUUCUGACUGUGAGCACGAUUCUGUGUUAAGAGAGCAUAUAUUUAGAUAGGAUGAUUUAUUGUUUAUAUCUUCUUGAGGGUCCUAAUUUCGUACAUUUUACCAUAUUAUCCAAUGAAGAAAUUGUAUAACCAUUCCAAAAUAGGUGUCGCCCACGAUACUCUUCGUAUAAGAUAGGAGCUAUGCAUGUGUUCAUAAUUCCCUGCUUUUAGCUUCAUGUGUUUGAUUUGCCAGUGAUUUUUCUCAAUGCAAUGUUCUUUCAAUUAAGCACGGUGUGAAUUGUUUUUUGUUUCUGAUUGCUAACCAAAAGUUUGUAGAUUUCUCCUAGAAUUAAAACAAUGAACACGUCCAUCACAGAAGAUUUGCUAGUUUGCAGAACCUAGUCCUUAUUAUGGUGAUUUUUUCUUUUUUUUUUGGCACUUUGCACGGUAGGAAUAGAGAACAAGUUGAAACAUUUUCCAAGCCCUAUAUAUGAAUGAUUAACCAUGUUGAAAGUAAUAACAGAGGAUUAGGAAAGCAAUAUCUUUACCGAGCUCUUCCUCUACAAUCUUAUGGUGUAGGAGGUGUAUAUCCACGACAUGGUCUGCAAUUACGUUUGGUACUGAUUAAUGAUUUUCAUUUGAUCACUGCGCAUUCACCUUAGAAAAGUCGAUAAUCUAAGCAAUAUUUCAUUUACAUGAGACAAAUGAACUGAACUGAAUGGACAAGAGAAUAUAUUGUAAAAUGGUAUUGUUGUUGUGGGGUAAAAAUGUCUUAAUAUGCUCUUGCCCAUUAAUCCAAUGGGAAAAAAAGAUGGAUGUGUCUUACCGAUCCAUUUCCUGUAGACUGAGCUUUUACAUCUAGGACUGGAUUGGGCACUUUGGAUGAUGCUGGGAAAGUGAUAUUCAUCAACUUCUUAUUAUAGAUGAAGUCAAAUAUUUGUUUUUAGGAGUUUUUUUUGUCUUUUCUAUCAUAUUUGCUUUUAGGUUAAAAGUGAUAUCUUUAUAUUAGUGAUGACAAGACCCUAGCCGUCAAGACGCUGAAAAAUGAUAUAGAGAGGCAAGAAAAAGAUAGAAGAAAAAAGUGAGUUUUUUUUCUUGAUGAGGGUUUUCAAUCUCUUUGUACCCUGAUCUUAAGAGAAAAUUGUCGUUGUAUUCCAACUUUUUCGAAGUCUAGUGGAUUCGCAGAGUGCCUCUGCGCGGAGACGUAGCCCAGGUUUGAGUGAACUUCGAUAACAAAUUUUCUGGCGUAUUCAUCUGAUUCUAUUCUUUCAUUACUAUAUCAUAUCUAGUGAAUUGUUUGCAAGCGUUAUUUUUGUGGAAUCUGUUGGAGAAAUCUUCUUAAAGUGUUUUGAAGCUGACAAAACGUUUCCAUCAGUCUAGUCUGAAGGUUUGCAAGACUCUGAUAUUUAAAGUCUGAAGACCUCCGGACAGCCAGACUCAAGACUCAAAGUCUAUCGUCAUUGAUAGUCUCUAAUCCGUUGAAGAAAGGUUAUCCAGAACUAGAUGUUUCGUUAAGGAUUCAACCUUAUCAACUUGAGAAGACCUCGUGGCUGGAAAAGACGUAGCGGAAUCCUUUGAUUGAUCGAGAUUGAUUUCGAUGAUUGAAGAUUCGAUGAUUGCCUAAAUAUUCUUGGAAGGUUUUUCUUAUGGAAACCGAGAUCCUGAUUGUAUGGGCGAACAUGAUUUAUGGGUUAUUGACACGUUCCUUUAAUAGCUCAAACAAUCUUCCUAAUUGAUUCCGUCUAACGGGUAGAUUGGAGGAAUUCCUUUGGUAAGUGCUAAUGGGUAUAAUGGCAUAAAGGAGUAUAUAAGGAAGACGUUCUUAGUUGUUCGAGGUGUGCGCGAUAGAAGAAUUCCAAAGUCUGAAGCUUCUUGUUGUUUAGACAAUCACUUUGAGCGAAUACUUGUAUACAAAAGAAAGUCUAUAUUUGUAAGAAACCUUGAGGGGGUGUGGGAGAACAUCUAUACUGUGGAAUCAAGGCAAAGCUGUGCUGUAACUUCUCUUUUGAUCAUAGUGAAAUCCAGCCGGUGGGCUGUUAGUGCGGAAGAGUGGACGUAGGCUUGGAAUAAGCCGAACCACUAUAAAUCCUGUGUUCAAUUUUCUCUUCCUUACUCUCUUUACCUUGAUCGUAUUUCAUUUUGUUAAUCAAUAGAGAAUUUCCUUUCUAUCGAUUGCCAAGAAUCGCUUCCGUAUCUCGAUAAAUUGUUUGUGCACCUAUUCACCCCCCCUCUAGGUGCUUGUACUAGCUAUCUCAGAAUCGACGUGCGAUUUCGUAACACUUCUCUGGAAACCAUCUCCGGAUUUCUCUCACUAGCAUGCAAAGUACCUUACUUGGUGGAUGAUGCAGCUUCACUAAAGAAUGUGGCAACAGGAACGGCUUAAAGUAGCCAUGGGUUCAGGGUUUGUAUCAAAGAAUGUUUAGGAUGUUCGAGGAUCAGCCGCUGCUCCUCUCUGGACAUUAGCAAGCGAUGCAUGUAUUCCAUGCAUGAACACAAAAGAUGAAGCGAAAUGAUUGUUUUUAGCGUGAGUGGGUGAUUAUAUUUUUUUCCUCUGAUUUGGUGAUACAGUCUUGGCCUUGUGUAUCUGAUUAUUUGAUGAUAUUACUCACUAGAUUGACUUGAAAGUUCUAAUAUUACCUAAUCGGAAAUGAAGAAUCUUGCAUCAGCCAUGACUCUUGCUCUUAGUAGAUGUUGAAAAUAUUAUGGUACUUCCUGCAGCUUUGCGCAACUAUGCCAUUAAAGUCGAAGGCAAGUCCCACUUUCAUGGCAACUUCAUCUCCACGCUAGUAAACAUCACAUUCUCUGGCAAAUUAAUUAUCACGUCCAUAACUUACCAACCUCUUACCCAAUCAACUUCUAAAAUUUAGAAGCUGUUAACUUACCAAAAAAUUUGACAUGGGUAAGUUUAUUCAACGUCUGCAACUUAUUAACCUUUAUCCUGUCCACCUGUGAAAUUUGGAAAAAAGUUGGUAAUUUACAGAUCAAUUUGGUUUUUGUAAAUUUUUUACAAUCCGGUCGACUUGCUAACCAGUAACUUGAAUUUGCGAAUUUACAUCAUAAAUUUCUUUAAACGUGGACUGAGGUCAAAGAAUGUCAAGCGAAUUUAUGGAAAUUGAAGUAAUGGCAAUCAAUAGGUAGAAGCAUAUAAAACUCAUUAAUGCUACGAAGAGCAUUUUGUUUAAUUAAAANNNNNNNNNNNNNNNNNNNNNNNNNNNNNNNNNNNNNNNNNNNNNNNNNNNNNNNNNNNNNNNNNNNNNNNNNNNNNNNNNNNNNNNNNNNNNNNNNNNNCCUCGGCAGUUCAACUGCAAUAGCUCAGCACUGAUAAUAUAAUUUAAGUUAACCCGGACGCAGUAGAGAUGUACGUCCUUCCACAUACACGAAAAGUCUCGACUUGUUGACCUCGGUUGCGCUCCAGUCAUCUGGAGCACGACAAAUUCUGCUGGCGCCUCAAUCCAACGGGUCGACGUUGACAGGUUUUGAAUCGGACAGCUGAUGACUGACAAAGCAGAAAGAAGAUUUCCCCGUGCACAAGCUCACGGUACUAUUAAACCAGCCCAGCUAUUAGCAGCUUUCUUAGGGUAUCCCAUGAUAACGGCUUGGCUUUUUUUAGGAGAUCAUCGGGACCUGCCCAGUGUGAACAUGAAGAGAACAGAAACGAAGAAGAAGAGAACAGAGACGAAGGAAUAGAGAAGAAAGAACAGAGAUGAGAGAAAAAUAUGAAGUUUCUGUAUUCAACCAGGAUCGAAGAAAAUUCUCGUCUGAGAGCAUUACAUCUCGUUUUCUCUUCAACUCUAUUUGUAUUACAAGUUAAAACUAAGAACAAACAGACGAACAACAGACUAACAGAAACACCAACAGAAAUUAUUCAGUUACAACUCAAAACUGAAUAUUGAUUCUGCAAUGAACACGUGCUGGUGCGCAGAUCCCAUCAUUGACUUUAUUCCAUUUGUCUUUGUUCACAACAGCAGAACCAAGCUUAUUGUCUUCAAUUCUGACUCAACUCAGCAGGCUGCCUUACUUUAUUUCCUCUGUUUUCAUCAGAACCAAAUUCUCCAAUAGCAGCAGCAUGUGCGUUCAUUAUAUAUCCUAUAACCAGAGCAAUGCCAGACGACCGUCGGGGUCCCAGAAAACACCUGUGAGGUAAUGAAUCCCGAGACAUGCACAUAUAACCCAAGGAACGAUUGCGAGCCCAAUGGUUCUGGUCAACACUACAAACGUACCAGACGCAAAAGCUAGCACCAUCCCCAACAUCGCAAUGUAAAUGCAACCCGCGGCUCUGAUGGUGAAACCUGCCUUUGCACGAACGCUUAACACAGAACUAUCAUAUUGUAAGAACAAUGCCAUGGUGGAGAAAGUGAACGCCAUAGUGUUGGUUAUCACAAAGGUUUUGAAAGCUACCCUGCCAGCAAGAGUCGCCAUUCCUUGGUUGGGUCCGUCAUUGCUAUAACCUCCUGGCAUCGUGAAGGCUGCGGCAAAGGUCGCUGUAGCUAUGAACGCUGCCAUUAGUAGUUCAAGCUCAAUAAUUCUUUUCAAUGACGAAUCGCUUCUUGUGGUUGUAGACGCAGCUGGUUGAUCCUCAAGAAAUUGCUUGUCUAGCCUCUUUUUAAUAUCUUUCACAGCCCACUGUUGAAUAGACGGGAUUCCACUAGGUCCUUUCAAUGCACGAAUAGCUCGAUGUCUUGAGAAAGUCAUCUGAAAAAUAUACAGAAAGAAUCAAUUAACCCGUGGUUUUCCUGGCAAAAUACUUCAAGACCCUCACUUUAUUCGCUCAAAAUCCAUCUGGCCAAGUCCUAAAUUAUUAUUUUUCAAUCAAUUCAUCUCCUUUAGAUGAGGUAGCUGGUAAAUGAAACCAGCAAAUAGAGUUUUUCUGGAGUAAACAAUUACAUCUUGGGCUAUGCCAUAGCUAAAUGAAAUUAUCUAGGAAUUGUUUGAAGCCCUUUUCUCAAAUUGGGCAGAGUGCAGGUUGUCUCUUUUAUCUCAAAACUUAUUUGAAGGGAGGCAGAAAUAAAACAGAAGGAUUUUGGCUGACAUUGUACAAAUCAUUCUGCUUCUCUUAUAUGAAUGGGGCAGAAUAGUUGUUUUUGGAUUGAGGUCCUCUCAAGUUCCGGCUCACUAUACAAGAUAGUGGUUGACAUCUCGGCACAAGGGCCAUUAAACAGGCCGGAUUUAUUCUCCAUUUUUCUUUUAUUUCUUUUUCCCCCUUUACCUUAUCCCCUACAUAAGAAGCUCCCAAUCCUUAGAGUUUUGCAUUGGUUUCAAGAUAAACAGGUCCCACAUUCUGCAUAAUUUUUAAUAAAACAAAAUAUUAGACCUUAAAAUUGCUUUAUACUAUUUUCAUUGUAAGCAAUCUGUUGACUAUCGAUACCAUAUAAAUGUUUUUUUUUAUUAGUUUGUUUGUUUGCACGUGAAAUGAGUAUCAAUUGAGCCGCAGUUUCUUAACGAUAUUGAAGAAAUUACUUUGCGAGUGAACAAAUUGGGCUCUUGUAGUGUGCAAGCAAGCAUACCUUAUCCUGAGCAUAUAUAAUGUCAAGAGCGAUCAAACCAUUUUUAUUUGUGGCAAAGCGGUCCACCCUCUUGUCUAUGGCAAUUAUCCGCGUGCUUUUGUAUUCUCUAAGAUGCACAGACAAAUGCAAAGCCGUGUUUCCAUCAAUGUCUUUUUCGUUGAUAAGAUCCUCCCGGUUUGGCAUCCCUAAUAUGUACUUGACUACCUUUACCUUUCCUCCGAUAACAGCUGCAUGAAGAGCUGUUUGCCUUUUAAAGUUUAUUAUGUCCCAAGCAUCAGGAUAGGAUGUAACAAGCUUGUCAAUGACAUUGAUGUGGCCUUGAAACGCUGCAAUGUGAAGAGCUGAAUCCCCCUCUUUGUCUAACUCAUAUGCAACGGAAGUAUCAUGUUGCAAGAGCAGUUGAACUGCAUCAACUUUGCCAAAGUGAGCGACAUAAUGAAGAGGAGUCCACCCUCUAUUAUUGUCCUUUUCUCUGAUCAGUUCUGGUCUCUUCUCCAAGAUUUUCUUGCAACCUUUGCAAAUACAAUAGGAAUAUGUCAUGAUUUAGAUCGGUUUUAGCAUUUUGACAUUGAUAUCUUAACAUUGCAUUUCAUCCCAUUUAGCUUUCCCCUCCUUUUUCUCUGUACUAGGGAGGAAUAUGUCAUGGUUAUUAUGAAGUUUCUCUAUUGAUCUUGUGUAACACAUGUAGAAUCUAACUACCUUGAAUCUAGCAUAAUGUAGGAAUUCCUGAAGUUUUUCAUUUUGAUAAGUGAAUUUGUCAGAAAUUCGUGAAGUUGACUAAGAAGAAACUUCUUUUCUAUUCAGCAAGGCAUCUGCUCUGUCUAAGGCUAGAAUAAAAGACUAGGGUUUUUUUCACUCUGAUGCCAAUCAUUUUACAGGAAUAUCGUGUCCAGCUAAUUUUAUAAAAAAAUUAAUCUAAACGAGGGCCUAGCACCUUCUACAUUUUCCAAUGGUAAAGUCAUUUUACCCCCCUUUUUCCAAGUCAUCAUUAUUUUUCCCUCGGGGGUUAAAAAAGUUUUGCAUCGAUUUUUUGGAAAUAUAUUGCAAUGUGCCCUAUCAUCAAUUGUAAACUGAAAAGCAAGUAAUCAUAAGGAGAAAAUGACGAAAAAAAAGAGGAAUACCAAAAAAAAAAAAAAAACGAACUGGAUGAGAGAGGAAAGGGAAGACGUUGGGGUAUGAUGGUGAUGGUGGUUGCUACCACUGCCACCACAGGAGACAGGAGGGUUUGAUGAUGGUGGUGCCAGGAGAACAAGAUCCAGAAAAAUGUGAAGAAAGAAAUUAAGUACAAGCGAAAUAUGCACUCCGUGUCACAGUGUUUUUAAUCAUAACGUCCUGUAUGUGGCCGGUCAAAUGUGCUGUCCUUUUUGUUUUUAAUCUUUUCUUUCCCGGCGGGGGUCACUCUCCUUCUACCUCUUUAUCUUUCCAAGCCUCUAGUGUCCCUCUCUAUUCCCUCUUUUCCAUUUUUGGCUUCCGACACGCCAUUGGAGCAAGUAUUGACUCUAGAAGGAGCAUUGAUGGAAGAGAGAUUGGGCCAAAGGUUCCAGAACUUUGAUGAGAAGUCGAGGUAGAGAAGGCGUUGCACUCUAGCUGGCAAAGGAAUUCACGGAAGCAAAGGAAAAAGGGCCACCAAACAACAUUUAUCAUUUGCUAGUUCCUAUAAUCAGAUAACUGAGGAAUCAGCCGCUGAAGCAGCUCGCAAACGCAGAGUUGAACGACCAUGAGGCAGAUCGAACUUGCAGGAGGCUGACUUACCGUCCUCAAACAACACGAUGUCUACAAUUUGAUCACCGGUCGUCCCCUCACUGGAUCUUGGCUCUAGGACUCCUCUCUCAUCCUCUCCGAUUGGCUCUCCAUCGAAAGUCACUUCCUAUUGUUCCCUCUAACUGGCAAGAGCGUCAUCGAGUUCAACCCUGAAUCCGCGGGCAUCCUGGGGUUCACAGCGGCUUGGCUUGGGGGCCAGCCGUGUUGUCCUCAGUGUCGUCGCGCCGACGUCGGUGAGAGAAAAUUGGGAGAGAAAAACAAAACAUGAGACCCGAAAGGCAUGUCUGAAGAAGAAAAAAAAUGGAAAAAAGGAAUAGAGAGGGACACUGUAGGUGGUAAGACGCUAAAGGCCGAAAAGAUACGAAGAAGGAAAGCGGGACCUACGGGGAAAGAAAAAGAGGGACUCCGCAUUUGACCAUAUAAAAAAUUAAACUAAGGAGAGUAAUGCUAAAAGGUGAGUCACAUCGGGGACGAUAUGAUGAAAACACUAUAAUAUUUUUACUAUUAUAUUUACAAAGUACUAGUCUAGAAGGGGGGCAUCGCUGCUACCACCAGCAUUCUCGCCCAAGGGAAGUCUCGCGCUAGGGAGAGAACUUCGGUUACUUCGGUUAUCAUUUGUUCAAGUGGGUUUAGAAUCUUGUGACUGGUAGUUCGAAGUGCACUGCAGCAUGCAGAGCUGUCAGUCCCUCAGGGCCCUUAUGAGAGGCUGGCGACGAGGAAGCACAUAAAAUUAGCUCAUUGAUAUCUGAAAAUCUUUGAUGUAUUGCGAGAUAAAGCGGGGACUCAUCAGCAGCAUUAAUAAUAUCACAUAGGUGAGGAUCUUCUUCAAUAAGUAAUUCCACGAACUCCUUGCAACGUCCUCUUAUUGCAGAGUGCAACAAGGUAUCCUCAUCUGAAUUCGGUAUCCUAAGUAGCUCUUUAUAUGCAUCAGGUUGAUGUAUUUCUUGCCAAAGAAGUAACGAUCUUGAUAGAUCUUGAAGAAAAUCUCGGACGAAAUUUACCUGCCUGAAUUGAGCCGCAAUGUGAAGAACGUUGUUCCCCUUUGGCGUUGUUUGGUGGAAAAGGUCCUCUCCAUUUUCCAAAUUUAUUGUCAUCAGGGAAUGAAAUUCUCCCGACUUUGCAGCCCCAUACACUUCAGGAUGCAUACCCAGUCUCUCUUUCAUUCUCAGGACACGCGAUAGUUGCAAGUGAACUUAUCAAUAUAAGCAAUGAGUUCAAGUAGGAGGAAUUUCUUUGAGUUUUUCAAGAGGAUUGGUGAAAAGGGAAAAUGCUGGAGAGGAAAUUUAGUUGAGCUUCCUAGGAGUACUAAAAUGGAGACAUUUAUAUGCAUAUGGUGGCUCUUCAAUUGUUCCUAUGAAAUCGAAAUAAAUUUAGCAGGUCUAAAGAAUAGUUUCUAAAAAGUCUAAUUGGUGUGCGUUUUGGACUUCCUGAUUUUACAUAAACGAUAAUAAGUGGGGCAACUCUUGUUAGAAUGAAGGAGGACAAUUACAAACCGAAAAUAAUAAUGAUAAAUAAAUUAUAUAAGCAUGAAAUUGAGUUAACGGACUGCUUUUCACUUUUUAUCAAAAUCAGAACAUCCUUCUAGAAGAAUCGGAUAUGAUUUAACUUGUUUAUUAAAGUAAUACUAUUCGUUCACUUUGAGCUGUAAUUUUUUUUUUUUUUUUUAGGACUUGAAUCGGAUCUGAUUUAACUUAUUUAUUAAAGAAAUGAUUUUCGUGGGCCCACUUUUAGCCGUAGUUUUCUUCUUCUUUUUUUAUUUUAUUUGUUCAUCGAAAAGUCCUUUGCUCUUUUUAGUCGGUCCAAGUUCGUCGUAAGCAUGCAUUCUCAUCACGGUGCACAUGAUGGAGCCUACCCAAGCCUGGUCCCACUCGAAGAUUUACAUAUGUAAUUAUUAUGGAGCACGAACUAAGGUAAAAUUCAACCAAUAAAAAACUUAGGUAAAAAUUAGUUGACGACCAAUUUGAGCUCAUCCAAUAAUCACCUCCACUUCUAUGAUCCAUUGGCAAAAGUUGGAGCACAUAAUGAUAUGUUUUCUAUUGUAAUGUUUGCGCAAUAUUCUAUAACAAAUAAAAAUCUAUGAAAAUUUUAUGAUCAUUCAAUGACUAUCUAUCAUUUUUAAUAUGUGGAAGAGGGACAUGACAAAAGCUUAAAUUUAUAUAAAUAAAAAAUAGAAGGCAAGGCCGAAGUUGUUCUACUUUUUUAGCAAGGGCCAGUGAACCUUGUCGAGGUCUUAGUGAGGGCCAACAACCUUUGCAAGUCUGUCUAUGGCCAAGGGCUCGCAGGCCUUCAUCUGCAUCACAAACAGUGGUCUUCAUUGUGAAAUAAUAUGUAGAACUAAAUUCUUAAGACUAUUUUCUAUAUUUGACCUUCAUAGAACAUUAGCCUCAAUUAUGUCUGCGAAUUGGCAAUUAGUGUCCUACCAGAAUCCCAUGGACAUUAUGUGUAUGUAGAUCUGAAUUCUUUGUUAACAGCAAAACUGCAUUGGCAAUGGGUUAUUUUUUCUUUUUUUAACUCAACCCUUUUUAUGUAUGUUGGCCUAGGCUUUGCUCCCACAUUGGUGCCAUGAAUAUUUUUUUAUUAGUUCAUUAGAAAGUGGACUUAUUUUUGUUGAUAGACUCUUUCCACUGUCUCUGACUUUGUAAGAAAUAGGAAACGGCUCAUGGGACUCAUGGACUAUGUCAUUUCUAGAGCAGGUAAUUUCUCAUACGACUAUUGCUUGUUAUUUUUAAUGAUUUGCAUCUGAUGUCCGUGACAAUCUGUUAUGUUCCUUGCCUUCCAAACUGCGGUUGCUUGUGCGGAGGUGUUGACAGUUGCUGGUGAGAUAUAUAGUCUUGUGGUACCUGAAUUGUAUCUAUAAGUCUCCACAAAUGCCUUUGAAAGCUUAAAAAGUGAAAGUUAUAGUAGCCAUUACUUACCUAAAAACAUGGGGUUUAGAUGCUGCAAUGGUCAGCUCUUUAUAAUUAUUCUGUGCCCUUCCAUGUUAUACUCCAGUAAUUCUUGGGUAACAUAACCAGCAUACUAAAUUAAUGUAGUACAUCAACAAAACAUUUAGCUCAAUAAGUGGUGAAUGGAUAAAUGACAAUGCUGUAAUCCAUGUAUUCUUACUAUUGUCUUUGUCCUGUUGCCGUUUACCUAGUUUCUCAUAUUCAUGAUUAGAGUUAUCUGUCUACCAUCAUUGCAACUUACCUGCCUGUCUCAGCAAGCACCGUGAUUGGUCGAGGUGUUGUUGAAUUUCGUGAGGGAGGACCUCUAGUGAGAAAAAGUGCUGCAAUGAGUGAGUUACAAAUUUCCGUGUCAUGCCUUCUUUCUUUUCGAUAUUGAGAUGAAAACAUGCGACGAAUCACUUUAUACCGUUCGGAGAUUUUGUUCCCCUUUUUCCUUUCACAAGUCUUAUAGUAUUCUUCUUUAUUAUAUUACUGACCAACUUUUGAGACACGCACAUAAAAUUCUCUUUCUUGUCUGUUGCUUCCCUAAACAUGUGGUUGAAGUAUAAUACUUUGAGUCUGCAGAGAAAAUGUGAUUCCGCUUUGCAGCAUGACACUUUGCCGAGCCAUGCUACGAUGGUGUAAAUAUCUGCAACUUCUAGGAAUCAAGAAAAGAUAUCAUAAGUGCUAUAACCUUCGUACGGCACUCUUUUUCUCUUUCUUUUUCUUUUAUCAUUUAAAUAUGGCACUCUUUUGAGUACCAUACAAUCACUUGAGUGCUAUAUAACUUUUUAAUCAAUUACUUGAUAGUUAUAAUUUUUUUAAAAACGUUCACUAUAAGCACUAAACUACAUCAAAUUUCUAGUAUUUGAGUGAACGUUUUUAAAAAAUUAUGACACUUAAGUGAUCGAUUAAACAUAAUUUUUUUUAGAAAUAAUGGCAAUUAAGUGAUAGGAAAAAAAAGUUAUAGCACUUAAGCAAACGUCGUAUAAAAAUUAUGAUAUGUAUAGUGUAUUUUAUCCCUAUCUUCUAGUAUAAUCCUAGAGGCGACACUUGAUUGCAGUCAAGGGCCUUUCAAUAGCAAGUCUCUUCCAAGAACAUUGUGCCUUUGCUAGUACUGCUGUGGGCGUAGACUAUGAACCUUGACUACAUUGGCAUAACCCAUCUGAAGCUUCUUCAAUGUGGCUUCAUUUUUUAAGCAAGAUAUCGAGGAAAGAGUAUCAAGAGAGAAGAGGAACAGUAUCUUGGUGAAUGAUUAAGUAGUAAUUAUUGACAGGAAUGAUUUCCAUGCUACAAAAGAUUAAAUUCCUCAUAGAAGAAUGUUGGGUUUUAAGGAUGAUGUAACAAAUCGUCGAUCACAACCCUUUUGAUGUUUGCUUUACAUUUGUGUAAACAAACAUUUGUGUAAACAAUCUCCAAAGGAUCUGUGACACCUUGCUACGCUAAUUUCCAAUCUCCAACCAAUUUGCGAGAUAUUUUGGAGAGUUUGGAUGGGACUUAGUAGUUAUUCAUUUGUCCUUCUUUAAUAGUCAGAAAUCUAAAUGGUUCAUACUAAAUAUUUAUCUACCCUUGAACAUCAAAUAACAUAAUGUCACAAAUUAAAUCAACUGUAGAGCUUGCUAAGUUCUUUCUUGCUAUAACCGUACCUAAUAUAAUUGAUAGAUCUAUUGAUGUUUUGGUCCUUUUUGUUGUUAUCGGCAAAGGAAUAAAGUGUUCUACUACUUAACCGGCAAAGAGAGUUGCUUUAUUUUAUACUCUUUCACUUGAAUUGAAAUUCACAAUUCGUUUGAUGAAAGAAGCACAAAUAGUAAAAGAGAAAGGGGGCUGUCAUAGGACAGUAUCAUAUAAUGUCAUAUUUAGAAAUUCUUAUGAAAAGUGAAAAAAUUAGUGGGCCCACAGAAAAGAAACCCAGUCUCUCCUGUCUUGAAUAAUGACACUUCAGUGCCAAGUAAAGGCAUAAAGAAGGAAAAGAAAACAAUAAUGAAAGAAAAGAAUAAAGUUAUGUGUGCUUUCCAUUUGUGUAUUUUUUUUUUUAAUAAAUGGACAAUAGGGGAGGUUUGUUUCCAUGCUUCUUUUACUUGCCAUAGACACCAACUACCUAUCUGGAAAAUUUCAAACUAUCGUGUCAUUCAAAUAUUUAAGCAACAAAUCAUUCUCCUAAAUUCUUUGAUUCUUAUUACUCAAUUCAUUAGGAAUCUAAAAUACUUCUCCAAAGUACUUUAGUUAGCUGUUUUAACUGACCGUACUUGUUUCUAUCCUGAAUUCGUAAUCUUCCGAUUCGUUAAUUUGGUUACUGCAGUAAAAUCAUUUUGAAUAAGUUGUUGGUUAAAUGCCACAAAGAUGAAGGAGAAUUUUUAUUUUUUAUUUUUUGGAGGGGGUGUGGGGUUGGAGGGAGAAGCCCUGUUGUAUUGUUCACGUUGCCAUGUUAGACGAAAAAAGUUCUGCAUUGGACUCAUUUUUAUAAGAAAAGCCACGUAUUAAUAAAAAUUUCAUAUACAAAACAUAGAAUAUGUUGGAAUUUACAACUAGAAGCACUUGAGUAAUCGUUUUUCCACCGAUAUAACACUUGAGUAAUUACUCGAAAAAUUUCGGCACUAAAAAGAUAUGAUUUUUAGUGUUAUUUUCCUACCAAUGCUCUUUAAAAUAGAGAUUGAUAAGGAUUGGUAAAGUAUUAAAGCUAGAUCAUGGUAGAAUGUCCUAAUGGUUUAGAAAGCAUGCAUUUUUAAUGGUUCCAUUCUUUUGAGAAUUAUUUUCUGCACUCAAACCAAUUCCAAAAAUAAGAAUUCACUUGAGAAGUUGCACGCCCAUAGAUAAAUGAGAAAUUAGGGGAUUGGAAUAUUUUUAACAUUGACAUUGACUUGGACUUAACUGUUCUAUUUUUUAUUUUGGGUCUAUGUCAUUAAAAAUUCGAAACCUAUAUUCACAUAAUAAAUUUAUCCAAACUAGUUUUCGUAUCACAUAAAAACCUUCAACACAUUUUACCCCAAACUAAUUUUUGUCUUAUGAAAAAUCCCAAAACAAAGAUUACCCUCAACGUUUGAUCCUAAACUAUUAAUGGAUGCUAUAUUUGAGUUAGGAUUCCGGCUUGGGGCAAAUAUGUUAUGAGGAACUAGUUCAAGAUUGUUUGCGAGAUGAAAAUAGAGUUUAGGAUAAAUAUAUUAUGAAUUAUCAAUUUGAGAUUUUAAUGGUAAUAAACCUAUUUUUGUUGCAUCUUGUAUGGCCAACAAGAUAGAACAUAGAAGUAUUUGAAACAUGUUCUAAGCCUUAUAGAUGAAAUUUAACCAUGUUGAAUUUAAGGCUGAGGAUUACGAAAUCGAGUUUGCUGAGCUUCCUCCUCUACAAUCUUAUGGUGCAGGAGUUGUAAAUCCAUGACAUGGUCUGCGAUUACAUUGUGCAGUGAUUUAUGAUUGUCGUUUGAUCAUGGAGCACCCAAGUUUGUAAAGUCGGUGAUCUAAUGAAAAUUGCAUUUACACAAGAAAAAUGUAUGUAACAUAACGGAUGAAAGAGCAUAUAAUGAUAUGGUGUCGUCAUUGUAGUGUAGUAUUGUCAUACCAUGCUUUUGCGACUUACUCGAUGCUACCAUUUGCAUCCUUUUUAACCUUUGAUCCAUUGGGAAAAAUAAUAUGAAUGAAUCUAACUGAUGCAUUUCCUGCAAACCAAACUUUACAUCGAGGAUAGGAUUAGAUUGAAGAACUUGGGUGAAGCUAGGAAAGUCAAAUUCAUCGUCUCUGUGUUGACACCUCAUUUGAGUCGAUAGUUUAAGUAUUUAUUCUUGUAAAAGUACCCCCAAAGAAAAAAAGCAAGGGAAUAGCAAAAAGAACUAAAACGAUAAAUAGGCAAACAAAUAAUUAUCAAAUCAACAAAUAAGAAAGGGAUCUAAUAUGGUCUUGGUCUAUUUUCUAUAGCCCCGAUCAGCUGGCACGGCCCAUGUCCAAAUUCGUUGAUCACGAGAGAAAAAAGAAUAGGAGAAAAAUUGCCCCUGGAAGAGAAGCUCCGUUGGAGAAGCUUCCGGAUUCUUCCCCCACCACCGUUGGACGUCGCCGACCUCCUCCGGCCAUCGGACGGUGCUCGCCUCCUCCAGCCGUCGUCGAUCCUCAGUCUCAGGAAGACACUGAUCGGAGAGAAAACCAUAUUUGAGGCACGCAUGCACGCCUGAGAGCAAAACACCCGGGCAAGGACGAUCGAGCAAAGGGGGAAAAGCUUGCGCCCCCUCGGCACGGGUCUUUGGAGUUUCUUUUUCUUCGGUCAUCUUCAUCCACCGGUGAUCAUCACGGUUUACCAUCGCCGGCCAUCAACUCACGUACAAACUUCAUUAGAUCGUCCUUUGGUAAGAGAACUAGAACAGAAGGCGAAGGUUGAAAUCACUCUAGAGGUUUUGGAAGCGUCCAGAAGACACUCUCUUCCAGUGAUUUCUUCUGAAUCCUUUCCUGCCUCUUCGUUGUCAACCGUGUUUUUGGCCGUGAAGACUUGAAGCAAUUCGCGUUUUUCUGAAAACUUCAUUACCGUUGCUCAUCUUCAGCAGCGACGUUUUCUGGAUCCUCCUCGACUGAAUAACCCAAAUGACGUUUAAGGCCCAGACCCCUAAAGUAUAAGUUUGACCCACAUGCGAACCGGGCCCAUCCCGUGUCCCCUUCAGCGAGGCCUGGACGAGGCUGCCCCUCGCCAAAUCCGACUAGGGGCCUUGCCAAGGACCAGCGAGGGAAAAGAGACAAAAAAAUAAAACAAAAUUCGAAAAUAAAUUUAAAAAUUUUAGCAAUGUCAAUAUCAGUGCUAGUCGUAUCAUGUAGGACAGUUAAUGUUUACACCGGUAAUUUCCAACUAAAAUUGAUCCGAUUGACUCAAUUGGUAUAAAGUGAAAAUGUUUAAUUUUAAAUUGAUCCAUUCCUAUGUUUAAGACUAAAUUAAUAUCAAUAUUAUGACUUUUUUUGGUACUUUUCUCGUUUACAGUUUGUAUCAAUGAAUGGUUAGGCUGCUCGAGGGCCACUGCUCCUCUCUUUGCAUUAGCAAGUGAUGAAUAUAUUCCACACACAAACACGAAAGACAAAGUGAAAUAAUUGUUUUUAGCAUGAGUGGGUGAUUGAAUUUUUAUAGGUUGAUAUAGGCAUUUUUGGGCUCGUGUGCCUAAUUAUUGGGUGAUGUUAUUCGCUGGAUUGACUUUGAAAGUGUUGACACCUAAAUUUUUGGGGUUAAUUUUUGCUAAAUAAUGUAUAAAAAAAAGAAGAAAAAAAUCAAAUCACAUGGCAUAUAGUUUAGGCAAGUUUUAUAUUCCAUUAAGAUUUAAGGUAAUAUACACUCGGAUGUGUUUUUGCGCAAAAGGGGAAUUUUUUGGAUAGAAUAUGUGAAAAAUACAAAAGAAAAUAUCACAUGUGGUGCAAUGAUAUAUUCAGAGAAUUGUGCACGAGUGAAAUUGGAAAUAAAAUACGCUUCAAAGAUCUAAAAUUUUCCCCUAUAAAAGGCGUUGCGCACGUACGAACAAGGGGAGGUGGAAUUUCGAAAUUUUUGAGAGCAAUUACAUGAGGAGUUCUUGGGGUUUGGUGAGCAGGGAUUCGAAAGAAAAAUCAAUAAAAGAAUUGUUUUCUUCCGUUUGUCUUCGGUUUGUCUUGAAAAGAAAAAAGUCAAAAAAAGAAAAGUCAUGACUGCGGAAGGGAAACAGUAGAGAGAAAGUACAGCAGAAGAGAGAGAGAGCAGAGAAUAGACGUGAGAGAUUGAGAAAAAAGAAAAGAAGUGACGUGAAAAAAAAAAAAAAAAAAAAGCCCCCCCCCCACGCGACUGUUCAUCUUCCUCGCGGGGGGGUGGAUCUUCGCCGGCGCCAUCAUCGUCCGCUCCCUCCGGCGUCCGACCGCGCCAUCCCCGCUCGCCCGUGCCGGCAUCCGCCCCGACGCUCCACCGCCUCCGAGCAGCAACGCCGCCCCGCCUUAGCCGGUGAUCCGCAGCUAGCCCCCGACGCCGGAGCCAUUCGGCGAUCCGUCUCCACCACGGUCGCACACCUCCGCACGCAGUACCGCCGCGCCACGAUCCGAUGUUGCAGCAACUCAGACGCCCGCGACGCUCGCUCCCGGUGCCGUGACACCGCCGCGCCGAUCCCCGAAACGUUGUGCUACCAUCGCGCCGCUCCCGGUGCCCUCGCCGGAACCCUAGUCGGACAUCUCCCCUCGCCAGACCGGCCACCAGCUUUAUUUUCCUUUUUCUUUUCAGAAAAAAAAGAAAAGAAAAAAAGAAAAAAGCAAAAGAAAUUUAGGUAUUUUCUUUAUCUUAUUUUUGUUUUAUUAUUUUUAUUUUAUUUUAUCUUUUUGGUGUAUUAUCCUCUUAUGUGAAAUUGAUAAUUCCAUGAUGUAAGAUUGCCUUGAAAUUAGUGAUUGUCAGUCCGAUUUUCGCGCCCGAAAUCCGACUCGCAAUCACUUAAAAAAUUGCCAAUCCGAUCUCCCGCUCGAGAUCCGAUUCGUGAUUUAUGUGAAAUUGGCCAACCCGAUCUCAUGCUCGAGAUAUGGUUCGUCAAUUUGGGUAUCAAUAUGGCUUGAUUUGUUGUGAUGUUGCUUAAAUUAAUUUUCUUAAAAAAAAUAAAAAAAUGUAGCUUUAGGGUUUGCAUGUUCAUAAUAGGUAUUUUAUUUCGAAUUUUCAAGAAAAAUAAGAAAAUCAAAUCAAUUAAUUUAGGUUGUUAGUUUUCUUUAAAACUUGGAUUGCAUGUUAAUUAUUAAUUUCGAAAUUUUAAAAAAAAAGGAAAAAAGGAAAAACAUAAAAAAUCAUCAUGCAUAAUUCAUGUAGAAUUAGGGUACAUUUUGCACGUCAUUGCAUAUUAGGAUAGAAAUUUCACUUAAGUUAAUUUAGAUAAUUUCUUAAUUUACUAUAGGUUUAGGUAUUUUAUUAAAUGGAUUGCAUUUUAGGAUUAUCUAGGUUAAGAUAAUAUUUUAGUUUAAAUUAGGAUGUGGCUCAACCUAAUUCCUAAUAUAAAUUAAAUAGGAUCUGAAUCUAAUUAGGUAAUUUUCAUAUUUCACCUAAUUUCGAAUUUCAUAAAAAAAUAAAAAAUGCCAUAGGUUGAUUUGUCUUUAUUUUUUAGGAUAAAAAAUGUAUUCUUUUAGGAAAAAGAAAAAUUGUCAUAUGCACGUCAUUAGGGUUAGAAUUCAUUGAGAUGCAUGUCAUUUAGUAUUUUUGCUAGGCCCAUUCAAAUUACAUGUUAUUAGAAUUAGGUCAUUUAGUUAAUAUUGCAUUGCAUAUUGCAUGAUUUUCAUUAAAAAGUGAAAAAAAAAUAAAAAUUGUGUGUUAAUUAGAAACUAUAUCUAGGGUUGUUGAUGUGGAUUUUAAUUUAACAUUGCAGAUGCUUUCGUUGCUUUGAGGUAAGUCCUGCAAUUUAUUCAUUUGCUUUCUUGAGUGUUAAAUUGGUGGUUUGCGCACCUGCAUGGUCACCUCACAUGUUAGAAUUUAAAAUCAAUUCAAGCUGCCUGCAAAAACAUUUUCAAAAUAAAAAGAAAGGUACCGAAAGGGCGUUAGAGAAUUCUAGCGUAACCAAGUCCACGAACUCAUAAAUCUCUGGUUCGUAGGAGUAAAGUAAAUCUCCCGUUACUUUACUAGGGUUGCUAAUCGACCCACCAAAAAUAGAUUAGUGGCGACUCCUAAUUUAAAAUCAUUGCAUGUUAAGAACUUGAACCUAAGUCGUGAAUUGGUAUGGGCUUGAGAGAACCCGAGCUAAGUCUAGGCUUAGUAAUUCAUUAGCCAAACCCUAGGCGGUUCACACCCGAAAAAUUGGUCGCGACAGAAAGUUUUGAGAUUACACAGAAAAAUGAUACUUGCACUUCCAUGAAGGCUUAUCAAGCUUUUGAAAUAAUAGGAUAGGAAGGAUCUUCCACCACCCGUGACUCUUGCUCUUAACAGAUGCUGAAAAUGUUAUGGCACUUUCUGUGGUUUUGCGCUACUAUGCCGAGAAAGAGAGAUGCAUAGAAGUAAGAAGGCAAAGUCCCAAUUCAACGGCAACUUCAACUAUACGCUACCAGACAACUAAAUAUCACAUUCUUUCACAAAACUCCAGGGGCGUACAAACCUUCAUCUUGAGCAUGGCUAUCUAGCAGGCGAUCAAUCCAACGAUUGGCGUUGACAGUUUUUAAAUUGGACAGAUGACAUAAAAGUGCUCGAAAUCGACGGCUAAGAAAGCAAAAAAGAAAAUUUCCUGUGCCCAAGGUACGGGAAUGUAGAACGGGCCCAUAUCUUUAGCUUGCGGAGCGACCAAUGAAUGGUCCUUGUAAUGAACAAAGCAACUUGCAUUGGAAGCCCAACCAUAAGCCUUUGGAUGUAUCUUUUGGGAACCUACGUAGCACCGACGAAUGAGCCCCGUGGUCCGGGUAAUCAUAAGCUAAUAAAAGAAAGAAGAGAAGAUUCCUCGCAAGAGAAAAAACGGACGUUUCGCGGGUACUGCCGGUGGGUCUAUGCAAUACACUAUAUAUCCCGAAAACAUAGGAUAGCAUCAUCCCGAUUGUUGCGACUUGAAUGAAACAUCCCACAGUCUGUAUCAGCUCUUGACGCUGCCUGAACAUAGUUCCUUCACAAUGCAAGAAUAUUGCCAUGAUGGAGAAGAAAAACGCCCAAGUGUUACAAUAUACAAAGGCUUUGAAACUUGCCCUCUCACCGAGAAUCGCCAUUCCUCGAUCUGGUCCAUCAUUGUUAUAACCUCCGGGCACUGUGAAGGCCGCAGUGAAGGUUACUGUUGUCACGCCCCGAACCUCGAGCGCGCGCACAUCCCACUGCGGUCGAUCAAAUAUGCGACAUCCCAGGAUACGUCGCCGACCCAUUCAUUUUGUUACGCAUGCGGAAGCGAAUCAAAUCCCCUGACAACAUUUAACUUGGGAUAGAAAAGCAGGCAAUCAAUUACAAUACCAAACACUCAUUCACAAACACAUGGGUUUAAAUAUAACUCUGGACUGUCUACAAAAUAGACCAGCUCAACGAAUGGGGAACUAUCCUAAAGCCAACUAGCAGGACACGUUCACCGAUACUUCAGUCACCACCUUUCCAGACUUAGGGCUUCGAGUCCACCACGACCGCCAUCUAGGGACCUGAAAUUUUAAUCCCACAACCGGGAUGAGACGAUGUCUCAGCAAGUUCAACCCCCUAAACCCCUAUUAGAAAGAAAAUACACCCCGGGUGGCCUAGCCACAUCACACAGAGGACUUACCUCGCCUCAGUUCCUUCCUGCAGGUUAGCACAAUUUCAAAUCACUCAAUCACAGAUAGUAAUAAGAACUUAAACAACCGGAACGCAUUCUUUUUCAUAUAACCAACAACCCCGGGAGUCCCGAUUAUGAGACUAAAUCGUUAUGACACGUCCCAUUCCAUGCCACACAAUUCCGUCCCAUAAUCCGACACAUCAACAACACUCAACAUGCAUCCCAAUUGUUAAUCACUGCCACACAAGGGCAUAGCCUACUCGCAGUUCGGCUAUCUACUGACACUAAUGCCAGGCAUCGCCUCCCCCCAUGGAGCGCGGCUUCGUCAGUAUGUCGACGGCAUUCCCGAAGGAGCAUCGUCUCCCCCCUUGGAGCACGGCUUCGUCACUACGUCGACGGCAUUCCCGAAGGAGCAUGGGCCCAGAAUCUACUGCGACCCGCAUCCACCGCGUGGGCAUCCCAUAUAGGGGCAAGUCCGGCUCAACAGCCCAGGACGCUUCCUCAUAGUUAUCACACAACCAAAGCAUACUCGGCCCCAGGACACUUUGUAAUUCAAUCAAUGCUUCCACUUAAAAUAGUGAUCCCGGCCAUUUUUCUCCAUAUUAAAAAUAUUCCAGAAAUUACUCACGUGUGUGGGGACACGCUAAUUUCGAAUCAAAAAGCCAAUAUCUCACUUUUUCAAACCCCACUAUUUAAUAUAAUCAUUAAAAUCCAAUUUUUGCAUCAAAACCCGACAUUUGGGUUUUUAUGAACAAAAUCCUUAUUUAUCACAAUCAACAGUCGAUUUGCCACAAUCAAUCAUCAAAUUCAAAUUCUAAAUACACAACAGCGAUCGGCACGAAAUUCUGAGAGUAUAAGGUCCCGACGAAAUUUUCGAAUUUUAAUAAAUAAUUAAAUUAAUUCCGAAAAUUAAUUAAAUAAUAAUAUUCACAUUUUUCGCAAUCCACAUUCAAUUUAUAUUAUCCGACCAAAAUCCGAACACACAGCAGCGAUCGGCACGAAAUUCUGAGAGUAUAAGGUCCCGACGAAAUUUUCGGAAUUUAAUAAAUAAUUAAAUUUAUUCCGAAAAUAAUUAAAUAAUCAUAUUUUAAUAAUUUCGAAUAAUGAUAUAUUAUUAAAUUAUUAAAUAAUUUCGAAAUGUUUAAAUAAAUCAAAAGUAAAUUCCUUUAUGUCACAUCAAUGUUUAUUUUAAAAAUAAACCUACUUAACCCUUAAACUAAACAUGUUUAACUUUAAUUAAACAAAUUAAUCUAAUCCAUAAUUAAAUAAACUAAUCUACCAACCUAAUCUUACUUAACUUAGACUAAGCACACUUAGGGCAUCAUUAACCCUCUAAUCAAGAUUUAGUGAGUUAAACUCACCGGAUUAGCGAGCCGAGCGGAUCAAAACGACGAGGACGCCGAGGAGAACAACUUUCCUCAAGCACGGCUCGGAUUCGGGGCGCGGAAACGGCCCAAAACGGGCCUUGAACAGGGCUGGAAACCCAUUUUUCCAGCCACUGUUCGUGGCCAAACGAAGCUGCUCCGGCGGCUAGGGCGGCGAGGAGAGGCCGCCGGAGGGCGAGGGGGACGUCGGGGGAGGUCCGGCGGUGCUGGGCGGUGGCCGGAGCUGGCUGGACAGGGCGGAACGGGCUGGGUCGCGCGGCUGGGAGAACGCCAGGCGCGAGGGACGACGACUGGCGGAGCUCGCGGCGAGCUGCGGGCGCGCGGGCGGCGCGGGGCGGUGGCGACGAGCGGACGGGCAGGCGGUGAAAGGCUGCUUCGGCUUCUCCUCUGCAAAUUUUUCUGGUCUUCACGCACCAUCCAUGGAGGAGAGAGGCAUCGGGGGAGAGAGGAAGAAGAGAGGGAGGAGAGAGAAGGAGGGGGGCUUUUUCUUUUCUUUUUCUCUUUCUUUUAUCCCUCACACAUGGCCCACCAUGACCUCACAUGAGGUCAUCUUCCACUAUCUCCCACAACCUUUCUCCAAUGGGUUCAUUUUACUUUUCCGCCGGGGCAUGAAACUUUGUACAACAAAUUCUUCAAUUCCACUUGAUUUUCUUCCAAUUGAAUCAAAUUGAAGUCCAUAAAAUUAAUCCAAUGUCACCACACUUCAAUUCACAUCUUCACUUGUCUGUAGAACCAACUUAAGUCCCAAAAGUACGACCGAAAGCGGGCCUACUAAUUUCUCGAGCCAAAUUAGCCAUUUUCUGAUUUAAUUGCUGAAAAACUCUGAUUGCAUGAAAAAUCUUCCGAAGAUGAUUCAAUGAUCCUUAAUGAUUUGUGACACACCCAGACUUCCAAUUUCUGAAUUCGAUCUAAAUUCCACGGUUAAUUUCACUUUGGCACGAUACUAGCGCGGCCCAACCUACCGGGUAGCCUUUAGAAAUUUUCACGCAUUUGACCUGUGGCUGAUCAUCUCAAGCCACAAUGUACAUCUUUGAGACAUUGGCGACUUUCGGUUGUCGGGGAAAUCUCAAGGUUUCAAAUACGAACACAGGGUACCCAAUCGAUAGAAAAGUCGGUCCAGUGUCGAUCGACAAGGAUUAUGUGCUUCGGUGGAAUCACCCACACUCGAUCACAUGCCUCUGUCGAGUCGACCUAUCUCCGGUCUCUAAUCGACUUUUAUUUGUGCCGUAAUGACCAUUGCAGAUUAGCUCGGUCGAAAGGUCGCUUCCUGGCCAAAUUCUCGAGUCUAAUGCAUUAGAAACUCUUAACAGCUUCACCCGAUAGACUGGUUUUCACAUGAGUGGUCGACUCAAGGAAAAGAACUAUAUACGUGCCAACGAAAUGCCCGUCUCAAUUUAUUGAAAAUAGAACCGGAAAAUCGGGAUGUCACAACCCUUCCCCUCUUAUAAAAAUUUCGUCCUCGAAAUUUAAACCUUUACCGAUUCUUAACAAAAAGAUUAUCUCGGUUGGCAAUAUUAUUUCCUGUGUUUAUAGACACAGAUGGUUGACCCUGAACGAAUUGUUUAUCUAACCUCUUCUUACCUUGUUCAGUAAACCAAACUUGAAAACUCGGGAUUCCAUAAGAUCCUUUCAACAUUUGACGAGCCAUUUUAGCAGAAAUGCUCACCUAAAAAUGUACAGAAUGAAUGAAUUAGUGAGUGAAAGUUUCCCGAUGAAAUACUUCCAGACUCUCACUUUACACACUCAAAAUCCAUCUAUAACAAACAGAAUUUCCAACGAGUCCAAAAACGUUAUGAGGAAUUCAUUCAAACCAUCUCUUUUAGAUCAAAUUAAAUGGUAUAUAACACCUGUAAAUAGAGUUUCAUGGAGUAAACAAUUACAGUUUCGAGUAUGCUAUUUCAGUCAUGAUUUAUUCUCCAUUUUUCUUUUCAUUUUCCUUUCCUUUUCUUUCUUUUUCUGCUUUACGUUAUCAUCUAAUUUUAAAGGAUUCCAACCUUGAAUGUUUUGCAUUGUUUUUGACAUAACCAAGACAGACAAUUGCUUGAGAACUAAUUGAUCAAACAUAAUAUUUACAAACGUAUAUGUGCUUAUCAACCAAACAAUCGAAUUAACUAAUAUUGAAAUUACUUUGCAAACUGAUUUGUCUUAAACUAUACAUUGUUAUUUGGAUAUUUUGUCACUGAAUGAUUAUAUUGAAGCAAAAUAUACAAACUUAAAAUUGUUUUUUGUUAUAUGCAUUUAAACGUUGGCCAUUAGUAUGAUAUUUGGUUUUUUCAUGUAAUCGGAUUGGAAAAAGGGCUUUAAUAUGUGGAAAUGAUUUAGAUGGUUUAAAAAUAUAAGCAUUUGUUGGAUAUAUAAAGACUUUAAUUUUUCCUUUAACUAGGCUUCGUAUCUUAUGAUACUUACUGGUCAGUGAGAGAGAAAUUCCGACGUGUAGAGCUGUCAAACCCUUAGGACCCUUAUGAGAGGAUGAUGACAAGAAAGUACUCAAAAUCAACUCAAUGGUAAGAGAAAGUCCUCGAUCUGCCGCAAGAUAAAGCGGAGACUCAUCAGCAGCAUUAGUAAUAUCACAUAGUUGAGGAUCUUCUCCAAUUAGCAACUCCACCGCCAAAUCAUGACCUCCUCUUAUUGCAUAGUGCAGGGCGGUAUCCUUAUGUAAAUUCUGCUUCCGAAGUAGCUCUUUGCAUGCGUCAACUUAUCCGUUCUCAGCGACCCAAUGAAGUGAUUUUGACAAAUCAGUGAACAUUCGAAUCGCUCCAUAGCUUCCCACUUUAGCGGCAACGUGUAAGGGAGUGUCUCCUUUAUAGUUACCCUGCCAAAGAAGCGAUGGUCCCAAUGGACAUUGAAGAAGAUGUUCAAUGAAAUUUACCUGUUUGUAUUGAGCCGCAAGAUGAAGAAUGUUGUUCCCCUUUGGUGUUGUUUGAUGGAAAAGGUCCUCUCCAUUUCCCAAAAUUAUUGUGAUCAAGGAACCAAAGUCUCCUGAUUUUGCAGUCUCAUACACUUUAGGAUGCAUUCUCGCUCUUUGUUUGUUGUUUACAGGACACUAAAAGUAGUUGCACAGGAACUUAUCAAUAUAAGCAAUUAGUUCAAGCGAAAAGAACUUCUUUGAGCUUUACAAGAGGAAUCAAUGGAAGGGAGAAUGUUGGGGAGGAAAUAUUUUCAUGCUUCCCAAGAGUAAUUGAAAGGAGACUUAUAUGUAUAUCUAUGAAAUGUGAAUAUGCCAGGCGUGUUCCUGUGAAGUUUUUAUUCUCUCGAGAGCAACUUUAUAAUAACGAUAUGGGGGGAUCAAGACAAGUACGGGAAAAAAAAAAAAACAUAAUAAUAAUAACCGACGCUAGGUCUCCCCGGCAGCUUCUUUGUCCUUUUUGACUUUGGGACAAUGUGCUCUUCCCUGGAUGGGUGAUAACCUUCUUUGUUAAUAUUCAAAUGAAUCUUCAAGGAUGGUGUCGUCGAAAUAGGAAAAUCCCAAUGAAUCCAUAUUUAAAGGUCGGGAUUAUCCAAUUACUCAACUUGAUCAACUAUUGUCAUCCAAAUAAAAAUAGUUUAUGUACAAUGUCACUCCCUCCACAGUUCCCACGACAAAGAUUGGUCAAAAGUGAACCUAUGAGUUCAAGUGUGAGGAAUAUAUUUAAUCUUAUCAAGAUGACUUGACUAAAGAAGCGACGUUGGAUAGGAAAUAUCCUUCAAUUUUUCAAUAGAACUUUUUUUAGCUUUCAACUAGACUAAAGGAAAGAUAUUGGGAAAGACAUUUCUCAUUACUUUUCUAAGGAGCCAACUAAAGACAGGAUAUGGACAAGAAAUUUCUUUGAACUUUCUAAAAGAAUUGGAUUAAAAAGAAGAUGUUCGGGAGCAAAUUCAUUUGAAUUUUUUAAGGGAAUUGCAAAGGAGAUUGUCAUGUGCAUAUGAAUGAUCUAUCAAUGGUUUAGAUAAAAUAGGAAUUUCUGAGGUGGAAGAAUAGUUUCCGCAAAACCAAGUCGGUCUGUUUCUCUAAAUUUGCCGUUCUGCCUCCCGCUAAUAUAAUAAGAAAGUGGGCAAAUCUUGUUAAACAUAAGAUGGACAAGUAAAAAAAAAAAAACCAAAACAAUCAACAGCCCUCCUGCAGAUUCCUAAUUUAUUUCGACUUUUAUUCGACCUGGUCUUCCACUUAUGAGGGCUUCUUAUUUUAUUUUAACUUUUUGACUUUUGUCCCAUCUGCUCUUCCACUUUUGAGUUGUCUUAACUUUUUCUUUUUGGACUUUUGAGGCACCUGUUCUUCCACUUUUCAUCGAAAGCAAAACCAUUACGCUCCCACGAUACUUCCUAAAGCGGGGUAACUUUAGACUUCUAUGCCUUCCCAGGGAGUACGUAGCAGUGAGAAUAAUCGUCGAAAGUUCUUCAGCCAAGUGAACAUUCUCUAAAACCUAUAGUGAAUAUAAAAAAUUAAACAAAGGUGAGUCACAUCAGGGACGAUAUGAUGAAAACACUAUAAUAAGGAGUAAAAAAUCGCAGCCCAUUAGUGAAUAUAUUUACUAUUAUAUUUACAAAGUACUAGUGUAGAAGGGGGCAUCGCUGCUACCACCAGCAGUCUCGCCCAAGGGAAGUCUCGCGCUAGGGAGAGAACUUCGGUUACUUGGGUUAUCAUUUGUUUAAAGUGGGUUUAGAAUCUUGUGAUACUUACUUGAUAGUGGGAAGAGCCCUGCAGCAUGCAGAGCUAUCAGUCCUUUAGGGCCCUUACGAGAGGAUGGCGACGAGGAAGCACAUAAAAUCGGCUCAAUGAUAUCCUGAAAUCUUCGAUGUAUUGCGAGAUAAAGCGGGGAUUCAUCAGCAGCAUUAAUAAUAUCACAUAGGUGGGGAUCUUCUUCAAUAAGCAACUCCACGACCCCCUUGCAAUGUCCUCUUAUUGCAGAGUGCAACAAGGUAUCCUCAUCUGAAUUUGGUAUCCUAAGUAGCUCUUUGUAUGUGUCAGGUUGAUGUAUUGUUUUCGCCAUAUUGAUGAAAACUCGAACCAUUUCAUGGCUUCCCACUUGAGUAGCAACGUGUAAGGGAGUGUCUCCUUUAUAGUUACCUUGCCAAAGAAGGGAUGAUCUUGAUAGAUCUUGAAGAAAAUCUCGGAUGAAAUUUACCUGCCCAAAUUGAGCUGCAAUGUGAAGAACAUUGUUUCCCUUUGGCAUUGUUUGGUGGAAAAGGUCCUCUCCAUUUUCCAAAUUUAUUGUCAUCAGGGAAUGAAAUUCUCCCGACUUUGCAGCCCCAUACACUUCAGGAUGCAUACCCAGUCUCUCUUUCAUUCUCAAGACACGCGGUAGUUGCAAGUGAACUUAUCAAUAUAAGCAAUGAGUUCAAGUGGGAGGAAUUUCUUUGAGUUUUUCAAGAGGAUUGGUGAAAAGGGAAAAUGCUGGAGAGGAAAUUGAAUUGAGCUUCCUAGGAGUACUAAAAUGGAGACAUUUAUAUGCAUAUGGUGGUUCUUCAAUUGUUUCCAUGAAAUCGAAAUAAAUUUAGUAGGUUUAGAGAAUAGUUUCCAAAAAGUCUGAUUGGUAUGCGUUUUGGACUUCCUGCUUUCCACUUUUUUAUCAAAAUCAGAACAUCCUUCUAGAAGAAGAAUCGGAUAUGAUUUAACUUUUUUAUUAAAGUAAUAAUAUCCGUUCACUUUGAGCUGUAAUUUUUUUUUUUAAUUGAAUCGGAUCUGAUUUAACUUAUUUAUUAAAGAAAUGAUUUUCGUGGGCCCACUUUUAGACGUAGUCUUCUUUUUUUUUUUUUUUUUUGUUCAUCGAAAAGUCCUUUGCUCUUUUUAGUCUUCACGGUCCAAGUUCGUCGUGAGCAUGCAUUCUCAUCAUGGUGCACAUGGUGGACCCUACCCAAGCUUGGUCCCACUCGAAGAUUUACAUAUGUAAUUAUUAUGGAGCACGAACUUAGGUAAAAUUCAACCAAUAAAAACUUAGGUAAAAAUCAGUUGACGACCAAUUUGAGCUCAUCCAAUAAUCACCUCUACUUCUAUAAUCCAUUGACAAAAGUUGGAGCUCAUAAUGAUAUGUUUUCUAUUGUAAUGUUUGCACAAUAUUCUAUAACAAAUAAAAAUAUAUCAAAAAUUUAUGAUCGUUCAAUGACUAUCUAUCAUUUUUAAUAUGUGGAAGAGAGACACGACAAAAGCUUAAAUUUAAAUAAAUAAAAAAGAGAAGGCAAGGCCGAAGUUGUUCUACUUUUUUAGCAAGGGCCAAUGAACUUUGUCGAGAUCUCAGUGAGGGCCAACAACCCUUGCAGGUCUGUCCAUGGGCAAGGGCUCGCAAGCCCUCAUCUGCGUCACACAUAGUGGUCUUCAUUGUGAAAUAAUAUGUAGAACUAAAUUCUUAAGACUAUUUUCUCAUAUUUGACCUUCAUAGAACAUUAGCCUCAAUUAUGUCUGCAAAUUGGCAAUUAGUGUCCUACCAGAAACCCAUCAACAUUAUGUGUAUGUAGAUCUGAAUUCUUUGUUAACAGCAAAACUGCAUUGGCAAUGGGUUAUUUUUUCCUUUUUUAACUCAACCCUUUUUUAUGUAUGUUGGCCUAGGCUCUGCUCCCACAUUGGUGCCAUGAAUAAUUUUUUAUUAGUUCAUUAGAAAGUGGACUUAUUUUUGUUGAUGGACUCUUUACACCGUCUCUGACUUUGAAGAGAAAUAGGAAACGGCUCAUGGGACUCAUGGACCAUGUCACUUCUAGAGCAGGUAAUUUCUCAUACGACUAUUGCUUGUUAUUUUUAAUGAUUUGCAUCUGAUGUCCGUGACAAUCUGUUAUGUUCCUUGCCUUCCAAACUGCCGUUGCUUGUGCGAAGGUGUUGACAGUUGCUGGUGAGAUAUAUAGUCUUGUGGUACCUGAAGUGUAUCUAUAAGUCUACACAAAUGCUUUUGAAAGCUUAAAAAAUGAAAGUUAUAGUAGCCAUUAUUUACCUAAAAACAUGGGGUUUAGAUGCUGCAAUGGUCAGCUCUUUAUGCUGUAAUCCAUGUAUUCUUACCGUUGUCUUUGUCCUAUUGCCAUUUACCUAGUUUCUCAUGUUCAUGGUUAGAGUUAUCUGUCUACCAUUAUUGCAACUUACCUGCCUGUCUCAGCAAGCACCGUGAUUGGUCGAGGUGUUGUUGAAUUUUGUGAUGGAGGACCUCUAGUGAGAAAAAGUGCUGCAAUGAGUGAGUUAAACAUUUCCGUGUCAUGCCUUCUAUCUUUUCAAUAUUGAGGUGAAAACAUGUGACGAAUCACUUUAUACCGUUCCGAGAUUUUGUUCCUCUUUUUCCUUUCACAAGUCUUAUAGUAUUCUUCUUUAUUAUAUUACCGACCAACUUUUGAGACACACAAAUAAAAUUCUCUUUCUUGUCUAUUCUUUCCCUAAACAUGUGGUUGAAGUAUAAUACUUUGAGUCUGCAGAGAAAAUGUGAUUCUGCUUUGCAGCAUGACACUUUGCCAAGCCAUGCUACUAUGAAGUAAAUUUCUGCAACUUCUAGGGGAAAAAAAAAAAGAUAUCAUAAGUGAUAUAACCUUUGUACGGCACUCUUUUUUUUUUUUUUAUCAUUUAAAUGUUAUCACUUAUGUAUGGCACUCUUUUGAGUACUAUAAUUCUUUUCACAAUUACUUUAGUGUUAUAUAACUUUUUAAUCGAUUACUUGAUUGUUAUAAUUUUUUUAAAAACGUUCACUAUAAGCGCUAAACUACAUCAAAUUUCUGGUAUUUGAGUGAACAUUUUUAAAAAAAUUUGACACUUAAGUGAUCAACUAAACAUAAUAUUUUUUAGAAAUAAUGGCAAUUAAGUGAUAAGAAAAAAAGUUAUAGUACUUAAGCAAACAUCCUAUAAAAGUUAUUACUUUAUCCCUAACUUCUAGUAUAAUCCCAGAGCUGACGAUUGCAGUCGUGGUCCUUUUAACAGCAAGUCUCUUCCUAGAACAUUGUGCUUGUGCUAGUACUGCUGUGGGCCUAGACUAUGAACCUUGACUACGUUGGCAUAACCCAUCUGAAGCUUCUUCAAUGUGGCUUCAUUUUUUAAGCAAGAUAUCGAGGAAAGAGUAUCUAGAGAGAAGAGGAACAGUAUCUUGGCGAAUGAUUAAGUAGUAAUUAUUGAUAGGAAUGAUUUCCAUGCUAGAAAAGAUUAAAUUCCUCAUAGAGGAAUGUCGGGUUUUAAGGAUGAUGCAACAAAUCAUCGAUCACAACCCUUUUGAUGUUUGCUUUACAUUUGUGUAAACAAUCUCCAAAGGAUCUGUGGCACCUUAUUGCCCUAAUUUUGCAAUCUCCAACCAAUUUGCGAGAUAUUUUGGAGAGUUUUGGAUGGAACUUAGUAGUUAUGUCAUUUUUCCAUCUUUAAUAGUCAAAAAUCUCAAUGGUUCAUACUAAAUAUUUCUCUACACUGUGAACAUCAAAUAACAUAAUGUCACAAAUUAAAUCAACUGCAAAGCUUGCUAAGUUCUUUCUUGCUACAACAGUAUCUAAAAUAAUUGAUAGAUUUGUUGACCUACCUUCUUGAUGUUUCAGUCCAGCAAACGAAUAAAGUACUCUACUACUUAACCGACAAAGAGAGUUACGUUACUUUAUACUCUUUCACUUGAAUUGAAAUUGACAAUUCGUUUGUGAAAGAAGCACAAAUAAUAAAAGAGAAAGGGGGUUGUGAUAGGACGGUAUCAUAUAAUGUCACAUUUAGAAAUUCUUAUGAAAAGUGAAAAAUUAGUGGGCCCACAGGAAAAAAAAAACCCAGUCUCUUCUGUCUUGAAUAAUGACACUUCAGUUCCAAGUAAAGGCAUAAAGAAGGAGAAGAAAACAAUAAUGAAAGAAAAGAAUAAAGUUAUGUGUGCUUUCCAUUUGUGCAUUUUUUUUUAAUAAAUGGAUAAUAGGGGAGGUUUGUUUCCAUGAUUCUUUUACUUGCCAGAGACACCAACUACAUAUCUGGAAAAUUUCAAACUAUUGUGUCAUUCAAAUACUCAAGCAACACAUCAUUCUCCCAAAUUUUUUUAUUCUUAUCACUCAAUUCAUUAGGAAUCUUAAAUUACUUCUCCAAUGUACUUUAGUUAACUGUUUUAACUGACCGUGCUUGUUUCUUUGUUCAUGGAAUAGGUGAAGAACUUCAAAUCAUUAGCAGAUAUUCAAGCUGAAAACCUUUUAAAUCUUGAUGACAUAUGAGUUUAAAGUUUUAGAGGACCUUAGCAAUAGUACCUUGGAAUACAGUUUUCAGUGUCUUCAGCCAUCAAUGCCUGCAAAUGCAAAGUGACAAUAUUAUAUUAUAUAAACUCCGAUAUGGCUUGCCAAUAAAAUUAAGUUAGCAAUUAAAUAUCUAAAAGACGUUCAUUUAGAGAUUGAUUGCCCCAAAUUAAGGAAUUGGGGCAAAAUUCAAUGUGUUCUUAAAAAACCCUAGCCCUUAUUCGUCGAAUUGGGGCAAAAUCAUCUUAUCAAAUCUCCUUAUCAAAUCUUGCUCUAAGAAGAGCAAAGUUGGCAAACGUUCAAAACUUGUCCAUGAUACGAUUUCACUACAAGGCCUUACUUUCAAUCCUCCACUCAUGGCCUCAUCUUCACUGCAAGUCCUCCUCUUCCUUCUCCAAGCAGAAGAACCGAUCCUUCUUCACCCAUUCUCCAAUUUCGUCGUCCCGAGCUGUAGCGAGGUAGAAUCGAAGCAUCAGACAAACAAGAGGUGAGAAAGAGGGCUCUGUUCUCUAUCGAGAAAACAGAGCUCUAUUUCGUCAUUGCGUUUGCUCUGUUGUCUCCUCACCGUAUGAGUGCACAAACGCAAGAACAUUGAGAUUAUUUCUUAGUAUUUUGCGUUUGCCCUUUUGCUCGUCACUUAUGCAAAUACUAGAAUGAGUUUAUCCAAACCAAAUGUCCAACAGGUAAUUAUUCUUCUCUUUCAAAACAAGACCGAACCAACCUCCCAAUUUCUUUUACUUCUUCAGCUCCACCCCUGUUUUUACGUAAAACCAAACUCUUCUUCCAGUUUUCUGUCCUGAAUUCGUGAUCUUCCGCUUCGUUUAUUUGGUUACUGCAGUAAAAUCAUUUUGAAUCGGUUGUUGGUUAAACGCCACAAAGAUGACAGAGAAUUUUUUUAUUUUUAUUUUUUUGGAGGGGGGGUGGGGUUGGAGAGAGAAGCCCUGUUGUACUGUUCACGUUGCCAUGUUAGACGAAAAAAGUUCUGCAUUGGACUUCUUUUUUAUAAGAAAAGCCACGUAUUAAUAAAAAAUUCAUAUAAAAAACGUAGAAUAUGUUGGAAUUUACAACUAGAAGCACUUGAGUAAUGGUUUUUCUACCGAUAAAACACUUGAGAAAUUACUCGAAAAAUUUCGGCACUAAAAAGAUAUGACAUUUAGUGUUAUUUUCCUACCAAUGCUCUUUGAAAUAGAGAUUGAUAAAGAUUGGUAAAGUAUUUAAGCUAGAUCAUGGUAGAGUGUCCUAAUGGUUUAGAAAGCAUGCAUUUUGGAUGGUUCCAUUCUUUUGAGAAUUAUUUUCUGCACUCAAACCAAUUCCAAAAAUAAGAAUUCGCUUGAGAAGUUGCACGCGCAUAGAUAAAUGAGAAACUAGGGGAUUGGAAUAUUUUUAACAUUGACUUGGACUUAACUGUUCUAUUUUUUAUUUUGGGUCUAUGUCAUUAAAAAUUCGAAACCUGUAUUUAGGGUUCCAGCUUGGGCCAAAUAUGUUACGAGGAACUAGUUUUCGUAUCACAUAAAAACCUUCAACACAUUUUGACCCCAAACUAAUUUUUGUCUUGUGAAAAAUCCCAAAAUUGAUAACCUAACCAAAAGAUUACCCUCAAUGUUUGAUCCUAAACUAUUACUGGAUGAUCUAUUUGAGUUAGGUUUCUGGCUUGGGGCAAAUAUGUUACGAGGAACUAGUUCAAGAUUGUUUGCAAGAUGAAAAUAGAGUUUAGGAUAAAUAUAUUAUGAGGUAUCAAUUUGAGAUUUUGAUGGUAAUAAACCUAUUUCUGUUGCAUCUUGUAUUGCAUAACAAUAUAGAACAUAGAAGUAUUUGAAACAUGUUCUAAGCCUUAUAUAUGAAAUUUAACCAUGUUGAAUUUAAGGCUGAGGAUUAUGAAAUCAAGUUUGCCGAGCUUCCUCCUCAACAAUCUUAUGGUGCAGGAGUUGUAAAUCCAUGACAUGGUCCGCAAUUACAUUGUGUAGUGAUUUAUGAUUGUCAUUUGAUCAUGGAGCACCCAAGUUUGUAAAGUCAGUGAUAUAAUGAAAAUUGCAUUUACACGAGAAAAAUGGAUGUAACAUAACGGAUGAAAGAGCAUAUAAUGAUAUGGUGUCGUCAUUGUGGUGUAAUAUUGUCAUACCAUGCUUUUGCGACUUACUCAAUGCUACCAUUUGCAUCCUUUUUAACCUAUGAUCCAUUGGGAAAAAUAAUAUGAAUGAAUCUAACUGAUGCAUUUCCUACAAUCCAAGCUUUACAUGAAGGAUAGGAUUAGAUUGAAGAACUUGGGUGAAGCUGGGAAAGUCAAAUUCAUCGUCUCUUUGUUGACACCUCAUUUGAGUCGAUAGUUUAAGUAUUUAUUCUUGUAAAAGUACCCAAAAAAAAAAGCAAGGGAAUAGUAAAAAGAACUAAAAUGAUAAAUAGGCAAAUCAACAAAUAAAAAAGGGAUCUAAUAUGGUCUUGGUCUAUUUUCUAUAGCCCCGGUCAGCUGGCACGGCACAUGUCCAAAUUCGUUGAUCACGAGAGAAAAAAGAACAGGAGAAAAAUUGCCCUGGAAGAGAAGCUCCGUUGGAGAAGCUUCCGGAUUCUUCCCCCACCACCGUUGGACGUCGCCUACCUCCUCCGGCCGUCGGACGGUGCUCGCCUCCUCCAGCCGUCGUCGAUCUUCAGUCUCGGGAAGACACUGAUCGGAGAGAAAACCAAUUUUGAGGCACGCACGCUCACCUGAGAGAAAACACACCCGGGGCAAGGACGAUCGAGCAAAGGGGGAAAAGCUUGCACCCCCUCAACACGGGUCCAGAAGACACUCUCUUCCAGUGAUUUCUUCUGAAUCCUUUCCUGCCUCUUCGUUGUCGAUCGUGUUUUUGGCCGUGAAGACUUGAAGCCGUUUUUCUGAAAACUUCAUUACCGUUGCUCAUCCUCACCAACGACGUUUUCCGGAUCCUCCUCGACUAAAAAUCUUAAAUGACUUUUGGGGCCUGGAUCCCUAAAGUACAAGUUUGACCCAUAUGCGAACCGGAUUCAAAGGCCCAGCUCACACCCCUUUGGCGAGGGCUGGAUGAGGCCGCCCCUCAUUAGGGGCCCUUACCAGCGGCUAGCGAAGAAAAGAGAAAAAGGAAAGAAGCAAAAGAGAGGGAAAAGAAAAAGAAAAAAUUCAAAAAAAAUUCAAAAAAAUUAUUUAAAAUUUUGAAAAACAUUCAACUCAACGCUAAUCAUGUCAUAUAAGAUGGUUGACGUUUAUGCCAGCAAAUUUUUUACUAAAAUUGACCGGAUUGACUCAAUGAGUACCAUAGUGAAAAAGUUCAGGAUUAAAUUGGUUAAUCAAUAUGUUUAAGACUCAAUUGGCAUUAAUGCUAUAACCUUUUUUUUUUUAGUACUUUUCCCGUUCACAGUUUGUAUUGAUCAAUGUGAUGGAUUUAUGAGGUGGGCUUAAGGCACAUCCGCUCAAAUUGGGCCCAAAGGGCCCGGCCCACGGGAAUAGGGCCCGUGGAGGGGGAAGGUAUAAAAGGGAGGAGAGAGAGAGAGAAGAAAAAGUUGAGGAACAGAACGUACGUCUUUUCUCUUCUCACGCUCUCUCUCUCCCAAAAAGAAAAGGCAGUAAGCAAACGGCGCGCUUUCCUUCCCUUCAAGUCGUCAUUGGAUCAAACGGGGCCAGAAUUUCUUCCUCUUCUUCAGCAUUAGUGUUUAAUCUGUGGCUAAUGAGGUACGCUCGAAUCCGUGGUGUGCUUUACGAUCGGUGAUGCGUGUUUUUCCCGGGCUUCGUCUUCCGCAUUGAUUUAGGGGUUCGAUUUAGUGUCGAAUCUGGUUUUCGGGGAUCAGUCAUUCCCAACAUUGGUAUCAGAGCCCUGUUUCACAUUUUUCCCGAUCAAUUCUAAUGUUUUUGAUUGAUUUUUCGCGAAANNNNNNNNNNNNNNNNNNNNNNNNNNNNNNNNNNNNNNNNNNNNNNNNNNNNNNNNNNNNNNNNNNNNNNNNNNNNNNNNNNNNNNNNNNNNNNNNNNNNAUGGCCCAUAGCUGCUAUUGAGAUUUACCUUGAUUCGCAUAAUUCUGGCAAUAGUGUUUGGUAUGGAUCUUGAGUUACGUCAAAUGGAUGUAAAGACUGCUUUCCUCAAUGGAGACUUAGAGGAUGAAAUAUAUAUGGAACAACCUGUUGGUUUCAUAGUGAAAGGCCAAGAAGAAAAGGUAUGUCGACUUUGGGGGUCGAUAUAUGGCCUUAAGCAGUCGUCAAGACAAUGAUAUAUACGUUUUCAUAAUGCCAUAAUGGCAUAUGACUUUACAAUGAUAGAUGAGGAUCAUUGUGUAUAUAUCAAAAGAUCCAAGGAUCAAUUUGUGAUCAUAUCAUUAUAUGUUGAUGAUAUACUAAUUGCCGGAAGCAAUAUGGAGCUAGUCAAUACUGUCAAAAGUUGGUUGUCUUCCAAAAUUUUGAAUUGAAUGAUAUGGGAUUGUAAACCCAUUGACGCUCCUAUUGCAAAAGGUGAAUGAUUGAACCAUAGACUGUGUCCAAGGACUCCACAAGAGAAGGAACAAAUGAAACAUGUUCCUUAUGCUAGUGCUGUUAGAAGCUUGUUGUACGCUAUGAUGUGUACAAGACCUGACAUAUGUUUUGCAGUUGGAAUGGUGAGUAGAUACUAAUCCAAUCCAGGUCAAGCACGUUGGAAAGCCGUUAAGUGAAUACUGAGGUAUCUAAAAGGGACUGCUGAUUAUACGUUGAGUUAUUAAGGAAAUGAUCUGCAACUCAAAGGCUAUUCUGAUGCUGAUUGGAGAGGAGAUUUAAAUGAAAGGAAAUCUACCUCUGGUUUUGUUUUCUUACCGAAUGAUGGCACCAUAUGUUGGAGCAGUAAGAAACAAAAGUGUAUAGUCUUGUCAUGAUGGAAUUGAGCUUCGUGGCAUUAUCAGCAGCAGUAUAAGAAGAUGUUUGGCUUAAGAGAUUAUUGGAUCAUUUAGGUGUUAUUGAAAGUGCUGCAGAUUUGUUAUUAGUUAACUAUGAUAAUCAAGCAGCAAAAGUGCACACCAAAGAUCCAAAAUAUCAUGGCAAGACCAAACAUAUAGAUACCAAGUAUAACUUUGUCAAGGAUAUGGUUGCACGAAAGGAUGUGAACUUAGAGUACAUACUACGCAUAGAAUGGUAGCAGAUCCUAUAACAAAGCCAAUACCUAGAGAUGUGUUUUGUGGCCAUGUGAAAUCUCUAGGAUUGCGUAGAGGAUGAUGUACUGAAUAUUAUAAUUUCCCUAAGAGUUCACAUUUGAUGAAUUUGUGUUUUCAUCAUUAAUGCCUAUGAAUCUUUGUUUGAUCUUUAUGCAUCUUAAUGCUCAGUGCAUUACUUUAAGUUAGAAGAAGUAUGUCGGACAGAUGAGAUUAGCCCACUCACACGGGUAAUCGCCUCUAUUUACUGUGUGAUAAAUAGAGAUGAGACUGUUUUUAAGCUUAUUAUCUAGGUGAUAAUCGAGAGCUCAAGCUUAAAAUACGUAUGUUGCCUUAACUAAGUGUUAAGAUGAGGACAUAAUACUUCCUAUGUCCGAGAGUAAAAUACCCCACAUAUUUUACUUUAUCUGUCUAUGAUGCCAGAUGUGAGUUCUGAUGAAUUUAGUGAAUGAGUAGAUACGUGAACUCAAGUUAAACAUUGGGUAUGUCUGAACUAUCAUCUGUACGGUAUUGAAAAGUGUACACAUACGCUCCAUGGGAAAGGACUUAAUACCGUAAUACGUAUUUUAUACUACGUAUGCAUGAGACGACCAAUAAGAGUGGCAAAAGUUUGAUCUCAACUUUUAUGUCGUGUGAGACUCUUGAGGAAAAGAGUUCCUCAAUUUCUUAGUCCCCUCAUGACUCUUACUUAUUCUCAAGAUUUCUAUUUAGUGUUUGCUAUCUUAGGAUGUUGCCAAUGGUCAUGAGUUUGAUUCGAUCUAAUGGGGCAUUUCUAGAAAAGCAAGCUGGACUGAAAUUGAGAGUUUGAAGGAAAGAGGAAGAUCGAUUUUGGAGAAUCACAUUAUAGUUUUGUAUUCACCGGUUAACCAAUUAUGACUGUCUUUGUGAUAAUCAUAAUUGUGAAUAUAAUAUAUAUAUCAUUAUUUAAAAGAGAUCAAGAGAGAUAUAAAUGUGAUCAAUCGAUCUAGGGUACUGCAUACUAAAUCUACUCAGAGUGUGAUGCCCAUUAUGAGCUGCUAUAUAUUCCUAACAGAUGUAUGGCAACGGGCUCUCAAAGUAUGCUAGUCGCACGGAUUAUUCACCGGUAUGAAUGUUGAAGAGAGGAAAAGAGGAUUAUGUUCGGCCCACCAUGUUAAGUAAGAGUCUAUGAUGGAUUUUUCUCUGAUGGGGCUGAGUAGGGCCUGUCCGCCCAUGUUGGUUUUGGACCACCAUGUGCGAGUGGGAGAUGAUGGAUUUAUGAGGUGGGCUUAAGGCCCAUCCGCUCAAAUUGGGCCCAAAGGGCCCAACCCACGGGAAUAGGGCCCGUGGAGGGGGAAGGUAUAAAAGGGAGGAGAGAGAGAGAGAAGAAAAAGUUGAGGAACAGAACGUACGUCUUUUCUCUUCUCACGCUCUCUCUCUCCCAAAAAGAAAAGGCAGUAAGCAAACGGCGCGCUUUCCUUCCCUUCAAGUCGUCAUCGGAUCGAACGGGGCCAGAAUUUCUUCCUCUUCUUCAGCGUUGGUGUUUAAUCUGUGGCUAACAAGGUACGCUCGAAUCCGUGGUGUGCUUUACGAUCGGUGAUGCGUGUUUUUCCCGGGCUUCGUCUUCCGCAUUGAUUUAGGGGUUCGAUUUAGUGUCGAAUCCGGUUUUCGGGGAUCAGUCAUUCCCAACACAAUGGUUAGGCUGUUCAAGGGCCGCUACUCCUCUCAUUGCAUUAUAUUCCACACACAAACAGGAAAGACAAAGUGAAAUAAUUGUUUUCAGCGUGAGUGGAUGACUGAAUUUUUGUAGGUUGAUAUGGUGAUACGCCUUUGGCCUCGUGUGCCUAAUUAUUUGAUGAUGUUGCGUACUCACUGGAUUGGCAUUCAAAGUUCUAAGAUUACCUAGAAAGAUGACAUUCUCAUUUCUAUGAAUGCUUAUGAAGCUUUUCAAAUAAUCCAACAGGAAGGAUCUCACAUCACCUAUGACUCUUGCUCUUAACAGAUGCUGAAAAUGUUACAGCACUUUCUGUGGUUUUGCGGAACUAUGCCAAGAAAGAGAGAUGCAUAGAAGUUAGAAGGCAAAGUUCCAAUUCAGCGGUAACUUCAAGUAAACAACUAAACAUCACAUUCUUUGACAAAACUCCAGGGGUGUGCAAACCUUCAUCCGGAGUGUGGCAAUCGAGCAGGUGAUCAAUCCAACGAUGGACGUUGACAGGUUUUACAUCGGACAGAUGACAUGAAAGUGCUCGAAAUCUAUGGCUGACAAAGCAAAAAAGAAAAUUUCCCUGUGCACAAGGUCACGGGACCGUAAAACCGGCCCAACUCAUUAGCUUGUCUAGCGACCAAUCGAUGAGCCUCCAAAGGAAAUCAGCCCAUUGCAACGCACACUUAACCAAAAGCCUCUGGAAGCACCUCUUGGGAGAGCUACGUAGCGCCCACGAAUGAGCCUCGUGGUCGGGGAGUUCAUAGGCGAAGAAAAAAAGCCAAGAACCAUCCACACAACAUAUGAAAAAUCAUUCCUUCCCCGAUAGUCUCGGUGGGUUUGACCGAUAUAGUAGCCGCCCCGAGAGGAUAGGCUAGCGUGAUCCCGCAUGACGCAACAUAAAUUAAACAUCCCACGGACGGGAUGCGUCUCAGCUCUUGACGAUGGCUGUGCGUAGAACCUAAGACAAAUAAAGAGUAUUGCCAUCAUGGAUAAAGUGAACGCCACACCGUUACAUAGCAUAAAGCCUUUGAAAGAUCCCCUGCCAGCAUGAAUCGCAACUCCAUCAUUGUUAUAACCUCCGGGCACUGUGAGAAGGCCGGUGAAGCUUAAUAUAGUUAUAAGUCCUCCCACCAGUAGUUGAACAUCCAUAAUUCUUUUUUUUUUUCGACAAAUUAAAGUUAUCUCGGUUGGCAAUAUUACUUCCUGUGGUUAUAGAGACAGAUGGUUGUCCCUCAACAAAUUGCUUGUCUAACCUCUUGUUACCAUAUUCAAUAAACCAGCCUUGAAAGCCCGGGAUUCCAUGAGAUCCUUCCAACGGGGACCAAGCAUUCCAACAGUUGUCCCUCUAAUAAAGCACAUAAUAGAAUGUAUCAAUUAACGAGUGAAAGUUUUCCGAUAAAAUACUUCCAGACCCUCACACCCUCAAAAUCCAUUUAUAACACAGAACUUCUGGCAAGUGCUAAGAGGUCAUGGAGAAUUCAUUCAAGUAACAUAUUUUAGAUAAAGGUAAAUGGUAAAUAACACCCGUAAAUAGAGUUUCCUAAGUAAACAAUUACAGUUACGGGCAUGCUAUCCCAAUCCUAAUGUAUUCUCCAUUUCCUUCCUUUUAUUUUCUUUCUUUUUUCCCCAUUUUGGCAUUGCCUAAUUUUAGAGAAUCCCAACAAAAACUGUUUUGCAAUGUUUUCAAAUUAACUAAGAUUUAGACAAUUACUUUUGAACUAGUUGAAGACCCGCGCGUUGCCCAGAUUUGAACCUUAUACUUACUGAAAAAUUUUGUUUUGAUAUGAUGAUAUGAUGAUAAAACAUAAUAUUUACAAAGUACUUAUUUAUCGACCAGAUAACAAAAUUAACUAAUUUGAAACAUCGUAAAGUAAUAAACAGGAGCAUUGUAUAUUGACGCACAUAUUGGAACAACCAUAAUGACUCCUAUAAUGAGUUUAGAUUUAUUGACUAUUAUAUCCAAUAACAUCCAAGAGAUGUUGAUCGACCAAAAAAAAAGAUUUGAUAUUUUGUUGUAGGAAAGAUUAAUGAUAAAGACAGCCCUCUUGUUUUUGUCCAAUUAGUAAUGGUUAGUUUGAAGUAGCUACAAAAAGAAGUCAAUAAAAUAAAAUAUUCUCAUAAUGGAUAAUGCUUUCAAUUUUUUUUUUUUGUGAGUAGAUAUAUUAUUUGAUGAAAAUUGGGAAGUCAAUAGAAUUAUGAUGAAUUGAAUAUAUUCAUUGGAUAAUUUCAUCUCUCCCAAUACCACAUCAGAAUGCUUCCUUCUUUCACUAAAUCUAGAUCGGUAUCCUCCAUUUGAAAUAGUUAUAAUGCAAUCAAUGGAAAGAAUUCUUCUUAGGGACUAGAUUGAAAAAAAAAAUUAAGAAAGUCGAGACAAUUUUAGGAUUUCUUAUUCUCCGAAGGACCAAUUCAGAAAAGACAAUUUGAAGGACAAAACAAAAUUUUGAUGGAAUAAUCUUGACUUUAACUCCGUUAAUGGAUUGAUUUUUCGAUCAAAAGUAAUAUGUGAGUGAAAUCUUCCAUUUUUUCUUCUUUCUCUAUCCUUAUCCCUAUCCCUACCUCGUAGGUACAACCAUUGAAUCAAGAGGGAACCUUUUCUUAAUAGUCUAAUGGCCCUGGCUUAUGUGGGUCGAAUUGAGCUCAGCCAGUGAUGAGAGGGUCCACCAAAACUCUAUAAAUAACCUAAGGUCCCUCCUCUAAACCUCACUUUUGCCAUUCUAAAAUGUAUACAUCCGCUACCUCACAUAAGGAACGUUUGUGAGGGAUAGUCUCAUUGAGGGACAGCCUCAUUAAGUCAUCGAGAGUGAUAGAGGAGAAGAUCUUCAGCGUCGAAGCUUUGGAUUGCUGCCAUUCCGCUCCAAGAAUCGUGAAUUCCAAAUCAGGUAUGCAAACCUUCAUCUUCUCCUCCAAUACGUUCGAGUUUCUAACAAUGUCGAUCUUGGAAACUGUAUCAACGGCCAACACAUCAGUCUCAAGAAGACACUGAUCGGAGAGAAUACCAUUUUUGAGGCACGCAUGCGCACCUGAUAGAAAACAGACGGGCAAGGACAAUCGAAAAGAGGGAAAACUUGCACUCCCUUAGCGUGCUUCUUUUGAAUUUCUUUUUCUUUGUCAUCCUCAUCUGCCGGUAAUUGCCAUCGGUUUACCAUCACUGGGCACCGACUAAUGUACGUACUGGAAAGAGAACUAGAACAGAAGGCACCGGAUGAAAUCAUUCGUCUUUUGAGAUAUCAGAAGUUACUCUAUCAGAGAUUUCUUUUGAAUCCUUUCAUGCCUCUUCGUCUUCAAUAGUGUUUGAAGCCAUUCGCAUUUGUCUGAAACUUCACUAUCGGUGCUCAUUCACCCAAGCACGUUUUCCAGAUCUUCCUCGUGCAAAAUCGACCAGUAAUUGUGACCAAGAAUUCCUCGUCAACAAGGCUAUAUCUCUUCCCUACUAUACUCUGCUUUCGAUGAAUAAAAGUAACUGAAAUGGCACGUUCUAGAUUAGGAUAGAAUCGGCUUAACUGCAUAUUCAUACUGAUGAUUGCAUCCUUGGACUAAUUUUGUUUGAACCUGAUCUCUAAUCCGAAGUUAUUGCGCUUUGUUUUGCUUCUCUGCCGAAUACGCAUAACGUGUGCAUCAGUGAGUUUCUGCUAAAUCCGAAGACAAACCAGUUUAGUGUGCAUAUUAUUGAUUGAUUGGUUGGUCGGUAAGCAUGAUUUAGUAGAAUUUUACACAUUGACCCAGACUGACACACCUAUUCUUGUUCUAUUCCCGUGUAUGUUUGUCUCCGAGGUGAUGGAUGGGGGUCAAUGGUGAGUAAAUGGAUUCGAGUUAAGGACUGGAGUGUCGAUCCAUUGAAGCAUUCGUUUCGGUUUGUUUCUCCAUUCUUAUGUUCUGUCCAUUUCCUUUACUGUUGCGAUUGCGGAUAAUCGAGUUGAUGGUGACAGAGGACGGCCGUAGGCAGGGAGUCUCUGAAUGGUACUGUUUCACAGAUGUUCUUGAUUUUAGUGUUUCAGGUCUUGAACUUGACAAGAAACGAUUGGGCUGAAUCUGGUUCAAGUGAAUUCGGAUUAUUUGAUGAGUUCUUUUAGGGAAUUUGGGCUUAAUUCGACUAGUUAAGCCCAAUUCGAUUUUUUAGGGGAAGAAUCUAGAUAGAUAUAUAGCCCAAAGGACUUUUACGGCCUGAACCGGGAACCGACCGGACCGGACCGAACUGGUCGGUUUUGGGUGGUUCCCAUGGUCGGCGGUCCGGUCCCCGAUUCCUAAUCUUGGAACCGAUGGCCGGUUGGUCCGGUUCCCGGUUUCAAGGUGGGAACUGGACCGAAUUGGACCGACCGGACCGAACCAAAUCUUUUUAUAUAUAAUUUAUAUACAUAUAAUUAAUAAAACAUAUAAACAUGAUAACUUAUUGCAACCAAAGUUGCAAUUUGAGGUAGCAACCUCUUAUGUGGUCAAGAGACCAUUAAAACCCUUUUUGUUACUCUUUUAUUUAUAGAAAAAAUCUCCUUGUUAGUUUCGAUGUGAGAUUAAGACUUCAAGAGAUCCCGUGAAUCACACGAGUGAAGUUUGAAUAUUUUGCACGUAAAACACGUGUGAUUAGCUUUGUUGAAUUGCCCAAGAAUCGAAUUGGAUUGAUCGGUCAAGAGCGCGGUCACUCUUUAGUUCUUUAGUGCAAAAAAGUAGAGUUGAUUUUUUUGGACCGGACCGGACCGGACCGGAGCCGAUGGUCCGGUCCGGUUCCCGGUCCUAGGACCAAACGGUCCGGUCCACGGUUCGCAAUUUUGGGAACCGGUGCUCCCGGUCCGGUUCUUGGUUCCAAGGUGGAACCGGACCGAACUGGGAACCAAUCACCCUUAAGGAUUAGCCGCUACUCCUCUUUGUGCAUUGGCGAGCGAUGCAUGUGUUCUAUGUACGAACACGAAAGACAAAGCGAGAUGAUUGUUUUUGGCAUCACUGUGUGAUUGGAUUUUCAUAGGUUGAUAUGGUGGUACAUUCUUAACCUUGUAUACCUAAUUAUUUGAUGUUGUUACUUACUGGAUUGACUUGUAAGUUCUAAGGUUACACUAAAAGAUGACAUUCCCAUUUCUCUGAAAACUUAUGAAACUUUUGAAAUAAUUGGAAGGGAAGGAUCUUGCUUCAGCCAUGACUUUUGCUCUCGACAGAUGCUGAGAAUAUUAUGAUAUUUCCUGCAGUUUUGCACAACCAUGCCAUUAAAAAGCAGUGCAUAGAAGUCAAAGCCAAGUCCCAAUUUAACGGCAACUUAAAAAUAUAUGGUAGUAAAUAUCACAUUUUUCGGCAAGCCUUCAGCUGUAUACUAACUUUUAUCCGAGCCGACUUGUAGAACUUAAGAAGAAAUUUGGCGUUGGUAAAUGCAUUACAAUAGUGCUAUCUUACUAACUUUUAAUUGCGCCCACUUCUAAAAAUUAAAUGGGUUUGGUAACUUUAAUUCAUUUGACAUUGAUGUCUUCAUUACCAUGUCAGGAACUUAUUAACCUAUUACUCAAUCUGCUAAAAAAUUUAAAAGUUGUUAACUGCCUUACGAUGUUGAUAAUUUAUUAAUCUCUACCUUGUCCACCUGUAGAAUUUAGAAAGAAGUUUGUAACUUACAUAUCAACUUGGUGUUAGUAAAUUCAUUACACUAUACUGGUAAUUUGCUAACUAGUAACUUGAUUUGGCGGAUCUACCACCGUUGAAAAAUGUUCAAGGAAUUCCUAGAAAUUAUAGUAAUUGUAAUCGACGGUGAAGACAAAUAAAACUCAAUAUAUGACAUGAAAAUCAAUUUUUUUAAUUGAAAUUCUAUAAAACCCGAUACCCUCGCAACCAAACAUCUAUCGACAAACAUUAGUCAAUACCAAUAUGGCAGUUCAACCGCAAUCCCUCAGCAGCUGCUAACCCUCUUGGCUCUCAUUUGGUCAACUGAGAAGCCGUCGAGUUGUAUAUCCUUCACGUACACGGAAAGCCUCAACUUGUUGGCCUUUGCUGCUCUCCAGGCAUCUUUGAUAGGGUUUAAAUCAGACGGCUGACAUAAAAGUGCUCGAACUGACAUGGCAAGAAGAAAAUCUCCUGGGCACAAAGACAUGGGACUGUAGAGCCGGUUCAAUUUAUUAGCAGCUUCCCUAGAGUAUAUUAUAUUUAAACAUUAAGUUUCGGACAUAUCUUCCCCGAUACUGAGGUGGGCGAUUUAGUAUAGGGUCAAGUGAAAUACCGAUAAUGUACAUAAUCACGAUACAUCCGCCAAUGAUAAAAGGAGAGAUUCCAAGCCCGAUGGUUCCGGUCAAUACCGCAAACGUACCACAAGCAAAGGCUAGCACCAUUGCCCAUAUCGCAAUGAAAAUGCAAAGUCCCACGGGGUAGGUGUAUCUCACCUCGUAGCGAGGGCCCGGGACCCAAGGAUCAAAUUGUAUGAAUAAUGCCACGACUGAGAAACUGAACGCUGUAACGUUUAAUAGCACAAAGGCUUGGAAAGCUGCCCUGUCAGCAAGAAUCGCCAUCCCUCGGUUGGGUCCAUCGUUGUUAUAUCCUCCGGGCAUGGUGAAGGUUGCAGCAAAGGUCACCGUGGCUAUGAGCGUUGCCAUUAAUUGUUGAAGGUUGAUCAAGUUUCUUGUUGAUGAAUCGGAAUUUUCUCGGUUGGCGAUAUUACUUCCGGUGAUUAUAGAUGCACCUGGUUGACCCUCAACAAAUUGCUUGUCCAACAUCUUCUUUAUUUUUUCAAUAAUCCCACCUUGGAAAUCCGACAUUCCGCAAGAUUCUUUUAAUAGAUAAUUAACUUUGGCAGCACUGUAGCCGACCUAAAAAAUUUACAAUAUGUAUUAAUUAAAGGGUGAACUCUUCCGGCGAAAUACCUUUACGCACUCAAAUUUCAUUUAUAAACAACAGAACUCCCGGCGAGUCAUAAAAUAUUAUGAGGCAGAGUGUAGGUUAUCUCUUUUAUCUCAAGAAUUGUUUGAAUGGGGGCAGGGAAAAAAAAAAACAGAAGGAUUAUAGCUUGUAGCUAAUUAUUGUUAAAAUAUUCCGAUAUUUUCAUGUGAAUGUAACAGAAUAGUUGUUUCAAAGUCAGAAGUGCAAAUAAACUUUUUAAAUUGAGAUCCUCUAAAGCUACAUCUAAUCUAACAUUUAAAGUCACCGAUGUAUGGUUGACACCUAGCACAUAGGGGUCAUUAGACGGCACAUAUUUAUUCUCCAUUUUUCUUUGUUCUUUUUUUCCUCCCUCUAGCUUAUCCCUUAACUCUGGAGGGUCCCAACCCUAAUGUUUUGCAUUGUUUUCAAGAUAAAUAAGAUGACAACUAUUUGUGAACUCUUUGGUGACCCGAUUGUCGCACCCAUUUGAAAUUUAUGCUCAAUGAAAGUUUUUUAUUUGAUGAGAUAAUAUGAUUAUAAAAUCCAUAUUUACCAACUUCAUACAUUAUAUUGUACACAAAUAAUAUACAUUUAUCAACCAAACAACAUAAUUAAUUAAUAUUGAAUAUUACUUUAUUGAAUUCUUUGUUACUGAGGUCCACUCUUCCCACAUGGAAAGAGAGAGGUGAGGAGUUUGAUUCCCUACCUUCUCAUAUGGAUAAGAGGUAAGAACAUUUAGUUUUAAGUGUGGGGUUUGACUCUGACACUUUACAAAGAAAUAGGACAAAAGUCUGAAAAUGAUUCAAGAGUUAAACUAAGUCUGAAAAGGAGUAAAGAGUUAAACUAAGAUAGGCAAAUAUAUAUAUAUAUAUAUAUAUAUAUAUAAAAUAAAAAAAAUCAGACAUAUAUUUAUUUUAAACUAUUUAUUUUUAUAGUGUGCAGUUCAUUGUUGGCUAUUAAUUCAAUAUUUAGCUUUUUUUUAUGCAAUUAGAUAUUAAAUAGGGCUUUUACAUGUGCGAAUGAGUUAGAUGAUUUCCAGACUAUAAGUAUAAAUUAAAUUAUGAGGACUUCAAUUUUAAAUUUUACAGUAAUAACUACUGGCAAGAUAAUUAUCUUGUAAGACAUAAUUUCUAUAUGAUGAUGCAAAUUCAUCACCAUGUUAUAGAUCAAAACUAAAAAAAUGAAGACAACUUCUUUAGCUACUGCUUUUUGUUAAUUUUGCAAUACUCAUUAAUACAGUUUAACCAAUUUUUUUCAAUAGUCUAAAAUAUUUAUGCUUUACUUUGUCACUAAAUCGUUUGUAUGCUCAUAUCCAAUUUAUAGAUUAAAUGGUUGUUUGAAAGAAAGAAAUUAUAUCCCUCCACAUUUAGUUUAUAAUAAGUGGAUAUAUGAAAGAACCAUAAAUACUUUAAAUCACAAAUAUAGAUUUAUUGGCUAUUGGACCAAAUUACAUUCAAGUUGUAAGCUAUGGGAAUUGAUGUCGAUAUUUUGUUGUAUGAAUAUUAAUGAUAGAUUAGGUGGACAAAAAAGCCUUUUAAUUUUUGCCUAAUUGAUGUAAUAAUUAGUGUAUCGAUUAAUGUCAAGUGAAGUGGGAGGGAAUGAUUGUAAGUAGCUUAACCACAAAAUUCAAUGCUGCCCAAAUUUCUUAUUUAUGGUUCGAUAUGACAUCACUUCACUCCAAGUCCCUUUUCAAAUGCGUCACGCUUACUAGAGCUAUCUAUGCUACUAUCUGCUCAAACAAUCGACUAAGCAAAACAAAGUUGACACACUAAAACUCCAAUUGGGCUGUUUGUUUGCACCGACUAUCACCUGAGCCACCGUUUCUAAACAAUACUGAAGAAAUUACUCUACAAGUGAACAAAUCGAGCUCUAUAGGGUUCAAGCAAGAAAGCAUACCUCGUUAUGAGCCAAAAAAAUGUCAAGGCGGNNNNNNNNNNNNNNNNNNNNNNNNNNNNNNNNNNNNNNNNNNNNNNNNNNNNNNNNNNNNNNNNNNNNNNNNNNNNNNNNNNNNNNNNNNNNNNNNNNNNNNNNNNNNNNNNNNNNNNNNNNNNNNNNNNNNNNNNNNNNNNNNNNNNNNNNNNNNNNNNNNNNNNNNNNNNNNNNNNNNNNNNNNNNNNNNNNNNNNNNNNNNNNNNNNNNNNNNNNNNNNNNNNNNNNNNNNNNNNNNNNNNNNNNNNNNNNNNNNNNNNNNNNNNNNNNNNNNNNNNNNNNNNNNNNNNNNNNNNNNNNNNNNNNNNNNNNNNNNNNNNNNNNNNNNNNNNNNNNNNNNNNNNNNNNNNNNNNNNNNNNNNNNNNNNNNNNNNNNNNNNNNNNNNNNNNNNNNNNNNNNNNNNNNNNNNNNNNNNNNNNNNNNNNNNNNNNNNNNNNNNNNNNNNNNNNNNNNNNNNNNNNNNNNNNNNNNNNNNNNNNNNNNNNNNNNNNNNNNNNNNNNNNNNNNNNNNNNNNNNNNNNNNNNNNNNNNNNNNNNNNNNNNNNNNNNNNNNNNNNNNNNNNNNNNNNNNNNNNNNNNNNNNNNNNNNNNNNNNNNNNNNNNNNNNNNNNNNNNNNNNNNNNNNNNNNNNNNNNNNNNNNNNNNNNNNNNNNNNNNNNNNNNNNNNNNNNNNNNNNNNNNNNNNNNNNNNNNNNNNNNNNNNNNNNNNNNNNNNNNNNNNNNNNNNNNNNNNNNNNNNNNNNNNNNNNNNNNNNNNNNNNNNNNNNNNNNNNNNNNNNNNNNNNNNNNNNNNNNNNNNNNNNNNNNNNNNNNNNNNNNNNNNNNNNNNNNNNNNNNNNNNNNNNNNNNNNNNNNNNNNNNNNNNNNNNNNNNNNNNNNNNNNNNNNNNNNNNNNNNNNNNNNNNNNNNNNNNNNNNNNNNNNNNNNNNNNNNNNNNNNNNNNNNNNNNNNNNNNNNNNNNNNNNNNNNNNNNNNNNNNNNNNNNNNNNNNNNNNNNNNNNNNNNNNNNNNNNNNNNNNNNNNNNNNNNNNNNNNNNNNNNNNNNNNNNNNNNNNNNNNNNNNNNNNNNNNNNNNNNNNNNNNNNNNNNNNNNNNNNNNNNNNNNNNNNNNNNNNNNNNNNNNNNNNNNNNNNNNNNNNNNNNNNNNNNNNNNNNNNNNNNNNNNNNNNNNNNNNNNNNNNNNNNNNNNNNNNNNNNNNNNNNNNNNNNNNNNNNNNNNNNNNNNNNNNNNNNNNNNNNNNNNNNNNNNNNNNNNNNNNNNNNNNNNNNNNNNNNNNNNNNNNNNNNNNNNNNNNNNNNNNNNNNNNNNNNNNNNNNNNNNNNNNNNNNNNNNNNNNNNNNNNNNNNNNNNNNNNNNNNNNNNNNNNNNNNNNNNNNNNNNNNNNNNNNNNNNNNNNNNNNNNNNNNNNNNNNNNNNNNNNNNNNNNNNNNNNNNNNNNNNNNNNNNNNNNNNNNNNNNNNNNNNNNNNNNNNNNNNNNNNNNNNNNNNNNNNNNNNNNNNNNNNNNNNNNNNNNNNNNNNNNNNNNNNNNNNNNNNNNNNNNNNNNNNNNNNNNNNNNNNNNNNNNNNNNNNNNNNNNNNNNNNNNNNNNNNNNNNNNNNNNNNNNNNNNNNNNNNNNNNNNNNNNNNNNNNNNNNNNNNNNNNNNNNNNNNNNNNNNNNNNNNNNNNNNNNNNNNNNNNNNNNNNNNNNNNNNNNNNNNNNNNNNNNNNNNNNNNNNNNNNNNNNNNNNNNNNNNNNNNNNNNNNNNNNNNNNNNNNNNNNNNNNNNNNNNNNNNNNNNNNNNNNNNNNNNNNNNNNNNNNNNNNNNNNNNNNNNNNNNNNNNNNNNNNNNNNNNNNNNNNNNNNNNNNNNNNNNNNNNNNNNNNNNNNNNNNNNNNNNNNNNNNNNNNNNNNNNNNNNNNNNNNNNNNNNNNNNNNNNNNNNNNNNNNNNNNNNNNNNNNNNNNNNNNNNNNNNNNNNNNNNNNNNNNNNNNNNNNNNNNNNNNNNNNNNNNNNNNNNNNNNNNNNNNNNNNNNNNNNNNNNNNNNNNNNNNNNNNNNNNNNNNNNNNNNNNNNNNNNNNNNNNNNNNNNNNNNNNNNNNNNNNNNNNNNNNNNNNNNNNNNNNNNNNNNNNNNNNNNNNNNNNNNNNNNNNNNNNNNNNNNNNNNNNNNNNNNNNNNNNNNNNNNNNNNNNNNNNNNNNNNNNNNNNNNNNNNNNNNNNNNNNNNNNNNNNNNNNNNNNNNNNNNNNNNNNNNNNNNNNNNNNNNNNNNNNNNNNNNNNNNNNNNNNNNNNNNNNNNNNNNNNNNNNNNNNNNNNNNNNNNNNNNNNNNNNNNNNNNNNNNNNNNNNNNNNNNNNNNNNNNNNNNNNNNNNNNNNNNNNNNNNNNNNNNNNNNNNNNNNNNNNNNNNNNNNNNNNNNNNNNNNNNNNNNNNNNNNNNNNNNNNNNNNNNNNNNNNNNNNNNNNNNNNNNNNNNNNNNNNNNNNNNNNNNNNNNNNNNNNNNNNNNNNNNNNNNNNNNNNNNNNNNNNNNNNNNNNNNNNNNNNNNNNNNNNNNNNNNNNNNNNNNNNNNNNNNNNNNNNNNNNNNNNNNNNNNNNNNNNNNNNNNNNNNNNNNNNNNNNNNNNNNNNNNNNNNNNNNNNNNNNNNNNNNNNNNNNNNNNNNNNNNNNNNNNNNNNNNNNNNNNNNNNNNNNNNNNNNNNNNNNNNNNNNNNNNNNNNNNNNNNNNNNNNNNNNNNNNNNNNNNNNNNNNNNNNNNNNNNNNNNNNNNNNNNNNNNNNNNNNNNNNNNNNNNNNNNNNNNNNNNNNNNNNNNNNNNNNNNNNNNNNNNNNNNNNNNNNNNNNNNNNNNNNNNNNNNNNNNNNNNNNNNNNNNNNNNNNNNNNNNNNNNNNNNNNCUUUCUUUGAUCAAUUCCAGUAUGCUAUUCAGGAUUUUCUGCCAGCCUUUGCAAAUACAAUAUGAAUAUGUCAUGAUUCAGACUGUUUUUAGUAUCUUGACAUAGAUAUUAGAAUUGCAUUGUCUCCCAUGAAGUUUUCCCCUUUUUCUCCUUACUAGGAACGAAUAUGUCAUGGUUAUUACGAAGUUUCUCUAGUUAUCUCGUGUUAACGCGCGUAGAAUCUAACCACCUUCAAUUCAGUAUAAUACAGAAAUCUGUAAAGGUUUUCUUUUUGAUAAGUGAAAUUGUUAAUAGUUGGUCAAGUUGAUCGACAAGAAGCUUUUCCUGUUUUCAGGAGGGAAUCUGCUCCGUCAGGGCUAGGAUAAAAGACCAAUGUUUUUUUCUCUGAUGCCAAUCAUAUUGCAGACCAAUCGUGCCCAACUCAAUUUCAUAGAAAUUUCAAUAUCGAAUUAGGACUUAGCGCCUUGUGCAUUUUCAAUGAUCGUUGCACUCCCAUUUUUUCAAGUCAUCAUGAUUUGCCUUCAAGAAUUAAAAAAAUUUGCAUGCAUACCUUGAUCUUUCGGAAAUAUAAAGGGUUAACAUCACAAAAAAUCCAAACUGAUUCACAUAUAACAAAUUCACCAUAAAUUAAUUUUUUGACUUUAAAAAAUUCCAAAUUGAUAUACUUGUGACAAAUUUAUUUUAAAUUAAAUUUUUUACUACAAAAACCCCACAUUUUGAUAUAUCCGUAACCAUUUUAUCCCCCAUUAGUUUCUACUAAAUUGAUUUGAUAUCACAAAAGAAUAUCCAAAGUGGUACACCUAUCCACUAUCACAUGUCAUACAACUAAUUAAUUUGCAAUAAAUGUACUAGUUUGGAGUCAAAAAAUUAGUUUUGGAUAGAUUUUUCACAAAUGUAUCAAUUUCGAGUUUUUUGUAGUAUUAACCUAUAUUAUAUUUAUUGCAUGCCAUGCCAUUUAUUGUAAACUGAAAGACAAUUAAUCAUAAGCACAAAAUGUCGAAACAAAGAAGGACACAAGAAAAAAUAAUUUAAAAAAAGAAGAAGGUAAAACAACCGAACUGGAGAAGAGAGGAGAGGGAAGAGGCAGUGGUGCUAUGGUAGUGAUGGUGGCUGCUGCCGCUGCCACCGAAGGAGUCAAGCAAGAGUACAAGAUCCAGAAAAACACUUAGAAAGAAAUUAAGUGCGUGUACAAAGUACUUUCUUAAAAUACAAUGAUUUUCCUGAAUGGAUACGUAAUCCAGAAUGUAGUUGAAUCCUUUGAAAAACUCUACUCUUUUUUCCUUAGUCCGUAUGCUAAGAGAAGACAAACCAGUUUGAACUUAAUUAAUGGUCAAUGAAUAUCCGGCCACAAAAAACAAUUAAUGAAUAAAACAAUAAAGUCAAAUGCAACGAGAAUAACAAGUUAAAAUUUUAUUCAAAUUAUAACCCCCAUAUAUAAUUGCUCAAGAGCCAUGUCCUUGGGAAAAUGUAUGGCCUUUCACCACAAUAAAAGUAGCAAUCAAGAAAUAAAUAAAUAGCGUUGGCGGCCAUCACUGCUAACAUCAUCACGUCUCACCUAAAUGAAGCCUUGCACGAGAGAGAGAACUUUAGUUAAAAUUUGUUUCGGUGGAAAAAACCUGUGAUACUUACCAGCCAGUGGGCGAUGGAUGGCAACAUGCAAAGCUGUCAAUCCCUUAGGGCCCUUAUGAGAGGAUGGCAACACGGAAGCAUGUAAAAUCAGCUCCAUGAUAUACAAAUGCCCUCUAUCUGUUGCAAGAUAAAGCGGGGACUCAUCAGCAGCAUUAGUAACACCACCCAAUUGAGGAUCUUCUUCAAUCAGCAACUUCACCACUGAUUCAUGGCCUCCUCUUACUGCAUAGUGCAGUGCAGUAUCCUUAUGCAAAUUUGGCUUUCUAAGUAGUUCUCUACAUGCAUCAACUUGUCCGUUUUCAACAAUGCUAUGCAGUUUCACCAUUUUAAUAAGGACUCGAACAGAUUUCAAGCUUCCCAUGGUGGCAGCAAUAUGUAGUGGAGUAUCUUCUUUGAAGUUACCCUGCCAAAGAAGAGGCGUUUAGAGAUGAUGUCUCCCGCCCGCAGCGAAUAUAAAAUUGAAAUUUUCCCCCUGCCGUCUUGAGCUGCAACGUGAAGAAUGUUGUUCCCAUCUCUUCUUCGUUUGGUGAAAAAGAUCCUCUCCGUUUUCCGAAAUUGCUGUGAUCAGGGACUGAAACUCAGGAGACUGAAAGUCUCCUGACUUUGCAGCCCUAUACACAUUAGGAUGCAUACUUAGGCUCUCUUUCAUUCUCGGGAUAAGCGGUAGUUGCAAGUGAACUUAUCAAUAAAAGAAAUGAGUUCAAAUAUAAUGAACUUCUUUGAGCUUUCUAAGAGGAUUGAUGUAAAUGGAGGAUGUUGGAAAGGAAAUUUAGUUGAGCUUUCCAGGAGUAGUAGAAAGGAGAUAUUUAUAUGCAUAUGGUGGUUCUUCAAUUGUUCCUAUGAAAUUGAAAUAAAUUUAUUAGGUUUAGAGAAUAGUUUCCAGAAAGUCUAAUUAGUAUGCGUUUUGGACUUCAUACUUUACACAUAAGCAAAUAAUAAGGAAGUGGGGCAACUCUUGUUUAAAGGAAGGAGGACGAGUACAAAUAAAAAAUAAUAAUGAUAAAUAAAUUAUAUAAGCAUGAAAUUGAAUUAGCGGGCUGCUUUCCACUUUUCAUCAAAAUCAGGACCAUCGAAACAUGCAUGAUUCAAACAUUCUUACUGAAGAAUCGAAUCUGAUUGAACUUAUUUAUUAAAGCAAAGACAUUCGUGGGCCCACGUUUAGCUGUAGAUUUCCUUUUGCUCCUUUCCUAUUUUUUAACGACAAGUCCUUAACUCUUUUCAGUCUUUAUGGUCUUUAGUCCGUCGUGAGUCGUGCGUUCUCAUCAUGCUCCACAUGAUGGAAGAUUUACAUACGUAAACUUUCCCCACUCGAAGAUUUAUAUACGUAAAUUUUUAUGGGGAUCGAACUUAGGUAAAAAUUAGUUGACGCUCAAUUUGAGGAUCACCUUUACUGCUAUGAUCUAUUGGCAAAAGUCAAAGCUCAUAAUCAUAUGUUAUAUAUUGUAAUGUUUUCAUAAUAUACUAUAACGAAUAAAAAUCUAAAAAAAUUCAUGAUAGAUCAAGGACUAUCUAUUAUUUUUACUAUGUGGAAGAGAGAUGUAAAAGCUUAAUUUUUUUUUUAAAAAAAAAAGAGAAGGCAACACCGAAGCUGUUCUGCUUUGUCAGCAAGGGCCAGUGAUCCUUGUUGGUGUGUUGAUGAGGGCCAUCGACCCUUGUUGGAGUGUCCAUGAACGAGGGUUUGCAGGAUCUCGUUUGUGUCACAUAGUAAAGACAACUGUGAAUUUAUAUGUAGAACUGAAUUCGUAAGACAAUUCUUUUGAUGUUCUGAACUUGUAUCUCUAUGGAACAUUAGCUACAAUUAUGUUUGUUUAUGGAAUUGGCAAUUAGUAUCCUAUCUGAACCCCAGUGACAUUAUGUGUAUGUAGAACUGAAUACUCUGUUAGCGGCAAAACUGCAUUGGCAAUGGGUUAUUUUGUUUAACUUAACUUCUUCUUCUUUUUCCCAUUUAUGUUGGUCUAGACUUUGCUCCCAAAUUGGUGCCAUCAUUAAUCUUUUUUCAUUCAUUAGAAAAUGGAAUUAUUUUUGUUGAUUUACACUUUCCACUGUCUCUUGCUGUGUAGAGAAAUAGGAGACGGCUCAUGGGACUCGUGGACUGUGUCAUUUCUAGAGCGGGCAAGCUGUCGACUAUUGCCUGUUAUCCAUGAUGAUUUGUAUCUGAUGAAUCCGUGACAAUCUGUUAUGUUCCUUGCCUUUCAGACUGACACUGCUUGCGAGAAGGUGUAGACAGUUUCUGGUGAGAUACAUCGUCUUCUGGUAUCCUGUAUCUGAAGUUCACUUUCAGUGGAACAAUUUUGAUAUCACAGGUGAAGAACAUGAGCGGACUUAGCGAUGGCUUCGACAUAGUCGGGCUUUCUCAAGUAAUGACGUUG
RNAcentral lists this long non-coding RNA (200330 nucleotides) under Eucalyptus grandis. Its description in RNAcentral is "long non-coding RNA (EGRA_LNC002326)". Lineage: Eukaryota; Viridiplantae; Streptophyta; Magnoliopsida; Myrtales; Myrtaceae. The record is from RNAcentral.